AAUGUAACAUAUGGAAACUUGGAGUUGCGAUGUCAACUUUGACCUAGAGGGUCAAAGUGAGGAUUGAGCUAGUUGGACAUCAUCCCCGAGUGAUUUGUGAUGCGUGUGAAUGAAUUCUGGAGAUAAAUAAGUGUUUCGGCGCAAAUUGGGCGCGAAACGAAAUAUAAAGAGAAUUUCGGAUUUCCGACGCUAACUUUGAUUAAAAGAAUUAAAGUAAGGCGUGAGGAUAAAUUGUGGUAUCUCCGAAUCAAUCGUGAAGUUUUGGAAAAGCCAAGGGUGUGCUUUCAAAGGGUUUUGAAGUGUUCAGUGCGAAGUGGUAGUGCAAAAAGGAGAAAUUUCUGCCAUAUAAUGAAAUUGGAGCUGAUUCUAUUGCUAAUUCGGCUCCAAUAAUGUCAAAGUGCAAAGGAAUUGCUUCCAAAUUGGAUUGGUAGCUUGUGAAGGUCCCUUGGUAUCUUUUGGACAUGUUUGGGUGAAAUCGGAGUGAAAACGGAAACUUUAGAAUUUUCUGUAAAGAACGGGACUGAGAAAAUUAGCAGAAAAUGCACAGUGUCAGAAAAUUAUGAAAAUUGGCAGAGAUGUCAGGAACAUUUUUAUGAGGCUAGAUUUGAAGUUUCAGAUUUUUCUGACACCUGUAGAGAGAGAAAUAGCAUCUGAAAGUUAUCUGAUAAAGAUUACAGUUCGGGACAGUUCGCAGUGACCAAACGGGGUCGAAACUAAAAUGUUAAAAUUUCAGUGGACUUGUUAAGUAAAAAUGAACAUUCCUGCCAAAUUUGAGCUCAAUCGGACUGUCGGAAGAGCCUAUGAAAGGUAUUUGAUCCGAGUUGCGCAACGGACUUAAGUCGAGGGGCAUUAUGGUAAUUAUCACCAACUUUAGUGGAAUUCCACUAAAUUCCCUGCUGCCAGAGCCCAUCCUUAUCCCCUCUGCAUUUCCCCUCUCCAGCCAGCAGCAUACGUAGGGAGAGAGAAGGAGAAAAGAAGGAGAAAAGAGAAGAAGAAGAAGAAGAAGAAGAAAAAUGAAAAAUAGAAGAAAGGUAAAAUUGCUAUUUGUUUUCCUCUCUCUCUUUGCUUUGUUCAUCUCCCUCUUUUUCCCUACUGCUGAAAGUAAGCAGCUGCAGCUUGGCCUUGCUGCUGUCAGCAGCUCAGCAGGAGAAGCAGCAGCAGCAGGCUGUCAACAACAGCAGCAGCAGCAGCAGCAGCAGCUUAGUAGCAGUAGCAGUAAGCAGCAGCCUCAGCUAAGCAGUAGUAGCAGCAGCAGCUUGGCUCAGCAGUGAGCAGCAGCAGCAGCAGCAGCUUGCGCACCAGCUGCUGUCAGCAGCCUGCGUAGGCCAAGCAGGAGCAGCAGCAACUUCAGCAGCUUAGCAGCAGCAGUAACAGCUACCUGCAGGCUGCAGGGAAGAAAGAAAAGAAAAGAAAGAAAGCAAGGAAGAAAACAGGAAAGAAAAGAAAAGAAGAAAGAAAGAAAAGAAAGAAAACAGGGAAAGAAAAAGAAAACCUGCAGGCUGCAGGGAAAGGAAAAAAAGAAAGAAAGGAAAAGAUGAGAAGAAAAAAAAUGAAAGAAAGGGAAAUGAUAGAGAGAAAAAUGGAAUUGAAGUAUUUGGAUAGUUUUUAUUAACUGUUUUGAGGCUCUUAGGCUAAUAAGAAUUGAAUUACGCUAUGUAAUUGUGAAAAUUGCAUUGAAAAGGGGUUUUUAUAGAAACUGACCUUGAUAAUGCACUUUUGCAGGAUAGAAGUCCUAAAGUGAAAUUGACCGCGUACAAACCUAAUUGGGGGUAAAAGAAACUUGCUGGCGAAGUCGGUUCGGCAAUCCGACGAGCCUACGCGAAGAUAUUGCCAAAAGAGCAUUUUCGACUACAAUAGUCACGAGCGCGGGUCGCGGCUCUUGGAAAAGUACUCGAAGCGAAUUUCUCCCAUUCCGGCAUCAAAGAAAGGUGGGUUGUGCUUACCGAAGUGAUUAGGUCACUUCCAUGCCAAAGUAGAUCAUGUUUUCAUUUGACGCAUAUAUGAGGAUAAAUGUCGACAUAUGAACAUUCAUGCUAAAUGAAUAUGAAUAUGAGUAUGAAUAUGAAUAUGAAUAUGAAUAUGAAUAUGAAUACUAUAUGGAUGCUGGAUGCAUAGAUCUGAAUGCAUAGAUACGAAUAUGAAUGCUAAAUGCGUGUGAAUAUGAAUGUAAAUACUAUGUGAAUGCUAUACGAAUGCUAUAUGAAUGCUAAUGCUAAAUUCUUAUGAUCAAAGAUAAGUUAUGCUAAUGCUACGUUCAUGUGAUAUAUAAUUGUUGAACCUGUAAAUGCCAAGGGCAUCUAAGUUAAAUAUGAAAUGUGAAUAUAUAUAUGCUAAAGCCUACAUACUAUAUGAAUGUCACUAUAUGCUAAAUGCUAAAGCCUAUGUAGAUGCCAAGGACAUAUAAGUUGAAUGUGAAAUGUGAAUAUAGAUGCUAUAUGAACGUUGCUAAUUCUAGUUGAUUCGAAUGGUAUGUAAACUAUGAACUUCAUGUGAAAUCCCUAAGUAUUGGGUAUAAAUCGACAACUCCAAUUGAGUAGAAAUCUAAACGGUAACGAGGUAAAUGAAAAUGUGCAGAUUAUAAACCUAGGCGUGGAGAACUAGGACAUUGAAUAGAUCGAGUGGCAUGAACCUAGAGUUAUUAAACCUAGGUUGGACAUUGAAUAGCUCGAGUGGCAUGAACCUAGUGCUAUUAAACAUAGGUUGGACAUGAAAUAAGCCUAGUGUUAUUGAACAUAGGUCGGACAUUAACCUAGUGUCAUUGGACCUAGGUCGAGUGUGUAAACCUAGAGUUGAGAUCUAGGAGAAAGUAUAUAAAACCUAGUGUAAGUGAACCUAGGUUAUGAUGUAAAGAACCACUUAGUAAAAGUAAACUAAGUUGUGAAUCAUAGUGGCAGUAAGACCACUAGAAAGUGAAUAGAAUAGACCUAGAAAGGUCGUCGACAUAGGGUAAAAGAGUAAACCCUUAAGUUGUGAAAAUGGAUUCCGGAAUCCCUAGGAUUGGUAUGAUGGCAGAAAUAGAAUCGAAACUACGGGAUCUGUUCUCCUCUCCCGGUAGUGAUUCAACGGGAUUGACGGUUCUCCUCUCCCGGUAUGCCAUGAAACAAGUGAAGUGAAUCGAAACUACGGGAUCGACGGUUCUCCUCUCCCGGUAGUGAUUCAACGGGAUUGACGGUUCUCCUCUCCCGGAGCUAUGGGUUUGACGGUUCUCCUCGCCCGUUGAGCUUGAGCGACUUAGGGUCACGGGGAUCGACGGUUGUCCUCUCCCUGUGAUGGACCUAGUGUCGCGUGGACUUAAGGCUGAGGUGUUGUGAGACGUCCUCCACCUCGAGCCUGACUUGACGCGGUACUCCGCGGUUGAUUGACUCAAGACCGAGUCGAGUGGCUAGAUGGCUAAGGUAAAGUAACCUUAGGAAAGAAUCGCCAGUGAGUACAGUAAGAAUAAAGAAUAAAGCAUAAAGAAAAGAAUAAGGAAAUAGCUAAUGAAUGAAACUAGCUAAGAAUGAAUAAAACGGCUACAAGUAAAGAAUGGCUAAUGAUAUAAAGUAGAAUCAAGUAAUCUACUUACAUGAAUUACAGGUAAUGCAUAUUGCAUAGCAGCGAGGCAAGGUAUGGUUUUAUUUAUCGCAUCGUUAAAUAUCUAUCUAUCUAUUGUUGAACUAACCUACUGUUGCCUCCUUUGGACCUGGUGGGUCGAGCUCUUCUCUUGGGUGGCCGUACCCACUGGGAACUAUAUUUAUAUAGUUCUCACCCCCGUGUUGUUUUGGGGGUACAGGUUACACGCGAGCGGCGCGGCGGCGCGAGGACAGGGCGUAGCUUCGUAGAUAGCGCCCCACCACUGAGACUGAGAUAGCAACACCCUGAAGAGGUCAAGUUCAGAGUUCAAAUGGAAAGAAACAAAAUUGUAGUAAUUUGUAUAAGUUUCAUAUUAACUUAAAAGCAUAUGUGGUUAUGUAAAUGUAAAAUAUUGUAAAUGUAAAAGAAUCUCUGAGAUGAAUACUUGUAAUAGCAUAGUUUGCACUUUAUGUUUUCGAUACAUAUGCAAUCUACAUACCUGCUACAGUUCCUGUUUGGAACCUCUUGUAUUGCAUUGUUUAGAUUGUUGACGCCUAGAACGUACAGGGGAGGCUCUGUCCGUUCGGCGGUCUGUCGACGAGCCCGAAUCCGACCAAAUAGGCAGGGCUCGGGGCAUGACAUGAACGGUCGGUUUCGGCCGAGCAGGAGGAGAAAAUGACUAGGAGGGAGUUAGAGGACAAGAUAGCCUCCCUCGAGACAAUCAUUAAACGAGAGAGAUGACCUCUUAAGGAGAGGGAGGUAGGAAUGGAAAGCGAUUCCUCGGCCGAGAUGACUAAGGAAUCCGAAGAAAAGAAACAAAGAAUUCAAGAAAAAUCGGCUGAUGAAGGACCGGCCGAUGUCAACAUGGUUUAUACUCUGCCGCAGUCCUUUAAAGCAGAGUAUACUGAGUAUGAGGAGAUAGAAGAAGAAGUUGGGCUCAAUGUGGCCCAAUUACAACUAGAGGAUGCCAAACCAGCAGAUGCGGUGGUUUUCGAUAAACCAUCGGCCAUACAGACGAGAUUCGUGAGGCCCUUGUUUAUUCAGGCCUUAAUCGAAGGUCGGCCAGUAGGCCAAGUCAUGGUAGAUGGCGGAGUGAUGGUUAACGUCAUGCCCACGUCAUUCUUCAAAAAGUUGGGCAAGAACGAAGAUGAGUUGAAGCCCACCGAUGCGAUCAUGACCGAUUUUACUGGAAGCGAUCAACAAACUCGAGGGGUGCUCACAACCGAGAUUACGGUAGGUUCUAAAACUUUACAAACUGCAUUUUUUGUACUAGAUGCAGAUAGCCACUACAACCUACUACUCGGACGUGAUUGGAUACACGCAAACGAAUGCGUGCCUUCUACACUCCACGAAAAAUUAUUCCAGUGGAUAGGAGAUAAGGUUGAAGAAAUCUGGGCCGAAGGACGGCCCUAAAUGGUGGACAUCAACGCAGAGGAGGUCGGCCACAUCAACUGGGCCGAUGCUGAUCCAGACCAAAUCUCUUUUGUAAAAGUUACUGAAGAGGGGGUUCAGUUAAUCCUCUCUAAAGACGAAGAAGCUAUGGUGGCAGCCGAAGAGCCACCAAGUUGGCUAAAAUGGAAUGUGAAGAAUCAAGAGCCGAAGCUUUAGAGGAGCUUCGGCAAGAAGAGCCGAUCGACAGGAUUGGCUGUGUGAUAAAUUCGGCCCAGCAGGCCGAUGAUGUGGUGUACAAGAAGAAGGCCGAAACAGACGAUAAUGAACAUGUAGUAAAAUCGGUUGUUAAAGCCGAUAUGAAAAAUAUGGGGAAGUCGGCUGUCACGCCCUGAGCCUCGCCUAUUUGGUCAGGUUCGGUACGCCGACAGACCGCCGAACGGAUAGAGUUUCCCCUGUACGUCCUAGGCGUCGCAAACAAUACAAUUACAAUAGGUUCCAACCAGGAACGAUAUUCAACAUACAACGAUUGCAUAAGGAAGGUAUCAAACAACAUAAACACAUCCUAAGUUAUUACAUUUAUUCAUUCAUCUCACUUGAUAUUAUUUACAUUUCUUUUCCUUUCAACUACAUUUAAACUUCCGAAUACAAUCCAAGUUGCAAUAAUUUAUUACAAGUUUAAUCCAUUCAUCUUGUUCUUUUUAUUUCCCUCUCCCCCUAGGCUAUGCCGACUCGGGGUACUGCUAUCUCUGGUCUCUGGGUAGGGCGCUAUCUAUGGAGCUACGCCCUCGCCUCGUGCAGCAGCGCCGCUCACGUGUGAACCUGUAACACCCCAAAACCACGUGGGGUGAGAACCAACUCCAUGGUUCCCAGUGGGUACGGCCACCCAAGGGAAAAGUUCGACCAAUAGGUCCAAGGGAGGCAACUGCAAGUUAGUUCAAUAAACAGAUAGAUAUAUAUCUUGAUUAUGCAACGAAUAAAACCAUGCAUUGCCUCACGAAUGCAAUAAUGUAAUGCUAUAUGCAAAUCAUGCAAUAAUGCAACUAUGCAACCAACUAGUAGUUCAUUCGAUACUACUUUCAAUUCUGCUAACCAUAACUCAUCCGUUUNNNNNNNNNNNNNNNNNNNNNNNNNNNNNNNNNNNNNNNNNNNNNNNNNNNNNNNNNNNNNNNNNNNNNNNNNNNNNNNNNNNNNNNNNNNNNNNNNNNNCCAGCGGAAGCAUAUCCGGUCGCGUGCACAGACCCGCCGUGUACACCACAACUCAAGUAUACACAAGGCGUCUACAAACCAUAUAGUAAAAGCAUAUAAUUCUAACUAGGUAAUCAGAGCAAGACUUUUAAGCUUAAACUUAUACAAUCCAAACCUUAAAACAGGAAAUAAGAACAAAGUACGAUUUACAAAAACUUAAUAUACAUCUCUGUACUAAACUAUAUAAACUGCUGGAGGUGGUCUAAUACACGUCCAAAAAGGCGCUAGCUAGCCGUUGACCCCUCGCCAGGAACCCUAGCCUUUCUCGCUGUAGAAGGCUCUGUAAAAACAACAACAACGAGGGCGUGAGAACUAUUAAACAAUAGUUCCCAGUGGGUAAGCCGCCGAAAGUGGCGAAGUACACCACUAGGUCAACUGUGGCACGAGUAGAUAGCAAUAAAUAAGCGAGUAAAAUGCAGAUAAUACAAUAAGCAAUUACAUUCAACAGAUAUUAAAGUAACUACUCAUGCUAUUUGCUCAACAAUAAAUAUACAUCAAUAAAUUGCAGGUAUCAAUUAUCAUGAUAGAUUCCAUCAAUCAUAUUACUUGACAAUUUAACCAAACAUAUACCAGAUUGUAUGCAAAAUAAUUCACUUUACCGAAAAUUACAGACGAUAUAAUGUAAUUACCUUUUUCAUUAGCAAGAAAUAAACAUAAUGUCAUUCAUUAUGUUGCUAACCAAUCAUGAUGUCAACUUCUAGGUUAUUCAUCGCUAGGCUCACUUUAGAUGUCAACUUUCUAGUAUGUUCAUCAAUAAGUUCACUUAACCAAAGACAUAAAGUAACUGUACUACUAUGUCCAGCUAAGGUUAAAGUACUUGACAUAACCCAAUUUUCAACAGACUUACACAAGGUAAGUUCAAGCCGCGCCGUGCCUAAUGGCCCCGUGGUAGUCAACAUCCCCACUCGAGGAAUGAGCCUCCCCCACGGCAUUCCAUUUCGGCGCCCACUUCGUACAUUUGCGAGCAUCUGUCACUAAGCUGUUCGGGAGUGCUGGCUUGGGGGGGAGCGACCCCGCAAGCGUGUGCAAACGCGCACAAUGGCAUGCAAGCCGUAGUCCAUAGUACCAGUCUCACAACAACAUCAUGUCCCUGACAUGGAAUCUCAACUCAAGCCACUCCGGAACGCGGGGCUUGGGGGGGCGCGACCCCCGCAAGCAUGUACGAAAGAGCAUAAUGGCAUGCUAGCUAUAGUCCGGGGUACAAAUAUCUCAACGACAUCAUGUCUCUGACAUGGAAUCUCAACUCGACCCAAGGUCGGCACUGUAGUACCCAAUCAUAAGUCACUAUCAACAACUUGUUGAUAUGAUUCUACCAAUAACUAGUAUAACUUGACAAGUUAAGGCUUUACAUCACACUCGUGAUUCUAUCAGGCUAUACCUGGUCAGUGAUUCACAACCUCUCACUACUCCUUACACAGAAGGAAAGUGGUUUACUAAUGUUCUGUUCAAAGACUCAUGGCACAUAUCCUGUAGUCCAAUAAAUCUCUACUCGACUAUACAAGUAUGUUAUCAUAUCCAAAUCUAGUUAUCUACUAGAUUAUAUUCAGUUGUAUAACAUUCGAGUUAUGCUUUCAUGCUCAAUUCUAGUUGUUUAACUAGAUCAUAUAUCGUAACAUGAAUUUCAAACAAAUCUAUCAUGUGAAAGUAGGAAUUAACAGGUCAAUACAAGUAAGGAAAAUAAACGACGGAACACUCUUCACAUGAUCUCUAUGCCAUUCACGAUGUUACCAUGAUAUGAGCAUACUCAAAUAAUUACCUUUACGUGAUGUAUUCAGAGUUUAACAAAGAUACUAAUCAUAUCAAUUGGCAUAGUCCAAUUCUAGGUACAUCGUUCCCUUUUAUUGCUCAGCUGAGCUAAAUGGUACCUUCACGAUUUUACCAUCAUAUCUACUUGAAUGACAACCAGUCCAAUUAUUUAUGCGAGCUACGAAUAUCACGAAUAUAUAGUAAUCCAACAGAUAAGAAGCGAUAAUGCGGUCGACCGCUUUCCCCCUACACGACGUUCCGCUAAUUCAACCCAUUGCGGUCCCAAAAGGGUCAGUGCUGCAACAUUUUGCUGCCGGUCACUUAACAUUAUGCUGAGUGAUAUCCCGCUUAAGCUCGAGCCAUGGGCCCCUAGGAGAUCUCAGCUGGACGUCCGUACGUUCGAAUAACCUCUACAAGGUAAUAAAUACUUCAAUAAAGCCGGAUAUGCGCCUAGUUAGCUCGCUUAACUACGUCAAACUCGAAAAGAGAAGGGUCGUCCAAACGCUUAGUGUAAUUUGAGAAAACCACUGGACCCUCCGACCAAACCUUCCACAAGGUUGAUGUCCAUUCGACUUUAACGACACUCCUUUGACUUAAAAGUUCUAAGGCUGAUAUAGAUAACUAUGAACUGCUGAUACUACGGCAAAACCUUUAACAAGCGUCGCUCGAACGUUGCCUGAAAGCCUCAUAGAGGCCGACUACACAUUUCCGAAAAUCUUCGAAUUAAACUCCAUAAUUGACUUGGGUUUUGUCCCUAAGUUCAAUAAUGAAACAUGAUUCACGUUUAACAUGGCUUUAACCUGUAAAGCCGGCAUCAAAACUACGCGAAAAGCACAAAGCAAAAGUCGUCGCAGCUCUGAGGCAACUCGUCCCAAGCCCUGAGGAAAACCGACCUAACUCGAACCACUAUCCACCCAGCCUGAAAGGGCUUUACCCACUUAAAGGGAGAUACAAAGGAAACUGUAUACUCAACUUCGAUAAUGCAUAAGAACACUUAUAUACAUAUCAAGUACCGUAAUUCUGUGCGUAAGUACACAUCUAGUAUAACCUAUACUAGCGUAAGGAUUGUCAUGACCUUUUGAGUACUAAUCAAGGGAGGUGUACCANGAGCUCCUGGAGUCGUCCUGGGAUCAAAUAGAUAGGGAUAGAAUGUGAAAUUACCAAAAAACCCUUGCUGCCACGUUUCUGGCAUUGUGUACCGGUACACGAUGUGGCUGUACCGGUACAGCAAGCAGAAAAAACACUGAUUUCGUCAGAUUAAUGCACUUUCUUACUUUUAACCCUCCAAUCACUCUCUAACUUGUCCAAAAAACUUAUCCAAACCCUUUAGAAUGUGUAGGGAAGUUUUAUGUACCUUUUCCCACGUUCAAAUUUCGUAAUUGACCAAAUUCGAAGCAUUACAAUUGAUAAUGCAUUUGCGAUGCACUUUUCCAUUUCUAGUUACUUACUUACUCUAGUAACUUAUCAAAAACCUUUCAAUAGUUUUGCAAAAGUCAUAGACCAGUUCCAAAAGCCGAUCCACCCCUCGAACUUACCAAGAGGCUCAAGAUUCAGUAUAUUACAUGGGGUGGCUUCAGGUCACCGGAACAGUGACCCGAACCCGAGACAGUGCACAAAAUAGCUACACUAAAGCUUACCGGACUAUAGGGAACUCGGGCACCACCAGCGACGGCCGAGAGGCAGGCGCGCCGGCAGAAGAAAGGUGCUGGCGACGGAGAAAGGUCGGGGCGCGCAAUGGCCGGUGACGGGAGGCGGCCGCUGUGGUGGGCAAUGAUGCCCUUGCCGCACAACUCGAGAAGAGCAUAGGCUUAGCUCGGUUGAUAGGGAGCUUUGGCGACGGGGUAGCCAGCGGCGGACGGGUGCUGUCGACCAGGUGGAGCCGACGUUCACGCUGGCCGGCGGCGGAAGGCGGCGGCGGCGGCGGCUGCGGUGACACAUCCCAAGCCCGUACGGGCUUGGCUCGGGCUCGGCUGAACGCAAAGGCCAUGGCGGCGGCCGGGGAGCCUUGGGGCGGCGACGAUGGGCCGCCGGAGACCAAAGAGAGGCAACAAGGUCGAUCCGGAGCUGCGGCGGCGCAAGGGGAAGGGAUUGGAUCCGCCUCAACCCGGAGUUGCCCAGGUAGGCCGCAGGCUGCCAGGGCGGCGACGGCGGCGCGUAGGGACAAUGGCGACCGGCGGACGGAGUCGCCCAAUGUCGAUGGAGGGUGGCACGACCGGUUCUAGGCAGGGGCAACAUGCGGGUUGAGUUCUAGCUUUGGGCUCGGCCGCAGGGAGCUAGCGAUGGCGGCGGCGGCCUGUGGGGACGGCGGGGACGCGCGCAGGGAGGUCGUCGGAGGUCUAGGAGGGCGACCGGGCCAACCUAGGGUGGCGGUGACUCACGGGCCACGAGUUCAACAGAGCUCAACCCGAGCUGGCCGAAGUAGCCCGCGGGUCGCCCAGGCGGCGAUGGCGGCGCGCGUGGACGGCGGGGGCCGGCGGGGACGACGUCGGAAGUGGGGCCUCGGCCGAGGGAAGUGGCAUGAGGGUGAGAUCUAGCCUAGUUGAUCUCGAGCAGGGUGAAAGAAGGAUGAGGGAGAGAAUGUGAUGAAGAAGGUUAGGUUCCGAUGGCCGGCGGCGUGCACAGGUAGCAGGAGCACGCACGACAAAGGCUGGGGAGGGAGCUGUGGACGGCUAGGAGGUUAGCUGAGGGAGAUGACCUCUAGGGUUAGGGUUUCACGCACGAAACCCUAAAGCCAAAAUAUAUACCAAGUGAAAUUUUGUAGGAAAGUCCUCCAAAGAAGAAUGUUUUUAGCUAGGUCCCUCCCAGCACGUGCAAUAUGCGCGAACGUACCCUCAUGUCUGAUCACGUGCGAUUUGGUACAUAAAAUAUUAUGACUUUUGUGAAGUUUCCGAUUUGUCACUUUCAACCCCUUCCCGAUCAUCAUGCAAUAUCCGGCGAUCCGUUCAUUGGAUUUCUGAACGGAUUAUGCCAGCACGUUCAACACGACCAAGUUAUCAAACUCACAGUUUGUUUUAUUCAAUUUGGUCGCCAAUUCGCGGGGAAAGUCAUCAUCUCUCUGAUUUUCCAAAACUCUCUUAGUGAUAAAAAUCCUUUUUCCUCGAAAACCAUGCAUCAGAUCUAAAAUCUGUCAGCGCCAAUGGUUCCAGAAUAGCUGAACCGUUCAAAACAAGCUAUUGGAUCGUUAUGAACGGAGUCCGAUACGCGCCAGAAGCCAAUUCUACUCAUCAGCCUCUCCGGAAAGCCGGAGUUACUAUUCACUUUAAGUGAUUAGUAUUGAUCGCGUAACUUCUCCAUUCUAACUCAUUUUCUCCUGAAACUUGACGAGUGCUUAUGUAAUUAAAUUACACACAAAAACAUUGUCAACAAAGAGUUUAGCUACACUGCCAAAACCUCAGUCCUUACACUACACUAACUCACCACUAAGCACACAUUAAAAUACACAUUAACUCACCCACUAUCACAUAGUAAUGAGCCCUCAUGAAUACCUAAUGAAUGCAAGGUGAUCCAAUGGGCUGCCAAUGUCCAUUGGGUUUUCACUAGUAGUUAUGGAGGUAUUAAUUGUAGUAGUUACCAGCCUUUUCAUCUCCCAUAAUAGGCUGCUGGUUUAGUGCCCCUUUGGCUGCCUACUUAGCGAAGUUGGGCCAGGGACUUGGUCGGACUGAAUAAUCACUAAGUCCCUGACAUUCUCCCCUACCUAACAUGCAGACGCCCUCGUCGUGCACCAAGCCGCUCUGCAUAGCCUUGCUCGCAAUCCAUUGUGCCUUUGCGCCCGCGCGGCCUUAAGCCGUGCUAUCGCAGUCUGCGUUCCCUUGUGUACCAGUUCCCAAUGCCUUGCCCCUUUAAGCGUGAACACCAGCUAGCUCGCUGCGCGAAAAAUUUUAUCAUUGAGCCCAAAUUGUCGAGUGUGCCUGCCCUCCGUGACACGCACGCACAUGCCACCAAGUUGCGGGAUGCUCCUUGAUCCCCUCGGGGUCCUUCUUAGCUUUGUGCUUGACAGAGCGACACGCCCCUCGAUUGGGUGCUAGUUGUUUCUGCAUCUCUUGAGACUUAACAGUCUAACCCUCACCGAGGCUCUCCUCCUAGAGGUCCUUAGCCUUCCUGCACUUCACCUUCUCACAAAGCUAUAAGGUUGUAAGGGUUUGAUCCUUCAUCGAUGGGGCUGGGCUUUGGUUGCACCCCUUUGCGUCCCCUGUAUCAUGACACUCUCCCCCACCUUUGGCCUCACUUGCCUUAGGUGGUUUGCCAUGAUCACUCUCAGUUCGCUUGAGUAGUGCCUCCCUCGUCUUGAGGUCCUCGACCUCCUUGACCUAGGCACCAAUGUCCUAAAGCAGUAUAUUUCGUGCAUCCCGCUCGUCGUUGCCAUAGAAAAUAUCCGCCUUAAACUUGUCCAGACGACGGCGGAAUGUUGUUAUGCUGCAACAAUAUCCUUCUCUAUCAAGUGAAGCCUCUCAUCCAACAAACUCACAGUUUGCAAAAAUGUAGAGGACUGCUCCUCUAUUCUCAUCAUAACAUCCUCCUGCCCUGCAGCCUCGCAUUGUACUUUAAGGAUGCAGCCUCCUUCGCUAGUGCCUGCGGCUCCUUUCUCCUUUCCCACUUGGUCUGCUUUAGAGGCUCAGUAGUUACAUCAAUGACAGCAGUAUCUGAUGACGACAUGGUUACUCACUCUAACCGGCUCUGAUACCAACUGUCACGGCCUUAGCAUUUUUUGCUCGCAAAGCCCAUGCAGCGUCCGUCUUCCUGCUCGAAGAUGGGCAAGCCUAACUCCUUAUUGCUAGCCUGAACCUACACACCCUAUGACUAAGUAUGCAAAAAAUAAGAGAAGAGAGAGGUAGAGGUUUCCAAAAAACUAAGUACCAUCAUUAUUUAGAAAAAUUGGACUACAAUACACAACUCCUCUUGUAUCUCUACCUCCACUUUGGCCUUAGCCAACCCGCCUACUUGUAGACUCCUAGAUACAAUGAAUUUAGCCUACACUAACUCACCACUAAGCAAACAUUAAAAUACACAUUAACUCACCCACUAUCACAUAGUAAUAAACCUAAAGCUGUCCAAAAUAUCCGAUAUACCAUACCUGAUCCGGACCAUACUUAGACCCUACUAGACCCAAACCGGACUUGAUAAAAAAUGGAUAGUAUACGGAUAACAAAAAUUAUCCAUUAAAGUUUCAAGUAUGGUCCAGAUAUGUUAUAUCUAUACCCGACUUGGACCCGACUCGAACCUGACUUUUUGAUGUGUAGGGUUCGAAAGAGUUUCCAAAUCCGGACCCGAAAUUGGACUCAGGCAUAGACCCAGUGAAAUACCUGAUAGUAAAUAAAAAUAUUUGAAGUUGAGAGAUCAAUUUUAAUAGGACUUAAAGAUGAAGGGUCUUUGUAUAUUUUCAUCAUAAUGAAAACCUUAGUCGCUCUAUUUACACUUUUUUUUUUUUACUCAUAUAUUUUAAUUCUAGUGGUUUAUUGCUUGAAUCUUUCUUUUGAGCGAAUUUUAUUGGACUGAAUGAAACUAAUUAGAACACGGGUUUUUUUAUAGUGAGAGGUUGAUGGUUUGUCCAUAUACUGCUUAAUAAAGUUUAUAAAAAAAUAUAUGCAUACAGGUAUCUGUACCCGAUCUAGACUCGAUCCGUACCCGAUCUAUAUCCGGUCUUAAGUGGGUAUAUAUGGGUAGUUAGUAUCCAAACCCGUUCAAACAGACUCGAUGGGUAUAUUAUUAACUUAAGUAUCUAGACCCGGACCCGAUCCGAAGUUAAAUGGGUAGGAUAUAUAUUUUUUUUUUCCUAUCCAUUUCUUUUUAGGGUACGGAUAUAGUAUAUCAACUACUCAGAUCCGAUCCAAUCCAUGGACACCUUUAAAUGAGCCCUCAUGAAUUCCUAAUGAAUGCAAAGUGAUCCCAAGAGUUGCCCAUGUCCUUUGGAUUCUGCUGGUAGUUAUGGAGACAUUAAUUACAACAGUUACUUACCCUUUUAUCUUUCAUAAAAGACUGCUGGUUUUGUACUUCUUUGGCUAUCUACUUAGCGAAGUUGAGCUAGGGACUUGGCCGGACUGGAUAAUCACUAAGUCCCUGACAGUUGGCUCACUAAUAUAGUUUAGUUCAUACUCUUAUUGAAUGAAGUGAAAAGCAUGCUACCUUUCUCUCUGAAAAUGAAAAAGAAAAUAGAAAGAAAGGAAAGAAAGAGGACCACACGUAUGUUGAAACUAGCUAGGCACCCAAUUGGCAACAAGAACAUGUGCCCCACUACUUAAGAAGAACCCUUUACAUUUGUUUGAGGAAUAAUUAAGAAAACGAACCGCAACGGGCGGAAUCAUGGUAUCAAUAGAAUCAAAAAGCAACAACUAGGGCUUUUCAAUUGUUUCCAACUUGGUUUGGAUAGAAAAAUAUAAUUUGGGCUAAUAUGUAAGAAAAGAGGAAAAAGCAUGCAUCGGAAUAGAACGCUUAAUUGAAUUAUCAUCUAUUUGAUGAUUGUUCUAUAUUCUAAUCUUUUUAAUUUAUUCAAAUGCAAUCAUACAAUUAGAAAGAAUAUUUUAUGUGAUCGACAUUGCUAUAUUUCUAUUAAACAAGUGGUUAGGUCAAAAAUUUUAUAAUUGAAGAGAAAUCAACUGAUUUAAUUGAAGAGUAAUCUUAUCUAUUAUUUUGUUUUUAAUUUAACAUAGUAGUGGCAAAGAGCUCUUUACGUCUGAUACUUUAAUUAUCAUUAAGGGCAAACUUAUGUCCAAUUGUUAUUAAUUUGAUUACUCAGUUUAUCUUUAAUCUCUUAAUUUUAUGGAUAAUUAAUUUAAUAUGUAACCCUACUAUGUUUUGAAAUUGCGAAUUCACCUCUGUAAAGCUUUUAUUAUAAAAAAUAUUCUUCUGCAAUUGCAAAAGUACAAAUUUGUUCCUUCGUACAGGUUUAAUCAUCGUUAGCCGAUCGACCAAUAAACUUUCAUGAUCAGCACUGUUAGACCUUUAAAUUUACGAUUUAUGUUUAUUUAGAAUGACAUAGUGUUACUAUGAAAACAUUAAAAAUGAUAAAUGAUGUUAAAUAUCACUAAAAAGAUAGUUAUUAAUUUAAGAGUAAAAUGGAUAUUUCGUGGAAGAAUCCUAAUUCUAGCCAGUAAACUAAUGGCAAGAGAUACAUGUGAUAACUACGUAACUUUGAAGGGAUACGUUUGAUAACUAAAAUAUUGUUUUGUUCGAGCACAAGUGAUUCUUGCUUAUUCUUGGAAUAUGUACAACUUCUAGGAUAAACAGAAAUUAAACAAAUUUUGCGUUUUGGAGGAGAAUCAAGAUAUUGAGAGGAAUAAAAAAAAAAAAAUUUGUUUUUGGGUAAUUGGAUUGGAAUAGUAGGAAUAAAAGUAAUUAUGAUUAAAAACAAAAUUAAUUUAUCUAUAUAAUAAGCAUCUAAAUAUUAAUAAAAUAAUAUUUUAACAAGUUCAUAAUUUAAUUAAUUUGUUACUAUAGAAGAUGAUGAAGAAUGAUCAAUGUUAAUUAAUGAAUAACUAUAAAAAAUAAAUCAAUACAUUAAUACUAAUUAAUUAUUUAAGAAUUUAUAUUUUUUGUUAAUAUAUUAAUUUGAUAAAUUACAAUAUUAAUUAUUUAAAUAAUUCAAACAUUAAUUAAUGAUUGAGUAAGCAGAUCAAAUUGUAAAUUAUUUAAUUAUCUAAUUAAUUAUAAAUAAUAAAUUAAUUACUAUUUAAAUACUUAUUAAUUUAAUAACUUAAAUAAGUAAUUAUUUAAUUAUUAAAAAAUUAAUUGCAUUACUUAAGAAUAUUUUAUAAUUAUUUAUAAUUUAAUUUGUAGAGGAAUAAAAUAGAGAAUAGCUUAUUCCACCUAAUGGAUGGAAUUACUAUUCUUUUCUCUUAAGGGGUUAUCCCGAAAUAAUUAAUUCGUUUAAGAGGGAAAUAGUAAUUCUUGGUGCUGCUCGGAAGAAUAAAGAGAAUAAAUCUUUCAUUUCUUGAAUCAAACUUGGCCUGAAGGAUCUUAUUACUUUGCAGGAAUACAUGUGUAAUUACUUUAUAGAAAGGGAUGAUCUAAAACGAAUUCUACGAAAGUAAUGAUCUAAAAUGGAUUGCCUGUAAAAAGUGUUGUAAUCUCCGCAAUCGCUUAUGGAAAGAUUGUAGAGAAAAAUAAUAAUAACAAUAAUAAAUAAAUAGAGAAAGAAAUGUUUUUGAAUAAUUUUUUUUUUUUGAGAGGUACGUAGCAUGCUACCCGCUUCGUUUAUUUCAUUUAGAAAUAAAAUUAGCUAGAAAUGUGAAUCAAUUAGGAUUCGAACUUAGAAUCUCAGGUACGAAUUUAGGAUCUCGGGUAUAAAUUAUCAAGCUUUUCGCCACUUGUGUUAGGGACGGUCGGUAAUAAAAGAAAUUAUUGAAUUACAACCUAAAAUGUGUUAUUUAUCUGGCACUCCUCUUUGAUAAUUCGUAUGAAUCAAUUAGUGCUUAACACUACCUUUCUUUUUUAUUAUUUUCUUUUUUCUAGGGAAAAAAAAAUGACGGCUAGAUGGUCAACUCGACCAAUGAAAUGGUUGACCAUAUAUACAUAUAUGUAAGUUAACUGCUUGUCCACAGAACUGCUCCGCAUACCUUCAACACAACGACUACAGGAAAAUGGACAAGAAGAUUACUUCGUCUUCCCCCUUGGCCAAACCAUAUCCUUGGGCCAUCACCCUCCUCCUCCUCCUCCUUCCCCCCUUCGCUCCUAGCGCUCUCCUACCUCCUCCCCUAUUCCACUGACUUCCGCCUCCCAUUCAUCGUCACCUCCUGCAGCCGCCCCUCCCCGACCGCCACCACCAAGGCCACCCCAACAGCCGAACCCGAAUUCCGCCUCCUCGUCGGCAUCCACACUGUCCCCGCGAAGUACCACCGCCGCCACGCCCUCCGCCUCGCCUAUUUCCUCCAGCAGCAACCUGCUGCCGCCCCCACGACUUGCCUCAGCAUCCGCUUCAUCCUCUGCAACGUCACCAAAGAAGAAGACCAGCUCCUCGUCGCCCUCGAGAUCAUGCACCAUGACGACAUCAUCAUCCUCAACUGCACUGAAAGCCCAGAGCGGGGUAAGACCUACACGUACUUCUCCAGUCUCCCUGCCAUGUUCGAAGGUGGCGAACAGCCACCUUACGACUACGUCAUGAAGACGGACGACGACACGUACCUACGGCUUGACGAGUUGGUUAAGUCUCUUAAGGGCAAGGCGCAGCGCUAUGUGUACUACGGAACGGGUCUACCGUUCCAAGAUAGGGAGCACCCUCCCUUCAUGCUGGGGAUGGGCUAUAUACUAUCGUGGGACUUGGUGGAGUGGAUCGCAUCAUCAGAAAUAGCGAGAAACGAGCCGAACGGGAUCGAGGAUACGUUAACGGGGAAGUGGUUGAAUAGCGGGGACAAGGCAAGGAUAAGGUAUAACAUGUUCCCUAAGAUGGAUGAUUACAGAGGGGGAGAAGGGAAAGAUUUUGAGGCAGAAACCAUUGCGGUGCAUCAGUUAAAGGAGGACUUGAGGCUGGUAAGGACAUUGAAACACUUCAAUGUUACCACGGGGCUCAAGGCCUCAAAGCUCUACCAUAUUCCUUAAUGAUUUUUUUUUUCUUUAUCUUAGGAGUUUUUUUUUUUUUUGUGGGCUUUUUUCCUGCUCUUUUUCUUGAGCAUUUUAAUUUUUAUGCUUAUCAUGUUGGAGGCUCUGCUCGGCUGAGCCAAAAGGAUAAGUAAUCCCCCAACAUUUAGAUUUGUGCGAUUUCUUUUCUUUUCUUGCUUAUAGUUAUUUCAAUUUAGUAACACACUAUAUGAAGUAGGUUUUUUUUUUUUUUUUUUUUUUGAGAGAGAGGUUGGUAGCACGCUACCCGCUUCGUUUAUUUUAUUUAGAAAUAAACUUAGUUGAAAAUGUGAAUCAAUUAGGAUUCGAACUUGGGUCUCGGAUACUAACUACCAAGCCCUUUGCCACUUGCUCUAGAGACGGUCGGUUAAUUAUGAAGUAGGUUAUUGAUCGACUUCUUUAUCGUAUCCAGCACUGUCACACCCCACACCCCGAAUUUGUAGCAGAAGCUACCGUGUGCGUCAAUAGACCGACCGCCAGAUGCACGGGGCUCGCCUUGUACAUCCGAAACGGUCAAAUCUGCCUCGUUAACAUUUCCAGAAACACACAACUAAUUAAUAGGUAUCAAAGUAUAGAGAGCACGUAGCAAGUAUGGCCGCUUGUACGAAAAAACGGUCUCAACAUCUGAUAUAAUGUCACUAACUAUUCAUACAUAUACGAUAAUCAUAACAAAUCACAUAAACAAACACAUCCCUCGCAGACCUCAACCGUAUCGCGUGCAUCAGCUGCUAUACAAAACUGGAUCUACAGGGUCUUUUUGUAGCUAUUUGUCAGGGACUUAGAAAAAUUUCUAUGCAGCCCGGUCCUUGGCCCAAAUCUGCUUAGCGAGUUCGGGUUAAAGACGGGUCGAAUUGGGUUGGCGAGUAGACUCAAACCCAACCCGCUGUGGAAACUCAAGGGUUAUGAAACUCAUGGGAGUUAUGGGUGACUCUUGAGCUUUUGGCAAUUAUGAGGGCUCAUUAUGUAUGCAAUAGUGGGUGAGUUAUGUGGCUAGUGGGUGAGUUGAAAAGGCUCAUUAGGCCUAUAAAUAGUGGGGUUGGCUAAGGCCAUGACACACAAGAGAGAGUGUGUUUGUAUGUUAUUUGUAGGUUGUAAUUCUCAUUUUUAAGUAGUGUAGUACUUAGUUUUUUUUUAGAAAACCUCUGCCUCUUUCUCUUUGUCAUUUUUCUUUGCAUACUUAAUCGUAGGACGCGAAGAUUCAGGCUAGUAAUAGGGACAAAGGCUUGUCCAUCUUCGAGCAGGAAAGGUGGGCGCCGCACGGGCUUUCCGAACGAAAACGCUAAGUCCGUGACAGUUGGUAUCAGAGCCGGUUCGAGUGAGGAACCAUGUCGUCAUCCGAUGAGGGAAUUGUCAACAUUGGGGGUGACCCUCCAAAGCAGCCCUCCAAGCGAAGUAAGAGCAAAGACCCUCAGGGAAUCACGAGGGAUUCGGCGUCUACGUUGGAGGACCGCCUUGUGCUGUUAGAGGACAUCAUCGCAAAAAUGGAUGAAAGGUACAUCGAGAUGGCGGAUACCUUUAACUCAUUCAACGAAGAUGUCCACAGCAUGGAGGAAAACGUCGCUACAGCUAUGGAGACAUUUCGAAGCGAACUCGAAAAGCUCCAAGCCAACAUGAAGAGUCGUGACGAUGAGCGAAAGAAACUGAUCGAGGAGCUUGUUGCUCGAGUCGACGAGGUCGAGGACCUCACGACAAGAGUAACGAUCCUUGAGAAAGCGGUGGCGCGUGGCCACGAACCCCAAAGAGAGACCGCUUCGAAGGUACGUGUCCCUGAACCUCAAAAUUUCAGGGGAACCCGCGAUGAGAAGGAGAUCGACAAUUUUCUGUGGCACAUGGAGCGCUACUUCAAGGCAUUGCGGCUGGACGACGAGGAGGAGAAAGUCCAGGCCGCGUCCAUGUACCUUGCUGAUGACGCGAUGCUGUGGUGGCGUCAGCGUUCUGCAGAAGCCGAGAAGGGCCAAUGUAUCUUGAAGACGUGGGAGGACUUCGUGCGCGAGCUUAAGGCGCAGUUCUACCCCGAGCACGUCGAGUACCUUGCGAGGAAGCAACUUCGACGGCUCAAACACACCGGGACGCUCAAGGAGUAUGUCAAGGAAUACUCCAAGUUGAUGCUGUCCAUCACCAACAUGGCGGAGGAAGAUCGCUUAUUCUUCUUCCUCGACGGACUCCAACCUUGGGCGAACAAGGAGCUUGUGGGACGCGACGUCAAGGACGUUGCCUCCGCAAUUGCCUUGGUAGAAAAACUGCCCGAGUACGAGUGGGCGGAUUCAACUCGUAGCAAGACGCCCAAAGCGAGCAAGGCUAAAGGUGGAGGAGACCGUCGCGACCAGAAGGAGCACAGGGGCUGCUAGAGGGGUCCUGUGUCGCCGCCGAAGAAAUUGACAUGCUACGUCUGCGGCGAGAACCAUUGGGCGAGGGACUGCCCAAACAAGAAGAAGCUGAAUGCUGUCCAGACCGAGCAGGGCAAGGGCAGUGCAGAACCGACGAAGAUGGGCGUGCUUAGGCUCAGGGCUGGCAAGCAGCAGCAAGCCCCUCAACAAGGAGCUUCUGUACAUCGAUGUGACCCUUAACGGCAGGGCCACACGAGCAUUGGUGGACACGGGAGCCACUCACAACUUUGUUGCAGAAGUGGAGGCCAAACGGACACUACAAGAAAAAGCGGUUCUAGAGGCGGUUCUCUAGAGGCGGUUCUUAUAACCGCCUCUAUAAAAUCAUAGUAGAGGCUGUUUUGAGGCGGUUUUUAAAAACCGCCACUAUAAAAUCGUAUUAGAGGCGGUUUUAUAGCGGCGGUUCCCACAACCGCCUCUAUAAAAUUGUUUUUUUAAAAAUCCGCCAUUAUUCGAGGCGAUGUUAUAGUGGCGGUUGUGGGAACUGCCUCUAUAAAAUCGUAUUAGAGGCGGUUUAGAGGCGGUUUGUAAAAAGACCGCCACUAUGAUUCACGUAUUAGAGACGGUUUAGAGGCGGUUUUUAAAAACCGCCUCUAAAUAUAAUUAAAAAAAAUCAAAACCCUAAAAUGUUAAAAUACCCCAUGUUUCCCCCUCAUUUUUUCCCCCUUUUUUUUUCCAGGAAACCGCCGCCCCCACCUCUUCCCUCUCCUCCGACUCUUCCUCCUCAACACCUCCUCCUUUUCCCCUCCCCCCUCACCUCCAUCACCCGCUGCCUCCACCUCCGCGCGCCGCCGCCGCCUCUAGCUCCGCAUGCCGCCUCCAGAUCCGCACGCCGUCGCCUCCAGAUCCGCACGCCGUCGCCUCCAGAUCCGCGACCGCCGCCUUCAGAUCCGCGACCGCCGCCUCCAACACCGCGCGCCUCCAAAUCUGCACGCCGCCGCGUCUAGCUUCGCGGCCGCCGCCUCCAGCUCCACGGCCGCCGCAUCCGUCCCCACCCUCCUCGUGAACGCUGGUAGGUCCCCUUACUGAGGUUGGUAUAUCUUAUGUUAAUGUCUUUAGUUACCUUACUGAGGUUUGGAAUGCUUUUAGUGAAAUGUUAUAUGCAUGUACUAACUUGAGUUUAUAUUAAAGUCUUUGUUAUAGAUAUUGGAAUUAAAUGAAUUCCAAUUUUAAUUAAGUCGUGUUGAACUUCUAAUAUUUUGCGAGCUCAAGCCCCCCUUAUUUGAAUAUUCUUUGAAAAAGAAAUAAAUAAAUAAGUAAUAAAUAAGCAAACAUGUCACGCUCCGGAUUACCACGUACGUUUCCUCGGGCGCGCCAACAGACCCGCCGUACACAUAGAAAUUUUUUGUGUAUACGAAGCGAUAGCCAAAACCUGCAAACAAAUAUAGCUACGACCAGAGGUAAUGAGCUGCUAAAAAAAAACUGAAAUAUAUCUAUAUAAAUAAAGGCCACUGUUCAUACAAGCUCCAAAAGUACAACCACAUCCCAGUAAGUACAACUAACGACUGCAUGUACAUGGUAACAUCCAAAACUACCUCUGUAGGGGUGCUCCUCUAGCAAAAAGGACCGAGGAAGAUAAGGAUCUAGCUUGCGACUUCCUUACCACGGUUAGAAUCAACAGCAGCAACAGACGAAGGCUCUGCAAAAAUGUGGCAACAACUGGGUGUGAGAACUACUGUAAAAUAGAGUAGUCCUCAGUGGGUACCGUCACCGACCCCAACGGCCCACCCACUAAGUCUACAGUAAGGUAUGCAAAGGAUAGUAAAGUAAACUGGAAAAAACUCUACAACUAUAUGCUAGCCGACUACCGUUAUCCAACCAUGCUCUUUGUAGACAUAGAAAUGCAUCCCUAGCUACACACUGACCCAAUCUCAAGGGACAGCCGACUGGCCCAUCCAGCUUGUACCCAAGCUACACCGCUCACCACCCACAGGGGUGGCCGGUCCAAGAACAAUGUCCAAACAGGACUGCUGCGACAUCAACGCAAGUAAAGCCUCACUUCGGAGCGGCACUCCUGGGAGCAACCCAACCGAGUAUGCAAGCGUGUCUCUGUCGAGCUCAAUCAAGCUCACAGAGGCUAUAGUCAAUGCAAAUGGGUUAAACUGGUCUAACAACCAAAACUCACGUGCUCUCGGUACAAUCUGAUACAAGAUGUAAAUAUCUGGAUUCACCGUCAGCCCCGAUGGCACCCAACAGUACGGAACCGUCCAAACUCUACUGUAAAACGUGCUCGGCCCCUCAGCACAAGCAUAAUCUUAAGCUACACUAGUCUGGGUAUCCAUAACGCACUAACAGCGGUUAUACAAAAGAACAACAGCAUCUGAAAUUAAUUCGGUUAACUUUUUAAAAAGUGACAGUGUAGGUUUAAUCAAUUUUCUCCUAAGUCAAAUCUCAAUUCAGCAUAUAUAAUGUCACGCCUCGAACCCGGUCCUAUUUGGCCGGUUCGAGCACGUCGAACAGAUACCAAACGGACAGCACCUGCCCUGUCCGCCCAAGACUACUCAACAAGUACUCAGCAAGUAUAUAAAUUUGCACAGCGAAAACAUAAAUAUACUUUGCUUGCAUGAGGGCAAGCAAUAGCCAAAGUGAAAGUACUAAAUUAAACAUCAUACAAGUAAUAUGAUUAACUUUUAACCAUAUACAUGCAUUCAAUCACAAGUUACAUUUACAUUCUUUUCAUCAAUUCUUCUCUUGAUACAUCACAUGAUAUCCCAAAAUAUAACUCUUUGCAUUUAAACAUAAACUCUUUUACAUCAUUCAUAUUCUUUCAUUUAAACAUCUAUAAUCAUCAAGUACAAAAGAUGAUAUACAAAAGGGUAUGCAACUAUAUAAAAUAAAGUCCACUCAGGUGGUCCCUGUCUAUGGCGCGAUACCUUUACCGCGAUCGUCGGCGGGCUCGCUUGGUCCCGGCUCAGUGAAAAUAGUAGGGUGAGAACUACAACAAAGUUCCCAGAGGGUUCGGCCGCCGAUCUCGCCGAUUUUCCCACUAGGUCUAAAUCAGGCAUAAUAGAAAGAUAGAUAGAUAGUAACCAACUAACAAAUGCAGCUAAUAUGCCUGAACAAUAUAAUCAAUGAUUAUGCUCAAAUAGAAUGCUCAUGAUGAAUGCUGGGUCACUUUCCAAUUCCCAAUCUCGUGGCUAACCCGUAGGUUUCGCCCUCAAUAAACUCACCAACUCAUAAUCCGAAGUAUCAGGGAGACUACUACGACCCGAUGAGACCGUCCUCUGGGGAGACUACUACGACCCAAUGACGACAACUCCGGAGCUCAUCGCUCGAGGGAGAGCUACCACCCUCCGAGCAAGGACUUAUAGGCGAGUAUAAUACAAUCCUUAACUAUAAGGAUUCUAUGUUCAAUCCAUUCCUUAACUAUAACGAAGCAAUACUCAUAUGACCCUUAACUAUAAGGUUGCUAUGUCAUUAUGUCAACAAUCACACUUACUUGCAUUUCUUUAACAUUUAUGAUGCCACACACACUAAGUAUUCUUUAACUCUUUUCAUGCAUUCACUUUACUCAUUAGUGUCACAUGCACUACAUGUUCUUUAUACUAAAACACUAAUGCCACACAUUAGUUGUUCAUCUCUAGCAUUCAAUAUGUUUACUAAUGCCACUCUAUUCAAAGCCCAACUCUAGCAUUCAUAGUCUUUACUAAUGCCACACAACUCUUAUGUCAUAAUGUCAUUUUGUUCUCAACUAUGUUCUUUGCCUUUCUAAGUUCUUGUCAUCAUUCAUGCAUACAUAGGAUUUCACAAAUUCUCACUAAUUUAUCAUCAUCUCACAUACAUUUGUACUCACAACAUGCAAUACAUACUCACAUUUCACCCUACAAUGCAUAAUAAUCAUAUAUAACCCAUGCUCAAGAAAUGACACUUUAGACAUAAAAGAAAAUUCAUCGAAUUCGGAAAGCACCACCCACCUUGUAUGGUUGUAAAGGUGCUACGGUUCAAUUCUCACAAUUUUUGGGCGCCAAUUCCGCGUGCUGCGGCAAUCUGUACCAAAACCGACCUUUUCAUCAAUUUCUUCGCAUACACUCGUCAGAUCACCGAACCGAGUUCAUAUUCUAGUUAGAAAUACCCCCAAUUAGGUUUCCACAAGGUCAAUUUGCCUUUAAACCACUCUAGGGCAAAAGCCCCAAUUUUGGUGCUCUAACAAUAUCAUUUGCCCAAUACCUUGGUUUGAUCUCUAAAACAAGCAAAUGCAAGCUUGUUGAACCUCUAGGAACUUAUCUAGAACCAUUUCUAGGUCAAUCAAAUCAUUUCUAGGGCAUACAAAUCAAACCCUAGAAAUCCACCAUGAAAGCUCAUGAAGGAAACAUGAAUUUUUAUGUGUUCAUGGCCUCUACAAGGUUUCUACACUUGUAAGAAGAUCAAAACCUAGCUUCCUAGGGUAUAAAACCAAACCCUAAUCUCAUUCUUACAAGAAACCCCACCUUAACCUAGAUGCCCACCAAGCUCCACCUUGUAGGAGAGCCCCCAAAGCCUUCAAACUCCAAAAAUCUCCUCCAAAUCCUUCUCCAACUCUUUCUCUUAGCUCCUUAGAGAGAUCUCUAGAGAGAGAAAGAGAGAAAUGAGAGAGAGAGGUGCUUGCUAUUGUGAACAGGUGGGAGGGGUGUGUGGGGUCUUAUAUGGGUUGCCAAAUUACAAAAAGACCCUCCCAAUCUUCAUAUUUGCAGCAGACUUAAUUCUGCUGCAAAGGACAUCUGGUACCGGUACAAGAAGGAUUUGUCACCGGUUACACGAUCGUGUACGGCCAAACCCGAGAGCUGGCUUCUCGGGUAAUACACUUGGUACCGGUACACACCAGGGGUGUCACCGUUUCGACAGCCUUUUUUACUCAAACCCGAGAGCUACUUCUCUCGGUCUGAUGCCUGGCUAGUACAAGGUCAAUGCAUUACCGGUAACAAAAGCUCCAGAAUUUCAGUUUUGCAUUGUUUCGCUUAUAUUUCACGUCGAGCAAUGCUAAAACAUUUCUAACUCUUUUAGAACUCAACUGUAACCCUUCCAAUAUUUUUGGAAUGUUAAAUGGACCUUGUCCAACUAUUUCUUUCGCACACUUUAGCCAAUUUGGCUAACGUUCGAUAUCACUACCGAAGUUUCGCUAUAUUACAUAUAAUUUAUUUAAAAUUCUAAGAGUAGGCUCCAAAUUCAGAUUUCAUAUAAACAUGCAAGACCAUGAAUUCGAGCUACUAAACACGAUGAACAAAACAACGAAAUACAUGCUGGCAUCUCUAUGACUUAGAAGGAAUUCCGACGAUUUCGGUAAAUAUUAACCCACCUAGUAUGCAAAUCCGACUACAAAUUAAAGCGAAACUCAGCAGUCACGUGCCUUCAGUCCCAAAUCACCAACAAGUAUAAGAAAUUCCAACAAAUCUCUGUUGGAUCGAGCUGAAUUAAAAAUUGAAUAAAAAAUCCAUCAAAUGUCUAUUCGGUUCAAAAAAAUUGAAAUUCAGCAUUACUCACCUCAAACCAGUUGUUGCAACUUAAUUCGCAGGUUCCUCUCUACCUCAGGAACACCCUAGAAGGAUCCAAUUGCAGCAAAAGGGUCCAAAUCAAAACUAAUUUUAAAAAAUAGUUGCUGUUGUCCCUGCUCCAAGGUUGCUGCAGUUAUCUCCAAGCUGCUGUUGGCUUCUAAGCUGCCAGUACUGAGUUGCACUUCAUUCUUGCUCCAACAACAAACCAACAGCAAAAUUGGGAAUUAGGACUUGUUCACAAGUGAUCUUAGGCCUCUUUACUACAAGAAAAACCUAUAUGUUCCCAAGAAAUUCCAUUACAAUUGAAAGAUAAAGGUCAGCAUUUCAGCUUUGACGAAAAACAGUUUUUCGAUCUUCAACCUCAACAAAAAAUUGAAUUUCUCAUUCACUUUACCUCCGAAUUGAUCAAAACAAGAUUCUAUACAGUAUAGGAUGAAGUCAAGAUCACUUCCAACUUUUUCAAAGCUCAGCUCCUAUAGAAAAUUUGAAUGAACUUUAACGAAUUCCAACAGUGGACGAAAUCUGCCUGAAAUUUCAGCAUUGAAACAAUCUUGAUCAACUUUAAAAUUAAAGCCACUAACCUUCAAUUCGAGCUCAAGGAAAGUACCAAAAUAUUCCCAGCCUCCCUCCACACAACUCCAAGUGUUCAAUUUUGAAUUUGGAGCAUCAAAAGACCAUAAAUUGAUCCCUAUUCCAUCAUUGAUCCUGCUGCCAGCCUUGUUCGAAUGGAGAGUAUAGCUUAGUUGGAAGCUUCUCCCCUUGAUACAGCAAAAGGAAUCAAAAGAGAGGGGGAAAAGAACCAAGGAAGAAGAAAAAGAACCAACUUAGCUUCCUCAAUUGUUGCUAUAGCAGCGAAGAUCUCCUUCAAGAUGCUGCUGUAGCUGAAGCUCCAAGGCUGCUAGCAGCACCUUGGUGCCUACGCAGGGGAGUUCACAGUAGGUGAAAAAGAAGGAAAAGAAUGGAGGGAGAAGAAAGAGGAAGAGGAAACUUAAGAGGGCUUCUCUCAGCCAACAGCAAGUGUCCAAACUCCCCAAUUUGGGGUAGUUGGGGCUCAAUCUAAUGUGCCUUAGGCACACUUUAGUAAAGCUACACUAGCUAAGAUUCAUUGGCAUUUGGAUUAAAAUUUGGUAUCAAUUUCGCAUCCAAUACCAAUCCGAUUGACCCCAACACUUCCAAUGUGUCGAUUAAAUCACGGACCGUAAUCAUUCCGAAAAUAACAAGUUGAUAUUCUCCUAGAACAUUACAAAGCAAGCAUACAAUGUAGUAUCCUUGGUUUUUGGUUUUUGGGUUGCUUGUAGAUUUCAACAUCUGAGGUUUGUCGACACAUCUGGAGAGUGUCGGGACAAGUCGGAGUCGUUUUGGUGCGAAAUAGACACAAAACGGACUCAGUGCGAUGCGAGAGCAGAGUUUUACAAUUGGAAUCUGCAAAGUGCGGGUUUUCAGUGUGGAGUACCGGUACCCCGGUGUAUUUCCAAACAGACUCCUCUCGGGUUGCACCAAUUUGAUGCUUAGUACCGGUACGGCAGCGGGGUGGUACCAGUACCCUGUGUGCGAGCUUGCAAGUUGAGAGACCAUUUGGAGUUGGUAAAAGGGUAGUAUUGUAAUUGUUGGUGGAUAAGGUUGCCACCUACCCCCGUCAUUGUUCUCAACUUAAUUAGCUGAGUGAAUGACACUUUUCCUUUUUCUCUUUAAUUUAGCUCGUGUGCAUAGUGGAGAGCUCGAGCUCGGGAGAUUUUCGUCGUCGUUUCGGAGGGCCGUUCGAGCAUGCGUGCGUCGUGGUAGCACCGUUGGAGGCCGAGCGAGCGCAUGUGUUCCUCUCCUUCCGACUUCUCGCCGUCGUUGGAUUAGCUUUUCGAGAUGGGUUAAUGUUUACCGAAAUCGUCGGAUUUCCUCCUAAGCCGGAGUUGACAGCAUGUACUUUUGGCUUCGUAUAUCAUGUUAGUAGCUUGAUUCGUAGAUUUACAUUGUUCUUAAAUGAAAUCUGAAUUGGAGCUUUAGAUGCUAGUUUUAUUAUACAUGUUGGACUUGGAAUUGACUUAGGAGAAAACUAUAGGUUCUAUACUGUCAUUUUCUGAAAACUAUCAGUUUAGCCUUAGGAGCUGUAGUUUGUUUGUAUCGCCGCAGUUUGUAAACGGUGGAUACCCAAAAUAGUGUAGAAUGAAUUUACACUCAUGCUGAAAUGCCGAGUUUAUUUUUACAGUAGUGUAUAGAUUGUUCCGGACUAUCGGGUGCUGUUGUGGUUGACGGUGGACCCAGAUUGCUAUUUUUGCAUCAAAUUGUGCCGAGGGCAUGUUUAUUAUGGUUGUUAGACCAGUUUGACCCUUCUACUUGACUAUAGCCUGUGAGAGCCUGAUUAAGCUAGGCAGAGAAACGCUUGCAUACUCGGUUGGGUAGCGUCCACGAGUGCGACUCUGGAGUCGGGCUUUGUGCUUUUGCGUUGUUGUCGUUGUGUCCUGUUAGGACUCGCUCUCCAUUGACGGCCCACCGUGGUGGUAAUUAGUGUAGGUUCGACAGACGGGACUGGUGUGUUCACAGUCCCUAGUGAGAUUGGGUCAGAGAUUGCAUUUUUCUUGUCACACCCCGGAGCCGAUUUUAAAAGCCUUUUUAAAAUUCAUUACCAUUUUGAAACAGAGUUGCAGAAGACGUGCCAAUUUUUUUUUUUCAACCUGGCCCACGUGACGUACAAAUCCGCCAUAAAUACAAAGUUCCUCUGUCCACUCGGAUAGAGUCUCCUUUGUAUUUGCACGGCGUACCAACUAUAAACACGAUCUCAACCACAACCUGCAUUUACCAAUCAACAACCAAUUCAUAAUAUGCAUUUCCAUUCAGCUAACGAUCCUUAGAGAUGAUGCAUGCCUCUAAGCACUCCUUAGGCGCUGGAUGAUGCAAUGCACAAUACAACAACCAUCCUAUUUAAAAGUGCUCCUCACACGAUAGCUUUUAUUUCUUUUAAACUCAAAUUCAUUCGUUCAUGAAAAUCAUUCAAAAACCUUUUAAAAACUGUUUCCCAUACGGAAACUCUAUUUUGAAAAUCAACUACCUCGAGGGGUAGAAAACCACGAUGCGUAAAUAUGUAUAAAUACACAAAUUCGAGAACAGAAUAUCCAUAAAAUCAAAACCAGAGAUCCACAAAAUCUCUAAUCAUGCAUAACGGAAAUCACAAACAUUCAAACAUCUAACUGAACCAUUUAUUAUUAACAACUACUAAAUGCGGGAAGAAAUAUAACCAGGGUGACGGUCGCUACUGCCGACUAGCUAGACCGUCCUCCCAUCGAGCCCAAAAUCUAACUCCUCGUCCGAGUCACCUGGGGGGGAUGGGGGGUGAGAAACUGCAACCAUGGUUUCUCAGUUGGUACAACAGAGCCACGAAGGCAAGCCGUAAUCACCGAAAACCAAAAGAGAUAGAUAAACAAAUAUAUAUGCUGAUAUGAAACAGAACUACAGAUAUGAGCAUGAUGUGAUAUAAGAGCAACUACAGUAGUAAUAGAAAUAGGAUAAUAACUGAGCAACAACGAAACUACUAUUGUAACCAAAAACUCAACUGAUCGGAUGCCUCAAGGGUAAAUAGUCCAAACCAAACCCAAUCUGAUGCUGCUAUAUUGGUCCGCAGACCUCAAGCGUUACCUGUCACAGAGCAGACACUGCCAUCUUAUUCAUGCGUCACCGACGACCUAUCCGGAUACGUACACCCCUUGGUUGGUGGCCAAACCAACCUAGUGUCUAGAAUACACAGUGCUGUGACUAAAUCAUGCUGAUAUGCUCAAAACGAAAACCGGCAAAAAGAGACCGGUGCCAUGGCCGAAGCUAGGUGCAAGGGCGUACAACGCCGAACCACGAUCAACCAGAUCGAAACACACGACAAAGGAGUCGAUGUGUUGCCUGGAUCCAAGGUCCACAGAGAUACAAUAUAUAUGCAACCUGCUCUACAUGUCUAUCCACAACUAUCCAAAUGCAAUCAAUGAGAUAUGAUAAACAAACAAUAAAUAAUCAACUGACAUGUAGAGACUACGAUACUGAUAUGAAAGAACAGAGGAAGAGUGAAACGAUCUCACCGACUACCAGCUCGAAGUACCCACCUGUCACUGUCGCGUCGGAACACUGGGUAGGCACAAAGUCUACCGGACCUAAGAAGAUCCACCAGGUCAGUAUCCAAACCACUAACCUAAAGCACGAGACUCACAAACCCCCCACACAAGAUCCCCGUAAUCGGUUUCCCAAAAUCGAUCACCAUAUCUGUAACACACUGGACCUUUACAAAUUGCGAGGUUCGAGUGUUUGGACAGUGUCCUGAGCUUUUCCAGACUUUCUGGUGGGUCGUUGACAGUGUUUCGAUCUAUGGCUCGUAUUCCGAGAAUCGUGGUUUAAAAUUGUGUACCGAAACCCGAAAAAUCGGAUUCUUGGCCAGCUCUCGGGUAGUUUUCUGGGGUCUUGUACCGGUAAAAGGUUGGUGGUUGUACCGGUAUAAGGUUGAUGGUUGUACCGGUACAGCCACCGGGCUUGUACCGGUACAGAGCCGAUGAACCCCGCCAAUCCGAGCCUCGGGUUAUGAUUUUCGUGGGGCUUGUACCGGUACAAGGGCCCGUGUACCGGUACAAGGGGACAUUUUUCGCACAGUCUGGUCUGCAGGGGUGUUUUUGCUUUUGUAUCUCUUCUAUUUGAACCCCCACGCCCCCUAGGCCUCCUCCUGAGCUUGGAACAGCAAGAGAGAAGGUAGGAGAGCCCUCCUCUUCAUCUUCUUCAUUUCCUUGAUUUUGGUUUGGGUUUUUGGUGAUUAAACCCCCUCUUUUGCUCUCUUUUGCUUCUUAGGAGGCUUCUUCACCGUUGGAGCUUGGAUUUGAGGCUUGGUGAGGGUUGAUCCUUGAAGUUUGAGAAUUUUGGGCUUGGAUUGAAGCUUCUAAGAGGUAAGUGACAAGAUCCUUUCCUCUAGUUUUGGAUUUUAAAGCUUUCUUUGAGAUGAAACCCUAUAUUGGAAACUUAGGGUUGUUUUUGGGCAUUUUGAUUCUAGGGCUUUUGAGGCUAGAUUGGUUGGAUUAGAACCUUCCUCUAGGCUAGAUUGGAAGGGUUCUAGCUCUCUUUUGGAGCUUUAGAAAAGAUUUCUCUCUUGAGGUGAGUUUUGACCCUUUUUGCUUAUGGUUAAUGAUUGAGCAAUUUGCUCUUCGUUUCGUUUGGGUGACCCUAUUUUUGAUGUUUCUAGGGUACUAGGAAGCUAGUGGAUACCUCCGUUCGGCGAAACGAAGGUUUCGAUUUUGGUGGGUUUGACCUGGCCUAUAAUAUGAGAAAUUCUCAUAUAUAGUGAUAUAUGUUUCGUAAAUUGAAAAAGCAUACAUAUUCAUACUAAAUGUAUUUAUUAUGAUUUUUGGAAUGCUUAAAAUGUCUAUGUUACAUGUAAUGAAAUUUUGGAUCUCUAUGUAGUAGAGAAUAGCGUAUGAAGCUUAUGCGGGAUUUUUGGCAUUCUCAUGUUGGAUCAUGUUCCUUAUAGUGUAAAUGAGCUUUGAUUCAUGCAUUUAAACCUAAGUUUAAUUGAGAUAUGAAAGAUAACAAAAUUGCCAUAUAGGGGCACCGGACUAGAACAUUAUGUGAAUUAGAAAGCUAAUGUCAUCAAGCGGCAUUGAGCUCGGGACAUGUGUGAACCUAGUGGAUAGGGCUAUUGAGGAAUGUGGAACAUGCUUAAAUAUUGAAUGUCUAAGUGUCAUAAAGGGGCACUAGACCUAGAGAAAAUUGGAACUUCACUUCGUGAUUUAGGACUAGAUCUUCGAGAUGCUAGUGACUAUACCAUAUUAGAGACAUGAUGAUUGGAUACUUGAGACGUUUACUAUGCUUGUUUGCCAUUUGUGCUCAUUCGCACAUGCUUUGAGGGUCGCUUUCUACAAGCCAGCACUCCGGAGUUAGCCUACGGGAUUUAUGUUUGCUCGUGCGGUAUUGAGAAGCCUACGGCGUCGAGUGGGACAGACACAUUCCAAGAGUAGGGAUGUUGGGCUACCACAGGCACUUAGGCGACAUAAGCUGGACUACCUUGGGUAGGUCCUUAAUGGGAAAUGAAAAUCGACACAGUGUAGCAUAAGUAAAAAAAAAUCACUACUAAAUAGAUUAUAGUAGUUGGGUUUCUUAGACAUGCUUAUAGCAUAGGUUUGGACUUAUAGUAUACUUGAUUAUAGCGCUCUUUGCACUUUGGUAUACUUGCUUGCCAUGUGAGAUCACACUAGUUUUGUGUUGGACAUAUUUGAGCAUGAUAGAGGCUGUGUACUACGCAUUGCCAUCAUAUUACUUAUAGCAUAGUAGUUUAUUCUAACAUUCAAUACAUGCUUUCAUAUCUGCAGUUUAAUUCCAGUUGAUUAUCAUAUCUACAGUUCUCUUUUGGGCCUAGCGGCGCAAUGUGCUGAGGUCAGUAAUUGCCCACUGGGAACUAUAAAUUAUAGUUCUCACGCCCCCUGUUUCGUGUUUUCUUUUCAGAGCCUUCCACACCAGGCGAGGCUAGAGACCGCGGAAAGAGCAUCGCCUCGAGCUAGCUCUUUUGUGAGGGACGCAUCGAUAGGUGGUCUACCUCUCAUUGUUUUUACUUUGGAGAGGUUGAGAGUUGUACCCAUGUAUAAAGACCACCCCUUUUGUGUACUUUUGAGACAGAUGUUGUAUUACUUUAUGUAUCACUUUAGUGAGUAGUUCUUUUCUUCCGCUUCUGUUGUUAGUAGUAGUAGAUGCUAUACUUGCUCUGAUAUCGUUAGUUGUUGUUUAUUCUUAUCUUUCAUAUCUCUUUGUUGUAGACGCCUUAUAUGUGCAGGCAUAUGGCGGGUCUGGGCACGCACCGGACAGGGCCUUCUCGGGUCCCGGGGCGUGACAGCUCUUGUGAAAUCGGUCAUGAUUGUGUCAGUGGGCUUAAGAUUGUCCUCGUUCUUUCUCAGUUUCCUGGAGAUUACUCUGUAAAGGACACUGUUAAUACAAUAAUUGUUUAAUUUUGUCAAUCUUGCGAAUAAAAUAGGGAAAAAAUAUUUGAGCCACAAUAGUCAUAAUUAAUUUUACUAAGGACGUUGUCAUACACUUAGUAGGAUUGGGGUACGUUCUGCCGUUUGUUGGUUAACUACUUACUUACGCAAUAUGACCAAUAACCGCAGCUUUUUUAUCGCUGUAUACCAUUUUGCCAAGCUCGGUGCAAUCGUUUGUUACCCUCGUUCUGUUUUCCACGGCGUACCAUGUGGUCCUUCACCCCUCUUCUUGCGGAUUUACCUUCUCGAUCGCCAAAUCCACCCUCGCCAAUCUCUGCACCACCCUCUCAAGGCACCGGUCGUUCCAUAGUCGGAUCCGUGUUGGGCUCUUAUAUAAUGAUAUUUAUCCUUUUUUGCGCGGAUACUAUCCCCAGGAAGUGUGCUCGUUCGCUGGUGUCGUUUAAAGUUAAAGAAAGUUAUGGGUCGUAAAUGCCGAAAAAUCCUAAUCACGUGUCUAAAAGAAAAGAAAAAGGAUGAAAAUUCUCGAAUCAAUUCUCGAAUUAAUCCACAAAUAAAUUCUCGAAAAGAUCCUCAUCUAAAUAGGAACAUUGUCGAAAACAUUGACGUGAAAAAGGUAGUUAUAUUUAUCAAACCGAGAAUGUUAGCUCGAACGAAAAAGCCAAGUAAACACUUAUCAAUCGCCUUCUCGGGACAACUCGGCUAGGGAGGAAUUGGCUUAGUAAACUCAGCUAUCACCGCGUAAGCUCCCAGUAGAGUCUUCGGCUUAACGUAAGUCUUCUUCACAGACUGAACCAGUUGCGGUACUGGGCCAGUUAUAGCGGGUCGUAAGCCAAAGAUCGGGUUAUUAAAAAACCAUGCGAACCACCCUCCGCGAGUUCAUGUAGGUUUGGAGUGGGUUUACCGACUACUAUUGUAAUACUUGGAGACUUUGUCCCGGCAAAGGUAUAGGAGUCCCUUGCUGAUCUGGUCAUUACGGCUUUUACGUUUAUUUGUAGUCUGCAACGAUAGCAGCUCUCCACUUUCAUCACCAGUAAGUCGUGUGGUUUUCGGCUCGGUGUGAGUUCUUGAGCCCGUUUACUGAGUUCAAGAAGUCUGAAACCUAGUCUUGUCGGUGGUUUCAUGGCGGGAAAGAUCUACGUCUUGACCGGCGUUAGUGCUGGAGUUUAUUUGUGUAGCGAGUAUAGCCCGUUGGCAAUCGGGUCUUGCUCGUCGGUAUGCCUCCAGGUGUUCCUAGGGACUGGUACGAUCACGUUGUUUUAGGGCAACGUGGCCGCCAGCGCCUCCGCGUUGGCGUAUACCGUGGAAAGGUUCGACGGACGUCCGGCCACUUACAUUUGUAUCCGAGUGUCGGUCUUUAGUGUACCCCAAACGGAGGAGGUGGUUAGAACGGACGAAUAGUCGGGGUUUUAUUCCUAUACUCUUGAUCCCUCGCCCCGGGAUUACGUUCCGUUCCUGAGUUGGGAUGUUAUAUCUUGAUACGUGGAGGAGAUUCCGAUUUACCCUAUAGUCAGAGCUGAGGGCGGGACCGUCAUCCUUUGUUACUCAACAUACAGUCUGUCUCCUCUUCUAGACCUUGUUUAAGCCACAUCCCCGUUUCGGUCGUUACGCCGGUUACAAGUCUAGGAGCUCAGGGUGCUUAUAUCUACGUCUUGUAGGAAUAGACCGUUUGAUUUUCUACGGCUUUAAACUAUUCAAGAGCGCGCUUCUCUGGCUCUUAUGCCAUCACGUACAGUCAGCCAAGUAUCGGGUCACGUAUCUUCGCCGGUAACUGGAUAAAAACUACGAGACUAACAAAUUAUGUAGUAAUUAGUUUUGUUGCAAAUGUACCAUGUGCUCGAAUGGACGGUUAAGGUAGGCUCUAACCCUGCUUAACUUCGCAUUCAAAGUGCUCAUUAAAAUAUCUAGUCUUGAGCUCAAUAGCUACCGGCUAGAUCGAUAUAUGUCUGUUUUCGGUCCUCUUGCCAGCUCUUUAUGGAUUUGGCAAAGUUCUAUUGGUUUUUGGUCACAAAACACUCUUACGAUCUCGGUGUCAAGCGGUUCUACCGUAAGUUACCAGAUGUGAAGUUUUAUUUUCUGAUAAAACUUCUGUUCAUAAAAGGUUUAGAUAAACUAAACUCAAAAGUCCAGCAGGUUUUACUCGUUAAGACUUUCCCCUUACUUCUACUUGCCAGCACAACCUCGGCUUUGUUUCCUACCCUGUUUCCUUUUCUGUUUUAGCAGAAAGAAUAACUCUUUUUGAGCCGAGUUCUACUCGGCUUGUGGAGAUCAUCCUUAUUCUUGAGCCGACUACUUCGGCUCCACAUGCAUCGAAUCUACCAUUUCUUGGUUAUCGGCAUAUUUACACACUAGGAAUUCGGAUGGUCCUGACCACUUAGAUUUUGUAACUAGAGCCACAUGUAAAUAAGCAAACUAUAAAGAUGUCGACUAGUCUAUAAACUAGCCAAUAUAUUUCUACCCUCCUAAUUUGAGGUUCUUCUAGUUUGUAAUGGAAAGCCACUCUUCAAUUUUUUUUCUUUUAUAAUCUUUACCGUAGUAAGUACCUCGGCGUUUUAAUUACCAACGUAUAGAAAGUUCUCCGUUUAUGUUUCUCUUUAUUUACUUCCAGUCGACCAAAAACGGUUGGUCCUUUUGUUCUUACCAUACCUUAACUGUUUUUGGGAAAAGGGUGCAUCCAGUUGUACCACCCGUUAUUCCCUUUCUUCGGUGAGGUACACCUGUUCAAGAUCUUCCUACACCGACUCGUUUUAUGAAGCUAAAACGUAAUUCACAUUCCGGUUUUAUUGCGCGGUUCUAAUCCUCCGUUAAUAUGAGCUUUUUUUCCUCAUGCCUCUCACCUUCCUCAAAUACUGGAAGGGACUUCUUACCUUCGUGUACGGACUCCGGUAUCCGCAAGGCCUGUUUACAAACCUCCUCCAGGUUACCGAGGUGCCUCAUCCAUUUGAGUCCCUUCCUGGUGUCCCUGGUCGGUUAAGUCUUCCAGGACUUAUUUAUGAUGGUCUGUUCCUUCUUUCGAUCGGUUCUCCCAAUAGGCUCCGCUGGAAAGACGUACGUCGUCUCCUUGGUCUCUAUAGCCCGGUACACCAUAGUUGUGGAUACCGACUCUAGGUUCGUUCUUAAACUUCCUUACUGGCUCCCCUCUAUCUUCAGGAGCCAGUUUCUAAUCAUUUACUCAAUUCCUAGGUCGGCACCGGUUCCGGCACCCUUUCCUCUCUUUAAGACUCCCUUGUGGAGUGUUACCAUUUCUGGGGCCGUUUGCACAACCGGUUAGUCACCAAGUGUCGUUUUCGUGGCCGGUCUACCAUACCCGGCUAAAACUGCUUUUGAGUUUUUGCUGCUGUUGUUUCUAGCGUUCGGCUCUAUUCUGUAAUUACCCUUCUCCGCUUCCCUUAGUCCGGUUUAUAUACCUUUGCUGGGUGUGUCACUAACGGGAGAGACGGGUAUUUCUUACUGUUGUUCCGCCCACCGAGUUUAUGGGACGGUACCAACUUCAGGGUCUAGGUCAGCCGAUACCAUCUCGACUGGUUCUUCCAGUGAGUAUUCCUCGAACUUCUUUUCUAGUGAAGAAACCUCUGGUAGCAGUUCGCCCUCGUCACCGGUUGGUUUCUCUCUUUCCAACUUGGUCUCUCACUUGGAAGCUAGCUUCUCCGUUUCCCAAAACUACUCUUUUCCGUCUUCUAGCCCUUCUCACGUCAGUUUUCUUAAACCGACUUUAUCCGUACCACAUGCGUAACGGCUCGAGUACAGCCCGUCUCUGCCUUAUACUUCUUCUCAACCGACACCGAGUCAAGGUUAGGCUCCUGCAGUUCUGCUAGCUACGCCUCCACAAACUUUCCGGUAGUGGGGUCGUCUGGUCUAAACACUCCGGAGACUUGUGGUUUCACAACUAUCUUCCUACCAGCCAACCGGCUCACUACAAUUCCCCCCCCCCCCCCCGUAUCACUUGCACUACAGGUGCAGUAAAAAANCCCUACAAGCCGGCACUCCGGAGUUAGCCUACGCGACUUAUGUUCGCUCGUGCGGUAUUGAGAAGCCUACGGGGUCGAGUGGGACAGACACAUUCCAAGAGUAGAGAUGUUGGGCUACCACAUGCACUUAGGCGGCACAAGCUGGACUACCUUGGGAAGGUCCUUAAUUGGAAAUGCAAAUCGACAGUGUCGAGUGUGUUAUAAUCACUACUAGAUAGAGAGUAGUAGUUGGAUUACUUGGACUUGCUUCUAGCAUAGUUUUGGACAUUAGAGUAGACAUACAUAGAGAGAGUAGUAGUUGGAUUACUUGGACUUAUUUCUAGCAUAGUUUUGGACAUUUGAGUAGACAUACAUAUAUGUAGCAUGCUAGGAGAUGUUGCUUAUUGUAUUCAUAUAUACAUUAUUGCCAUGAUAAAAUAUGAUCUUCAUAACUUCAUUAAGUAAACCGUGAUAUUUACUUAUGGGCAUGUAGAGACAUAUUGGUUGUGACAAAGUAAAGGUGCAUUGUUUUUAACACCAUGUUUAAUUGCAAUAUAGNGACAAAGUAAAGGUGCAUUGUUUUUAACACCAUGUUUAAUUGCAAUAUAGUAGCUUAGCAUUUUAAUUAUGCUCUCAUAAAUGCAGUUUAUUCAUUAUUAUUGCUCUUUUUGGCUUACCCUUUUCUUUCAGGGCCUAGUGGUGCAUAGAGCUGAGGUCAGUAAUUGCCCACUGGGAACUAUAAAUUAUAGUUCUCACGCCCUCUUUUCUCGAUGUUUUUCAGAGCCUUCCACGUAGGGGGAGGCCAGGGAUCGCGGAAAGGGUAUCACCUCGGGCUAGUGUUCUUCGCCGAGGGAUCGUUCGAUAGGUGGCCCACCUCUCUUUGUUUCUUUUUGUGAGAGGUUGAGAGUUGUACCAGUGUACUAGAGACCGCCCAUUUUGUACUUUGAGACAGAUAUUGCACUACUUCAUGGUUACUUUUAUUACUUAGUUAUGUUUCUUUUACUAUUGUUAGAGAUGAUAGAAUUAUACUGCUCUGAUAUCAUUAGUUGUAGUUCUUUCCUUUUGCUAUAUUUCUUGCUUUUACUUCCGCUUCUAUUCUAGAUGCCUUAUAUGUGUAGACAUAUGGCGGGUCUGGGCGCGCUACUGGGAGGGCCUCCGCCGGUCCCGGGGCGUGACAGUAACUCACCGGAAGUCCCGAAAACCACACCGGGACGCCGUUGGGACCCACUAAGUGUCCCGAAACUCACCGACUCGUGUCACGAGUCACCUGCUGCCCCAAAACACUCCGAUUUGAAUGUUUUGGCAGUAAACACAAGAUAACACCACUACACAAUUAUCGCCGAAUAAUUGUACGAAUCCGGGUUCCGAAAGUGUCUAUUUCGACAGCGGAACCCACCGUCGCUCACCCUUCAUCACCGAACCCACAAAGUGAUGAUGGUGACCAGCCAACAAGGCUCAGCGAUAAUUUACAGGAUAACCAAACCACGUCGGAAGAAAUCCGAACCGAACCGCGUCUUUUCGGCGAAUUUCGCCGAAAAAAGCGCCGGAAUCGACUUUUCGAUUUCCGCAAAAGCUAUCAGAUCAUGGACAAUCAGUCCAAAGGUCACCACACACACCAACGCACUGCCCACAGUAGCCACAAGGUGUACAAAUGCAUAAAAGUCCCUAUGUUUACAUAAAAUCCAUCAUUUUAUGUAAAUCGGGCGACUUCUAUGGCUCGUUCUCACAAACCGAGGACUUCUAAGUUUCGCCGUGACACGUAUUGACAGGUCUCGACGUGCCGGAGGCCAUGCUCAUAGUCUGGAGCACAACAGCUCACUGUGGGAAGCGCGGGAGCAACCCGAAAAUUCUGCGAACAGCGCGCAGUCGAGGAAAAACGCACCAAACAGAACGAUACGACAUCCGCUGAUCCAAAAUAAGGUGAGCACUGUGAUCAGCACUGAUCCACGAUCACCGUGCUCACCUCCAGAGGCAUCGGAACGGCCUUGGGUCGCCGUAAAAAUGCACAUAAUCCUAAAACAGCAGCCAAAAAGGCUCUAACGGAGCGACACCGCCGAAACAGCGGAGAGGAGUCUCCCCGACAGAAACUAAGGUGAGCACGAUGAUCAGCAAUUUGCCACUAUCACCGUGCUCCCUUUCGUAGAGAUCAGGGAGGCUCGGGAAGCUCGGAACAGCAAACCGCCAAGGAAUAGCCCUAUUUCGAGCUUGGCCGGAGCAAGCUUGCCCCGGGCGGCUUCCGGCAGCACAGCGUGGUGCGUGCGGGCCAGGAAUGGGUGCGAGGGAGGUAGGGAGUAUGGUGCUCACCUCAGUUGGCGGCGAGGAGCGGCGGCGGCGACGGCAGAACCAACCAAGCCCGCACAAGAUCCGGCUCGGGUUCCAAGGGCAGCUGCGGCCACGGCGGCGACCGGAACACUCAGGGACGGCGGCAGAGGGUUGCAGGAGGCCGGAGGAAAGUCGAGGAGGUAGCUUCGGGCAGCGGUGGCGCGAGGGGAAGGCCGCACGAUCAAUUUGGCCUGGGCUCGGCCAAGCCGGGCGCAGGAUGCAGUAGCGGCAGCAGCGACACGCAGAGGCGACGGCGGUCGGCGGGGAGGCUCGCCAGGGCACAGGGGCGACGCCGGAAGGGUAUAGGGAGGCGACUGCAGCCUCAGAUCUGUCCGCAACCCGAGAGAAAGAAAGAUGGAGGGAGAGGGAUGGAGAGGGAAGAAAAAAAGGUGGCUGAGGAGGCUGCGGUUGCUGCUUGCCGGCCGGGGCUCGGUCGGCGGCGACCGGGAGGCGUGUGGCUAGGGCAGGGAAGAGGGAUGAAGGUGGCUGGGGGUUAGCUCGAGCUAGGGUUAGGGUUCCAAGGUAGAAAACCCUAGAAUACAUAUAUAUAUCAAGGUGCAACUUUGCGAGUUAGCCCCCCAAACCUCAGUAUUUAGUACUGAGUCCUUCUCAGCGCGUGUAAAAUGCGCGAACACACUUCCACGUCCGGUUUCACGCAAAACGAUACAUAAAAUAUCGCAAAUUUUGCAAAAAUACCGUUUUGCCAUCACCGACUUCUCCUCGAACAACACGCAAUCUCCGCAGAUCCGCCCGUCAGAUUUGCAAACGGAUCACACCAGUGCGAUCAGCACAAAAGAGACAACAAAGCUAUGAUUUCUUUUCGCCUCGAUCCGUCACGGAUUCACGACGAAAUCCGAUCCAUCUCUCCAACAGAAGAACUACGCACAAAUACAAAUAAAACACAUAUUUUCGAAUUUUCUCGAAAUCCGUGCGUCAAACUCAAAAUCCGUUAGCGCCAUCAGUUCCAGAACAGCUAAACCGGUCGAAACGAGCUAUUGGACUGCUAUGAAUAGAGUCCGAUACGAGCCAGAAGCCAACUCUACGCAUUGAGCUCCCCGGAAAACUAAGUUACUAUUCACUUUAAGUGAAACUUGAAAAUCGCGUAGAAUCUCCAUUCUAACUCGUUUUCUUAUGAAACUUGACGAGUGCUUUUGUAAUUAAAUUACACACAAAAACAUCAUCGACUGAGAGUUUAGCUACACUGCCAAUAUCUCGGUCCUUACAUCAUCCCCCUCUUAAAGAAAGUUUCGUCCCCGAAACUUGCUCACAGGCAGGGGUGAUCCGACACACAACGAACUAGAACAAUACAUGCAUGCAAUGCCAAGAGGAGAUGCAUUAAAAAGAAAAGCAUGCUGUUUACUACGAUAAACAAAAUUAUACCUACGACCACGUCAGCCGACUGAUCAUCUUCCUGACGUGUCAUCAUAUAGGCGCGUCCGUCAGUUGUCUGGUGUACCUCCUUCACUUGACGGGAUAACGAUGGACGUCCAGACGAAGGGUGCGCCGUACUGCCACGAUCCUACCAUGGAGCUGCUGGAGUAGACGCUGCUGCAGACUCUGAUCCUGCUCCAUUGGUGCAAUCUGCCUUAAGAUGUCCGCGUUGGCCACACUUGUAAUAACGAUUGUGGCGCUUUGGGCACUCAUAAACUCUAUGAGCCUUGCCACAGAAGACACAAGGUGGGGUGCUCUGCCUUUGAGAUGUAGCGGGGGCACUGCUCAAUCCGGACUGCGUCUUGCGAUGCUUGGGUGGUCGCCCAUUGCUCGAUUGACCACCAACAAAACUCUCCUGUGCUCGGUUCCUAUCCUCAGUCUUCUCGAAUGCAUCUUGUUCAAUUUGAGCCUCAUCCAUAUCAUUCUGCACCAUCAGUGCCCGACCCAGACUCUCGUCGAAUGUCAAAGCGCCAUGGGACGCGAUAAGAAGUCGAAUACUGGGCCUUAGCCCUCUCGCAAACAUCCUUGCCUUGUGAUACUCAUCACGAACCACGAAUGGAAUCAGUGAAAUAAUACGAGAGAAGUCUCGCUCAUACUCUGCUACGGUACGACUGCCUUGCUUGAGACGCUCUAGCUCGCGCUCCAGAUUCUACUUAGUGCUAUCCUUGAAGUACUGCUCGUACAGGAGUCUCCGAAAUUCCUCCCAGCUUGGAUAGAUGCUCCCAAGUUUGCGCUCGAAGUGGCUGAUCCACCACGAAUACGCAUCCCUCUCAAGACAGUGAGCAGCUAGAGGGACGCGAUCCAGCUCCUCAAUGUGUAGAUCACGAAACAGUUUCUCCAUAUGAGUAACCCAACGCUCGAUCACCCAAGCGUCGUCGCUCUUUCCUGCGAACUUCGGCGGAUCGAACUUUCGAAACUCCACCAGCCUUGCCCUAAUGCGGGCGGCUUCCGUUGCAGGGGUAUCAGUACCCCCAGCGGAAAUCGUCGUGGUGGCCGUCGUCAUCGUGGCAGUCACGGCUGGAGCUACGGCAANAGGCGCAUGCGUCGCGGGAGGAUCCGCGUUCACCGGAGUGUCCUGUGCCGGAGGUGGGACCGGGGUAGCAGUAGCCGUAGCCUGCUGCUGCAAGAACUGCUGAAACAAACCAGAGAGGGUCCCCAGCUGACCCCUCAAAUCAGCUACCUGGGCCUCGAGCUGCUGGGUGCGAGUACCACGCAGCGGCUCCGUGCCCAACUGCUCCCCAGCACCCCCACUCGGAGGAGCACGAGUACUGCCGGAUGUCUCUGCACCAGCACGUCCACCACCACGACCCGGACGAGGGGGUCUACCACGAGCCAUCUGCAACAGAAAACACCGUCAAGUAAACCAAUCGACUCGACAUACAAACUCAUCGGGACUCAAACCCAAUACACCGCACUCACGUGCCUAUAUGCCUUUGGUCUUCCUAUGGGUCAACCUAACCAGUGGUUCAGUUAGAAAACUUGUAAAUGCAGUUGUAAUUAUUUCACACUCUGAUACCAUAUUAAUCUGUCACGCCCCGAAGCCGAUUUUAAAAGCCUUUUUAAAAUUCAUUACCAUUUUGAAAUAGAGUUGCGGAAGACGUGCUAAUUUUUUUUUUUUUUCAACCUGGCCCACGUGACGUACAGAUCCGCCACAAAUCCAAAGUCCUCUGUCCACUCGGACAGAGUCUCCUUUGUAUUUGUACGGCGUACCAACUAUAAACACGAUCUCAACCACAACCUACAUUUACCAAUCAACAAUCAAUUCAUGAUAUGCAUUUCCAUACAGCUAACGAUCCUUAGAGAUGAUGCAUGCCUCUAAGCACUCCUUAGGCGCUGGAUGAUGCAAUGCACAAUACAACAAACAUCCUAUUUAAAAGUGCUCCCCACACGGAAGCUUUUGUUUUUAAACUCUAAUUCAUUCAUUCAUGAAAACCAUUCGAAAAUCUUUUUAAAACUGUUUCCCACACGAAAACUCUAUUUUGAAAAUCAACUACCUCGAGGGGUAGAAAACCAUGAUGCGUAAAUAUGUAUAAAUACAUAAAUCCGAGAACUGAAUAUCCAUAAAACCAAAACCAGUGAUCCACAAAAUCUCUAAUCAUGCAUAACGAAAAUCACAAACAUUCAAACAUUUAACUGAACCAUUUAUGAUUAACAACUACCAAAUGCGGGAAGAAAUAUAACUAGGGUGAUGGUCGCUACUGCCGACUUAGCUAGAUCGUCCUCCCGUCAAGCCCAAAAUCUAACUCCUCGUCCGAGUCACCUGGGGGGAAUAGGGGGUGAGAAACCGCAACCAUGGUUUCUCAGUGGGUACGACAGAGCCACGAAGUCAAGCCGUAAUCACCGAAAACCAAAGGAGAUAGAUAAACAAAUAUAUAUGCUGAUAUGAAACAGAACUACAGAUAUGAGCAUGAUGUGAUAUAAGAGCAACUACAGUAGUAAUAGAAACUGGAUAAUAACUGAGCAAGAACAAAACUACUACUGUAACCAAAAACUCAACUGAUCGAAUGCCUCAAGGGUAAAUAGUUCAAACCAAACCCAAUCUGAUGCUGCUAUAUUGGUCCGCAGACCUCAAGCGUUACCUGUCACAGAGCAGACAAUGCCAACUUAUUCAUACGUCACCGACGACCUAUCCGGAUACGUACACCCCUUGGUUGGUGGCCAAACCAACCUGGUGUCUAGAAUACACAGUGCUGUGACUAAAUCAUACUAAUAUGCUCAAAACGAAAACCGGUAAAAAGAGACCGGUGCCAUGGCCGAAGCCAGGUGCAAGGGCGUACAACGCCGAACCACGAUCAACCAGAUCGAAACACACGACAAAGGAAUCGAUGUGUUGCCUGGACCCAAGGUCCAUAGAGAUACAAUAUAUAUGCAACCUGCUCUACAUGUCUAUCCACAACUAUCCAAAUGCAAUCAAUGAGAUACGAUAAACAAACGAUAAACAAUCAACUGACAUGUAGAGACUACGAUACUGAUAUGAAAGAACAGAGGAAGGGUGAAACGAUCUCACCGACUACCAGCUCGAAGCACGCACCUGUCACUGUCGCGUCGGAACACUGGAUACGCACAGCGUCUACUGCACCUAAGAAGAUCCACCAGGUCAGUAUCCAAACAACUAACCUAAAGCACGAGACCCACAAACCCCCCAAACAAGAUCCCCGUAAUCGGUUUUCCAAAACCAAUUACCUUAACUCACCGGAAGUCUCGAAAACCACACCGGGACACCGUCGGGACCCACUAAGUGUCCCGAAACUCACCGACUCGUGUCACGAGUCAUCUGCUGCUCCAAAACACUCCAAUUUGGAUGUUUUGGCAGCAAACACAAGAUAACACCACUACACAAUUAUCACCGGAUAAUUGUACAAAUCCGGGUUCCCGAAAGUGUCUAUUUCGACACCGGAACCCACCGUCGCUCAUCCUUCAUCACUGUAAUAACUGAAGUUUUUGGAUAAAUAAAAUUAAACCCUUGGUUGACGAUGUUUUUGUGUGUAAUAUAAUUACUAAAGCACUCGUCAAAUUUCAGGAGAAAAUGAGCUAAAAUGGAGCGGUUACGCGACCCGAACCGAUGACUUAAGUGAAUAGUAACUCCAGUGUUCCGGAUGAGCCAAUGAAUAGAGAAGGGUUCUGGUGCUCAUCGAACUCCGAAUAUAGGACUUCAAUAGCUCGUUUCGAAUGGCUCGACCAUUCUGGACCCAAUGGCACUGACGGAAUUGGGUUCUGAUGCACGGUUGUCGAGAAAAAGGGGUUUAAUGGAAAUUACAUAUAUUAAUAUAAAUGGUUAUAUGGGUGGAAACAAAGAGGGCUGGUUUUGAUGCUGAUCGGAGACCAAAUCGGACAAAGUAAAAUGCUAGAUUCGAUGCCCCAGUUGUGCUGAACGCGCUGGCGCAAUCCGUUCGGAAAUCCGACGGACGGAUUUUCCGGAAUCGUGAAAAGUCCGCUGAGAGGUCAAGUUGGCAAAACCGAUUAAUCGCGAAAAGGUCCAAUAUUUUAUGCGCGAUCUUACGCGAAUUCGAAUGUCGAGGGACCUAUACGGAUAAUCCACAUGUUGGCAGGGGGCUUGGUAAAAAGGUACUGGACUAGGAGGGGUUUUCUACAAUUAUUCAUUUGAUAUAAGUGAGGUUUUAGGGUUCAGCCAAGGAAACCCUAACCCUAAUCUUCCCCAGCUGCCCUAACCGCUCCACCUUCUCCUUGCCCAACUCGUGCUCACGCCCCGGCCGCCGGCGAGCUACUCCGGCCGCCGGAAAAGUCACCCCGGCUUCCUCUCGGUUUCCCUCUAGCCCCUACUUGCCAUACUUGUGAUUGUUGUGCUCGGGAAGGCAUCAAAGCCGAGCUCCACCCUCCCUUGGCCGAGGCUCUUCUCCGGCGUCCUCCCCCGCCGGCCCCGGCCACCCUCGAGCGCCGCCGGAGCCACCCCUGCUCCCUGCGGCCAGCUCGGGUCAGCCCAGACCGAGCCGGCUCGAGUUCUGUGUCCUCGCCUUUCUUCGGCCGCACCGCCCUCCAGUCGGCCCCGGCGCACCGCCCUCCAGUCGGCUCCGGCGACCCGGCGCGCGUGUCCCCCGCCGUCCCCGCGCGCCGCCGGCCGCCGCUGGAACUUCCUGUGGCCGCCCAGGCACGUGCGGGCCGAGGUCGGGCCCGCUAAGCUUCCAGGCGCUGCCGCAGCCCACCGAGGGGUACACCGCCUUCCCCUCGGCUUCCGGCGCCACACCGUAGCCGCCCCGACCUCCUCCGGCCGCCGCCACGCCGCCGGGAAGCCCGAACCCGAGAGUUAGUGGGAGGAGUGGAUCUCCGCCGCCGCGCCACCGAUUGCAGCCCGCCGCCGGCCAGCACCCUCCUCGGACCUCCCGGACCGAGUGCUCCCUCCUCCGGCCGGACCGCCCGCCUCCCGGCCGCCGGCGACCAACCCUAGCUCUCCUCGGGUCUGGUAAGGGUAUUUUAUGUUCCAGCAUUGUUGUUCGAGGUUCCGGUCUCCUUUCCGGUGAUCCGAUAAGCCUCCUAAGCUUCGAGAAGUGAGCACGAUGAUCUGCAACUCGUGCUAAACAUCGUGCUCACCUCCAACAGCGGCAAUGAUGCCCUGGUUUGUGAGUUAAUCGCGAUCUUCGCGCUAUGCGCGCAGUUUAUCAGAACUUCGCGUCGCUCGUGCGCGCACCGCAGUGGCCGGCAGUGCUCCGAAAGGUGAGCACGGCCUCCGACAUGCUGAAACCUGUCAGCGAGUAUGACGGUUGGAUUAAUCGACCUCUGGUUUGCGUGCACGGUCCCGAAAAGCCUAGAAAUCACAUGAAAUGAUGCGAUUUCAUGUAUCGGUAUGGGCUUUUAGGUUUUCGGCUUCGUUGUAGAUGCUGUUGGCAGCAUGUUUGGGCUAAGGAUAACCUCUGGAUUGAUCGUCCACGGCCCAAGCCCUUGCGGAAAUCUAAAAGUGAUUUCCGGAGCGUUUUCGGCGAAAUCCGCCGAUGGAACGCGGUUUUGGUUCGGAAUUCAUCGGACGGUGCCUCGUGGCUGAUUGUAGCGUCGCUGAGCCUUGUUGGCUGGUCACCCGCGUCGUGUUGGGGGUUCGAAAACGACGGGUGAGCGACGAUGAAGUUCCGGUGCGGUUUUCGGGACUUCCGGCUUAUUCGAUAAUCGGUUUUGGAAAAUCAGUCGUGGUUCUGGUGAGCGGGGGUUGUGAGUUAGCAUUACAUGUCAGUGGGUUUGACCUUAACCCGUUGGACCUUUCGUAGGUUCGGUCGCACCAUCUUCACAGUCGAGAGACCUUCGUCUGAUACGUACAGAUAGGUACUUCGACCCGACGUCGGUACAGUGGUGCACGCUCGGUGACGUUCCUUCCACCCUUCCUAUUUACAUUGCUUAUCAUAUACAUUGCUUAUCAUAUUAUCCUCGUAUUACUCUACUCGGUUGUUUCCAUGCUCGGUAUCUUGUGUAGGAGUAGAGUAGAUUUCUUCAGCAUAUGAUAUCUGUGAUCUGGUUGGUUGAUUCUCCUUUGUUGUAUCUAUGACCUGGUUGGUCGAGUUUCAUACUCCAUACUUGUGACCUGGUUGGUCGAUUUGGUUACAUGAUGACCCAUGCGGUCGAUGGGCCCUGGGGGGCAGGAUUGUCAGCUGGUUGCCGACGGUUGAUCAUUGAGCAUAUUGCAUUGAUCGCCCGAUACUCGUCGCAUUUCACGAACACUGGCAGUCUGAUCCACCGCAAGGAGUGUUCUUUUCCGAAAAAGUGGUUGAAUGGUGACAACCCGUGAGCCCUAAAGGGGUAAUAUGCACUGGAGAGUAGUUGUGGCAUUGGCUUGAGGUCUGCGGUGCUGACCAAGAGAGCAGUGGGUUCAGAUUCGGUACUUUUGAACUGAUUGUCCCGUUGAUGCAUACAUACAGUAGCUGUAGUUGUUCAUUUAUAUUCACUUCAGUACUUGUUUAUUUUAGCUACUGUACUACCAUUAUCCAUAUAUUUGUUUAUCUCCGUGACUAGUGAGUACCCCUCGCCUUCUUCGGCUUGCGGUACCCACUGGGAGGGGAGACAUGUUUACAUGUUCUCACCCCCCGCCCCCAUUACAGGUGACGUAGCCGGUCCGAGUGGGACAGCUGGUGAGGAACGGGUCUAGCGCACGAUAGAGCCUUCCGUCCCGUGGUUUGGUUUAUCUACCCUUACUCUUCAUGAUUAAAUAAAUAACUAACUUAGACAUAUUAUGGUUCAGUUUUAUUUUACUCUUUGGAUAUCUGAGUUUUCAGUUUGUUUUGGAAUGUAAUAAAGGGAAUUUGUGUUUUCUUGAAAUGGAAAUGGUUUUCUACCCCUCGUGGUAGCGUUUUGAAAAGUUAAAAGUUCCUGUGUAGGGAACAGUUUUCAAAAGGUUUUCUGUGGAUUUUGUAUCUUAGUAUUUCAAAACCUGUUUCUGUAGUUGGAAACAUUUUAACUGAUAGAUGUGGAUUUAUAUUUAAAUAGCGAUUGUAUAUUUGUGAAUCUGUGGUGAAUGGUGUAUGAAUGUAUAUCUGUGGUUGUUUGUAUAUUCAUCUGGUUGUGGCUGUUGUAUGAUUGAACUCUUGUACUUGCGACGCCGUGCAAAUACAGGGGAGACUCUGUCCGUGUGAACAGUGGAUUCCCUGUAUUUGUGGCGGAUCUGGCACACUCUGGGGUCAGAUUUUCAAAAAAAAAAUUUCAAACGCUUUUCCGCUACCUUUCAAACUAAAGGGGACCCCGAGGCGUGACAAUCACCAAACCCACAAAAUGAUGAUCGUGACCAGCCAACAAGGCUCAGCGAUAAUUUACAGGAUAACCAAACCACGUCGGAAGAAAUCCGAACAGAAGCUGCGUUCUUUCGGCGAAUUUUGCCGAAAAACGCGCCAGAAUCGACUUUUUGAUUUCCGCAAAAGCUAUCAGAUCAUGAACAAUCAGUCCGAAGGUCACCACACACAACAACGCACUGCCCACAGUAGCCACAAGGUGUACAAAUGCAUAAAAGUCCUUAUGUUUACAUAAAAUCCAUCAUUUUAUGUAAAUCGGGCGACUUCUAUGGCUCGUUCUCACAAACUGAGGACUUCUAAGUUCCGCCGAGACACGUACUGACAGGUCUCGAUGUGCCGGAGGCCGUGCUCACAGUCUGGAGUGCAACAGCUCACUGUGGGAAGUGCGGGAGCAACCCGAAAAUUCUGCGAACAGCGCGCAGUCGGGGAAAAAUGCACCAAACAGAAUGAUACGACAUUCGCUGAUCCAAAAUAAGGUGAGCACUGUGAUCAACACUGAUCCACGAUCACCGUGCUCACCUCCAGAGGCAUCGGAAUAGCCUCGGGUCACCGUAAAAAUGCGCAUACUCCUAAAACAGCAGCCAAAAAGGCUCUAACAGAGCGACACCGCCGAAACAGCGAAAAUGAGUCUCCCCGACAGAAACUAAGGUGAGCACGAUGAUCAGCAAUUUGCCACGAUAACCGUGCUCCCUUCCGUAGAGAUCAGGGAGGCUCGGGAAGCUCGGAACAGCAAAUCACCAAGGAACAGCCCUAUUUCGACCUUGGCCGGAGAAAGCUUGCUCCGGCCGGCUUCCGGCGGCACGGUGUGGUGCGUGCGGGCCAGGAAUGGGUGCGGGGGAGGUAGGGAGUGUGGUGCUCACCUCAGUUGGCGGCGAGGAGUGGCGGCGGUGACGGCGGAACCAACCAAGCCCGCACGAGAUCCGGCUCAGGUUCCAAGGGCAGCUGCGGCCACGGCGGCGACCGGGACACUCAGGGACAGCGGCAGAGGGUUGCAAGGACAACAAAGCUACGAUUUCUUUUCACCUCGAUCCGUCGCGGAUUCACGACGAAAUCCGAUCCAUCUCUCCAACAGAAGAACUACACACAAAUACAUAUAAAACACGUAUUUUCGAAUUUUCUCGAAUUCUGUGCGUCAAACUCAAAUUCCGUCAGCGCCAUCAGUUCCAAAACAGCUAAACCGGUCGAAACGAGCUAUUGGACUGCUAUGAACAGAGUCCGGUACGAGCCAGAAGCCAACUCUACGCAUUGAGCUCUCCGGAAAACCAAGUUACUAUUCACUUUAAGUGAAACUUGGAAAUCGCGUAGAAUCUCCAUUCUAACUCGUUUUCUCCCGAAACUUGACGAAUACUUUUGUAAUUAAAUUACACACAAAAACAUCGUCGACUGAGAGUUUAGCUACACUGCCAAAAUCUCGGUCCUUACAUUUCUACAGAUAAUUAGUGUUGGAUCGUGAUAGUAUAGUGGCAUAUAGCUGUAGAGUUUUUCAGCUUUCUUUACUAUCCUUGAGCAUACUUUCUGUAGACUUAGUGGGUGAGCCGUUGAGGUCGGUAGCGGUACCCACUGAGGACUACUUCUUUUUGCAGUAGUUCUCACACCCAGUUGUUAAUCCCUUUUUGCAGAGCCUCCUUCUUCGGCUGCUACUGUUGCAGAUCCUGAUCAUGGAAAGGGAGUCGUGAGUUAGAUUCCUUCCUAUUUUGCUGCUGAUGUAGAGGAGUACUAGCUGCAGGUAGUGUUGGUUUUUUGUUCUUGUACAUACUGAUGUUAGAUCCUCGCUGGAGCGAGUGAUAUUGUAUCUGGAGACUCUGUAUGUAUAGUGAACCGCUGUUAUUUAUAUAUGGUUUCGUUUAUACUAACAGCUCUAUACUACUAAUUAUAGUUUUGUAUGAUUACAAGUACAACUACAGCUAUCGUUUCGUAUACAGAAGAAAUUUCUUUAUAUACGGCGGAGUUGUCGGCAUGCCCAGGGAAACGAGUAAUCCGGGGCGUGACAUACAAAAAAUAAAUAAAAAUAAAUAAAUAAACAAAUGCAUUGAACGAACGAAUGUACGAACCAAUAAGUAAAUAAUAAAUACACAAAUACAUGAGUGAAUACUGAAUAAGUAAAUAACAAGUGAACAAACAACAAAUACAUGAGAAAUAAAUAAAUAGAUAAGUAAAUAGAUAAAUACAUAAUAAAAUUAUAUAACUACAUAAACAAAUAGAUAAAUAAGCAAGUAGAUAAAUAAGUAAAUAAGCGAAUAAACAAAUGAACCAAAAAUAAAUGAAACAGAUAAGUAAAUACAUGAAUAAACAAUAGAUAAAUAAACAAACAAUACAUAAAUAGUAAAUAAAUAGUAACAAAAUUAAUAUGAAAAUAGAUGAAAUUGAUAAAUAAUUGAAUAGCCAUUGCAUAAAUGAGUAAAUAAAUUCAUGAGUUAAUAAGUAAUUAAAUAAACAUAAAUAAGUAAAAAAUAAUAAAAAAAAAAGUAAACAUUAAUGAGUAAAGAAAAAAAAACAUAAAAAAAUAAAUAAAUAAUGAAUAAAUGAUUGAAUAAAUAACUAGAUAAAUUACAAAAUAAAUAAGUAAAUGCAUAAACAAACAACUUGUGUAAAUAAAAUAAAAUAAAUAAGCAAAUAAAUACAUCGAAUGAACGAAUGCAUGAACGAACGAAAAAACGAAUGUAAAAGGAAAUAACUAAAAGAUAAAAAGGUAAAUGAAUAAAUAAGCAAAUAAAUAACUAGAUAAAUAAUGUCACGCCCCGGGGUCCCUUUUAGUUUAAAAGGUAGCGGAAAAGCGUCUGAAAUUUUUUUUUUUUUUUUUGAUGAAAAUCUAACCUCGAGUCUGUGCCAGACCCCACAAAUAUAAAGUCCCACUGUUCACUACGGACAGAGUCUCCCUGUAUUUGCACGGCGUCGCACAAGUACAAGAGUUCAAUCAUACAACAACCACAACCAGAUGAAUAUAUACAAGCAACCACAGAUAUACAUUCAUACACCAUUCACCACAGAUUCACAAGUUUACAUUCGCUAUUUAAAUAUAGAUCCACCAUCUAUCAGUUAAAAUAUUUCCAACCACAGAAAUAGGUUUGAAAUACUAAGAUACAAAAUCCACAGAAAACCUUUUGAAAACUGUUCCCUACACAGGAACUUUUAUCUUUCCAAAACGCUACCACGAGGGUAGAAAACAAUUUCCAUUUCAAGAAAGCACAAAUUCCUUUAUUAUAGUUCAAAACCAACCGAACUCAGAUUUCCGAAUAGUAAAAUAAAACUGAACCAUAAUAUGUCUAAGUUAUUAGUUAUUUAUUAUGAAAGAUAAGGUAGAUAAAUCAAACCAUGGACGGAAAGCUAUAUUGUAUGCUGGCCCGUUUCUCACCAGCUGUCGGCACUCCGGACCUGCUACGUUACCUGUAAUGGAGGCGGGGGGGUGAGAACAUGUAAACAUGUCUCCCCUCCCAGUGGGUACGCAAGCCGAAGAAGGCGAGGGGUACUCACCAGUCAGGAGAACUAGAUAGAUAUAAGAGCUGGUAAUGAAAGCUGAUAGUAGGAGCUGACAAGUAUAGAUGUAGGUGAGUAAAACAGUACUAUAAUAAACAGAUAAAGAAGUACUGGAAAUAAAACACUACAGCUACUGUAUGCAUGCUCAACUGUCAUAACCUCAAAAGUACCAAUCUCGCUGCCCUAUGGUCCGGAGACCUCAGCAUGCCACACUACUCAACCUGUACCUGACCCUCGCAAUGAAGCCCCCUGGGUCAGAAGUAUAGUACCUGACCCUCGCAAUGAAGCCCUGGUCAAAGCAUAUACCCUCGCAAUAAAGCUCCUGGGCUCACGGUUGGCAAAUCCAACCCACUUUUCCGGAAAAGAACACCUCUUGGCGGUGGAUCAGACCACUGGUGUUCGUGAAAUGCGUACCUGCAGUGGCGAUCAUGUAGUAUGCUCAAAGAUCAUCUAUCGGCAACUAGCCGACAAUCCAAGCCCUCAGGGCACACCGACCGUAUAGGCCAUCAGCAACUAAUCGGCUACGUAAGUCAAGAUAAAACUGUAGCAACUCGACCGAAUAGGUCAUAGGUAUCAAAGUAGGGGAACCGCCCAACCAAAUCACAAAUAUAGUGAACAGAUAAAUCAACUCUACUCCUAAACACGAUAUCAACAGGGAAAUAACUGAGUAGAGAAAUGCAGAUAUAAAAGCAGGUGCAAGGCUCAAUAUAACUGUAAGAUAGAGUAAACAGUAGGGGUGAAGAAACGUCACCGAGCGUGCACCACUGUACCGACUACGGGUCGAAGUACCCACCUGUACGUAUCCGACGAAGGUCUCUCGACUGUAAAGACGGUGCGACCGAACCUACGAAAGGUCCAACGGGUUAAGGUCUAACCCACUGACAUGUAAUGCUAACUCACAACCCCCGCUCACCAGAACCACAAUCGGUUUCCCAAAACCGAUUACCGAAUAAGCCGGAAGUCCCGAAAACCGCACCGGAACUUCAUCGUCGCUCACCCGUCGUUUUCGAACCCUCAAAACGACGCGGGUGACCAGCCAACAAGGCUCAGCGACGCUACAAUCAGCCACGAGGCACCGUCGGAUGAAUUCCGAACCAAAAUCGCGUUCUAUCGGCGGAUUUCGCCGAAAACGCUCCGGAAAUCACUUUUCGAUUUCUGCAAGGGCUUGGGCCUUGGACGAUCAGUCCAGAGGUUAUCCUCAGCCCAAACAUGCUGCCAACAGCAUCUACAACGAAGCAGAAAACCUAAAAGCCUAUACCGAUACAUGAAAUCGCAUCAUUUCAUGUGAUUUCUAGGCUUUUCUGGACCGUGCACGCAAACCAGAGGUCGAUUAAUCCGACCGUCAUACUCGCUGACAGGUUUCAGCAUGUCGAAGGCCGUGCUCACCUUUCGGAGCACUGCCGGCCACUGCGGAGCGCGCACGAGCGACACGAAGUUCAGCUAAACUGCGCGCACAGCGCAAAGAUCGUGACUAACUCACUAACCAGGGCAUCUUUGCCGCCGUUGGAGGUGAGCACGAUGUUCAGCACGAGUUGAAGAUCAUCGUGCUCACUUCCCGAAGCUUAGGAGGCUUAUCGGAUCACCGGAAAGGAGACCGGAACCUCGAAAAACAGUGCUGGAACAUAAAAUACCCUUACCAGACCCGAGGAGAGCUAGGGUUGGUCGCCGGCGGCCGGGAGGCGGGCGGUCCGGCCGGAGGAGGGAGCACUCGGUCCGAGAGGUCCGAGGAGGGUGCUGGCCGGCGGCGGGCUGUAAUCGGUGGCGCGGCGGCGGAGAUCCACUCCUCCCACUAACUCUCUGGUUCGGGCUUCCCGGCGGCGUGGCGGCGGCCGGAGGAGGUCGGGGCGGCUACGGUGCGGCGCCGGAGGCCGAGGGGAAGGCGGUGCACCCCUCGGUGAGCGGCGGCAGCGCCUGGAAGCUGAGCGGGCCCGACCUCGGCCCGCACGUGCCUGGGCGGCCACAGGAAGCUCCAGCGGCGGCCGGCGGCACGCGGGGACGGCGGGGGACGCGCGCGCCGGGUUGCCGGAGGUUGCCGGGGCUGACUAGAGGGCGGCGCGGCCGAAGUGAGGCGUGGACGCAGAACUCGAGCCGUCUCGGUCUGGGCUGACCCGAGCUGGCCGCAGGGAGCAGGGGUGGCUCCGGCGGCGCUCGAGGGUGGCCGGGGCCGGCGGGGGAGGACGCCGGAGAAAAACCUCGGCCAGGGAAGGGUGGAGCUCGACUUUGAUGCUUUCCCUAGCACAACAAACGAAAAUGUGGCAGGUCGGGGCUAGGGGAGAGCCGAGAGGUGGCCGGGGUGACCUUUCCGGCAGCCGGAGUUGCACGCCGGCGGCCGGGGCGUGCGCACAAGUUGGGCAGGGUGGAAGUGGGGCGGUUAGGGUUUUCUAGAUGAUCAUGGCAGCCAAAAGAAUACUGGAAAACCCUAAAUGCCCCUUUUAUACAAGGUGCCACUUUGCGAGGAACCCCUCCAAAGUCUAAUAUUUACACUCCAGCCCCUGCCAACGAGUGGAUUAAGCUUUCAGGUCCCUCGACAUUCAAAUUCGUGCAAGAUCGCGCAUAAAAUAUUGGACGUUUCCGCGAAUAAUCGAUCUUGCCAACUUGACCUCUCAGCGGACAUUUCACGAUUCCCGAAGAUCCGUCCGUCGGAUUUCCGAACGGAUUGCGCCAGCGCGUUCAGCACGACUGGGGCAUCGAAUCUAGCAUUUUAUUUCGUCUGAUUUGGUCUCCGAUCAGCGACGAAUCCUGCCCUCUCAAUCUCCACCCAUAAACCACUUAUAUUAUUACAUGUAAUUUCCAUUAAACCCCUUUUUCUCGACAACCGUGCAUCAGAACCCAAUUCCGUCAGUGCCAUUGGGUCCAGAAUAGUCGAGCCAUUCGAAACGAGCUAUUGAAGUCCUAUAUUCGGAGUUUGAUGUGCACCCGAACCCUUCUCUAUUCAUUGGUUCAUCCGGAAAACCGGAGUUACUAUUCACUUAAGUCAUCGGUUCGAGUCGCAUAACUUCUCCAUUUUAGCUCAUUUUCUCCUGAAAUUUGACGAGUGCUUUAGUAAUUAUAUUACACACAAAAACAUCGUCAACCAAGGGUUUAAUUUUAUUUUCCAAAAAUUUCAGUUAUUACAAAUAAAUAAACAAGUACAUGAGUAAAUAGAUAAAUAACUAAAUAAAUAAAGAAGCACAUAAAUAAAGAAAUGUCACUGGUUGAAUAUAUAAAAAUAGUUAAUAAAUAAAUACACCAACACAUAAAUACUAAAUAAAUAACAAACUUUGCCCAGCCUCGAAAGGAAACAACUUUCUUCCUUCACAUACAACAAUACCCAAUCACUAGGCUAAUCCGUAGGUUUCGCCCUCAACAAACUCACCAACUCUCAAUCCCAAAUAUCGAGGAGAAACUCCUACGACCCAACGGGACCGUCCUCUGGGGAGAAACUCCUACGACCCAGUGAUGACUACUCCAGAGGUCAUCGUCCGAGGGAGAGCUACCGCCGUCCGAGCAAGAACUAAUAGGCGAGUAUGAUCCAAUCCUUAACUAUAAGGAUUCCAAAUUCAAUCCAUUCCUUAACUAUAAGGAAGCAAUGCUCAUAUGACCCUUAACUAUAAGGUUGUUAUAUCAUAAUGUCACUAUCUCUCUUUACUUGCAUUCUCUAACUUUCACUAGUGUCAUAUACACUACUUUGUUCAUUGUACUUGUUUACUAAUGCUACACUUGUUCUCUAACUGUUCAACUCUAGCAUUCAAUACAUUCACUAAUGCCACUCUACCACGAGUCCAUCUCUACUAUUCAUUGCAUUUGGAAAUGUCACACAAUCCAUAUGUCAUAAUGUCAUUUGUCCAAUGCCUUUUCUAGGUUCUUGUUAUUACUCAUGCAUACAUAGGGUUACACAAGUUCCAACUCUUUUACAAUCAUUUCUCAUGUAUUUGUACUCACAACAUGCAAAUAGAAGCUCUCAAUUAACCCUAUUAUGCACAAUGCUCAAUAUACACUUAUGCUCAAAAAUGACACUUUAAAUAUAAAAGAAAAUUCAACGUUUUCGAAAUGCACUACCCACCUUAUAUGGUUAUAGAGGUGCUACGGUUCAAUUCUUGAAAUUUUUGGGUGCCUAUUCGGCAUGUUGCGGCUAUCUGUACCAAAAAUGACGUUUUUGUGAAUAUCUUUGCGUACACUCGUCGGAUCACUGAACCGAGUUCAUAUUCUUGUUAGAAAUACCCUUAAUUAGAUUUCUACAAGGUCAAUUUGCCUUUAAACCACUCUAGGACAAAAGUCCCAAUUUCGGUGCCCUAACAAUGCCAUUUACUAAAUCUUUGGAUUUGAUCUCUAAAACAAGCAAAAGAAAGUUUGUUGAACCUCUAGAAACUCAUUUAGAACCUUUCCUAAGCCUUUCCAACCAUUUCUAGGGCAUAAAAAUUAAACCCUAGGUUUCUGCCAUGGGGCACAUGAGGAAAACUUGAUUUCAUGUGUUCUAUAGCCAUUAGAGGGUUCCCACACUUGUAAGAAGCUCAAAUCCAAGGAUUUAGGGCAUGAAAUCAAAACCCUAACCUUACUCUUACAAGAAAACCUCACGUUAGCCCAAAGCUGUCUAAGGUCCACCCUGUAGGAGAGUCCCCAAGCCUUCAAAACCCAAGAAAUCUCCUCCAAAUCCUUCUCCUUCACCUUCUCCUUGCUCCUUGGAGAAAUUUCUAGAGAGAGAAAGUGAGAAAUGAGAGAAGGGAGGGUGCUUGCUGUAUAAACCAUGUGGGAGAGGUGUUGGGGUGUUUUAUGAGGUGCUACCAUAGCUAGAAGGCCCUCUAUUUGUUUUUAUUUGUAGCAGACUUAUUUUUGCUGUCGGGUCCAUUGUGUACCGGUACAGGUUGGGUGUUACCGGUAACACGAUCGCGCAGAGGCAAACCGGAGAGCAACUUCUCUCGGUCUGCACUGUUGUACCGGUACAGGUACAAUGUUGUACCGGUACAAAAGCUCCAGACUUCUGUUUUUGCAACUUUUCGAUUCUAUUUUGCGCCGAUCGAUGCUAAAACCUUCCUAACCCUUCUGGAACUCGUUUUUAACCCUUCCAACACCCUUGAAAUGUCAGAUGGAACAUGUCCAACUAUUUCUUUCGAACGCUUUAGUCAAUUUGGCUAAAGUCUAAUAUUCUCUACCGAGUUUCGGUACGUUACAUUCUCCACCCCUUAAAAUUAGUUUCGCCAGUGAAACUAGCUUGAUUAAAAUCUAGAUCCAUACCUUAAUCCAGAUUCUCGAAGAGGUGGGGAUAAUGCUCUCUCAUUGCGCUCUCGAGCUCCCAAAUAGCUUUCCGAUCAUCAUGGUUACUCCAACGGACUUUAACAUACGGAAUCUCACAGUUCCAUAGUUUUCUUACUUCUUGAUCGAUGAUGUACGCCGGGAACUCCUCAUAAGUCAUAUCCCCUUGAAUCUCAGAUGGUUCAAACGAGAGAAUAUGCUCGGGAUCGUGAACAUACUUGCGGAGAUUUGACACAUGAAAUACAUCGUGCACUCCCGCAAGCCUCAGUGGUAAUGCUAACUUGUAAACCACCGCACAAACACGUUUCAAUAUUUCGAACGGUCCAAGAUACCGGGGACUUAGUUUCCCACGAACUCCAAACCAUUUAACUCAUCGCAUUGGCGAUACUUUUAAAAAUACACGGUCUCCAACCGCGAACUUUAUGUCUUUUCUACGCUUGUUGGCAUAGCUUUUAUGCCGAGAUUGCGCUGUAGCAAGUCGUUGGCGGGCAAGGCGAACGUUCUCCUCCGCCUCCUGCACUACAUCGGGGCCAAGGGCCACCCUAUCGCCCACAUCGCUCCAAUGAAUAAAAGAGCGACACUGCUUUCCAUAAAGGGCCUCGAAUGGUGCCAUUGCGAUACUCUCUUGAUAACUAUUAUUGUACACGAACUCUGCCAUUGAUAAAUGAUCAUGCAAUCCGCCCUUAUAGUCGAGUACACACGCUCGAAGCAUAUCCUCAAGUAUUUGUAUCGUCCUCUCCGAUUGCCCGUCACUUUAAGGAUGAAAUGUCGUACUAAAAUCGAGCUGCGUGCCCAAUGCAUCCUGUAGGCUCCUCCAAAAAUGUGAUGUGAACCUCGAGUCCCAAUCCGAUACAAUUGAUACGGGAACUCCAUGAAAUCUAACAAUCUCAUCUAGGUAUACUUGAGCCAACUUGUCUCCCGACCACGUAAUAUGAAUCGGUAGAAAAUGCGCCGACUUCAUCAACCGGUCUACUAUCACCCGAUAUCACGUGGCCUAGGAAGGUAACCUUUGAAAGCCAAAAUUCGCACUUCUUUAAUUUUUCAUAUAGCUUCUCUUUUCGGAGUAUUUCCAACACGGUCCUCAAGUGCUCCUCGUGUUCUUCCUCACUCCGUGAAUAAACCAACACGUCGUCAAUGAACAUCUCGACGCAUCGGUCUAACAAUGGUCGAAAAACUGAUUCAUCAAGUCGAUAAAUGCUGCCCGGGCAUUAAUAAGCCCAAACGGCAUUACCGUGAACUCGCAAUGACCAUACCGCGUACGGUACGCCGUUUUGUGCACAUUCUUGGGCCGUAUUUUCAACUGAUGAUACCCCGACUGAAGAUCUAUCUUUGAGUACACUCUCGACCCUUGUAACUGAUCGAAAAAAUCAUCAAUCUUGGCAACGGAUACUUGUUCUUAACUGUGACCUUGUUCAACUCGCGGUAAUCCACACAGAGUCGAAGCGCGCCAUCCUUUUUCUUCACAAAUAGCACCGGAGCUCCCCACGGUGACACGCUCAGCCUCACAAAGCCUUUAUCGAGCAAGUCUUGCAACUGUGCCUUUAGCUCUUUUAGCUCCGCCGGUGCCAUUCUAUACGGAGCCUUCGAAAUUGGCGCCGUCCUGGCAAUCAAAUCAAUAACGAACUUGACUUUCCGGUCCGGUGGCAAUCCCGGUAACUUCGCCGAAAAUACAUCCGGGAACUCACACGCUACCCGAAUACCACUAAGUUCCGGGUGCUCCUUUUGGGCUUCUACCAUUGUCGCCAAGUAAGCUACACAUCCACCCUUUAUCAUUUUCCUCGCCCUCGUCGCCGAUACUGCUGCCGCUAAGCGCGGGCUUUUACACGCCCAGUAUACUAACUUUUCUUGAUUAGGCUCACGGAAUGUGAUCACCUUACUUUUACAAUCUAUCACGGCAUAAUACUUGGAGAGCCAGUUGAUUCCCAAGAUUAUAUCGAAGCCCACAUCUGGUUUAACACCAAUAGGUCUAUCGGCAUAAUCCAAUCACCUAUCUGUACUGAACAAAUCAAGCACUCGUCAUGAACGCGGAACGAAUGCUCUGGAGUAUUCACCGACCAAAAAUCCUCAUUAUGUGUGAUCUCUAUGUCAUGAGAUUUUGCAAAUGAUGCACCUAUGAAUGAAUGUGAUGCACCUGUGUCGAAUAAAGUUCUAGCCCUAGUGCCUUUAAUCAAGACAAUACCUGCCACGACGUCAUCAGGAACUGCAGGCUGCUCCUCCACCUAAGGGGCAAAAACCCGCCACUCGGUGCUCUAGAUGCCUCCGGCUGACGCGAUGCAGACAAGCGUCCAGCCGACAUCGCCGGUGGAAACCCCGCCAGCUGUCUCGGUGUAGAAGGAACUGAUGCCACCGUCAGUGCAGACAACGCCAAACUCGGGCACCCCGGGCCAUGUGCCCCACUUGGCCGCAUUUGAAGCACUUUCCUUCGCGUUGCGGGCAAGUUGCCGGUUGAUGCUCACCGCCACAAAUAACACACCGAGGAGGCCUCUAACUCUUUGACUGCUGUCGGGGAUACCGAGGGGGCUUCUUUGCAUUUGGCCGGCCCGCUCGCUUCUUUCCUUUGUCCCUCGACUCCGCCAUAGCCUCGCGCUCCUCUCACGCGUAGGCGUUGCCAUGCUCCGCCCACAAAGCUCGAUCAAAGACCUCCGCAAAGGUCGUAAGCUUGAGGAUUUGCACCGCCUCAUAGAUUCUCGGCCUAAGUCCUCGCAAGAACCAAUUGGCCCGGUCCCAAUCAUCUCGAACAUCAUCCGGGACGCAAUCGAGUGGGAGAACUCCUGCUCGUAGUCCGCUACCGAGCAAUCUCCUUGCCUUAGCUAGCGAAAUUUUUCUUGUAGCUUUCGCUUCACCGUGUCGGGGAAGUAGUUUGCAAAUAUCGCCCUCUUAAACUCCUCCCAUAGCAUAGGCAGAAGAGCGAAGGACCGAUCCCGCUUCACCCGCUUCCAAGACACCUUCGCCGCCUUCUCAAUGCAAUGAGUGGCGAGGUGCACCUUGUCCUUCUCAGAGGUAUAUAGGUCCUUGAAAAGCGUCUCCAUCGAGUCGAUACCCGACUCCACCAUCGAUUGCUCUACCUUUUCCCCUUCAAAGAUAGGUGGGUCGAACUUCUUGAACAUAAUGAGAGCCGCCAAUGCACGCUCUCGCUUCGCCUCUAUAGCCGCAUCAUCGGGAUUUGACGUUCCCGAACCGGCCGGCACCAUCGUGACUGGCACGGCCGCCGCCGCGACAUCCUCAGCCGCACCCGGCACCACUGCAGGGGCCGCAAGGUGCUCGGCCUCCACGGACGCCGCCGCUUGCUGUCGCUCCAAGGCCUCUUGAAGCCUUUGGAUCUGCUCCUCUUGGCGUUGAACAGACUCCGCUUGUUGCCGCACUACACUAAUAAGCGCGGCCAUCUACUCCCAAAGCUCCCCGUCGCCACUUGCUCCAGCUUGCACGGGAGCUGCACUCGGUUUCUUGGGCAUAGAUCUCGUUCGCGGUCGACCACGAGGCAUCUUAGGUCGUCCACGAGGUGGUAUUGCUUCCUGAAAUGAAGCAAUUACAUUAGUUACUUAACCAACAUAAUCGAAUUUACACAAUCCGGCGAAAGCAAACAAGUGUAUUUAUUUUCAUCCCAAAGUAUAAUGUCGUCGGCCGCCGAUCACAACAAAAGGAAUAGAAAAUAAAUAUCAACUUAAAUUUAGUCCCUAACCACAUUAGAGACGUACUAACAUUAACCCAAUCAUAAGCUUUCGCUAUUCGUUGAUUCCACGUCAUUCACGUUUCCUAGAUCCUUAAGGUUUUUUAUUCCUAAGGGUCUCUAGGUCCGUCCUAUACUUUCAUUUUAGGCUCUUUAUACGCUCUGAUACCAUUAUAUCUGUCACGUCCCGAGCUCGGUCCUAUUUGGCCGGUUCGAGCACGUCGAAUAGAUGCCGAAUGGACAGAGCCUUUCCUGUCCACCCAAGGCUGAACAACAAGUACAAAUAGAGUACAAAUUUUGCACAUGCGGAAGUAUACAUAAUGACUUGCACGAGAGCAAGCAAUGGCCAAAGUGAAAGUACUAAGUAAUCAACAUACAAGUACUAUGAUUAAAUUUAAAUCAUAUACAUGCAUACAACUUGUACAUUUGCAUUCUUUUCUUUAUCAUCAUUUCUUCUCUUUUACAGCACAUGAUAUCUCAAAAUAUAACCUUUGCAUUGAAACAUAAAUCCUUUUGCAUUAAACCAUAAGCUCUUUUACAUCAUUUAACAUGUUCAUAAUACUAAAAUUAUCAAAAUACAAAAAAUGAUAACUAAAGGGUAUGCAUCUAGCAAAAUGAAACCGACUUGAGUAGUCACUGACUAAGGCGCGAUACCCUUACCGCGAUCAUCCGCCGGCUAGCUCGGUCCCGGCUCUGUGGAAAUAGUGGGGUGAGAACUACAACAAAGUUUUCAGUGGGUUCGACCGCCGACCUCGCCGACUUUCCCACUAGGUGAGUAUGAUCCAAUCCUUAUCUAAUAGGCGAGUAUGAUCCAAUCCUUAUCUAUAAAGACUAAUAGGCGAGUAUGAUCCAAUCCUUAUCUAUAAAGAUUCCAAAUUCAAUCCAUUCCUUAACUAUAAGGAAGCAAUGCUCAUAUGACCCUUAACUAUAAGGUUGUUAUGUCAUAAUGUCACUAUCUCUCUUUACUUGCAUUCUCUAACUUUCACUAGUGUCAUAGACACUAUUUUGUUCUUUGUACUUGUUUACUAAUGCUACACUUGUUCUCUAAGUGUUCAACUCUAGCAUUCAAUGCAUUCACUAAUGCCACUCUACUACAAGUCCAUCUCUAGUAUUCAUUGCAUUUGGGAAUGUCACACAAUCCAUAUGUCAUAAUGUCAUUUUGUUCAAUGCAUUUUUUAGGUUCUUGUCAUUACUCAUGCAUACAUAGGGUUACACAAGUUUCAACUCUUUUACAAUCAUUUCUCAUACAUUUGUACUCACAACAUGCAAAUAGAAGCUCUCAAUUAACCCUAUUAUGCACAAUGCUCAGUAUACACUUAUGCUCAAAAAUGACACUUUAGACAUAAAAGGAAAUUCAACGUUUUCAUAAUGUACCACCUAUCUUAUAUGGUUAUAGAGGUGCUAUGGUUCAAUUCUUGGAUUUUUUUGGUGCCUAAUCCGCGUGUUGCAGCUAUCUGUACCAAAAAUGACGUUUUUAUGAAUAUCUUUGCGUACACUCGUCAGAUCACCAAACCGAGUUCGUAUUCUUGUUAGAAAUACCCCUAAUUAGGUUUUUACAAGGUCAAAACUCCAAUUUAGGGCAAAAGCUCCAAUUUCGAUUCCCUAACAAUUCCAUUUGCUAAAUCUUUGGAUUUGAUCUCUAGGGCAAGCAAAAAAAAGCUUGUUGAACCUCUAGAAACUCAUUUAGAACCUUUCCUAAGCCUUUCCAACCAUUUCUAGGGCAUAAAAACUAAACCCUAGGUUUCUACCAUGGGAGCACAUGAGGAAAACUUGAUUUCAUGUGUUCUAUAGCCAUUAGAGGGUUCCCACACUUGUAAGAAGCUCAAAUCCAAGGAUUUAGGGCAUGAAAUCAAAGCUCUAAGCUUACUCUUACAAGAAAACCUCACCUUAGCCCAAAGCUCUCAAAGGUCCACCUUACAGGAGAGUCCCCAAGCCUUCAAAACCCAAGAAAUCUCCUCCAAAUCCUUCUCCUUCACCUUCUCCUUGCUCCUUGGAGAGAUUUCUAGAGAGAGAAAAAGAGAAAUGAGAGAGAAGAGAGUGCUUGCUGUAUAAACCAGGUGGGAGAGAUGUUGGGGUGUUUUAUGAGGUGCUACAAUAGCUAAAAGGCCCUCCAUUUGUUUUUAUUUGCAGCGGACUUAUUUUUGCUGUCGGGUCCAUUAUGUACCGGUACAGUCUUGGUGUUACCGGUAACACAAUCGCGCAGAGGCAAACCCGAGAGCAAUUUCUCUCGGUCUGCACUGUUGUAUUAGUAUAGGUACAAUGUUGUACCGGUACAAAAGCUCCAGACUUCUGUUUUCGCAUCUUUUCGAUUCGAUUUCGCGUCGAUCGAUGCUAAAACCUUCCUAAUCCUUCUGGAACUCAUUUUUAACCCUUCCAACACCCUUGAAAUGUCAGAUGGAACAUGUCCAACUAUUUCUUUCGGACGCUUUAGUCAAUUUGGCUAAAGUCCAAUAUUCUCUACCAAGUUUCGGUACGUUACAAGCACUUUAUAAAGUCUUAAGUGUAGUUAAAGUAUAAUGUACAGUAAAAUAUACUACCUUCAAACCUACAUGACAAGUCUUUUCAUAUAUUUGCAAAGCUUGUGUGGAGUGAAGACGUUUUGGCACGAAUUUGACGCGAAAACGAGUGUAAGAAGGUAUCACGCCCCGGGACCCAGCGGAAGCCCGCCCGGCGCGUGUCCAGACCCGCCAUAUGUCUAAAACAUAUAAGGCGUCUAAUAGCAACGAUAAUAAAAGCAGUAAUAAAAGACAUCUAGGAGUAUCAAAGCAUGAUAUAAUACUAAGUUCUACAAUAGAGAAAGGAACACAAAGCUGGAAUCCACUAAUAAAAGCAUAAAGUAAUACAAAGAAAAUCCCAAAUACAAGUGCUAAAGGUAGAUACAUAGGUGGUCUCUAUAUAUGGAUACAAAAACUCUCACUCUCUCAACUAUAAAAAGAAAGAGUAAACCACCUAGGCAAAGAACCGCUCCUCACUAGCUAGCUAUGCGAUCCCCUUGCCGCGAUCCCGUGUCUCCGCCGGUGCAGAAGGCUCUGAAAGAAACCACAAAAAGAGGGCGUGAGAACUAUUAAAAAUAGUUCCGAGUGGGCAAUUACUGACUUCAGUGAAUGCACCACAAGGCCCAAAGCUACAAGGGAAGUGGUCAGUAACUAUGAAAGCAAUAAAGCGAAAGGUAAGUAAAAGUGUAACAUACUAUAACCAGAUGUCUCUACUUAGCAUGAUAGGCAUAAGAAUAAGCAACUAUACAUAAUGUACAUCGAUGUGUAUACAUGAAUGCUCAUAGGUAUGCAACCAAUACGAUGUCCUCAAUGCAAUUAGUAAAGAUGUCAUUGUUUACAUUUCUAGUCGAUGUCCAGUCAAUACACUAAGUCAUCAUCUGUCCACAUGUCAUAGUGAAUACUCAAAGACAAAUCUAAAGAGACCUACCCGAAGGCUGUCUAUGACCCUGAGACCCACCCGUAGGCUGUCUGGCCGAUGNGCGCCGAAGUGGAUUGCCGUGGGGGAGGCUCAUCCCUAGAGUGGGGAUGUUGACUACCACGGGGCCAUUAGGCACGGCGCAGGCCAGACAGCCUUCGGGUGGGUUUUAUAUGAUUGGGACUUGGUGACAGAUCAUGCUACGUGAACUGUAUAACUGUUAAUGUGGACUUGGACUAGAAUAGUAAACAAUGACAUUUUUACUAUUACAUUGUGGACUUUGGGUAGUUGCAUAAUCACGCUUUAUAUGUUGGGUGUUCAUGUGCAUAUAGCUUGUAGUUGUUUUCUUACUUAUGUAAAUCAUGCUAAGUAGAGAUAUCAUGAUUAUUGGGUACUCGUUUAUUUAUUUAUUUACAGUGCAUUUAUGCUUUUGUUAUAGUUGUACACUGACCCUCUUUUAUAGUUUCGGACCUAGUGGUGCAUUUCACUGAAGUCAGUAAUUGCCCACUGGAAACUAUUAUUUAAUAGUUCUCACGCCCCUGUUUCUAUAUUUCCUUUUCAGAGCCUUCAGCACAGGCGAAGGCACGGGAUCGCGGCAAGGGUGUCGCGUAGCUAGCUCGCGGAGAGUUCUUUUGCGCUAGAUAGUUACUCCUCCAUUUUAUAUUUUGAGAGAGAUAAAGAGGUUUUGUACCAUGUAUAGAGAGACCACCUUGUACUUCAUUUAGCACUCGUUAUGGGAUUCCUGUUGUACUUACUCUAUAUUUUUAUUUAGUGGACUUUAAGCUUUAUUUUUUUUUUCUCGUUAUAGGACUAGUUGUACAAUGCUCUGAUAUCACUAGAUCUCUUUGUAUUAUUGUUUUAUCUAUCGAAAUUUUGUAGACGCCUUAUAUGUUUUAGACGUAUGGCGGGUCUCGACACGCGCCGGCGGGUAGGCUUCCGUUGAGCCCCGGGGCGUGACAGAUUAAUUUGGUAUCAGAGCCUAGGGUUGAGUCUUAGGAAACCUAGUAAACCUUAGGCCGAUUGGACUAUAGAAAAUAGGCUCGUGAGAGACGAGAUCUAUUCGACUUGUAAGCGAAAGUAUCUAGAUUGGGUAUCUUGGAUAACUCUAGAAAGUGGAGUUAAAUUGAAGUGUAUAACUCCUAACUUCGCGGAGGGUUACGUUGGCGGCCAACAACGUAACAUCGGGAGUUAGUGGUGAAGAACACUUCCUUACUUUCGCAUGAUUUGGGUAUUGCUUAUUAAGCGGGGAUGCGAUAGCGUGGGUUUUACUAACUUGCGCUUUUAUGUUUUGUAGUGACGAUGCCGAUUACUUGUUCCCAAUCUGCCGGGGCGGACAAUGCGGCGAACUUUGAGGAGGUCGAGACCUCCGCUAUCUCCGGAUCUGGCGAGAUCCGUGAGUUGAGGAGCCAGCUUGCGACCCUCACCGACUUAGUCACUCAGCAGGCGGAGGCGGCCCGACAGCAGACUGAGGCGGCGCGCCGACAGGAGGAGCGGAUGAAGCGCCUGGAGGAUCUACUUCUGCAGCAGGCAGCAGCUUCUAGGGAGACGCAGGGCCCUACACNNNNNNNNNNNNNNNNNNNNNNNNNNNNNNNNNNNNNNNNNNNNNNNNNNNNNNNNNNNNNNNNNNNNNNNNNNNNNNNNNNNNNNNNNNNNNNNNNNNNNNNNNNNNNNNNNNNNNNNNNNNNNNNNNNNNNNNNNNNNNNNNNNNNNNNNNNNNNNNNACGAUUGAUUGCAAGAAUCGCACGGUUACUUUUAGAGAACCGGGGCAGACGGAGGUGGUAUUUAGUGGAUGCCGGAGUUCGCUAUUUGCGACGACGAUCAGCUCGUCUCGAGCUAGGCAGCUGAUCAGCAGAGGUUGUAUAGCCUACCUGGCUAGUGUUGUGCUGAGGGGCGAGGAUGACACCCCUAGGAUCGAGAAUAUCCUGGUGGUACGGGAGUUUCAGGAUGUGUUUCCAGCUGAGCUACCGGGUAUGCCUCCUGAUAGGGAGAUUGAGUUUGUGGUAGAUCUCGUCCCUGAGACUACCCCAAUCUCAAAGGCACCCUAUAGGAUGGCACCGGUAUAGCUGAGGGAGCUAAGGGCACAGUUGCACGAUUUGCUGGAUAAAGGCUUCAUUCGAUCGAGCGUUUCACCCUGGGGAGCACCCGUUUUGUUCGUCAAGAAAAAGGACGGAUCACUUCGCCUUUGUGUGGAUUUUCGUGAACUCAAUAAGGUCACGAUCAAGAACAAGUAUCCAUUGACGAGGAUCGACGACUUGUUUGAUCAGCUUCAAAGAUCGUAUGUGUAUUCCAAGAUAGACUUACAGUCGGGAUACCACCAGUUAAAGAUUAAAUCCGAUGACGUUUCAAAGACGGCUUUUAGGACACGGUAUGGACAUUACGAGUUCACAGUUAUGCCGUUCGGGCUUACUAAUGCCCCGGCNNNNNNNNNNNNNNNNNNNNNNNNNNNNNNNNNNNNNNNNNNNNNNNNNNNNNNNNNNNNNNNNNNNNNNNNNNNNNNNNNNNNNNNNNNNNNNNNNNNNNNNNNNNNNNNNNNNNNNNNNNNNNNNNNNNNNNNNNNNNNNNNNNNNNNNNNNNNNNNNNNNNNNNNNNNNNNNNNNNNNNNNNNNNNNNNNNNNNNNNNNNNNNNNNNNNNNNNNNNNNNNNNNNNNNNNNNNNNNNNNNNNNNNNNNNNNNNNNNNNNNNNNNNNNNNNNNNNNNNNNNNNNNNNNNNNNNNNNNNNNNNNNNNNNNNNNNNNNNNNNNNNNNNNNNNNNNNNNNNNNNNNNNNNNNNNNNNNNNNNNNNNNNNNNNNNNNNNNNNNNNNNNNNNNNNNNNNNNNNNNNNNNNNNNNNNNNNNNNNNNNNNNNNNNNNNNNNNNNNNNNNNNNNNNNNNNNNNNNNNNNNNNNNNNNNNNNNNNNNNNNNNNNNNNNNNNNNNNNNNNNNNNNNNNNNNNNNNNNNNNNNNNNNNNNNNNNNNNNNNNNNNNNNNNNNNNNNNNNNNNNNNNNNNNNNNNNNNNNNNNNNNNNNNNNNNNNNNNNNNNNNNNNNNNNNNNNNNNNNNNNNNNNNNNNNNNNNNNNNNNNNNNNNNNNNNNNNNNNNNNNNNNNNNNNNNNNNNNNNNNNNNNNNNNNNNNNNNNNNNNNNNNNNNNNNNNNNNNNNNNNNNNNNNNNNNNNNNNNNNNNNNNNNNNNNNNNNNNNNNNNNNNNNNNNNNNNNNNNNNNNNNNNNNNNNNNNNNNNNNNNNNNNNNNNNNNNNNNNNNNNNNNNNNNNNNNNNNNNNNNNNNNNNNNNNNNNNNNNNNNNNNNNNNNNNNNNNNNNNNNNNNNNNNNNNNNNNNNNNNNNNNNNNNNNNNNNNNNNNNNNNNNNNNNNNNNNNNNNNNNNNNNNNNNNNNNNNNNNNNNNNNNNNNNNNNNNNNNNNNNNNNNNNNNNNNNNNNNNNNNNNNNNNNNNNNNNNNNNNNNNNNNNNNNNNNNNNNNNNNNNNNNNNNNNNNNNNNNNNNNNNNNNNNNNNNNNNNNNNNNNNNNNNNNNNNNNNNNNNNNNNNNNNNNNNNNNNNNNNNNNNNNNNNNNNNNNNNNNNNNNNNNNNNNNNNNNNNNNNNNNNNNNNNNNNNNNNNNNNNNNNNNNNNNNNNNNNNNNNNNNNNNNNNNNNNNNNNNNNNNNNNNNNNNNNNNNNNNNNNNNNNNNNNNNNNNNNNNNNNNNNNNNNNNNNNNNNNNNNNNNNNNNNNNNNNNNNNNNNNNNNNNNNNNNNNNNNNNNNNNNNNNNNNNNNNNNNNNNNNNNNNNNNNNNNNNNNNNNNNNNNNNNNNNNNNNNNNNNNNNNNNNNNNNNNNNNNNNNNNNNNNNNNNNNNNNNNNNNNNNNNNNNNNNNNNNNNNNNNNNNNNNNNNNNNNNNNNNNNNNNNNNNNNNNNNNNNNNNNNNNNNNNNNNNNNNNNNNNNNNNNNNNNNNNNNNNNNNNNNNNNNNNNNNNNNNNNNNNNNNNNNNNNNNNNNNNNNNNNNNNNNNNNNNNNNNNNNNNNNNNNNNNNNNNNNNNNNNNNNNNNNNNNNNNNNNNNNNNNNNNNNNNNNNNNNNNNNNNNNNNNNNNNNNNNNNNNNNNNNNNNNNNNNNNNNNNNNNNNNNNNNNNNNNNNNNNNNNNNNNNNNNNNNNNNNNNNNNNNNNNNNNNNNNNNNNNNNNNNNNNNNNNNNNNNNNNNNNNNNNNNNNNNNNNNNNNNNNNNNNNNNNNNNNNNNNNNNNNNNNNNNNNNNNNNNNNNNNNNNNNNNNNNNNNNNNNNNNNNNNNNNNNNNNNNNNNNNNNNNNNNNNNNNNNNNNNNNNNNNNNNNNNNNNNNNNNNNNNNNNNNNNNNNNNNNNNNNNNNNNNNNNNNNNNNNNNNNNNNNNNNNNNNNCCGGUUUGUGUCUCACUUUUGGAGGAGUCUGCAGGACGCCCUUGGCACUCGAUUGGACUUCAGCACUGCUUUCCACCCGCAGAGUGAUGGACAGUCGGAGCGCACUAUUCAGAUUUUAGAGGAUAUGCUCCGGGCUUGUGUGAUAGACUUCCAGGGAGGAUGGUCGCAGCAUCUACCUAUGGCGGAGUUUGCUUAUAACAACAGUUAUCAAGCAAGCAUCAAGAUGGCGCCCUUCGAAGCACUUUAUGGACGGAAGUGUAGAUCGCCGCUUCAUUGGAGUGAAGUUGGCGAGAGACUGGCUUUAGGCCCUGAUGUGCUCCAGGAAGCGGAGAACAAAGUUCGCAUUGCUCGGGAGCGUCUUGUGGCGGCACAGAGUAGACAGAGGAGCUACGCUGAUCGACGGCGGCGAGUAUUGGAGUUCCAAGUUGGAGACCAUGUUUUCUUAAAGGUCUCGCCGACUAGAGGAAUAAAGAAAUUUAGGAUUUGGGGAAAGUUGAGUUCCCGUUUCAUUGGACCGUAUGAGAUUUUGGACCGUGUAGGCCCGGUAGCGUAUAGACUUGCUCUACCACCGAACCUAUCAGGUGUACACGAUGUCUUUCAUGUAUCGGUCCUCCGGAGGUACAUUCACGAUCCAGCUCACGUCUUGGAUGCUAUACCAGUGGAGCUGCAUGAGGAUUUGAGUUUCGAGGAGCAACCUGUGAAAAUUCUAGCUCGCGAAGUGAAGAAGCUGCGGAAUCGGGACAUUCCGUAUGUGAAGGUUCUUUGGAGCAAUCACGGGGAGCGAGCGGCUACGUGGGAGCUGGAGAGCGCUUUGCAGAAGCGCUACCCUCACCUCUUCCAGGUGGAGUCUUGAGGUACGUCGCAUUUUGAGUUUCGCGAACGAAACUCCUUUUUAGGAGGGGUGAAUGUAACAUACUGGACCUUUACAAAUUGCGAGGUUCGAGUGUUUGAUCAGUGUAUCGAGCUUUUUCAGACUUUCUGGAAGGUCGUAGAUAGUGUUCCGACUUAUGGCUCGCAUCCCGAGAAUUGUGGUUUUAAGCUGGUGCCAAAAGCCCAAAAAGAUUGGACCUUGGUCAGCUCUCGGAUAGCCUGCAGUAGAGCUUGUACCGGAACAAGACUGGUCUUGUACCGGUAUAAGGUUGAUGGUUGUACCGGUACAACCAUCGGCCUUGUACCGGUACAGAGCCGCAGACCCCGCGAACCGAGCCUCGGAUUUGCAUUUUCGUGGGCCUUGUAUCGGUACAAGGGCCCGUGUACCGGUAUAAGGUGGCAGAGUUUGAGCAGUUUGAUACUGCAGGGGAUUUUUUCGCGAUUGUAGCCUAUCUAUAUCAGUCCCGACGCCCUUGGGGACUCUCCCUGAGCUGAGAUCACAGGAGAAGAAGGUAAGGGCUUCCUCUCUUCUUUCCCCCUUAGAUUUUACUCUUUUUUGCUUGGAUUUAGGAAGCUUUUUGCUCUCUUUUGCUUCCUAGAGCAUUUUUCACCUUUGGAGAGGGCUUGGGGCUUGGUUUUGAGCGUGGUAGAGGAACAAUAUUAGAAGUUGUGGACCUUUGAGCUUGGAUUGAAGCUUCUAAGAGGUAAGCAAGUUGUUCCCUCCCUCUAGAUUUUGGUUUUGAUGUUUUAUAGUAGAUGAAACCCUAGAUUGUGAUAUUAGGGUUUAUUUUGGGUAUUUUGAAUCUAGGGCUUUUGAAACUAGAUUGAGUCGAUUAGAGGCUUCCAUUUGGUUGGAUUGGAAGGGCUCUAGCUCUCUUUUGGAGCUUUAGAGGAGAUUUUUGCACUAGAGGUGAGUUUUCCUCACCUAUGCUUAAUUAGCUUAAUGAUUGAAUUAGUUAUUAUUCGUUUGGCUCGUAUGACACUUGUUUUUAUACCUAUAGGGUACUAGGAGACUAGAGGACACCCUCGUGGGAGCGAACGAGGAGUUUCGUUGUCAUCGGUGGGUUUGGCUUCGUGGAAAUAGGGCGAAAUGGCCCCUAUGCUUUUUCUACUUGUCGCAAAAUAUUUUUAAAUUCAUUUCUAUGCUAAAUGAAAUUUAUAUGAAUUUUAGAGCACUUAAAUGCAUGCCUUAUGUAUUAUGAAAAUUUCACUAUAUACUAGAGCUAUAUGAGUAGAAUGUAUGCAUACGGAAAAAGUGUUUAUUUUGUAAGUGAAAAAUACAUCUCUUAUGAGGAUUAUGAUUUGGAACAUGUACUUUGGAAUAUAGUUGUCAUGCUUUGACAUAGAGAACAAGAGUGUCAUCAAGGGGCACUUGAAAUUAGUAAACUAUUAAACUGCAAUAUAGAGACAUAUUGAUAGGCCACUACAUAUCCGUUAUAUUCCAUGUUAGAGACAUGAUGACAUAAAGAUAGGCUAUUGAGAUACUUGAUAUAUUCCAUAUUGUUAGACAUGAGGACUUGGUACUUGAGACAGAUCAUUGCUUGCUCGCCAUUGUGCUCAUUCGCACAUGCUUGUCAGGGUCGCUCCCUACAAGCCGGCACUCCGGAGAUAGCCAUCGCGACAUAUGCUCGCCCGUGCGGGAUUGGGCGCCGAAGUGGAUUGCCGUAGGGGAGGCUCAUCCCUAGAGUGGGGAUGUUGACUACCACGGGGCCAUUAGGCACGGCGCAGGCCAGACAGCCUUCGGAUGGGUCUUAUAUGAUUGGGACUUGGUGACAAAUCAUGCUACGUGAACUGUAUAACUGUUAAUGUGGACUUGGACUAAAAUAGUAAACAAUGACAUUUUUACUAUUACAUUAUGGACUUUGGGUAGUUGCAUAAUCACGCUUUAUAUGUUGGGUGUUCAUGUGCAUAUAGCUAGUAGUUGCUUUUUUACUUAUAUAAAUCAUGCUAAGUAGAGAUAUCAUGAUUAUUGGGUACUCGUUUAUUUAUUUACUUACAGUGCAUUUAUCACUUUUGUUAUUGUUGUACACUGACCCUCUUUUAUAGUUUCGGGCCUAGUGGUGCAUUUCACUGAAGUCAGUAAUUUCCCACUAGGAACUAUUAUUUAAUAGUUCUCACGCCUCUGUUUCUAUGUUUCCUUUUCAGAGCCUUCGGCACCGGCGGAGGCACGUGAUCGCGGCAAGGGUGUCGCGUAGCUAGCUCGCGGAGAGUUCUUUUGCGCUAGAUAGUUACUCCUCCAUUUUAUAUUUUGAGAGAGAGGAAGAGGUUUUGUACCAUAUAUAGAGAGACCACCUUGUACUUCAUUUAGCACUCGUUAUGGGAUUCCUAUUGUACUUACUCUAUAUUUUUAUUUAGUGGACUUUCAGCUUUAUGUCCUUUUUCUUGUUAUAGGACUAGUUGUACAAUGCUCUGAUAUUACUAGAUCUCUUUGUAUUAUUGUUUUAUCUAUCGAAAUUUUGUAUACGCCUUAUAUGUUUUAGACGUAUGGCGGGUCUGGACACGCGCCGGGUAGGCUUCCGCUGAGCCCCGGGACGUGACAGAAACGAACAACAGAUUGCUCAAACAAUAACCAUUUCGGGCCAGGGUUGAAGAAAACUCACCGAUUGCGAAGGAAGCUCUCACGAUCUACAAAUAGGAGUUAGAGUCCUUCCAAUCUAACCUAAACAAAGAUUCUAAACCCAUCAAAUAGGUUUCAAAGCCCUCAAAUCAAAAAUCCCCAUUUUGUGGCAUUGAAUGCUUGAGAAUGAGAAUGAAACACUUUAUGUGUUAUGACAUUAGUGAGUUGUGGCAUUGGCGAACAUGGCAUCCUCUUAGUGAACAUGGCAUACUCAAAGUUGUGGAUUGGAUCAUACUCACCUGUAAAUCUUGGCUUGAGGCGAUCGCACCCCCUCGAGCGAUGAGCUCCAGAGUAGUCAUCACUGGGUUGUAGCUUUCCCAGAGGACGGUCCCGUUGGAUUGUAGGAGUAUCUCCCCGAUAGCAGAGAUUUAGUUGGUGGAUUUUGGGGCGAAACCUCCGGGUUAGCCGAGAGGAUUGUGUAUUGGAAAUGAAAAUUGGCAUGCAGUAUGAACAUCAUAUAUUGUUAGCAUUCUUGUUCAGACAUAUUAGCUGCAUUUAUUUAGAAUGGUUAUCUAUCUAUCUGCUUCUUCUAAUUAUGCCUGGUUUAGACCUAGUGCGAAAGUCGGCGGGGUCGGCGACCGAAUCCACUGGGAACUUUCUUGUAGUUCUCACCGCACUAUUUUUACAGAGGCGGGGCCGAGCGAGGCGAUCGAGGACCGUGGUAAGGGUAUCGUACCCUAGAUAGCGACUACCCGAGUAUAGUUCAUACCUUACCGUUGUCAUCUUUUGUAUAUGAUGAAUAAAGUUGUAUAAUUGUAUAAAUGAUGUAAAUGCAUAAAUGGUUUACAUUUUAGACAAUGAUCAUGUGAUGUAUAAAUGAAAAGAAAGUGAAUGGAUGUAAUUUAUUGUAUCCUUGUAUAUGAUUAAAAGUAAUCAUGAUACUUAUGUGUAUGUAGUAGUUAUAGAACUUUCAGUUUGGAUGUUACUUGCCUUCGUGCAAGCCAUGUAUAUUUAUGUUUUCUCUUGCGCAAAAUUAUAAACAUGUUGAUAUUGUAUUGAGCCUUGGGCGGAUAGGGGAGGUGUUGUCCGUCCAGCGUCUGUUGACGUGCCUGAACCGACCAAAUAGGUGGUCUCGGGGCGUGACACAAGGACUGAUGCCUUUUGCGGAAUCGAAUAUCGAUUUUGGUGCGUUUUUCGACUAAAUUCGCAGGCAAAAUCCGGUUUUAUUUCGGAUUUCAUCUGACGGUGUUAAAAUGCUCUGUGUUUGGUCGCUAAGCCUUAUUGGCUUGGUUACUUAUGUCGUUUCAAGGGUUGGAGACGACAGGUGAGCGACGGUGAUUCCGGUGUCAAAAUUGAUACUUUCGGAAACCCGGAUCGAAACGGUUAUUAGAUGAUAAUCAUUUCAAUGUGGGCCUAUGUAUGUGCUGCCAAGACACCUUUAUAAUUGUAUUGUGUGGCAGCGGGCAACUCGUGGCACGAGUUGGUGAGUUCCGGAACUUUUCGUGGGUCCCGGCAGAGUUCCGGUGCGAUUUUCGGGACUUCCGGCAAGUACGGUAAUCGAUUUUGGAAAACUGAUUCCCGUGGGUUUAAUUGUGGGAUUGUGAGUUUGGUAUUAUAUAUAUGUGGGUUGGUUUCUAACCCAGUGGACCCUCCGUAGGUCUGGUUGACGAUCUUCCACAGUCGCGAGACAGGCACAUUAUUCGUACAGGUGGGUACUUCGACCCUGAGUUGGUCUAGCGGUGCACACUCGAUGAUAUUUCCUCUACCUUAUUUCUCUUAUUACAGUUGUUUACCAUUGUUGAGCCUGACACCUUGUGAACCUUUAUGUAUAGCUCUACUUAGUUUUUUUCUAUACUCGUUAUCAUGAUCUAUAAGUAAAGCGGACAUUGUUUGGAUCUCGUCCAUUGUGACACUCUUGUCGUUUGAUGAUCUAUGAAGUCGGUACACGCUGAACGGUAGGAUUGUCGGCUAGUUGCCGACAGAUGAUUAUAAAUUACACUGAUCCAUGAUUUGACAUUUACGUGACCUAGUCGGUUGGUUUUCAGGACUCUUGUCAUUUGAUGACCCAUGAGGUCGGUGUACCCUAAGAGGUAGGAUUGUCGACUAGUGGCUGACGGCUAAUUCUGGAUUAUAUUGAUACAUGAUGUGACAUUCUUGUGACCUUUUGGUCAGUUCUUGCGCAUACAUUUUAGUUGAGUGAUCAGUACUUGCAUACCUUUGGGAGAAUGUUGAAUUGUUCCAUCCUAAUUGACCUGAGUGAUCGGUACUUGUGUUUGCUUGCGGUUCAAUUACCUAUUGGUCGGUGUGCCCCGAGGGGCGGUGAUCAUCGGCUAUUAGCCGAUGGUUAACUAUUGAUCAUAUCUGCAUCAAUCGCCACAGCGCGAGAGCAUUUCACGUACAUUAGCGGGUUGAUCCCCCGCAGGAGGGUGUUCUUUUCCGAAAAAGUGGUCGUACAUCCGACCCGUGAGCCCAGCGGUAUUCUCUUUGGUAACGUUUAGUUCAGGGAUAAGCAAGAACUAGCUGUUCCAGGGAUAGAUACAAGUAUGAGGAUUAGAGUAAUUUUGUUUUCGGAUGAAAAUAGAUAUAAAGAUAAGUAUAAAGAUGGAUAGGAGAAAAAGUGUUUGGAUGGUAUUUGGGGAUAAGAGGAUAGUGGGUUGGUGAAAGUGUAAAAUUACCAAAUUACCCCUACUGAGAAAAAGAGAAUGGUGAGUGGUAGGAUUGAUAAGUUUUAUUAUUUUAAAUUCAUAUGUACAUAAAAUAAUGCGGGUAUUUUUUACCCAUUAUUUUUUAACCAAUACAAUAAUAAAAAUAUCAAAAUAUAACACAACAGGUGUUAAAAAGACAUACUCAAUUUUCGAACAGACGUACAAACAGGUAUAUGCAACUGGCGCAAAUUUCAAAUUGUAACAUAGCACAUAAUAAAUAUUCGAAAUUAACAUGAUAAUAUUGAAACACAUUACAUAAAAUUAUUACACAUGGUAUUAAUAUGUAGUCCUACAACCAAAUCAAAGCAGUAUUCUUCAGGAUCGAUUAUUCCAUAAUUGGUCAGUAAUAGAGCGCCGCAAGGACUCCCUUCGUGUCGUACCAUCACCUCCACCUGGAAUAGGCUCUGGAUCGCCAACAUCGCCCUGAGGGGCUUCUUGCUCUAGUUGUUCUACAAAAUAUCUAUCAUUUCCUUAUUGUCGACGAAUAAAAUUAUGCAGCACAUAACAUGCCAUAAGUAUCAAGCAUUGAACUUUGAUGGAAAAUGGAGUUGCUUGAGUUAAAAUCUUAAACCGCUUCUUUAAAAUACCAAAACUCUUCUCUACCACAUUUCUCAAUUGCGCAUGCCGAUGAUUAUAUAAAUCCGGAGGAUUCUGAUGCGUGCGAGCCCGCGUAGAAGUGUCAAAUUGGCUGAGAUGAUACCGCUCAUCCCGGUAAGGUGCUAGAAAUUGGUCAGUAUUUGCGUACCCCAAAUCCACCAAAUAAUAUUUACCUAUAGCAAUAAAUAGAGUAUUUGCGUAAUUUUUUGUAUAUGAAUAAAUAUGUGAAUACUUAUCAAUAUAUUAUCAUUUACUUUCGAGAACUGUAAAACCCCCGUAUCGCACGCCCAUCGAAGAACACGCAUAUCUGCAGCCGAUCCUUCCGAACCAAUGCAAAUGAAGAAGAAAAUAUGGUCGAAUGAUACGGCAGCCAUCAUAUUUUGUGACGUAAAUCCCUUGCGACAGCGAAAACACGAUUGCCCACUCUUUUCGACACACAGGAAUGUGUGUUCCGUCUAUCGCUCCAAUUGCAUUCUACAACAUAAAAUGAAUUCUAAAAUAUUUUAUAGAAAUAUACAUUUGCAACGAAAAGAAUUUAUACUGUUAUGCCAACUUACCUUAAAUGGAUGAAAAUUUAUAUUGUCCCGAAUUCUUGGAUGCGUCGCCACAUUACUUAGUGGCAAAUUCAUGUAUUCGCCCUUCAGUGUUACGAGCGCGCGUAGCACAUUGUUGAAGUGUCAACUAAUUGUCUCUCCCGAAUACUGAAAUGUUUCUGCCAACACUCUAUUUCCCACACCAUGACCGACACAAAAUAGAAAUAUUGCUAACUGCUCAUCGGCUGUCAUACGUCGUGUUGCUCGUAUCAAAUCUCGAGCAAGCAGCAUAUCACGGAGUGCCAUAAAAUUUGUUGUUGACAUACGAAAGUGCUGGUACCCUCUAUCUGGAUGACCAUUGAGAAGAUCAGUAACUAAUUCAUGCCCUGAAAAAGGACGCGUUCUACAAGGCCGUCUGUGCAACGUGUUAGCAGCAAAUGUAAGAUAGUCCUGCUCAUAAAGUAUCACGAAUACUUAGUCCCAGUAAUCAUCAUCUUCAUUAAGCAAUGUCAUAAUAUUUGCUAAUGUUGGCGACGAGAAUACAUAACGAUUCAGUAAUUCACCCAUUUUAACUGUAACGCAUAAAAAAGGAUAAUCAACACACUGAACCUAAUUGCAAUCACAAUGACGCCAGUACAUAUUGAACAAUACAUUACUCACUAGAUCUUAACAUGCAUGAUAUAACAAGUUUUUCCAAAUAACAUAGGUUAUAAACUGGUGAUUAUGUCACAAUUAUGUUAUAAUCUGCGAGGAAGCAGCCAAAAUCAACACAUAAUGCAACAUAAUACCAAUGCACAUAAAAGGCACACACGCAUGAUGCAACCUAAAGUACCUGCGAGAUAAAAGUGAUGUCUAAAACCAAAUAUACAACAGUAGAAAUUAGCGACGGUUAUCUAGAAUCCCGGAAAGUCAGACCUAUGGUUAAGGUUAUGCACGCCAACUUGGAGAUCAAUUCACACAAGUGCAAGCUCAUCAUUCAGCGUCAUAAAAAGUUGUCUAUCCGACUCAGCCCGCAAUGACAUCCCAACCGCAAUGGCACGUAUAUCCGUUCGGCGCACUAGAUUAAAAACUCUGCUCAUACAAACGUCAAUUGGUGGAAUUGUCGAUUGACUACCCUUCGCUAUAUUUAUCAUUUCUCGUGCAAUCUCGAGCUUUUGCUUCCCGAUCUUUACCAUCUCAACCAAUGCCUCUGCUCCAAGGUCACUCUUCUUCUUUCUCCCGGCAGAGGAAGUACAUUCUUUGCGUGUCUGUGCAGAGGGUGGUGGGGACCUAGGUCGUUUACCUGCCGAGCUAUGUCCAGAUCCACUAGCAUAACCUCCGACAGCCGGUUGGCCGAGAGGUGGGAUAGAAGAACGCGAAGAUCUGCACUGCCCGCCGGUUUCAUUACCGCCGGUGCCUGCCUCACCUGAUUCAAACAAAACGGGUAAAACAGAUGAAUAGCAAACAGUCUAACAAGAGUAAUUGUAUCAUUCUCACUAGGUGAAGACGACGAUGAACUAACAACAGUAGGUGGUUGCAUUGUUUUUUACGACAUCCCGUAGUGGCCGGUCGCCACAGUUGAUCUACACAAAAAGGCAAUACUGUUAUAAGCAGGAAAUGGUUUAUCCCUACACUUCGCGUAUGCGGGAUUCGCCUUAAUCAAAAGUACCUUACAUUAGAACUAGAUCAUAAUAUGGUUAAAGGAAAUAAGGUUUGUAUGUACUAUAAUAUGAAAUCUUACCGCAAUUACUGCAUCCCACUCAGUAGCGCCACCAGCCGUGGGUAUAUUGUUCACAGUGUCCCAACCCUAACCGCCAAGGUUAGCCAGUUUGUCGUAUAAUAUGUAGAGCCUCUUCAACACCUUGAGGCGAUUACUGAUAUGUUGUUUUGUCAAGUUUUGACCAAUUUGUGAGUUAAAACCCUGCACGAUUCUAAUCCACGCAAUACGAGUAAAACUACCCCCAACGUAGUUUUCGAGUGCGUGCUCCUCCAUCAAAAUACUCAACAAAAUACUAUCAACGUAAUCAGUCCAAUUGGCGAUGUAGCUCCUUAUUUGAUUGGGCCGCCUGCUUGAACCCUCUACAUCACAACCUGGGGUCGCAUUAUCCAUACCCCUUGGUUUAUUUUUAUUUGACUUAGAAAGAAUAUAUUUGGGUCGCAUCUGUAUGUGGAUGACAUACUAUUUUAUUCCCCUCAAUACAACGUCGUUUAGGAAAAUAAAAUAUAGACAUUGUACCAGUAUAGCAAAAUAUUAAAUAUCUGAGCAGAUCAUCAUGCAUAAUCCAAUUUACAAGACAAAAGAGAAAUAUGUGAUGAGUAUAAGAAAACCCUGCCUGAAUAAACUUUAGCACAAUUGAUUUCUCUGUUGGAUAAACCAAGGCAGCAACGCUGUGACGCGUUGUGGCUCAGAGAGUCCCCAAUUACCAUGGGGCUGCACAAAAUAUGACUUCCAUGUCGUGCCAACUAAUGGUAACGAAAACAGGCAUCAUUGCCAAUUCAAUCAACAAACCGAUCGCUAUACACAUGUAUUCCAUCAUUUAAUUUCAAAUGCCCACAAUCAAGAUUAAAAUCCGAACAGGUCUUAAUGUCAAAUAAAAAAGUUUUACCUUCGAAUACCAGUAGGGGAGUAAGAGCAGGUGUGACGCCCUAACUUCCCAGGGGUCACCCAUCCUAGGACUACUCCCGUCCUAGCAUGCUUAACUCUCUUAACCUCUUGGGCCUUGCCACCACCCAAAAUGCUUAAACCGGAUUAAGAGUUUAGCCCUAUUAUAUCUCAUAUAUAGGACUAUCUGGGGUCUCACAGCAGGGGUACGACAGUGGCACUAGAAUGCAACCGAUCGAGCCAACGAUUUCGCAAACCAACAAGCUUCGGUAAAUUUUACUUUCGAGGACUCACGGGAGAGAGAGGUGGAGAGAGCGGAACCGGGUGCAGGGGAGAGGGAGCUCAAUGAGGGAAGGUGGAGAGGGCGGAACCGACUGCAGGGUAGAGGGAGCUCGGUGAGGUGAGCGCUGCAAGUAAGGCCGCCGGAAACCCACCGGCGGUGUAGAUCCGCCCUUGGAUCAUAUCAGGGCUGUCGCAAACCCACUGGAUUUGGAAAAACCACGGGCGCCGACGGGCAGAGGCGAAGAGAGGGAGAUGACUCACGGGAGGGGUAGGUGGAGAGAGGAUCCGGCAGGAGGAGAGAUGGAACUCGGUGAGGUGAGGUGAGGUGGAGAGAAAGGAAAAGGACCGAUCCACGUCGAGUGGGUGUAGGGGUGCAAGAAAGCCCGCUGGAAAGCUACCGGCGGUGCAGAUCAGCCUUGGAUCGCACAUUUCGCAAACCCACAAGUUUUGAAAAAACCACCGGCGCCGACGGCCGAAGGCGAAGGGAAGGAGAGGACUCACGGGAAAGGGAGGCUGUAGAGAGAGACGACCCCGCGGCGGGAGAGAAGGAGCUCGGUGAGAUAAGGUGGAGAGAGGGGAACCAGCUGCAAGAUCUCAGCAAGAAAGAGCAAGAGAGGGAGCUUGACCUUGUGACGAAGAGGGGAAGAAGAAGCCAGCAAGGGUAUUUUUGGAAAAAUCCAAACCGGGGCACACAACGACAAAAAGGGGGUGGGAACUGUUGUUCCCACCGCCCCUCACUUAUCCCGAUGGUCCCACCACCUAAAAAGUUGUUUGGGGAUAAGCUUGGGGAUUAGAGCUAAUCCCCCAGCUUAUUCCAUUCCCAAACACUGCCUUUGUGUUAGGGUUACAUGUCAGGAAUGAGCAGGUAGUGGCUUUUGCCUGAGGUCCUUAGACCGACACGGCGGUUUAGAUUGGGUAUAUUUGGUCUAUUCGUCUAGUUGACGCAUAUGGCUAGUUAUAUUCUUUUGUAUUGUUGUUUACCGCUGCAUCAUUGCUACUGUAGUUAUUAUAUCCAUAAACGCAUUUUGUUUUACUUUACAGUAGCAGUAGUUACAUGUUCUAUUACUAGUCCCUUUCCUUUCGGUAUUAUAGCUAUUGCAUUUGUGAUAGCUACUCAUGACUUUAUUUAUCUCUUCCUGUACUGGUGAGUACUUCUUGCCUUUGUCGGCUUGUGGUACCCAUUAGGAGGGAAGACAUGUGUACAUUUUCUCACCUCCUACCUCCUUUCAGGUGACAUUACGGGUCCGAAUCGGGACAGUGCGUGAAACGCGUAUCUAGCGGUCGAUUAGAGCUUCCGACCCGGUGGAUUUAGUUUAAGCUCCUAACUUAACUUUCUCAAAUAAAUGACUUAGAUAUUAUGGUUCAGUGGGUUUUCAGUUUAUUUGGAUUCACGUGAUUUUGUGAAAUUAAUAAUGUAAUUAUGAUUUUUCAAUGAGAUUAUGAAAAUAGUUUUCUACCUCUUGUGGUAGUAUAUUUUCAAAGAAAAAGAGUUUUCGUGUGUAAAACGGUUUUAAAAAGAGUUUUAUUGUUUUUAUGACUCCUAAUAUUUCAAAAUAAGUUUCUGGGUAUGAAACGUUUUAAACUAAUAGAUGUGAAAUUAUGAGUAUCUGUGAUGGACGUGAAUGAUGUAUGUGAAUGGUGAUUGUAUGUGGAUGUUCACAUUGUGUGCUCGUAUCUUGUACUUGUGCGACGCCGUGCAAAUAUAGGGAAGACUCUGUCCGUGUGAACAGUGGAUUCUCUAUAUUUGUGGCGGAUCUGACGUCCUCUGGGGUCAAGAUUUUCAAAAAAAAAAAUUGGGCACUUCCACAUCAAUUUUAAAUCCAAAAAGGGACCCUAGGACAUGACAUGCUGAAAGCUGCUGUAGCUGGUGCAGGCAGCACAAGCAGCAGGAGCUGCAGCUACAGCUGCAACAACAGCAAAAGCUGUUUGCUGCAGCUGCAAGAAAAGGGAAGGAAAAAAGAGAAAAUGAGAAUGAGAAAGAGAAAGAGACAGAGUAAGAGAGGGAGGCCAAGCGUAAAAAUACGCGCCUUUAGCUUUGAAAUUGGUGUUCUUUGGUGGAAGAGAGUAGUGGAGUGCAUUAUUUGCUCUAUUCAAAUCAAAAUAGAGGGUAACUAGAGUAAAUUUGACGUGAAGCCUGAUAAAAGAGGUAAAUUAAUGUGAUGAGUUGAAUUAAGGUAAGUGGAAGAAUUUCAUCAUCUGCUUCACAGAGUGCCAUGCCAUUAGCGCUUUGCCGAGCUCCUCUACCAUUUUUUUUUGUCUCGAAACCACCUCCACUGGAUUAUGAGGUAAAUUGGCUAAUUCUUGACAAAUCCAACUUUCAUUACCCGAAACGCCAAAUUACUGGAUUUCAGUUCUUUCUUGGCUCACUAGCACCCUCGCUGAGUUCAGUGCUUCCUUAUCCGUAUGAGAUGUAGGCCGAGACACGAGCCGAGACAUGAGCCGAGUAGUGUAUGGGAGAUGGACUCUUGCUACUAUUGGAUUAGCGAUCGAGGUGGAUUCCAAGUCGUCGAAAAUGACGAAUUUCCUUCUGUGUCUAUUUACAUGCACAUGCAUAUGUAUAUUCGUAUAUAGAUUGGUAAAGAGUUAUGUUAGCAUAAAUUCCUCACAAGUGUAUAUGUGAGAAAUGAUCUAUGCAUGAGCAUUGAGUCGAGUGGGCAUAACAUAUAUUUUCUAUACGUGAUUAGAUAUGUCGAUAGAGAUAAUAUUAGCAUGAAAUUAAGUAGAGACAUAGUGAUUUGUUAUCAAUAUAGUAACUUGUUUUUGUAUGUGUAUAUAGUGAUAUAAUGACUUGUUAUCAAUAACUCAUACUGAAAAUUCUAACCACGGUCAUGGGAGGCCAGUUGACAUCUUAUGCAUUUUAGUGAGUCAUCAAUUAUCCAUUUACAGUGUAUAUGUCAUAUAUGAUGUGGUAGAGGCCGUGGGUAGCACAGCAGUAGUGUGCAGAUGUUUGGACAUAGAGAGAGAGAGAGAGAGCACAUGAAUAUUCUAUUGUGACAUUCGAUUUACUGUUUACUCUAUUUAUAUCGAGUACAUUGGAUUGAGUACUUGUGGUACUUUUCACCAUCAUAUAAACCAUAGCCUGCAAAGUCAUAUUGAGUUUGACAGAGUUACGUGCUAUUAGAUUCGGUAGGAGUCGCUCCCCUUCGAGUGCCCGCUCCGGAGGCUGGCCAGUUAUAACAGAGAUAUGUGCCCUUGGGAAGACGACCCACCUGCGGGAGUGGUGUUCGGACUUGGGGCAGAGCCUAGGUGUCGAUGGUGCACCUGCGGGAGCGCAAUCCGGGCACUAGGCGGGCGCAGACUUGACCGGACCUAUGACCCGAUCGUUGCGAUUAGGUAUGUUUACAGCAUUUGUUUCUUAGUAGUAGCAUUGAUGCAUACAUUGCUCAGCUUCUUUCCUUUUCUUUAACUAUAUUUUUAGGGAUAUGAUGGUUCAGCUGGUACAUAGAUUUGUUUAUAUGACUUUUAGUUUUGCACUUUCUAUUACUUUACAUUUACCUAUACAAGUCUGUAGUGUCUAUGGUGUGUAGCGGCCUGAGAGACUUCAGCAUCUGUGAUUUGUCGACACGUCUGGUGGGUGUCGAGUCGAAGUCGUUUUGACACGAAAUGGACGCACAACGGAUUCAGCGCAGUGCGAGAGUGGAGUUCUGACAUUGAAAUCUGCGAAGUGCACGAUUUCAGUGUUGAGUACCGGUAUCUGGAAGGAGUACCGGUACCCCAAAAGGAUUAUAGAACUAAAUGCUCUCGGGUUUGCGCGGUAUGAUGCUGAGUACCGGUACCUGUUGUUGAGUACCGGCACCGAGCUUGAGUAACAGUACUACAUCGGGUUUGUACCGGUACCCAGCGCGUGAGAUUAAGGAAAGAGGGCCGAGUAUCGGUACCCAAGUUGAGUGCCGAUACUCCAAAAGGUAAAUUGAGUUGGUAAAGAGUAUUUUGGUCAUUUUGAUUGUCGAUAAGUCCAACUGACCCCCAGCCUUCUCUCUUUGUGCCUGAAGGUGGAGAACUCAGGUUAGCUUCUCCUCCCUCUCUCUCUCUCUAGCUUCUUUUCUCUUCUCGUUGGGAGCUUGAAGAACUAGCUAAUGUUUCUUUUUGUCGUCUUGGAGGUUCACACUGUGUCGUGGUUGAGUCCGGGUCAGGCCGUUGAAGGUCGAGUUAGCGCGAGGGUCCUAUCGACUUCUAGCCGAUGUUAGACGAGCGUUCGAGGUGGGUUAAUGUUUACCGAAAUCAUCAGAAUUCCUUCUUAGUCAUAGAAGUUGCAGCAUAUGUUUUCUUAUAUCGACCAUCUUGAUUAGUAGCUCGAAUUCGUAGAUUUGCAUUUUUUUUUUUUUUUGAAAUCCGAAUUUGGAGCAAUAUUUAGUGAUUUUAGAUGAAGUAUAUAUGAUGAAUUGGGAUUUGACUUAGGAGAAAACUCGUUAAACUUACAUUGUUAUUUUUCAAAAAGUUACCAGAUUUAGUUUCAGGAGCUAUUGUUCUUUUGUAUCAGCGCUAUUAGUGCGUAGUAGAUACUCAGAUUAGUGUAGGAUGAUAUUACGAUCGUGCUGUGGGGGCUGAGCUCGUUUUACAGUAGUGUUUGGACUGUUCUGUACUGUCGGAUGCCGUCGUGGUUGACAGUGCACCCAGAUGUUUACAUCUUGUUUCAAAUUGUAUUAAGGGCAUGUAAGUUUUGGUUGUUAUACCAGUUUGACACAUUUGCAUUGACUAUAACCUGUGUGAGCCUGAUUGAGCUCGCAGAGACAUGCUUGCAUACUCUGUUGAGUCGCGCCCACGAGUGCCGCUCCGAAGUGAGGCUUUGUAUUGAUGUCGCAGCAGUCCUGUUUGGACAGUAUACUCAGACCGGCCACCUGCGUGGGUGGUGGACAGUGUAGCUUGGCUACAGGCAGAAUGGGUCCGUUUGGGCAGCCCUUGAGAGAUUAAGUCAGUGUGAUGCACGUCUAUGUCUACAGAUAGCCUGUAUUCGUCACUGAUAAUAUAGUGGCAUGUAACUAUAGAGUUCUUUCCAGCUUUUUCUACUAUCCUUUGCAUACCUUACUGUAGACUUAGUUUGGAUUUUAUGUACAUAAUGUUAUGUUGUUGUUGUACUCGCCGAAGCGAGAUGGUUCCGUGGCUUCUGUAUGUACAGCGAACCUUUAUGUUUUUAUAUACAUAUUUUAUUUAUAGCAGCUCUUUACCUCUUGUAUAGCUAUAUUUUCUUACAGGUACAGCUAUCGCUUCAUAUACACGAAAAAUUUCUAUGUAUACGGCUGGUCUGUUGGCGUGCCAGAAAAAACGUAGUAAUCCGGGGCGUGACAAGGUCACACAGCCAGUUAGUCAUUUACUGUGGCACGAAAAAACGUGGUAAUCCGGAGCGUGACAAGGUCACAGCCAGUUAGUUAUUUACUGCACUUUAUAUGUAUCUGCUCAGCUCAUAGCCAGCUAUUUCUUUACUGUUCUGUACGGUUAUUCAUUUACCAUAUAUUUACUGUUCUUUCAUUAUUCUGGCCUCCAGUUGACCUAGUGGGAAGAUCGUGCUUAUCGUCGACCGUACCCACUGGGAACUACUGUUUAGUAGUUCUCACACCCUUUUGUGGUUUACUUUUCAAGGGUACGUAUACCGACAGUUGAUCGUGGUAGGAGUAAUCGCUCAGUAGAUAACAUCUUCUACCGGCAUGCCUAUACAUUAGAGGACCACAAGAUAGAGUACGACUUUGUUAAAUCUUGUAUGUUGGCAAGUUUCGUGAAGUGAGUCGGAGUCUUGAAGGAUCGGUGCGUAUCGUCGAAGAUCGAAAAAUCCAAAACUUCGAAGAAAUGGAAAAAUAAAUCACGGCGUGAAUCACGAUACCCAGGUAAGUUUUUAAUUCUUGUUAUGGUGAUUCAUAUUUAGUUACAGGCAUUAGAAUCAUAAACUCAAUGUUUACUGGAUUACAAAGUGCGUCGGAACUUUGCGAAACUCGAAACUGUGAAAAAAUCAGAUUUAUACAAAGUGUACCGGUACAACAUCAGAAGUGUACCGAUACAAAUUGUAUUCCGGUACAACCAGCGACAUAUCCAGUCACAAUGUUUCGCAGGAUUUUCUCUUCCGUCAUCGUGUAACCGGUAACAGCUCAAAAGUGUACCGGUACACAAUGUAAAAUUCUGAAAACUUUCUAAUCCGACUCCAAUUGAUUCUAAAGUCUAUAAAUAAGCUAUUGGGCUUCUCUAACUAAUUAAGCAUCAUAAGAAUACAUGUUUGAGAAACCCUAGGGGCUAGGAUUUCGUCCAAAAUCGAUUUUUUACAAAAUAGCCUCUUUUAGGUCAAUUCGAGAUAUCGUAAUUCGAAAUCUUAAUGUCGAAUUGAUCUAAGACUUCGUUUAGAGUUUGAUCCCUGAUUCUUCAUCAACAUUCUAAGCGAAGGAUCACCAUAGCAUGAUGUUUUUCAUGGAUGGCGUCGUGGAUUCGGUGUGAUUGAAAGCGAUUCGUGGAUUCGGAUCGUCGGCUCGUGGAUUCGAGUGGCGUUCGUGGAUUCGGACGUGUGCGAGACGUUCGUGUAUUCGAAUGUGAAGGCAUGGACAACCCGGAGGAUUGCGCGAGAUUCGUAAGAGGUUAAAAGAAGUCGAGUCCGUGGAGUCGGUAAUCACUUGUAAUCUUUUCUCUCAGUGAAUUAUUUUUCGCGUGUUGGUCCCGUGGGUUUUUCUCCAAGUUGGAGUUUUCUCACGUAAAUCUCGGUGUGAUUUUUAUUUUUCGCAUUUAUUUUUAUCGCAUUAAGAUUUGUGGUUUUGGGCUAUUACACCUAUUCACCCCCCUCUAAGUGUUAGUUACAAUCUAGAUAGAUCCUUAGGUUACCCCAAAACUUACAUUGCAUUACCUACCAGCUCUGGCGAAGGCCAGAGCUUUGUAUAUGUACUUUUCUUUUAGGGUUGAGUUUUAUUUCAUGAAGUACAUGAUGUAUAGCAGUUUACUUUGUAGAUAAUGCUCUGAUACAUAUCGUUUGUUUAUUUCAUGCCUUAUUCUGGUUCUUGUGAUCUGAAAAUAUUUCCGUUUAACCUCUUGGAUUACCUUGCCCUGUUCUAUUGUGUUGCUGCUUCGUUCAGACAGAGGAAACUAUGUCCGUUCUAUCACGGGGUUAGCUUUUUCGCCUUGAAAAUUCUCGCGCGGCGCUCAAGUGUCGCACACCCGAGCCAGCCUUCUCGAGUUCUCUACACGGACAAGUCUCCAAACUUAACAACGGAAUACCAAUCCAAGCUUUUUGCCAAGCUUGCUCCUCUGCGAGACUUAUAGCCCAACCCUUCGCUUGUAAUCAAACCCCUCAUCGGACUCCUCGAGUUCCCAACGAGCAACCCCAAUACCGAGAUUGGCCACCAAGCUAGGUGCAUCCCAUCUCGUCAACCAAACCCUCUUCGAGAGUGCUUCGUAGCCGAAUGCCUUGUUGCCUCCAUCACAGCCCAAGGACAUUGCAAGUUCUCCCCCAACUUGUCUCACUAUGAGUCUAGCCGAGCGUCCUGCCUCACCAUGCAUUCCGCUCCCACAACUUGCCCUGCACGCCGCUCGCGUCAAGGUUCGGGUUCCGCCAUAUCACAUGCCACGAAGGGCACUCAUAAACAUAUAUCCUUCACGUCGUGCCUCAUGCGACUGACAACGUCCACGGCCAUACCGCAUACGCGGCCUGCUUGCUCGGUCCAACGGCAUACAUCCGAAAAGCCACCCAAGCGUGCGCCACAACCUCGCCUGUCUCCCAAUGCCAGUGACCUAGCGUGACACCCCGCACGCCCAUGCUUCGCACUUCCGUGCUUCACAUCCAACUUGUACAGCUCUCGUGUCCCAUCGCUCCUGGCAAGAGAACCAACAAGUCCACACCGUGCUUCUCGACCGUCCCCACGACCCUUACUUUUCCAUGGCGCUCCGCGGACUCGAUUGCCAUAGAUUCGCCUCACAAGACCCCAUAUAAACGAACCGGCCUCACUCCGCAUUGCUAGCCACUUGCCCCAUCCUUGGCUCGACCAUGCCUGGCCGCUCAUACCAUUGGUGCAGUCUCUCAAGGUUCACUCUACGGAUACCGAUACCGCUUGCCUCAUUGGGUUCUGCCCCUCCAGUCUCCUAGGCAUUCUGCCUUACGAAUUCUCCAUCGGCGUGCCUUCCUUUAGCGAGCCUAUGAGUUCCGCCUUCGUUGGCAUUCGUGGGCACCGCGCCCCACGAAUCCCCGCUAAGCACACUUGCUUUCGCAAGCCUUGUCCUUUACGGAGGACCAUCCGUCGCAAGACUAUCCCUCAUCCGCUCGUACGCUCCACUACAAAGAUCCAAGCCGGCAUAAGGUAGUGCAAGCGAUCCUAAGAGGAAAGCCUCCCGGUAUUCACCGCUCCGUAAUGUCGUCGACCUCUCGUGUCUCCGACAUUACCCUAAGCCCGUGUCCCUUCAACCGUCCAAUACCCGGUCACACGGAACGCUAGGCUUGACCACUCCGCUAGCCAAGGAAUGACCCAUGUCCUAUAAAUCGACGGGGGAGUCGGGACUACUUACGAAGUGUCCACCCCUCCUCUAUAUACCCUAUAAUGCAUCCAUCCAUUUGGCACCCCGGGAGUACAAAGGUGCUCACUGAGGGGUACAUUUUGAGACCCAGCAUGCGGCACCAAAUUCCUAGUCAUGGCACGGGCCAUUGCUAGGGAGUUGCCUCCGUUGACUUGACAGCGACUCCCACAUGACGAAACGCCUCAACUCCGCAACUCCAUAACUUCGUCGACCCAAGUGCCUACCAAAUGUGGCCCCCAAGGAAGUCACGAUCAAGUCCCAGCGAUCGACCCGUGACAGUUCGGAUUUGGUGGGUCUGUUGACGUUCCCGUGCACUUCCGCUGUGGACUCGAGGCGUGACAAGAGGACAAUUCUAAUGCAUCUAAAAAGAUCAUAUUCUAAAAAAAGUUUGAACGCUUGUCAUGUUGAGAUAAGCAUGCAUUUUAUUCAAAACAUACCAACAUAAUGAUUGAAACAAUGGCUAUUGCAUAUUUUUGAGAUUUACUACACAUUUUUUCUUUCGCAGUAAUAAAAGCUAUGCGAACCAAUUGGUCUGCCAAGUCUGUCAAAUGCAUUGUGCAUAUCUUGAGAAGUGUAUUGUGCAUAUCUUGUUUAAAUCACUAGAACUCUCCAAUAGAAUGCACGUUACCUAAUGUUAUUUUGGUAUUUCUUCACACUUAUGUGUGCCAACUCUUGUGAAGCCUCUCAUCAAUUAGCUUAUAACUUUGUAGCCAACAUUGAAUUAAUGAAAAAUGCUUGGAUGGUAAUAAAUAGACAAUUUGAAAAAUCACAUCCGUUUUCAGAAUACAAAUAUGAAAAGAUAACAAGAAAUAAUUAUCAGUAAGCAUUUUGCAUGAGUAUUUGUAAUAGCCCUCACUCAAAAGAGCAAAAUUUGAUACAAAGAUGACAGCGAAACAAGUGAAUCUAAUACUUACCGGGCAAUGAAAAUGCUUGUCNUGAUAAAUGAUUGAAUAAAUAAAAAAUAGAAAAAAAUAGCAAUAGAAUAAAUUAAAUAGUAAAUAAAUAAAGAGAUAAUCAAAUAACUUGAAUAAAUAGAAGAACAUAAAAAAAGAAACAAAAUAUGUUGAAUGCACAAAUGAAUGAAAGAAUGAAUGAAGAAAUAACUAAAUAAAUAAAUAACUAUAGGAUAAAUAGGUAAAAGAAUAAAUAAAUAAAUGAAUAAGUGCAUGAGUAAAUAGAUAAAUUGCUAAAUGAUAAAUAGGUAAAAGAAUAAAUAAAUAAAUGAAUAAGUGCAUGAGUAAAUAGAUAAAUAGCUAAAUGAUAAAUAGGUAAAAGAAUAAAUAAAUAAAUGAAUAAGUGCAUGAGUAAAUAGAUAAAUAGCUAAAUGAAUAAAUAAGCUUAAAUAAUUUCAUAAUCGAAUAACUUGAAUAAAUAAAAUAAGUAAUAAACAAGCAAAUAAACAAAUAAACAUUUAAAAAAAUAAAUAUAAAUAAAUAAAUACAUGAGUGAAUAAAUAAGUAAAUAAAUAAACAAGUGAACAAAUAAAUACAUGAGAAAUGAAUAAAUAAAUAAGUCAACAAAUAAAUAAAUAAAAUAUACAUAAAUACAUAAACAUAUAGAUAAAUAAACAAACAAACAAAUAAAUAAAUAAAUAAAUAAGCAAAUAAACAAAUGAACCAAAAAAAUACGAAAUAAAUAAAUAAAUAAGAAAAAAUAAAAUAUAAAUACAUAGAUAAAUAAGUAUAUAAAUAAAUAAUAGAUUAAAAUAGAAAACUAAAUGGACAAACAAUCAUAUAAAUAAAUAAUUAAUUAAAAAUUAUAUAAAUACAUAAACAAAUAUAUAAAUUAAUGAAUAAGUAAAUUAGUAAAUAGAUAAAGAAGUAAAUGAUACAUAAACGAAAAAAUAACUACAUAAAUUAUUGAAUAAGUAUAUGAGUAAAUAGAUAAAUAGCUAAAUGAAUAAAUAAGCUUAAAUAAUUUCAUAAUCGAAUAACUUGAAUAAAUAAAAUAAGUAAUAAACAAGCAAAUAAACAAAUAAACAUUUAAAAACAAUAAAUAUAAAUAAAUAAAUACAUGAGUGAAUAAAUAAGUAAAUAAAUAAACAAGUGAACGAAUAAAUACAUGAGAAAUGAAUAAAUAAAUAAGUCAACAAAUAAAUAAAUAAAAUAUACAUAAAUACAUAAACAUAUAGAUAAAUAAACAAGCAGAUAAAUAAAUAAAUAAGCAAAUAAACAAAUGAACCAAAAAAAUACGAAAUAAAUAAAUAAAUAAGAAAAAAUAAAAUAUAAUUAAGGAGCUUACAGAAUUAGAGUAAAAAGACCAAAUCUUCUCAAAGCAUUUUUAGGCCAAUUCAAAAAAUUAAAAAUAUAAAACGAGUUGAUAAAUAAAUGAGGUGAAUAUAUAAAUAGCAAAUUAGGCAAAUCAAUAAAUAAUAACAAUAUAGACAACAAAUGAUAGAUAAAUAAUAAAAUAAAUAAAUAAUUAAUACAAACAACAAGGCAAACAAUGGAAAUCAAAGAAAAGAUUAAAAUAGUUAAUUUAAAAAGUUAAUAUUAAAACAAAAUAACAUAUAAACAUUUAAAAAUAAAUGAAUUAUUGAAAUAGUAAGCUAAAUAAAUAAAUGAAUAAUGAUGUGAAAGUCAACAUAAUUAAAAAAUAUUAAAUAAAUAAAUAAAUAAUUGCACAUGCACAAACAACGAGUAAGAAUGAACAAAAAAUUAAAUAAAUAAUUACGUAUAUAGAUAACAGAUAAGUAUAUAAGUAAUUGAAGAAGAAGAAGAAUGAAUAAAUAGUCACAUAAAUACUAAUACAUAAUAAAUAAAUAUAUACGUAAAUAAAUGGAUAAAUAACCAUUUAAUAAAUUAUAAAUAAAUUUUAAAAUUAACGUAAUUAAAUAAAUAAAAUAUUUAUAUGUAAACAUUUCAAAUUUAAUCAAUUCAUAGAUAAAAAAAAACUAUUAAAAUAACAAAGAUAAGUAAUAAAUAAAUAAAUAUUCAUAAUUAGAUAAAGUAAAUAAAGUUAGAAUAAUGAAUAAAUGAUAAGUAAUUGAAUGACAAACAAAUAAACACUAAAUAAAUAAAAACUUCGUAGAGGAAGUAAAUAAUAAAUUUAGAAGGCAUAGACAAUUAACGCACUAGAUGAAAUAAAUAAAUAAAGUAAACAAACAACAAGCAAAUAUUUAAAUUAAAUAAAUGAUGAAUGAAUCUGAUAAGUUUACAUAAUAAACCAAGCGAACCAAUAAAUUUAAAAAUAAUGGAAAAAUAUAAAUAGAAAAAUAAGUUAAUAAACAAUAUAAUAGAUCAAAAAUAAUAAAUACUAAAUAGAUAAACAGUCAUAUGAAUAAAUAAAAUUAAAUAAUAUAUAAGCAAUAACAAAUAGAUUAAUAAAACAAGUAGAUAAAUAUAAUAAUAGGGAAAUGAAAAACGAGACCAUAAUAAUGAAUAGAUAAACAGUCAUAUAAUAAAUAAAUAAAUAAAAUAAGCCACAUAAACAAAUAGAUAAUAAACAAGGUAGAUAAAUAAAAUAAAUAAGGUAAAUGAACAAACAAACAAGAAUAAAUAUGAUAUUAAAUAAAUAAAUAAAUAACAUUUAAAUUUUAAAUAAAUAAAUGAUAGAAAGUAAGUCAAUUUAAUAUAAUACAAUGAAUAAUGAACAGGCGCAUCAAUUAAAAAUAUAAAUUAAAUGAAAAGCAGUCGCAUAAUUUUAAAAUAAAUAAAUAAAUAAUAUGUUGAAUGAACGAAUCACACAAAAAAAAAGAAAGAAAUUAAAUAAAUAAAUAUACUAAGAACAGAAAAGAAAAGAAAAAAAUAAAUAGCACAUAAAUAGAUAAUACUAAAAAGUAAUAUCUAGUAAAUAGAUGAAUAAUAAUGAUUUAAUGAAUUAAUUAAUAAAUUCAUAAAUUUAAUUCAGUCAUAGUUAAUAAAUAUAAUAGUGAAUAUAGACAUUUUAUAAUUCUAAUAAAAUUAAUAACCAAAAAAAAGAAUAUAAACUAGUUAAAAUAAACAAAGAUAAGUAAAUAAAUAAAUAUUUUCCGUAAUUAGAUAAAUAAUAAUAUGAAAUAAGUAAUACAAUAGACAAACAAAUAAACAACUAAUAAAUAAAUAAUUUGUAGAAAUUAAAUAAUAAAUAAAUAGAUAAUAGAAUGAAAAGGAAAUUAAAAUAAAUAAAUUGGCACAUAAGUCAGUAAAUAAGUAAACCAAACAAAACAACAACAAAAGACUAAAUAAAUGCGAAAUAAAUAAAUAGAUAAAAUUAAGUUAUUAUAAAAAGUAAAUAUAACGAUCGUAAACAACAUAAUAUUUAAAUAAAUAAAAUGAAUGAUAUGACGAUAGUUAUACAUUAUUAAACAAAUAGACCAAAAAGAAUAAGAAAUGAUAAUAAAUAUAAAAAUAGAUAAAUUAAGUAAAUAGAACAAAUAUAGAUGCUAACUAAUAAAUAAUAGAUUUAAACAUCAUAUAAAUAAAUAAAUAAGCAAAUAACAAAUAAAAACCAUAAGAAUAAAUAAUGCACCUAUAUAAUCAACUACAUAAAUAAAAGUAAUAGUAAAUGAAUGCAUUAAACAAUAGAUAAAAACAAAUAAUAGUCGAAAUUAAUAAGAAAAUAGAUGAAUUUGAUAAAUAAUAAGUGAAUAUACAAAACAAAUAAAUAGUUUAAAUAAAUAAAUGAUGAAUGAACGAUAAGUUGUACAUUUAAUAAACAAAUGAAUAAUGAACAAAAAUAUAACGAAAUGAUGAACAAAUCGUAAGAAUAGAUAAGAAGUAAUAAACAAAAAUAAUAAAUCAAAAAGCUAAAAGUAAUAGAUAGAUAAAAAUUCCAUAUAUAAUAAUAAAUAUUAAAAAGUAUAUAAGCCAUCAAACAAAUAGAUAAAUAAAAAAUAGAUAAUAAAUAAUAAUAAAUAAGCAAAUGAACGAAAUGAACCAGAGAAUAAUAAUAAUAUAAAGUAAAUAGAUAAAUAAAAUAAUAAAUAAAUACUAUGCAUAAACCGAAAAGAUAAAAUCAAAUAAUAAUGAAAUGAAAUUAAUAAAGAAAUAGAUGAAUCUUGAGAAAUAAAUGAAUGAGAUAAACAAACAACGAAAUAAAUAAUAAACAACAAAACAAAUAAUUAAUAAUAUAAUUAGACAAUAAAACAAUAAAUAUUAAAUAAAUAAAUAUAAAUGAACGAAGUUAUACAUUAAUAAACAAAUGAAGAAAAAUAUACGAAAUGAUAUAAAUAUAUAAAUAAAUAGAUACAAUAGUAAUAAACAAAUAAUAGAUGCAAAAGCUAAUAAAGAAUAAAUGGAUAAACAACAUUCAAAUUAAUUAAUAUUAAAAAGUAUAUAAGCCAAAAAAUUAAUAUAUAACAUGUAGAUAAGUAAAUAAAUAUAGCAUGUUGACAAUAAACAAAGAAUUAAAUAUGAUUAAAUAUCAUAGAUAAUAUAAAGUAAUUAAGUAAUGCAUGCAUAAAUGAUUAGACAAUGAAAAAUAAUUAAUAAAAUUAAUAAGAAAUAGAUGAAAUUGAUAAGAAUUGAUAAACAAAAAAAAGCAAUAUGAAUAAAUGAUAAUAAAUCAAUAACAUUAAAAAAGAUAAAACAUUAAUGAGUAAACAAAAAACAUAUAGAAUAGAAUUAAUAAAUUAUAACAAAUAAUUGAAAAGUACCGCUAAAUGAAAAUAAAUAAAGAUAAUGAGAAUAAAUACAUAAUCCGAACACUUAAAUAAUUAAAAACAAUAUAAAUUAAUAAUAAAUGCGUCGAAUGCACGACACGAACAAAGUAUUAAGAAUAAACUAUAACUAUAAGAUAAUAUAGGCAACAUGAACAAAAUAAAAUAAUAAUUAAAUAAAUAAAUAAGAUAAGUAAUGAGAAAAGCGAAAAUAGACCCUAAAUAAAUAAUAAAGCUUAAAUAAUGCAUUCUCGAACAACUUGACUAAAUAAAAUGUUAACUAAUACGCAUAAACAAUAAAUAAAAUAAACAAAUAUAAUGAAUUAAUAAGAAAUGAUAAAAAUGAUAAAUGAUUGAAUAAAUAAAAAAUAAAAAAAAUAGCAAUAGAAAAUUAAAUAGAAAUAAAUAAAUAGAUAAUCAAAUCUUGAAUAAUAGAAGAAAUUAAAAAAAGAAACUAAAUAUGUUGAAUGCACAAACGAUAUGAAAGAAUAAAUGAUAAGAAUAACUAAAUAAAUAAAUAACUAUAGGAUAAAUAGGUAAAUAGAAUAAAUAAAUAAAUGAAUAAGUGCAUGAGCAAAUAGAUAAAUAGCUAAUGAUAAUAGGUAAAGAAUAAAUAAAUAAAUAUAAUGUAUGAGUAAAUAGAUCAAUAGCUAAAUGAUAAUAGGUAAAGAAAUAAAUAAAUAAAUGAAUAAGUGCAUGAGUAAUAGGAGAUAAAAUAGCUAAUAUGAUGAAAAUAAGCUUAAUAAUUUCAUAAUCGCACAUAACUUGAAUUAAAUAAUAAUAAGUAAUAAAGCGCAAAUAAACAAUAACAUUUAAAAAAUAAAUAUAAAUACAAUAAAUACAUGAGUGAAUUAUAAUAAGUAAAUAAAUAAAACAAGUGAACAAAUAUAUUACAUGAGAAUGAAAUAAAAUAGAAUAAGUCAGACAAAUAAAUAAAUAAAAUAUACAUAAAUAAGACUAAACCUAUAGAUAGAAUAAGAAAACAAUAAUACGAUAAAUAAAAAUAAGCAAAUAAAAAAUGAACCAAAAAAAUACGAACUAAAAUUACAUAAAUAAGAAAAAAAUAAAAUAUAUAUAACAUAGAUAUUUAAGUUAUAAAUAAAUAAUAGAUUAAAAUAAAAAACUAAAUGGAAAACAAUCAUCUAAAUAGUAAUUAAUUAAAUAUAUAUAUAAUACAUAAACAAAUAUAUAAAUUAAUGCAAUAAUAAUUAAUAAAUAGAUAAAGGAAGUAAAUGAUAAUAAACAAAAAAAUAACUACAUAAAUUUAUUGGAAUAAGUAUAUAGUAAAAUAGAUUAAAUAGACUAAGUAAAUAAAUAAGCUUAAUUAAAUUAUAUCGAUAAUUGAUAAAUAAAAUAAGUAAUAAACAAGAAAAUAAACAAUAACAUACAAACAAUGCAAACGUAAUAAAUAAAUAUGAAGUGAAUAAAUAAGUAAAUAAAUAAACAAUUAAACAAAAUAAAUACAUGAGAAUAAAUAAAUAAAUAACCAAUAAUAAAUAUAUAUAUAUAUUAUAUAUAUAAAUAUAUAUAUAUAUAUAUAAUCAUAUAUAUAUAUAUAUAAAACAAAUAGAUAAAUAAACAAGAAAUAAAUAAACAAGUAACCAUUUAAUUCGAUAAACAAUAAUAAUAAAUAAAUAAUGAUUAAAAAAUAUGAAAUACAAUCAUUAGAAUAAAAUAAAUAUAAUAUAAUGGCAAAAACAAUAGAUUAGAAUACAAUAAAGAAAUGAACAAAUAAACCAAAAAAUAAAUAUGAUUAAAUGAAAGUAGAUAAAUAAGGUAAAAUAAGUAAAUUACAUUAUAAACAAUAGACUAAUAAAUAAACAAAUAAAAAAUAAUAAAUAAUAAAAUUAGGUAAAAUAAAUACGUCAAAUGAACGUACGAAUUAACAAAGAAAGAAAAAGAAGAAAUAAAUAACUAAAUAGCAUAAACAGCGUAAAUUAACAUAAACGAAAAAGAAUUACUAAUAAUAAAUAAAUGAUAAGUACAUUAACUUAAUAAUAAUUCAUAAUCGGACAACUUGAAUAAAUAAAUAAUAAUAAACAAGCAAUAUAACAGUAUAAACAUACAAAAAAUAUAUAUAAUAAAUUAUAAUAUCAACCGAACAAAUAAAUAUAGGUAAUGCGUGAAUAAAUAGUAAACAAAUCAACGAGGAACCAAUUAAUAUAAUAAUAAAAUUAAAAAUAAUAAUAUAUACUAAUAAUAUAUAAAUGAUAGAUAAAUCAACAAGCAGAUUAAAUAAAAAUAAGCAAAUAUAACAAAUGAACCAAAAAAUACGAAAAUAAUCAAAAUAAUAAAUAAAAUAAUAUACACUAGAUAAUAGAUAAUAAUAAAAUAAAUAAAAAAUAAUAGAUUAAAAAUAAAAAACUAAAUAGAUAAACACCAUAUAAUCAUAUAAAUAAAAUAAAUAAAUCAUAUAUAAAUAGAUAAAAACAAAUCGAUAAAUAAACAAGUAAAGAAUGAACAAAUCGACCAAAAAAUAAAUAUGAUAAAUAAAAGAUAAAUAAGUAAUCAGUAAAUACAUGUAUAACAAUAGAUGAAAUAAACAAAAAUAACAAAAUUAAUAAGAGAAAAUGAUUAGUAUGAAAUUGACAAAUGAGUUGAUAAAUAAAAAACAGCAAUUUGAAAAAAGAUAAAUAAAUUAUAAUAAGUAAUAAAUAAAUAAGUAAACAUAUAAUAAGUAAAAUAAUAAUUAAAGAAAGUAAACCAUUAAGUAAACCAAAAUAAUAUAAAAUAAUAAAUAAAUAAAUUUAUGAAAAACUAAAUGAUUGAAAAGACAACUCAGAUAAUAAAGUAUAAUCAAGCAACUGAAUAAAUAAAAUAAUAUACAAUUAGUAAAUUAAAUACGUUUCGUACCNNNNNNNNNNNNNNNNNNNNNNNNNCAUAUACAUUAGAUAAAUAAGUUUAAAUAAUAAUAGAUUAAAAUAGAAAAACUAAAUGGACAAACAAUCAUUAGAAUAAUAAUUAAUUAAAAAUUAUAUAAUACAUAAACAAAUAUAUAAAUUAAUGAAUAAUAUAAUUUAAAUAGUAAGGAAGUAAAUGAUACAUAAACGAAAAAAUACACUAAAAAAUUAUUGAUAAGUUAUGAGUAAUAGAUAAAUAGCUAAAAUAUCAAAUAAGCUUAAAUAAUUCAUAAUCGAAUAGUUGAAUGAAAUAAAAUAAGUAAGUAAACAAGAAAAUAAACAAUAAACAUACAAAAAGCAAACGUAACAUAAUAAAUACAUAUUUAGUGAAUAAAUAAGUAAAUAAUAAACAUUAAACAAAAUAAAUACAUGAGAAAUAAAUAAAUAUAUAACCAAUAAUAUUUAUAAUAUAUAUAUUAUAUAUAUAUAUUAUAUAUAUAUAAUAUAUAUAUAAAAGAAAUAGAUAAAUAAACAAGCAAAUAUAAAACAAGUAAACAACAAAUUAAUUCGAUAAACAUCAAUAUAAAUAAUAAAUGAUUAAAAAAUAUAAAUACAAUCAUUAAAAUAAAAUAAUAUAUAUAAGUUGGGCAGAAGGAACAAAUAGAUUAUAAAAAUAAGAAGAUAUGACAAAAUAAACCAAAAAGGAAAUAAAUAUGAUUAUAAAUAAAUAGAUAAAUAAUAAAUAAGUAAAUAAUUAUAAACAAUAGACUAAUUAAAUAAACAAAUAACAAAUACUAAAAUAUAAAUAGGUAAAUAAAUACGUAUAAUGAAGUACGCUUAAAAAGAAAGAUGAAGAAGAAAGAAAUAAAUAACUAAAUAGAUAAACACGUAAAUUAACAUAAACAAAAAAUUACUAUAUAAAUAAAUGACUAAGUACAUUAGCUUAAUUAUUCUAUCGACAACUUGAUAAAUAAAUAAGUAAACAAGCAAUAACAAUUAAACACACAAAAAUAUUAAUAUAUAUAUUACAUUCAACACGAACUCAGACAUAAAUAAUAGGGUAAUCGAGUGAAUAAUAUUAAACAAAUAAACGAGGAACAAAUUAAAAAUAAUAUAAAAUAAAUAAAUAAAUAAUAAUAAAUUAUGAUUACAUAAAUAAUAAGAUAAAUAAACAAGCAAGAUAUAAUAAUAAAAAGCAAGAUAUAACAAUGAUGAACCAAAAAAUACGAAAUAAUCAAAUAAAUAAAUAAAAUAUAUCAUAUAAUAGAUAAAUUAAUAUAAAUAAAUAAAAUAAUAGAUUUAAAAAUAAAAAACUAAUAGAUAAACCAAUCAUUAUAUAUAAAUAAUAUAAAUAUACUAUAUAAAUAAAAUAAACAAUCGGAUAUAACAAUAAGAAAUGAACAAAUGACCAAAAAAUAAAUAUGAAUAAAUAAAUAGAUGAAAUAAGUAAACAGUAAAAUACAUGUUAAACAUAUAGAUAAAUAAACAAACAAAUAACAAAGAUUAAUAAGAGAAAGAUAGUAUGAAAUUGCAAAUGAUUGAUAAAUAAAAAUAGCAAUUGAAUAAAGAAGAUAAAUAAAAUAAUAAGUAAAUAAUAAAUAAGUAAACAUUAAUAAGUAAAAUAAUAAUAAAGAAAGUAAACCAUUAAGAGUAACCAAAAAAUAUAAAUAUAAAUAAAUAAAUUUUGAUGACUAAACUAAAAUGAUGACAACUAGAUCUUAAACAUAAAUCAAGCAACUGAAUAAAUAAAAUAAUAUAAUUAGUAAAUAAAUACGUUAGUAACAAAUAAUGAAUUGAAGAAAUACAUAAAAUAAACUAUAAGAUAAUAGGCAAAUGAAUAAAUAACUACGAAAGAUAAAUAAUGAGUACAUGGGUAAUGGAUAAAUAGCGUAAAUAAAUAAUAACUUAAAUAAAUUCUAUGAAACACUUGAUAAUUAAAAUAAUAUAAAUAGGUAAAUAAAUACGUCGAUGAACAAUGCGAAAAAAAAAAAGAGAAUGAUGAAGAAAUAAAUAAAUAAUAAAUAAAUAAACAAUAAUAUGAUAAUAUAAACAAAAAAAUAACUACUUAAUAAUGAACAAGUACAUUGAAUCAAGAAGAUAAAUAGCUAAUAAAAAAGAAGCAAUACGAUAGAUAAAUGAAUGUCAUUUAUAGGUGAAUAUAUAUAAAUAGAUAAUAGAAAAAUGAUAAGAUAAUCAUACAUAAAAUAGUCGCACCACAUUGGAAUGUAUCAGCUUUCUUCUUCAAUCAACGCGCCGCCAAAAUAAGACCCAUAUUGCUCCAAAUUUUUCUCUCCAACCUAUACAUGUAAUAACUUCCUAAAUUUCAAGAUGCAUAUAUAAAGAUCAAACACGCAGACGAAGCAUUAUCUUCUCUUUCUCCUCUGGAAACGAAAAUCCUACGAAGCAUAUACGCAAGCACUAUAAGCCAUACAUUAUCGCAAAGGAGAUCAGAUGCGCGCUCUUCAGAGCAACGAGGGAACCCGGGCAGCCCAAAACAGGACUAAGAUACAAACUUGAGAGAAUAUAGUAAAGAACCAAUAGAAUCCAGAGAAACGAAUUUUACAUUAAAAGUUCGGCAAAGCAAAAGGAUGCUAUGGAGAGAUCAAAACGUAAUGGGCUAUUUAACCGAAAGAAAUCAGUACUUUCCUUUUUACAGAUCAAAAGGCAGGGGCACCAAAUAGCCGGAGAGGAUGACUAAGAAACAUUUUGGAAAUGAAAAGAAACCCAAUGCAAAUCAACAGAAAACUACUUUGAUUAUUAAACCUUCCUUAAGUCAAGAUCUUUAAUAAACAUCCAAAUCAAACACCUGUACAGGAUUAUGCUCUUUCAGAAAAACAAACACCUAUUUGGAAGCAAAAACAGAAGCCUAAAAGCCUAAACGAGACUAGAGAUACAAAUUGGGAAAAAGAAGAAAACCCAAAUUGAAAAGCAUUUAUAAAGUCUAAGCCUUAGUUGAAGCAUAAUUUAUACAGUCUAAGCAAAUGAUAGUAACAUCACUUGAUUCGUUAGAUUAGCUUAAAAUUGAAGAUUGAAGAAAAAAAAAAAAAAAAAAAAAAAAAAAAAAAAGAAGAAAAAAGGUGCAUUCACGUCGAUUCUUCACAACAUAUAGUCACACAACAAAGCAAAGUUAAUGCACUUUCCACAGUAAACAACUAGGAAAAUAGGAAGAGAGGUAAUAAUUCCAAUUUGAGUCGAAUUCACUAAUUAGGUGAAGGUAGAUUUAUAGUAAGAAUGCUGCUAAGCCGAGUUCUCUGCAUUAGGACACAUUGCAGCUUAUUCACAAAAGCUUGCAAGUCACUUCAGAUUUAUCUUAAUAUUCAAAUAGUUUGAUGUGGAAAAGACUUUAUUAAGUGUCUAAGUGUAGUGAAGCCAUAUGUACAGCAGAAUAUAUUACCUUCAAUCUACAUAGAACAAGUUUUCCAUUAAUUAAUUCGGUAAGAGAUUAAUUCUAUGAGAGCAGCGCAAUUCUUAAUGAUCUAAAAAGCAUCAUGUUCUAACAGAAGUUUGAAUGCCUUGUUAUGUCUUGAGAUUUUACAUACAUCUUUUAUUCAAAACCAACCAACAUAAUGAUUGAAACAAUGGCUAUUUGUAUAUUUUUGAGAUUUACUACAAUAAUGUUUCCUUUUCGCAGCAAUGAAGCUAUGAGAACCAAUUGUUCUGCAAGUUAUGUUCUCUGUUUGGGUCAAAUGCCUGUUUCUGAAAAGUUUGUAAUGGCAUUAUCUGUUCAAAUCAAUUCCCUAAUAAAAUGCAGGGUACGCCUAAUGUUAUUUCGUGUAUUUCUUACAUCAUGUGUUGCCAUCUUGUGAGCUCCAUCAUCUAUAAGCUGUAGGCUUGCCCAGCCAAAUCUUAUAUUAAUGGAAAUAUACUUGGGUGGCACUAAAUAGACAGUUUGAAAAAGCAUCCAUUUUCAGAAUAACAUAUGUGAUAAGACAAAAUGAAAAACAAUUAUCAGUAAACACUAUGCCAUAAGUAUUAGUAGUAGCCCUCACUCAAAGCAGUAAAAUUUUGAUCAAAGACAUGAUAGUGAAACAAACGUGAAACCUAAUACAUUCGAGGCACUAAAAAUUGUUGUAUGUAAGCUGCUGUUUAAAAUGUAGAGCUUGUCACUUGAUCUGUAUAGAUACAUCUGCUGUCGCCAGAUUGAGGUUUUAUACAUUUUACAACAAAAAUCAAAAAACUACCUAUUCCACAAAAUCAAUGUUUAUGUUGAAUGUUGUUUUAAAAGAUAAGUAAUAGAAGAAAUAUUAUUUAUAUAAGUAAAUUUAAUAAACAAACAUUAAAAAAUAGGAUACUAAAUAGCUAAAUAAAUAGAGUCCAGCUGGAUGCUUCUAAUGACAUAGCAAAUGGUGAUACUAAAAUAACUUUUCACAUUAAAUCAACCCUUUAAUAUUUCUUACCUCUUGAUCGAAUAUUAUUCGUACACUAUCACUAACCUAGCGGGAACACUAUCAUUCAACUCAUAUUCUUCAUCCAAGAGCUUACAAACUUAGAGUAAAAGGCCCAAAUACUUCUUAAAGUAUUUUGCCAUUCAAUAAUAGAUUAACAUAACGAUCCUGUUGAUAAAUAAAUGAUUGUGAAUAUAUAAAUAAGUAAAUUAAUCAAUUAAUAAAUAAAACAAAUGAGAAGUAAAUAAAUAAACAAAUAUGUAAUUACAUAAACAAAUAGAAAUUAAACAUGAUUAGAUGAAUAAAGCACAUAUUAAACAAACAAACAAACAAAUAAUGAGAAAUAAAUAAAUAGAUAAUGAAAGUUAUUUAAAAAGUAAAUAUAAAAAAUAAAAUUUAAAUAAUAAAUGAUAAUGAAUGAUUGAAAAGUCAAGAAACUAAAUAAAUAAGGAGAAUAUGAAAAACACAUAAUGAAAAAAAUCUAAAUAAUAAAUAUGCUGUAAUGAACGAUCUGCACAAACAAACCAAAGAUGAACAAAUAAACAUUUAAGAUACGCUAUAUAGAAAGAUAGAUAAAUAGAUAGAUAGAUGUAUACAAGUAAACUGAAUAGAAGAAAUAAGUAAUAAUAGCACAUAAUAAUAAAUAACCAUUUAACGAAUAAUAAAUCAAUUAAAAUAAUCAGAAAUUAAAUAAUACAGAUGAUGUAUAACGUAAAAUUAUAAUUUAUAAAUUAUAAGUAAAAAAAAGAAAAAACUAUUAAAAUCAAAAGAAGAAAUAAUAAAAAUUUAUUAAUUAGUAAGUAUAAAUAAAAAUUUAUUAUUUAUAAAUAUAAAAAUAUAAAUAAAUAGAUGCAAUAAGUAAUGGAAUAGGACAAAAAAUUAAUUAAACUAAAAUAAAUUAAAUAAAUUCUUGAGUAAAUAGAAUAAAUAAAAUAGAUAAACAACUUGAAUGGACAAAAGAAUAAUAGAAUAACUUCGUUUGAGAUGAGUAAAUACAUAAAUAGAUAGGAUAGAACAAUGGCAAUGGGAUCAAGAGGGAUCAUAACUUAGGUACGUCACUCAUACUAAGUUUGAUUUCUCCAGAAGGGGCGCAGCAGCGAGGCUGAAAUAUGCGCACAACCCUGAACCGGAGAAGGUGAAGAGGGAUUGCAUUUGGCGACGUUAUCUUCACCAAGUGUUAGAAGUCGAUCCCAGUCGAUAAACAUCACUCGAAUAUGCCUUAAAAGAUGCAUAAAAGCAAUCAAAUAUUUGGUAAAAACUCCAAAAACACAAUGAAGAAGCGGAUUUUGAGGGAAGAGCCGUUGAGAUAGCUCGAUAGGAUGAAGCAAUGGAGAGAAAAAAGAAGCCCCUUUCUUCUGGGCCCAUCGCUGUACGGGAGCGAGAGAGACGAAGAGAUUAUGUUAAGGGCGAGGCUAUUUGGUUUUCUUGAAAUCCACCGACAAGUUUAUGAAACACUUGCGAAAUUAUAGUACGCAAAAUAUAUGUCGAUAAAAAAAGUAAUAAACUAAUAGUAAAAUAACAGUAAGAUAAUUUAUAUAAGAAAAAAUAAAAGGUAAUACAAUAGACAAAUAUAAAUUAAGAAUAAAUAAAAAAAUAAUCACAAGCGUAGAUAACCUGUGACUCAUAAACAGACUAAAUAAAUAAAUAAACGAACAUUUAAGAUGAGAUAAAACACAUAUAGAUCAAUAAAUGAUAUAUAAAGACUAUAGAUAAAUAAAAUAAAUAGUAAAUAAAAAAGAUAAAUAAUGCGCAAUUAAAGGAAUAGAUAACAGUCAUAGUAAAUAAGCAUACAUGUAAAUUAAUAAGCAUGUGAAUAAAUGAUGAUGAACGAAAUUGAAAAAGUUAAAGUGAAAUAAGCUAAUAAAAUGAAAUAAAUAAUAAAAAAGUGUUCAAUUACAUAAGUUAUAGUGGAUAAAUUAAUAUUUAAUACAUAAAUAAAUAGAUAGAUAAGCUUAUGUAGCUACACAGAAUAAAUCAGUAAACAGAAUAUAAAAAAUCAAUACAUGCAAGAAAAAGUAGAGCAGCUAAACCACAUUCUCCUCAUUAGCUAAGACUUUCAUGCGGAAAGAAUAAAGCAGUAAACUAAUACAAAGGAUGUGUGAGAAAAGGUUAAUAGCUACUUACAAGCAUGAAGAUACGAACUUUAAAGUUGUUCUAGGAAUUGCAUUUAGCACACUUUCAUAAUAGAAACAAAAAUCAGAAAAUACCUGCCCACAAUAUUUGGAACGUUGCUGAAUGUUGGUUUCAAAAGUAAUAAAAUAAGCCAAAUAACAAAUAAGCAUUACAAAAAAUAAAUAUAAAAAUAAUAACUUUAACGAACAAUCGAACACGAGAACAAAUAAUAGAUAAAAGUAAUAAUACAUAAAUACAUGGUAGAUAAUAAUAAAAGGCAAGUGUACAAACCAAUAGUCAUGAGAAAUAACGAAAUGAAUAAAAAUAAGUAAUAAAUAAAGUAGAAAUAUAAGUAAUCUAGAACAAGGGUAAAUAAAUGAGAAAAUAAUAAAUAAGAAGCAAUCAACAAUGAACCAAAAAAUAAAAAUGAUGAAAAAUUAUAAUAUAUAAUAAGUUAAAUCUCUUUUUGGGAAAUAAUGAAUGAAGAAAUAAAUAAAUAACUAUAAGAUAAAUAGGUAAAUGAAUAAAUAACUACAUAAAUAAAUGAAUGAGUACAUGGGUAAAUGGAUAAAUAGCUAAAUAAAUAAAUAAGCUUAAAUAAAUUCAUAAUGAAACAACUUGAAUAAUUAAAAUAAUAUAAAUAGGUAAAUAAAUACGUCGAAUGAACAAAUGCACGAAAAAAAAAAAAGAAUGAAUGAAGAAAUAAAUAAAUAACUAAAUAAAUAAACAGAUAAAUGAAUACAUAAACAAAAAAAUAACUACAUAAAUAAAUGAACAAGUACAUGAAUAAACAGAUAAAUAGCUAAAUAAAAAAAGAAGCACAUAGAUAGAUAAAUGAAUGUCACUACUAGGUGAAUAUAUAUAAAUAGAUAAUAGAAAAAUGAAUAAAUAUAUCCAUACAUAAAUAGUCCCACCACAUUGGGAAUGUAUCAGCUUUCUUCCUUCACAUACAACACGACAGCACAAGAAUAAGCCACCCAUAUGCUCCCAAUUUUCUCCCAACUAUACAUUAAUACUUCCUAAAUCAAGAUGCAUAUAUAAAGAUCAAACACCAGACGAGCAUUAUCUCCUCUUUCUCCUCUGAAAACGAAAAUCCUACGAAGCAAAUACGCAAGCACCUACUAGCCAUACCAUUCAUCGCAAAGGAAUCAGAUGCGCGCUCUUCAAGAAGCCAAAACCGAGGGAACCCCGGGAGCCCAAACAGGACAUAAAGAUACAAACUUGGGAAAAAUUAGAAGAAACCCAAUAGAAAUCCAAGAGAAACCAAUUUUACAUUAAAAGUUCGCAAAGCAAGAUGCAUAUGGAGAGAUCAAACACGUAAUGGGCAUAUUAUUAACCGAAAAGAAAUCAGAUACUUACUACAGGAAAUCAAAAGCAGGGGCACCCAAUAAGCCGGAAGAGGAUGUAAAGAAACAACCUUUGGGAAAAUGAAAAGAAACCCAAUUGAAAUCCAACAGAAAACUACUUUAUAUUAAACCUUCCUAAGUCAAGAUCUUACAUGAAACAUCCCAAAUCAAACACCUGACAAGGAUAUCAUGCUCUUUCGAAAACAAACACCCUAGGAAGCAAAAACAGAAACCUAAAGAAGCCUAAAGAAGACAUAGAGAUACAAACUUUGGGAAAAACAGAAGAAACCCAAUUGAAAAGCANUCAUCAAUUAGCUUAUAACUUUGUAGCCAACAUUGAAUUAAUGAAAAAUGCUUGGAUGGUAAUAAAUAGACAAUUUGAAAAAUCACAUCCGUUUUCAGAAUACAAAUAUGAAAAGAUAACAAGAAAUAAUUAUCAGUAAGCAUUUUGCAUGAGUAUUUGUAAUAGCCCUCACUCAAAAGAGCAAAAUUUGAUACAAAGAUGACAGCGAAACAAGUGAAUCUAAUACUUACCGGGCAAUGAAAAUGCUUGUCCUAUUAGUUGUUGUUUAAGAUGUAUCGCUUGUACACUUGCUCAACUCGACAAUUCUUUAUCUAAGAGCUUACAAACUUAGAAGUAAAAAGACCAAAAUACUUCUCAAAGCAUUUUAGCCCAAUUCAAAAAUAAAAAUAUAAACGAGUUGAUAAAUAAAUGAGUGAAUAUAUAAAUAAGCAAAUUAGCAAAUCAAUAAAUAAACAAAUAGACAAACAAAUGAUUAGAUAAAUAAAUAAAUAAAUAAAUAAUUAAACAAACAAACAAGCAAACAAUGAGAAAUAAAAAAAUAGAUUAAAAAGUUAUUUAAAAAGUAAAUAUAAAAAAAAAUAAACAAAUAAACAUUUAAAAAAUAAAUGAAUUAUUGAAAAGUAACUAAAUAAAUAAAUGAAUAAUGAUGAAACAGUCACAUAAUUAAAAAAAUAUAAAUAAAUAAAUAAAUUAAUGACGAAUGCACAAACAAACGAAAGAAUGAACAAAAAAAUUAAAUAAAUAAUUACGUAUAUAGAUAGAUAGAUAAGUAUAUAAGUAAUUGAAAAGAAAAGAAAAUGAAUAAAUAGCACAUAAAUACUAAAUACAUAAAAAAUAAAUAUAUAGUAAAUAAAUGAAUAAAUAACCAUUUAAUAAAUUAAUAAAUAAAUUUAUAAAUUAAUCAGUAAUUAAAUAAAUACAAAUAAAUGUAUAUGUAAACAUUUCAUAAUUUAAUAAAUUCAUAGGUAAAAAAAAUAAACUAUUAAAAUAAACAAAGAUAAGUAAAUAAAUAAAUAAAUAUUUCAUAAUUAGAUAAAUAAAUAAAAGUUAUGAAUAAAUAAAUAAAUGAAUAAGUAAUUGAAUAGACAAACAAAUAAACAACUAAAUAAAUAAAUAACUUCGUAGAGGAGUAAAUAAAUAAAUAGAAGAUAGACAAUUAAACGCCUAGAUGAAUAAUCAAGGAUAAGUAAAUAAACAAACAACAAGCAAAUAUUAUUAAAUAAAUAAAUGAUAUGAAUGAUAAGUUAAUUAAUAAACCAACGAACCAAAAAUAUAAGAAAUAAUGAAAAAUAUAUAAAUAGAAAAAUAAAGUAAAUAACAAAUAAUAGAGUCAAAAAUUAAUAAAUAAUAAAUAGAUAACAGUCAUAUAAAUAAAUAAAUAAAUAAUAUAUAAGCACAUAAAACAAAUAGAUAAAUAAACAGUAGAUAAUAAAUAAUAAUAGGGAAAUGAACAAACGAACCAAAUAUAAUAGAUAAACACAUAUAAAUAAAUAAUAAAUAAUAUAUAAGCCACAUAAACAAAUAGAUAAAUAACAAGUAGAUAAAUAAAUAAAUAAGUAAAUGAACAAACAAACCAAGAAUAAAUAUGAUAUAAAAAAUAAAAUAAUAAACAUUUAAAUUUAAAUAAAUAAAUGAUAGAAGAAGUAAGUAAUUAAUAAAUAAAAAGAAUAAUGAAACAGUCGCAUAAUUAAAAAAAUAUAAAUAAAUGAAACACAGUCGCAUAAUUUUAAAAUAAAUAAAUAAAUAAAUAUGUUGAAUGAACGAAUCCACAAAAAAAAGAAAGAAUUAAAUAAAUAAAUAAUAAGUAACAGAAAAGAAAGAAAAAAUAAAAUAGCAUAAAUAGUAAAUACAUAAAAAGUAAUAUCUAGUAAAUGAUGAAUAAAUAAUGAUUUAAUGAAUUAAUAUAAUAAAUCAUAAAUUAAUCAGUAAUUAAUAAAUAUAAGUGAAUAUAGACAUUUUAUAAUCUAAUAAAUUAAUAACCAAAAAAGAAUAAACUAUUAAAAUAAACAAAUAAGUAAAUAAAUAAAUAUUUCGAUAAUUAGAUAAUAAUAUAAAAAUGAAUAAGUAUAAUACAUAGACAAACAAAUAAACAACUAAUAAAUAAAUAAAUCGUAGAUGAGUUAAAUAAAUAAAUAGAUAAUUAGACUGAAAGGAAAUAAAAUAAAUAAAUUGCACAUAAGUCAUAAAUAAGUAAACAAACAAAACAAAACAAACGAAUAAAUAAAUGCGAAAUAAAUAAAUAGAUAGAAUAAGUUAUUUAAAAAGUAAAUAUAAACGAGUAAACAAAUAAAUAUUUUAAAUAAAUAAAUGAUGAUAUGAACGAUAGUUUAUACAUUAAUAACAAAUGAACCAAAAAGAUAAGAAAUGUAUAAUAAUAUAAAAAUAGAUAAAUAAGUAAAUAAACAAUAAUAGAUCAAAAGCUAAUAAUAAUAUAGAUAAACAAUCAUAUAAAUAAAUAAAUAAGCAAAUGAACAAAUAAAACAAAGAAUAAAAAAGAUUGAUAUAAAUAACUACAUAAAUAAAGUAAGAAGUAAAUGCAUGCAUAAACAAUAGAUAAAUAAACAAAUAAUAGUUGAAAUUAAUAAGCAAAUUAGAUGAAUUUGAUAAAUAAAUGAAUGAAUAAACAAAAACAAAUAAAUAUUUAAAUAAAUAAAUGAUGAAUGAACGAUAAGUUGUACAUUAUAAAAACAAAUGAAUACAUGAACAAAAAAUAUAAGAAAUUGAUGAACAAUAUAUAAAUAGAUAAAGAAGUAAAUAAACAAUAAUAAAUCCAAAAGCUAAAAGUAUAAUAGAUAAACAAUCAUAUUAAAUAAAUAAAUAAUUAAAAAGUAUAUAAGCACAAACAAAUAGAUAAAUAAAAAGUAGAUAAAUAAAUAAAUAAAUAAGCAAUCAUGAACAAAUGAACCAGAGAAUAAAUAUGAUAUAAAUAAAUAGAUAAAUAAAAUAAAUUAAAUAAAUUACAUGAUAAAAAAAGAUAAAUAAACAAAUAAUAAUGAAAUGAAAUUAAUAAGAAAAUAGAUGAAUUUGAUAAAUAAAUGAAUGAAUAAACAAAAACAAAUAAAUAAAUAAACAAACAAACAAAUUAAUUAAUAAAUAUAGAUAGACAAGUAAACAAAUAAAUAUUUAAAUAAAUAAAUGAUAAAUGAACGGUAAGUUAUAAAUUAAUAAAGAAAUGAAGAAAAAAUAUAAGAAAUGAUAAUAAAUAUAUAAAUAGAUAAAUAAGUAAAUAAACAAAUAAUAGAUCAAAAGCUAAUAAAUAAUAAAUAGACAAACAAUCAUACAAAUAAAUAAAUAAUUAAAAAGUAUAUAACCACAAAAAAAUAAAUAAAUAAACAAGUAAAUAAAUAAAUAAAUAAGUAAAUAAACAAUUAAAAAAAAUAAACAUUAAUGAGUAAACAAAAAAACAUAUAGAAUAAAUUAAUAAAUAUGAACAAAUGAUUGAAAAAGUAACUGUAAAUAAAAAUAAAUAAGAUGAUAAAUAAAUACAUAAUCGAAACAACUUAAAUAAUUAAAACAAUAUAAAUUAAUAAAUAAAUGCGUCGAAUGCAUGAACGAACAAAAGUAUUAAGAAAUAACUAAAUAACUAUAAGAUAAAUAGGCAAAUGAACAAAUAAAAUAAUAAUUAAAUAAAUAAAUAAAUAAGUACAUGAGAAAGCAGAUAAAUAGCUAAAUAAAUAAAUAAGCUUAAAUAAAUCCAUUCUCGAACAACUUGACUAAAUAAAAUUUAAAUAUACGCAUAAACAAUAAAUAAAUAAACAAAUAAUAAUGAAAUUAAUAAGAAACAGAUAAAAUUGAUAAAUGAUUGAAUAAAUAAAAAAUGAAAAAAAUAGCAAUAGAAUAAAUUAAAUAGUAAAUAAAUAAAGAGAUAAUCAAAUAACUUGAAUAAAUAGAAGAACAUAAAAAAAGAAACNNNNNNNNNNNNNNNNNNNNNNNNNAAUGCACGAAGAAACGAAAGAAUGAAUGAAAAAAUAAAUAAAUAACUAAAAAGAUAAACAGGUAAAUGACUACAUAAACGAAAAAAUAACUAGAUAAAUAAAUGAAUAAGUACAUGAGUAAAUAGAUAAAUAGCUAAAUAAAUAAAUAAGCUUGAAUAAAUUCAUAAUCGAACAACUUGAAUAAAUAAAAUAAGUAAUAAACAAGCAAAUAAACAUAUAAAAAUAUAAAUAUAAAUAAAUAAAUACAUUGAAUGAAUGAACGCAUGAACAAAUAAAUAAUAAAUAUAUAAAUACAUGAGUAAAUAAAUAAACAAGUGAACAAAUAAAUACAUGAGAAAUAAAUAAAUAGAUAGAUAAGUAAAUAAAUAAAAUAUAUAUAUAAAUACAUAAAUAGAUUUGAAUAAAAAAAUAAUAUAAAUAAUAAAAUACGUCGANAAAUGAACCAAAAACAAUAAGAAAUAAAUAAAUAAGAAAUAAUAAAAAAAAUAUAAAUAGAUAAAUAAGACAUAAAUAAAUAAUAGAUUAAAAGUUAAUAAAUAAUAUAAAUAAACAAUCAGAUAAAUAAAUAAAUAAUUAAACAAAUAUAAAUACAUAAACAAAUAGAAAAAUAAACAAUAAAUAAAUAAAUAAAUAAGCAAGCAAAUGAACAAAUUGAUGAAAAAAUAAAUAAGAUAUAAAUAAAUAGAUAAAUAAGUAAAUAAGUAAAUACAUGUAUAAACAAUAGACUAAUAAAUAAACAAAUAACAAAAUUACUAAAUAAUAUAAAUAGGUAAAUAAAUACGUCAAAUGAACGUACGCAUUAACAAAGGAAAGAAAGAAUGAAGAGAAAAAUAAAUUAGUAAAUAGAUAAACACGUAAAUUAUACAUAAACGAAAAAAUAACUAUAUAAAGAAAUGAAUAAGUAUAUUAAGCUUAAAUUAAUUCAUAAUCGAACAACUUGAAUAAAUAAAGUAAUAAACAAGCAAAUAAACAUAUUCAUUUCUUUAUAUAGUUAUUUUUUCGUUUAUGUAUAAUACAUAAAUAGAUAGAUAAAUAAACAAGCAGAUAAAUAAAUAAAUAAGCAAAUAAACAAAUGAACCAAAAAAAUACGAAAUAAAUAAAUAAAUAAGAAAAAAUAAAAUAUAUAUACAUAGAUAAAUAAGUAUAUAAAUAAAUAAUAGAUUAAAAUAAAAAACUAAAUGGACAAACAAUCAUCUAANUAAAUAGAUAAAUAAGUAAAUAAAUAAAAUAUAUAUAUAAAUACAUAAAUAGAUAGAAAAAUAAACAAGUAGUUAAAUAAAUAAAUAAGCGAAUAAACAAAUGAACCAAAAACAAUAAGAAAUAAAUAAAUAAGAAAUAAUAAAAAAAAUAUAAAUAGAUAAAUAAGACAUAAAUAAAUAAUAGAUUAAAAGUUAAUAAAUAAUAUAAAUAAACAAUCAGAUAAAUAAAUAAAUAAUUAAACAAAUAUAAAUACAUAAACAAAUAGAAAAAUAAACAAUAAAUAAAUAAAUAAAUAAGCAAGCAAAUGAACAAAUUGAUGAAAAAAUAAAUAAGAUAUAAAUAAAUAGAUAAAUAAGUAAAUAAGUAAAUACAUGUAUAAACAAUAGAUAAAUAAACAAACAAAUAACAAAAUUAAUAUGAAAAUAGAUGAAAUUGAUAAAUGAUUGAAUAAAUUAAAAAAACAGCAAUUGAAUAAAUGAAUAACUAAAUUCAUAAUUUAAUAAGUAAAUAAAUAAACAUAAAUAAGUAAAUAAUUAAAAAAAAAAGUAAGCAUUAAUGAGUAAACAAAAAAAUAUAAAAUAAAUAAAUGAUGAAUAAAUGAUUGAAAAAUUAACUAGAUAAAUAAGUAAAUAAAUAAAUACAUAAUCAAACAACUUGAAUAAAUAAAAUAAUAUAAAUAAGUAAAUAAAGAUGUCGAAUGAAUGAAUGUGCGAACGAACGAAAGCAGGAAUGAAGAAAUAAAUAAAUAACUAUAAGAUAAAUAGGUAAAUGAAUAAAUAACUAGAUAAAUAAAUGAAUAAGUACAUGACUAAAUAGAUAAAUAGAUACAUAGCUAAAUAAAUAAAGAAACACAUAGAUAGAUAAAUGAAUGUCACUGUGUGAAUAUAUAUAAAUAGCUAAUAAAUAAAUAUAUCAAUACAUAAAUAGUAGAUAUAUAACAAACUUUACCGACCCUGCCACGAAGGAAACAGCUUUCUUCAUUUGCAUACAACACAACAGCACAUGAAAAAAAAAAAAAAGAGCCACCUUAUAAUUCAUGCUUUGGGACUCUAAAUCUAUAGUGGUUCACUAAAUAACCUACAGGUAAAAUCCUUCAGUAGUUGAGAAAGAAACAUAAAAUGAAGCAACAUCACUGGAUUCGUAAAGAUUUGUUAAAAUGAAAAGGAAAGAAUAAAAGGUGCAUUCAAAUCAAUUCUCCACAAGAUAAUAGUUCACACGACAAUGCAAGUUAAUGUAACUUCCACAGUAAAAAACUUGAAGGAAAGAGGUAUAAUUUCCUAAUUUGAGCUCAGAAUCACUAAUUAGUGGAAUAGAUUUGAGUGUCACCUGAUUAGCUUUUAUAGUAAGAAUGUGCUGAGGACUGAGUUCUCUGAUUGGCAUAUUGCAGCUUCUACCCACAAAGCUUGCAAGUCACUUCCAGAUUAUCCAGGUCAUACAAAUAGUUUGAUCGAAAAGCACUUUAUAAAGUCUAAGCUUAGUUGAAGCAUAAUGUACAACAGAAUAUACUACCUUCAGACAAGUCUUUCCAUAUAAUUAAUUAUCUGUAAGAGAUUAAUUCUACGAGAGGACAAUUCUAAUGCAUCUAAAAAGAUUAUAAUGCAUCUGAUUAAAAUGUUCAUGUUCAAAAGUCUGGAUGCUUGUCAUGUUGAGAUACAUUGCAUAAUUUUUAUUCUAAACAAACCAACAUAAUGGACAAAGCAAUGGAGAAGAAAAAGGAGGCCCUUUCUCUCCCCCAACGCCUAAUGAGCAAUGAGCAAGAGAGAGUAAAGAGAUUGUGUUAAGACGAGGCAGUUUGGUUGUUUUCAAAUCCAACGGCCGAGUUUACGAAAUCUCAUGAACAUAUAUAGGUUGAUAAGUAAAUAAAUAAUUAAUAGGUAAAUAAAUAAAUAAUUUAUAAAUAAGUAAAAAAAAUACGUAGGUAAUUGAAUAGACAAAUGAAUAAAUAACUAAUAAAAAAAGAAAUAAAUUGGUAGAUGAGUGAAUAAGUGAAUAGCUAAAUAAAUAAAGACAUACGUAUAAAUGAAUAAAUGAAUAAACAUCAAUAAUAAAUAUAUAAACAAAUAGAUAAAUAAAUAAAUAGUAAAUACAUAAAAGAUAAAUAAAUGAGCAAAUAUAAAUAAACAGAUAAACAAUCAUAUAAAUAAAUAAACAUGUAAAUUAAUAAAUAUGUGAAUAAAUGAUGAAUGAACGAUUGAAAGAGUAAUAAGUAAAUAAAUAAAUAAUUAAAUAAUUAAAUAAGGAACUAAAUAACUCAAUAAAUAAAUAAAUGGAUAGAUAAAUAAAUUUAUAUACAUACGUACAUAAAUAUAGAUGGACUGAUAGAUAGAUAACUGUGUAACUAUACAAAUAAAUCAGUAAACAAAUAAAUAAAUAUACAAAUACAUGCAGAAAGAAACAAACUUUACAUUAAAACUUCCUAAAUCAAGGUGCAUAUACAAAGAGUAAACACAAGACCAGCAUAUCUUUCUCCUUAGAAAACAAAAACCCUACGAAGCAAAAACACAAACACCUAAUAAGUAUAUUAUUCAUCGCAAAGGAAUCAGAUGCACGCUUCAAGAAAUCAAAACCAAGGGAACCCCGGAAGCCCAAACAGGACAUAAAGAUACAAAUAUGGGAAAAAUUAGAAGAAACCCAAUUGAAACCCAAGAGAAACCAAUUUUACAUUAAAAGUUCGCAAAUCAAGAUUCAUAUGGAGAGAUCAAACACGUAACGGGCAUAAAAUUAACCGAAAAGAAAACAGAUACUUACUACAGGAAAUCAAAACCAGGGGCACCCAAUAAGCCUGAAGUGGAUGUAAAGAAACAACCUUUGGGAAAAUAAAAAGAAACCCAAUUGAAAUCCAACAGAAAACAAUUUCAUAUUAAACCUUCUUUAAUCAAGAUCUUACAUUAAACUUCCCAAAUUAAGAUGCAUACGCAGAAAUCAAACACCUGACAAGGAUAUCAUGCUCUUCCGAAAACAAACACCCUGUGAAGCAAAUACAGAAACACCUAAUGAAUGGCAUAUCAUUCAUUCGCCAAAAAGGAAUCGAAUGCUUACACAAGAAAUUAAAACCGAGGGCACCCAAGAAGCCUACUAAGGAGGGCAAAAAGAUACAAACUUUGGGAAAAACAGAAGAAACCCAAUUGAAAACAACGCGAAGUGGGGAUCAGAGGGAUCAUCACUUACGUCCUCAUAGGAAGAUUGGUGAGAAGGUGCAUUGCGAAGGCAUGUAGUAAUACAGCCUCAGCCUACUGCUCCGAGGGCGAUGAGGUGGAAGUAGCAAUCAAAAAAACCCAGAAAAGAACCUAAAAUAGAUUGCCCAAAGAGCAAAUCAAAUACGACAAAGCGCAACAGAGAACAAAAGGAAGCAGCGAUUCAGAGGGGGAGGAGCUCGUCGUUGAGAUCGCGAUGGGACAAAAGCAAUGGAGAAGAAAGAGACCUCUGUGAGUUAGGACGUAGCGAACCUGGCUAAGGCUUCAAUAAACUAACGACGGCCCAAUUUGGUAAUUAUCUCCGUGAAAAUAUACAAGGCCGUUUGCGUCCGAUCCGAAUGGAUGGAUUCUAGAACCUUACCCGCUAAUACAAUAAUUAAUUCUCCGAAGUGUGUCACUCACCUCACUUGAAGCGACACACUUAAAUCAUCAUAAAAUAUAAAAAAGAAAUACAUCAUUAAACGAAUAAUAGAUUAAUUGUAUAAUAAAUAACAAAACACAAACCAUAAAACAAUAUAAAUAAAACAAACGGAAUGUAAACAAACAAUAAAUAACAAACUAAAUAAAACAUGUAAACAAAUGAUGAAUAAAUAUGAAAACUAAUAAAAAAUAAUAAUAAUUAAUAAUUAUUAAAUCUAAAUAACUCAGUGUAAAAUAUAAAAUAAUAAAAUAUAUACAUACAAAAAUAGAUAGGAUGUAUAAAUAAGAUAGAUAAUAAACAAUAAAAAGUACAACAAAUCCACAAUAAAUAAAUAAAAAGCAGAGUAACGUGAACAAAUUAAAAUAUUAGAUCGAGUUAAUAAUACAUAGCAAAAUAGUAAAUUAUAAAAAGUCAGAUAAAUAAAAUAAGGGAAUAGUUGAAUAAAUAGUACAAGUUAUUACAUCCUCCUUUUUUUCAUGCGUAAACAGAUCAUUAAUCAAAAAUAAAUCAAAUUAGAAAAUAAUAAAAUAGGUUGAAUCAAAUAGAUAAGUUAUUAGUCAAAUAUCAUAAAUCAAUGAAUAAAUAAAUAAAGUAGUAAGCUGAUAUAAAAUAAAUAUUAAAUAAUUUAUAAAAAAAAAAACAUAAAUAAGUUAUAAAUAAAUAAAUAAAUAAUAAUAAAUAAAGGUAAACAAGUAGUAAUGUAUAAAUAAAUAAAUAAGUAAAUUACUAAAUAAAGAAAUAAUUUAUAAAUAAAUAAAUUGAGGUAGAACCGUUAAUAAUAACAUUGAAAAAAGAUCUAGCGCAUACAACAUUCACAGGAAAGUUCACAUUGAUAUUCUGCAAAAGAAGAUAGAAAAGGAAAAGUUGAUUGACUGGCUUCCUUCUUACAAAAACAAUAGAAAAAACCUGAUCUGCGUUCAUCGCAAAACGGGAAUCCUAUAAGCCAAAACACAAACACCUAGUGGGCAUAUCAUUCACUCGCAAAGGAAAUCAGAUGCCGCUCUUCAAGAAAAUCAAAACCGAGGGACCCAAAUGCCCAGAAUCACACAUGAAGAUACAAACUUGGAAAAACUAGAAUUAGAAGAAACCCCAAAAUUGAAAUCGAAAAGAAACCAAUUUUAUAUUUAAAGUUCGCAAAUCAAGAUGCAUAUACAGAGAUCAAAUAAUCCUUCUCCUCCAAAAACAACAACAAACACCCACCCUGUGUAGCAAAAACACAAACACCUGAUGGGCAUCACAUCCACCGAAAAAGAAUCAGACACUUCGCUCAAGAAAACCAGUACCAUAAAGAGGACAUAGAGAUCAAAGGUUCCGUAAAAGAAUCAGAAGAAACCCAAUUGAAAAAAGAAAAAAGAAAAAAGAAAAAACGCGAAUUGGGAUCGGAGGGAUGAUAACUCACGUCCUCAUAGGAAGAUCCGGCGGUUCCUUGAGGGCGACGAGAUGCGAUUUCGCUCUCCUCCGACGAAGUAGAAGAAGCCGCAGUCCGUCAGCAACAAUAUAAAACCCAGAAAAGAACCUGCACUUGAAAAAGAUAGCAAAGAUAAGCAAAUCAAAUGCGACAAAGCUAUACAGAGAACCCCAAAAAGAAGAAAAAAAGAAAAAAAAAGAGGAAGAGCGAUUCUGAGGGGAGGAGCUCGUCGUUGAGAUCGCGAUGGGACGAUGCGGCGGAGAAGAAAACAGGAAACCCGUUCUCGAUCUCAACCGUCGCCUUCUUUAAUUUCUUUGCGAGGAGGGAGAGAGAGAGAGAGAGAGAGAGAGAGAGAGAGGAGAGGGUCACUGGGCGCGUCGAGGCGAUUUAAUCGCGAACCCAUUUAUAUAUAUAGAGAGAGAGCGAGAGAGAGACGUUGUUGGUCCCAGUCCGACUCGUAUUAUGAGAACCUUUACUUAAUUAGUGCGUGAGAUGAAUUAGUGUCGCGCCACGUCAGCUUGUAGCGGACCACUUAAUUAGAUUUCUUUCGAAAAAAUAUAAGACCCUCUCACAUGUUAACCUUUUUAUCUGCGUUAUUAUAUAAUUAGUUAAGUUACAUUUUAAUUCAAUUUACUGAUUUUAUUAAUCGCUGAUUGUUUUAUUUGUUCUAGUUUUAUUGUUUACGAACUGUUACAGUCACUAAAAUUUGAUAAAAUUACUUAUAAAUUUAAUAAAAUUUUUAAUUUAUUUGAUCAAAAUUACUUCAUUUUAUUUUAUAAAACUGGUGACCGGCCAUUUUUCAAAACAUUAAGACAAGGCAAGUUAUGGUGAAACAAAUACUAACAACACCGAAACACACUUACAACAGGAUAAGAUUUAGCAAAACAAACAACAAGGACAUUUCACUUUUAGACAGGCGACUUCCCUCAAAACAAACAACUAACAGUAGAUAUUGACUUGAGAAAAAAUUAAUUGCACUUGAGUUACACCCACAUUCGAGCUUCAUCAAUCCAAACAUUCCCUUAUUGAUGUCAACUUCCCAAACUCUGUAAACACGCAUCCGCUUUACAGUGGAAUUUAAACUCAGUAUGAAAACAGGAAUAUAUACAAACUAGCAGGUAUCCUGAUAGUGUUCUCAAAAGAAGAAAGCUCAAAAGCAAUCAAGGGCGUUGAGAUCAAGGAAUCUUUUAAUUAUACUAUUUGACACAUUCUCCAAGACCCACGUGGCAUACCUCUCCGUUCUCCAUUCCACGUGGCGACAGACCUCUUAUCCAACUCUACAACUGACUCUCUCUCUCUCUCUCUCUCUCUCUCUUUUCCCUACUCUUCUAAGGCUGUCUCUCUCUCUUCAACUACCACACUUUCUCUCUCUCUCUCUUCCCUCCCCCAUCAGGCGGUGCUCCUCUCUUUCUCUCUUCCCCUCUCUCUCUUUCUCUCUUUCUCUCUUUCUUUGUCUUUCUCUCUCUUCCUCUCUCUCUAUUUCUCUCUUUCUCUCUCUACAAAAUUCAUGUCAUCCCACUCAUACCCCCUCCAAAGCUCUAUAAAUAGCUCAGAGUAGACGAUCGGAGGGGCGGGCGGUGCGAGAGCGGAUCGUUCACACCCAGUUGCACAUUACAUUAAAAAAAAUAAAAAAAUAAAAAAAAGUGAAGAAGAAGGAGAUGGGAGCUAUAUAUAUAUAUAUAUGAAGAGAUAAAUUACAUCAAUAUAAAUAUUUUAUAUUGAUGUAUGGGCGGAAUUAUCUCUGAGGGUUUUUCAUGUGUAUAUAUACCUAUAUAUAUGAUUGAGAGCGGUUUGUUAUAUAUAAUUUGUUCAAGAGUAAUAUUUUAAUUCUUCUUUUUAUUAGUUUCAUCCACUUCAUUUUUUUCUUUUAUCGCUGGGUGUUGAAAGAGUCUCCGUCAACCUCUUUCGCCAUUCGUGCUCGUAGGAGGAAUUCCGGUCGUGCCUUGCGUUGUUUCAAUUAAUCCCCAUGAAAGGACGGAAUAGUCUUAGGAUAGUGACUCGCACGCUUCCGGAAAGAUCAAAUCUUUAUUUGGAUUUUAGCGUUUAUCAGUAAGGUGCUGUUUUAUUUAUUUCUAUCACAAAACUAGUUUAGUAUUCUAAUCACAAUUGGAUUUUUCAUUGCGGGUUUUCCCCAACAAUACCGGUAUUGAAGCAAAAUCUGUAAAAAUAGAGGGAAAAAACUCUGCUCCAAAGCUCGAAAAUUCUGAAAACGGAGAGAGUUGGUUCCACUUCCUCAAGCACGACAGUCUUUAUUCUUUUUUUUUCUUUUUCCUCUCCAUUGGGCAUCUCUGCAAGGUCCCACUUUGCCAUCUCUCUCCUCUCCCCCUCCUCCUCCCCAGUCAAGUUGUACCCUUUCUCUUUUCCUGCUCCAUCCUCAGCCUUCUCAUUGUCUUCCUCAUCUUCGCGUUGCCCAAGAAAUUUGACGGCCUGCGCCACCUGCUUCAAUGAUGCAGUGAAGGUAGUUUGCGCCCUCCUAGUCUCUAGAGUCCAUAAACUCUUGCGUUGACUGGGCCUGGCUCACGUGAUGACCUUUGCCUCUUUGGUCUCACCGGGUGUCAUCUGUAGACUAUUCUUGAAAAGAUCUUUUCAUUUGUAGCUUUUUCUCUUUCUCAAUUCCGUCACAUCCCUUUUUCGUUAGGGUGACGUUUCUUUGCCCUGUUCGAAUUGAACACGGAUGUGCCAUCAGAUUGACGGUGAGGACAUGUGCUCAAUGCAGAAAAAAUAGAAUGUACAUGUUGAUCCAAACAUUAUCAUAGUAAGUUUUCUAUGUUCUCUUGAGAUGCAUCAAUCUAAUGAAUCUUUUUUUUUUUUAACUCUCGGCGAUCUUUUACUAGGCAUCCAAAUAGGCCCUUAGCUUGUAACAUUUUUUUAGCAUCUAUGUUUUUUUUCGAAGAAAAUGCCUUAAUGCAACCAACUGAUUGCAUUGCAAGCAGCAAUUACAACAAGAGUAGAUUAGAGCUACUGGCACAUCCUAAUCACAAAAGAAUUUAAUGGUUACAAAAAACAAAAAGGAAAAAGGCUACACUACUAGGCGAAGGCCUUACUUCUUAUUUUACAAUAUUGUUUCGUUUAUAAACGAAAAAAAUGAUUAUAAGUAUCAGCGAGGCUUGUAUCUUGUUUUACUUAGUUUCGUUAUUACGGUCAUUAUUAAGGUUCAUCAAGCAUUGUUUUUUGGACAAGUAUUCUUGAUUUUUUUGUUUUAUAUUUAUGAAUACAUCAAACUAGGUGAAGAGAAUAUAUAUCCCAUUACCGGAUGCAAGUGUACGAAGGCUACUUCUGAAAAAGCAACUUAAAGGACAAGCAUUUUCAUUGCCCAGUAAGUAGCAGAGUUCACUGGUCAUUUCUUUUGCGAUGAAAUUUUACUGCUUUGAGUGAGAACUACUAAUACUCAUGCCACAGUUUCACUUAGAAUUGCUUUUUUUGUCUUGUCUUUCCAUUGUUUGUAUUCUAAAAAUGGAUGUACUUUUUUCAAACUGUUAUUCUUGCCAUCGGCAUUUUCCAUUGAUACAAUGUUGGCUACAAGCGUAUAACAGUUCUAAUUGAUCAGAGGGCUUCGUACAAACAAGGCUUUGGAAGUGUUUGCCGAUGUUUGCGAACAUGUAUGUAAAGUUGUAAACACGCAUGAAAGUGGGUGAGCAUGAAAGGCACCCACGGACACAGUUGUGAUCCUUUUAUGUGGAUUAUUCACUGAUUCAGCAUUCUUUCAUCGUUCAUUAUGAAAUCUGCAUAGAGGACAGUUAAAACCGUUUAAAUAUCUUGUCUGAAAUUAUACUUGUCAAUGCUUUCUGCUAACUUUCUGUGAACUUUGUUGUUUGUUUUUUUUUUAAAUUUUGGUUUAUUGCGCAUUAUUUCUCCAUGAAGCCCUCUUUACCUGGUUGAAGAGCAUUAGGUACUUGGUUUUGUCUGAAAUAGUCUUUCGUGAAGAAAGGAUGAGAUAGACCUAUUAUGUUAGGGUUGAAAGUUCUCAAAGACAUCCUUGUGAUAUUUUAAACGGCCAGUGAGAGGAAUUAAUCCUGGAAGUAUUUGUAAGUUAACCUCAAAAUAUUGCAUGCAUGUACAUGUUUAGUGUUCGGAGAAAUACCAAAAUAAUGCGAUGUAGCCGGUGUUCUAUCAGGGAGUUUUGAGCGUUUUGAAAAUGAUAUAAAAAUCAAUUUUUCAAGAAACCAGCAUUUGAGACACUUCUCAUUUUGGAUUGCUUUUGUUUCAUUGCUGCUAAAGGAAAAAUGUGUGAAGAAAAUCUCAAUAAUAUAAAUAGCCAUUUGUUUCAGUCAGUUAUGUUGUAUUGUUGCUGAAUGAAAUGGAGCAGUGUAUCUCACAUGACAAGCAUUCAGAUUUCAAACCUUUGUUAGAACAUGAGCUUUUUUAGAUGCUAGAAUCAUCCUCUCAUGGAAGAACUCUCUCUUACAGGCAGUGAUAUGGAAAGACUUGUCACGGAGACCGAAGGUAGUAUAUUCUACAGUACAUUACUGAUCUAUCGAUUAACCUUUUUAAAGUGCUUUUCAAUCGAACUGUUUGUAUGAUUAGGAUACUCGGGAAGUGAUUUGCAAGCUUUGUGUGAGAAGCUGCAUGAUGCCAAUCAGAGAACUCGGUCUCAGCACAUUCUUACAUAAAAAGCAAUCAGGUGACCACUCAAAUCUAUUCCGCUAAUUGGUGAUUCUCUGAACCAAAUUAGGAAAUUAUUACUCUUCUCCUUCUCAAGGUUUUUUAUUGUGAGAAGUUACAUUAACUUGCUUUGUAGUGCGAACUAUCACCCAUCAUGGAGAAUUGACUUAAAUGCUCCUUUUGUUCUUUCAUGUUCAUUUUAACAAUCUCCUCCAGUCAGCGAUGUUACUUCAUUUUAGUUUUCUUCUCAACUUCUGAAGGAUAGCGAACACACUGUUGAUUUAGACUCCUACUAAAGCAUGAAUUAUUAGUGGCUCCUAUUUCUUUUUUCUUUGUUGUUGUUGUUGUGUUGUUGUUUCUUUAUAAUAAUGAGGGGCUUAAAUCCUCUGAUGCUAUUGUGCUUAUUGUGCUGUUGGUGUUCUCCACUGGUCUUUGGGUGAUUCCUUAGAAAAAAGGCACCUUACAAAUUAACUCUCAGAGUGCCUUAUUAGGAAAGUUAAAAAUAGGCCAGUAUUUAUAUUGCUUUAUACAAAACAGAGAUGUCCCACUUUGUUGGAUCGAUAAAUCUAUUAUAUUGUUAACACGGACAGGUAAAUCCAAGUUUAAAAAUAUCGGCUUGCAUCUUUUUUCAGGUGAGACCACUAAAGAUUUGAAGAUUUUAAGAAAGCGAUGACGGUCAUGUAGACCAAGCUUGCAGAAGAGCAAGUGGCGAGAGAGCUCGAGCAGUGGAAUCAGGAAUUCGGUCCAAUUGAAAGUGUCACUACUUUUAAGGACUGUGAAGUUGCAAGCAACAAUUUUUAUCGUAAUGUUGAUGCAUGUAUAUGAGGGUGAUCUACUCUAAUUGGCAUUAGAUCAUUUCUUCAUCGUCGCACUUUGCUGUCCCUCCCAUUCGAAGCGCAGAUAAACGAGUCGUAUUUCUUCCUCCCUGUGGUUGGCUGCGGGGAGUUUAAUUCAUGUACAGAAAUAUAUAUGCAGGAGUUACUUUUCAUUUCUUGUUCAUAGAACCACAGAAACCCCCUUCUUCGUAUUAAAUUAUUACUCACAAAAGUGAAAUAUUUUGUGAAGAUUCACAAUAGCACGUCUACCGUCUGCCCUUGUUCAGGUUGUUUCAUAUCAGAAUGUAUACAAAUAUUAGUUUCACUUAGUAUAGGAUCCGUCUGCGAACGGGUAUAUAAUAUUUCAACUAAUUCAAAUAUAUAAUUAUUAAAAAUUAAAAUAAAAAAUAUUAAAGUAUACAAAUUAUAAAAUAGUCUUAUAUACAUUAAAAAAUAAUUUGUUAAUUAAUAUUUUUUUAACUUUUAAUAUUUAUAGGGUUGAAUUAUUUAAUACUUUUAUUAAAAUUUUGACUAAAUAUUAUAGGCUAAUUUGAUAAAAAAUCCACUUAUUUUGGGCUUUUGCAAAAUCGGGCAAUCUUUUUCGUUUUUGCAGAUUCGGUCCGCUUUUUUCAGCAAACUGACCAAAAUACUCUUAUUACUUUUUCACUUUCUCUUUUCUCUCCUCUUGCGUUCUCCGUCGUUCUUUUUUUUUUCCGCCGGAAAAAAAAAAGCGAAGCCAGGCAGAGCAAUUUUUUUUUUCUCUUUUUCUUUUUCUUCUCUUCUUCCUCCUGCUACAGCACUUUUUUUUUUCCUCUUCUUCUUCUUCUUCUUCUUCUUCCUGUAAGAGCACGGGGCGCGCCACGGCGACUUCCGGCCUCGCCAAGCAGUGUUCACCCGGCGCGUUCUGCAGGGAGGAGUCGCACCAGCGAUCGCGAGCGCCGCGGCGAGGGUGGGCAGCGCCGGAGGCGUCUCCAGCGUGGAGCGGUGGGAUGUUCCCGUAGCCGAGAACGUCGCGCAGCAGUCGAGGGCGGCGGUCCGCCACUGCCAGUGCUCGCUCGGCGGCGUUGGCCGCCGUCGCGAUCUCCGACGCUUCUUCUUCCGUAAUGGGUGUAAUUGGUGCACGCGGGCCGUGCACGCGAGCGGCCGAGCGGGCACGGGGCGUGUGCGGCUGCUUCUUCUCGGAUCAUAAUGAUGUAAGUGUGCACGUAUUACACCAUUAAUGGUGUGUAAUGGUGUAAUACACCAAUUAACAUGUGUAAUGGUGCCACCAUUAACCAUUACAUGGUGAAAUUACCACCCCAUUUAAUGAUGUGGUAACCAUUACACCAUAAUGGUGAAUAUUCACAAUUUAAUGGUGUAACCAUUUAACCGUUAAUGGUCGUUAAUUACACCAUCUUACAUCAUUAACCGUUAAUGGUGUAAUUACACCAAUUAACACCAUUAAUGGUGUAAUGGUGCUAAAUUACACAUUCCAACCGGUGCCGCGGCCCGCGAGCGAGAGUUUCCGCGGGUGGAGCUCCGGCGCCGCCGCAGUGAAGCAUGGUCUCGGUCCGGCCGCCGGGCGGUGGCGCCUCCGCAGUGAAUAUCCACCGCUCCCCUGGAGACUGGCCCCUCCUCCCUCCCUCCGACCAUGUCCUCCGAACUUCUCCCAGAUCCUCCCUCGACCAUCGUCUCGACUUCCCAGACCCAGCAGCGAAGCCGAAGCAGAAGCAGAAACCAGAAGCGGGGCGAAGGAGGACGGGGCUCUCCCUCACCGCACGGUCCGCGUCGGCCGUAGUUGCCACGCGAUGCGCGGAUUGUCCGCAGCAUCCGUCCCUCGCGACGCCGCCCCCGCGGCGGCGAGCGGCGGGCGAACCGUAGGUGCGACCGGGAGGCGCCGCGGUCAGUGGGCGGGGGCGGGGGAGGAGACGCUGGCUCGGUUUGGGAGGCGAGAAGAAGGCGAGACGCCCGCGGUGUCAUCCCGCCAGCCCGCGGAUCUCGAGGCGGCCGGCGGCGGCGGGGGGCGCCGCCGACGAACGAGGCCGCGGCGGGCCCGCGGGGGGGCAAGACGAGGGGCGGGUCCGGCGGCGCAGCACGCGCUGAAGCUCUGCCUGCGCGAUUGCCCCCACCGAGCCGAGCUCUGCCGCGGAGCUCGGGGGGCACCGCGCACGCACGGGCCGGUGCACGCGGCGGCUUGCGGGCUUCGGGUCGGACGGAGGCGCGGGGAGGUCUGGGUCGGCCGGCUUCGAGAUCAGCGGUGCCGCCAAGCCUCCCUCCUCCUCGCACGUUCGCCGCGGAGGAGGGCCACGUCGAUCCGGCGAGCCUGCGCGGGCGUCGCUGUCCUGGCUGGCCGGUUCUUCUCAUAAUGUGUAAUGGUGCACCAUUAUUACCAUCUAAUGGUGUAAUUACACUAUUAACACCGCGUUUUGAAUGCGUUGGUAAUUUACACCAUUAAUGGUUGUAGAUGGUUACACCCAUUAAUGGUGGAAAACACCAUUACACCAUUAGUGGGUAAUGGUGUAAUUACACCAUAACGGUGCACGCGCCCGCGAGCGAGCUGCGGGUGAGCUCCGCCGGGCGCAGCCACGAGGAGCGAGAUGACGAUCCGACGGCGGCGCGCAGCUGCUGCCUGCUGUGGAAGAGGAUGCGGCGCGGGGCGGCCGGCGUCGUUAGAGGAGCGAGGGGAGGGAGAGGGCGAGUGCCGCGGAGACGGAGGCGAGGGAGGGUUUGUUACGCGUGGAGUCGUCGGGCUUGUGGCGCCGAAGAAGCAGACGCGGGCCGCAGCCGGUCUCGUUCUCUGCAGAGGCGGGUGCGUACUGGCUGGGUGGAGCCAGACUCGAACAGCCGGUCACUAGAGGGAAGAAGAGAAGAAGAAGAAGAAAAGAAGAGGGGAAAAAAAAAGGUGCUCCAGCAGAGAGGAAAGAAGAGAAGAAAAAGAAAAAGAGAAGAAAAAAAUGCUCCGCCUGGCCUUCGCUUUUUUUUUUUCCGCGGAAAAAAAAAAGAACGAGAGAACGGAAAAGAAGAGAGAAAGAGGAAAGAGAAAAGUAAUAAGGGUAUUUUGGUCAGUUUGCUGAAAAAGCGGACCGAAUUUGCAAAAACGAAAAAGUGGCCAUUUUGCCAAAAGCCCAAAAUAAGUGAAUUUUAUGCAAAUUGGCCAAAUUUAUAUUGGUCAUUCUGUAAAUAAUUUUUUUUAAUUAAAAAACUAAAGUUGCAGAACUGAUUUUAAAUUAAUGAUUAGAUAAGAGAGAAAGAGAGAAAUAGAGAGAGAGAGAAGAGAGAGAAAGAGAGAAAGAAAGAGAGAAAGUGAGAGAGAGAAGAGAGAAAAAGAGAGGGAGAGAGAGGAGAGGAGUAGCGCCAGAUGGGGGGAAGAGAGAGAGAGAGAGAGAGAGAGAGAGAGCUGUAGAAGAAUAGGGAAGAGAGAGAGAGCCAGUUGUAAGAAAAGUGUGAAAGCCCAAGAUUUCCAAACAUAUAAACAUGCAUUUUGAUUUUUCAAAAAUUUAUAUUUUUAUCUCUCAAGUUUCAAAAUUAAUGCACUUAACCCUCUUCUGCCAGACUUUUUUUUAAUUGUUUCAUCUAUUUCAUAUAAUUUAUACCAAAAAUUCUUUUAAAUAAUAAAAUAUAUUAAAACAUUUAUAUAAUAUAUAUAUUUAUAUAUUAUUAUUUAUUUAUUUUCUUAGAGCAAGUAUAUAAGAUCAAUUUGACUAUUUCUUUUUUCCAAUUAGCGGCAUAAUUUAAAAAUAUUUUUAAAUUUUAAGAAAAUAAAAUAUAAAAAUUUUAAAGUCAGUGGAUAUUUAUAAAUUUCUUUUUUAAUAUUUUAGCCAUUAUUAUUAUUAUAAGUUUCAAGAUUUAGGGCAUCGCCAAUCGCACCAUUCUAAGAAGCUCGAGUUAAGUCGCGGUCCAAAUUAAGCUAAUUCGUACCCAGGUGACGUUCUAAUUAAAAACGAGGAACGUUUCCGACCCGGUCUCGACCCCUAGCCCGACCCAGAACGUGACGCAGUGAUCUCACCGCGCGUGACUAUGCUUGGAAAGCAAGUCCUCCGCGCAGGAUCAAACGGACGGCCGAGAACCCCCGAGGAGAAGAUAUUUUUUGUCUCGCGCCAGAAACUUCCCCCGCACCCCUCGGGCCGCGUUGUGCUGCCGGAGAGAGAGAAGAGCGGACGAAAUUAAGGAAAGGGCUUGAAGUCUUUGACAGUGGUGGAGCCGGGGGCAGGCGGCAGCGGGUCAAGCGGGUGGAGGCUUGGGUCGUUGACGAUGGACACAGCGGCGGCAGCGGGUCGAGCGGCUCGGGCUGCGUUCGGCUUGGGCUUAGCCGGCGCCGAGCGGAAACGGCGGGGAUGCGGCAGCGGCGAUGGCUAACAGCGGGCUUGGGUGGCGGCGGCAGGGUACGUGGGCAGCGGCGGCAGACGUGGGGGACACGGCGGCGGCGACGGCGGACGUGGGGACGCGGCGGCAGCGGCGGCUCGCCUCUGUUAACUAUAUAUAUAUAUAUAUAUAUAUAUAUAUAUUAUAUAAUAUAUAUAUAUAUAUACUANNNNNNNNNNNNNNNNNNNNNNNNNCAUAUAAUCAAGUUUUUGAAACCCAAAAUUCAGCUAUAACCACCUGAGCCAACAAAGUGUACAGAAAGUAAAAUCUACCUGUCCUCUGACUUAAUAUUUGUAGUCUCUCCGCAACUUGCCCCUGCCAUUUUGAUAUCUUUUGCUGGUAAGUCUUAACCUGCAUCUUCUCACUGUAGACAUAACCAGCAAACAAAUAGAUUUAGAACUUCUCAAAAAGGGAAGAAAGCCCCAUAACCCUCUGAAUUUUGUGGGAUUGUAAUCGCUAUCUGAGUUCAAAAAGUCACAAAUUACUGAGAUGAACAAUCAAUUUGUCUUAGGGCUAUAUGGUAUUGGGCGAGGGGUAUCCACUGCCAUAGCAUCAAAAGGAAUUGGGACAGAAAUAGAUAGAGAUAUGCUCCUACAUUUUACGAUGGGAGCAUAGAAAUCAUAUCUUAACACUGGUAGAAAUAAACAGAAUAUGUUUUAACCAUAUUUCUUCACUGUACGCAACUCAUUCUAACUGCAGUUUCCUAAUAGUAUCUGAGUUUGGAUGACAAGAGUUCAGAUAGAAGUCUGACAUUGUUUUAUUGCCACACGGCAAUCAUGGGCGGAAAUUCAAAUUGUGCGAUAGACUAAGAUUAAUUGAUUGUUCAGAGAGCAAAUUCCAAAUUUUCUUUUAAGCAUCAAUUGGUGAUUUGUAAUUCGGCCAAAGUUCAAUGGCACAUUUCUUUUCAAACAUGAAUUGUAGAGUAAACUCUCCCAACACAAGAACAGCAAUUUAAGAAGGAUCGAUUGAUUGAUCAGAAGAUAAGAUUUACACGGAGGAGAGGGCGUCGGGGACUCGGACGGCCUUGGAUUCGAGCAUGACGCGGAGCGCGUUCUUGUAGUGCGCGACGGCGUCGUCGGCGAGGCCCCACUCCUCGGCGCGCACGGCCUUGUCGAUCUCCUCCUUGGCCAGCUCGAAGUACCCCUUCAACUUCAGCGCCGCCCUCUCGCCGACGACGUUGGAGGGCCCCGCGGCGGCGGCGGCGGCGGCGGCGGAGCUCUCCAUGGCGCGAUCGGAGCCGGGCGCGAGCGGAUUCGCGGCAGCGGCGGCGGAGAGGAGGGAGGAGAAGGAAUUGAAGAGAUCCUUGAUGUAGCUCAUGCGAGUACGGCAGAUCGGGUGGGAAAUUAGGGUUAGGGUUUGAUUAAUUCUUGAGGACCGAAGGAGAGGAAGGGAUGCGGUCGAAAGAAAUCAUGAGGAGAGAAAAUUAACGAAUCUGAAGGAAAUCGUCUACGCGGCCGAUCGAGGGCGCGUAGUUGAUUCGUUGCACAACUCGCACCUUCAAUAGAGAUUUUCUAUUUGCGAUAGAGUUUUUCUAUUUGCAAAUGCCGGGUGCGUUCACUCUUUGUCCAUCAGUCGCUUUCGAGCAACGCCAGGGGCACACCAAAAAGUAUGUCUAGAUUAUACACUCGAUCCGUUGGGCCUUUUUUUCAUUUAACCUCGCAAAAAAACAAAAAAGAAAAACCCUAAUGACCUUACCAAAUUUAUAUUUACUAAUUAAGAACCCACGCUUCACGAUAGACGAAAAAUUUACAAUAAAUAAAAAAUAAUAAAUAAUAAAAAAUUUAUUUGUGUAAAUUUUUGUAAUAUUAAAGAUUAAAUCAAGUCAAAGAACAUAAUAAAAUAGAUAUCCAUCCAUUAAUCACAAAAAUUCUAAAAGAUGCAUCAGCAAUAAACAGAAUAAUUUUAUUAUAUUAUCAGGGUUUGCUCUUGCUAUUGAUUCGGCCAUCAUCUUCUGUAAACCUAUGAAGUUAUCAUAGUAAAAAAUAUAUAUAAGUUUAAUUGAUAAAUAAUUAUAAAGAACUUAUUAAAUCGAUGCAGUUGUAGUGGAAUUACCUAAGACGCUUUCUGCUUGGCUGAACCACAUUAGAAGUGAAUAAAAAGAAGUAAAAUGCAGGCUAUUUAUUAGUAUAACUAAGUAGACUUAAAAGGACCAGAAAUUAAAAAGUUCAUGUUUUCCGGGUACUCGCAAGUACCCAGUUAAUUACCCCCUCUCGCUAUAUUCAGGCGACCUCCGAUUAAACUGAUCAUAAUAAAAAAAAAAUACUCUCUUUUAAGUAAUAAUAUUUAUUUUUUUUUGAUUAAAUAAUAAUAAUAAUAAUAAUGUUAACAGAAAGUAGGUUAUAAUAAGUACAAUAGAAUUGAUGAUAAUCUUAUAUUACCAUGAUAAUAUUUUAAAGAGAAACUCUUUUUUUUUUUUUGGUUACGCAAAAAUAUUUAGUAAUUUUCGACUUAAAAAAAGGAUAAGCAAAUGCAUACAUUAAAUAAUUCACAACACUUAAUCACUCAUGCCUUUCCUUUUUUUUUUCUUUUUUUUCUUUUUUUUUUUUUUACGGAACAGCUAAAUGAUGCUCAUAUAAAUGACAUCUAAUUUCCAAAAUAAUCAGUUAUUAUGUAGGAAGGACAGGAAAAGUAAGCAAAAUCAAAUAAAAUAAAAUAAUUUCAAUUUGCAGAUAAGUCCUUCUUUCUUUCUUUUUUUUAGAGUAGUACGAUAGUUCUAUUAGUAAAGGGAAACUAUAAAGUACAUUUUAUUUUAAGCCUAACAAAGAAAUCACCCCCUUUUAUUUUUUUGUUUGCUUGGCUUCGAAGCAAUGGAGUGGCAGCUGUUUAGGUGAUUUAAGUCGGCAACAGCAGCUUGGGCAACUUAAGCUGCAAUGGCUUAGGUGACGUCGACGAUGGACACAACGGCUUGGGCGGUGGACACAGCGGUGGACCGACGAUGUUAACGGCUGUGCCCGCCGCCGACAUCACCCAACGCCACUGAAGCCGCCGUUGGCCCUUCGUCCACCAUCGUGCCAGCCGUUAACACCGUCGGUCCGCCGCUGUGUCUACCGCCCAAGCCUUUGUGUCCAUCGUCGACGUCACCUAAGCCAUUGCCGCUUCAGUUGCCCACGCUGCUGUUACCGACUUAAAUCACCUAAAUAGCCGCCACUCCAUUGCUUCGAAACCAAGCAAACAAAAAAAUAAAAGAGGGUGAUUUCUUUGUUAAGCUUAAAAUAAAAUGUACUUUAUAGUUUUCCUUUACUAAUGGAACUAUCGUACUAUUCUAAAAAAAAAAAAAAGGACUUAUCUGCAAGUUGAAAUUAUUUUAUUUUAUUUUAUUUUGCUUAUUUUUCCUGUCCUUCCUACAUAAUAACUGAUUAUCUUGCAAAUCAGAUGCCAUUUAUAUGAGCAUCAUUUAGCUGUUCCGUAAAAAUUAAAAAAAAAAAAGGAAAGGCAUGAGUGAUUAAGUGUUGUGAAUUAUUUAAUGUAUGCAUUUGCUUAUCAUUUUUUUAAGUCGAAAAUUGCUAAAUAUUUUUGCCUAACCAAAAACAAAAGAAAAAGAAAAGAGUUUCUCUUUGAGUAUUAUCAUGGUAAUAUAAGAUUAUCAUCAAUUCUGUUGUAUUUAUUAUAACCUACUUUUGUUAACAUUGUUAUUAUUAUUAUUAUUAUUUAAUCAAAAAAAAUAAAUAUUAUUACUUAAAAGAGAGUUUUUUUUUUUAUUAUGAUCAGUUUAAUCGGAGGUCGCCCGAAUAUAGCGAGAGGGGUAAAUUAAUCGGGUACUUGCGAGUUUCCGGAAAGCAGGAACUUUUUAAUUUCUGGUCCUUUUAAGUCUACUUAGACUAAUAAAUAGCCUGCAUUUUACUUCUUUUUAUUCACUUCUAAUGUGGUUCAGCCAAGCAGAAAGCGUCUUAGGUAAUUCCACUACAACUGUAUCGAUUUAAUAAGUUCUUUAUAAUUAUUUACCAAUUAAACUUAUUUAUUUUUUUUACUAUGUUAACUUCAUAGGUUUACAAAAGACGAUGGCUCAAUCAAUAGCAAGAGCAAACCCUGACAAUAUAAUAAAAUUAUUCUGUUUAUUGUUGAUGCAUCUUUUUGAAUUUUUGUGAUUAAUGGAUGCACAUCUAUUUUGUUAUAUUCUCAGACUUGACCUAAUCUUUAAUAUUACAAAAAUUUACACAAAUAGUUUUUUUUGUUGUUUUUUAUUUUUUUAUUUAUUGUGAAUUUUUCGCCCGCCGCAAAGCGCGGGUCCUUAACUAGUUAGACAUGAUUUUGUAAACCUAGCUACUAUUUAGCAAGCUCAUGACCACAAACGGCCCAAAAAUAAUUUUUUUUUCUUUACAAAAUUAUAUUUAUGUGUUAUUUUUAUCAGUUAGUUACAAAAAAAAAAAAAGCAAACGUGAUUGACCGAGUCCAAAGGUUUAAAUGCAAACGUUCAACACCGUACAAACAAUGGAGGUGAAGUAAAUCAAGGGGAAGGUCAUCGAUCAUAUCAUCGCCCUUCCUUCGUGCCUAGAUAUUCAUCGAUUCAAAAUAUUUUAUCAAUAAAAAAUUUAAAAAAUAUAUUAAAACUAAUCUACAGAUAACUUUUUUAUAAAUAAUUGAAUUUUGAGUUAACUCUUUAUUUUUUUUUUAAAAAAAUUCUAUUUUGUUUCUUUAAAAUUUAAAAUUGUGAUGUUUAACUUAGUAUUAUUAUAAUUUCGCCAUUAUUCUGUGCAUAAAUUGUGUGGUACAAUUGAACAAUCAGUAAUAUAUAUACUCAUUAAAUUCUUAGAAGUGGUAAUAAAAAAAAUUAAUUAAUAAAUAAUUGGAAAUCUCUUUCAUAAAGUUAUAUUAUUUAAGAGAAAAUAUAUAUAUAUUUUUGUGCAUUUCCAUAAUUUUUAAGGAUAUAAUAACUAUCUUUGGAAAUUUUUUGACUGUACCGUACAAUUAUAUGUAUGAAUUAGUGACGAAAUUAUAACGUGCAGAGUUAAGUGCUACUUCAAUUCUAAAUUUUAAGAUAAGAAAAUAUAAGCUUUGAAAUGACAGAGAAGGAAAAUAAAACAAACAAAUAUCUAUAGAAAAAGGAUUUCUAAGUUUUAGUUAAUAUAAAAUCUUCAUGUUUUUUAAAGGAGUUCAAUUACUCCACUGAACAUCAGGAUACCAAUUUCAAAAAUGUAUUGUAAUACCCUUUUAAGUAAACUUUAGCUGCAACUUUUCCUAAGUCAAGACAUGUCUGAUCGACAAGAGAAAGUAUAAAAUGUGAUAGUCACAUAGCUAAUGUGGCGUCUCUAACCAAUUAUAUUUUGGUUCACCAAUCUCACCAUAAUAUAUAAAAGUUUUUUUUUUUUGUACUUUAAGAGUUGUGAUUGACUGAAUAAAUAUGAUGUGGUGUAGGUGUUGACUGAUGUUACUUAUCGGUGUAGUGAAAAGACUAAUUUUAACAGCAUUCUGCUCUUACCAACAGGCAAUAGAUGAGGAGGUCUUCACCUAUUUUCAUCUAUAUCUGCUUAGCAGCCCACUACAGUUCAAUCAUUCCUUACCUGGGGCUAUCUAAUACACUCAUACUAACUAGCAUCCGAGAAAUACAAUGGCUCUAAAAAAGAUUGCAGCAGACUGGCAUCUCUCAUAAUAUUGAAAUUAUUUUGCGAACUAAUUCACAGGCUAAAAGUCACCAGAAAUUAAGAACAAAUUUUUUAUACACUUGGUUUAUACCCCUCACCCUCUUCCUCUCUUUACCCUCUUUCCUCUCCAAAACCAGCCGACUCUCACUGCUGCAGCUGUUAUUUUCGUCCUUUGCACAGUACGAACGACAAAAUAGCGGCGCAAAAGAACUCUUGCGCCGUUCCCAAAUCCCGAGUUUUCGAAUCCUGCCCCUCCCAUUCGAAACCCUAGCUCCUUCGAUCAGGGAGAAGGGUUGGUGGCCACGGCGCUCUACCUCCUCUUUGAUGUAAUAACUGAGAUUUUUGAUUUAUUGAUUAAACCCUUUUGUUUGACGAUGUUCUUGUGUGUAAUAUAAUUAUAAGUGUACUCGUCAAAUUUCAGGAGAAAACGAGUUAAAACGGAGAAGUUACGCGACCCGGAAGUCUGACUUAAGUGAAUAGUAACUCCGGUUUUCCGGAGAGGCCGCGGAGUAGAGUGGACUUUCGACGCGUAUCGGACUCCGAAUAUAGCCUUCUAAUAGCUCGUUUUCAACUGCUCGACUAUCCUGGACCCAAUGGCACUGACGGAAUUGGAUUUGGAUGCACGGAUUUCGAGAAAAAGGGGUUUAAUGGUUUUUGCAUAUACGAUCGUACAUUGCGUGGUUUUGCGUGGAACCUUGAGGGAUGGUUUUGUCGCAAAUGGAAACCUUUUCGGUGAAAAAAUGCUAAUUCGAUGCGCUAUGUAUGACUGAUGCGCUGGUGCGAGCGAUAGGAACAUCCGAAGGAGCGGGAUUUCGGGAAUCCAGAAAAAUCGCGAAGGGGACUGAUUUGGAAAUGGUCAUUCCCGAAAAGGCCUAUAAUUUUAUGGCAAUCGAAUUGAGAGUUUUUCGAACAUCAGAGUGGACAUCAGGCAUUGUGGACUUGAUGGUAAUGAUAGCUGGAUAAUGCUGAUUCGCUUUCGAGGGGCGUUUUCGCAAGUAUUUCCAUAUCUUUAUAUAAGGUGAUCUUAGGUUUUUGACCAAAACUAACAGCUAGAACACCCAGCUCACCUGGCACCCAGGCCCGUACCCCCCUUCGCGGACCCUCCCGCAGUGUCGUUCGCCGAUGUCCGCAGCACCCCGGCGCCGGAACAGGCCUGCAGGCCACGAUUUUCAUCCUUCUCUGAACCACUCACCACUGCUUAAGCUUUGUGCCUGAGAGGCAUGUUAGCCCGAUGACACCUUCCUCUCGGUCUCGACGGCACGCACUCACCUCACUGCCCAGACCUCCCCCGUCGCCGCUCGCGCGGCAGCCCAACCCGAGAGGAUAUAAGUGUGGCGGCCCGGAUCUCCGCGCGGCGCCGGUCAGGGAGGCCGUGAGUUUCGCGAUGCUGAGCGGGUCGCGCAAACCCGGCGUGACUGCCCGUACCGGCCAGACUCCCCGGACUCCCGACAGCUGCCCAUCCCGACCGGGAGUGCCGCCUUUUCCGAUAGUGCGGCCCUAGAUCGACAGUCGGUGAGUAGUUAUAAUUUUGUUGCCAGCAGCUGGCUGGUUUUGCAUUACGGUAACCUUUCGUGAAACGAUGGAUCCUGGCCUGGAGGUGAGCAGGUGAUUGUGGGACGUGUGCUGAACGUAUGUCUCAACCUCCAUUUAGGCCUAACGUCCCUGGUUAGUAAGAAUAAGGCUGUUAUUCCACAGUGUGCCAUUGAUACGCUGAGGUUCGAGUCGUCGAUGCGCCGCGUGGUUCUGCGAGUGCUCCGAAAGGUGACACGGCUCAGCAUGCUGAAACCUGGAGCAAGUGCGAUGGCAACCUCGUAGAGUACUGUUUGUUGUAGGACCGUUAGAGCAUGAAAUCACAUAAAUAUUCGUUCCUGGGCCAUUAGAGGAAUGCUUUUUGCGUUUCGCUUGUCAUGCUGUUUGGCAGGAGGUUACAGUUAAGAUAACCUUGGAAUGAUCGUCAGGCCCAAGCCCGUUGCGGAAAUCUAACGUCAUUUCGGACGUUUUUCAGGGAAAUACCCGAUAGAUACGCGUGUUCGACCUCGGAAUUCAUUCGCGGUGCUCGUGGUUUGAUUAUUGAGGCGUCGCUAGACUUGUGGCUGUCACCCGUGUCGUCUGAGGGUUAGAAACGACGGCUGGCGAUGAUGGCAGUUCCGGAGUACGGUUUUCGGGACUUCACGCGUGGUUGCGGAAGUUGGUUGAGAAACCGAUUUUCCGAGGGUUAUUAUUUUGGGAUUUGUGUGAGAAAUGAUCGGUUAAUUAGUGUUAUUGUGGUUAGACUCUAACGCCGGUGGAUCGCUUCGUAGUCGGAUCGCUUCGCUAUCCGCUUCAGCGAGACCAGUUUACUUUAUCGGGGGUACUUUUCGAUCGAGUCGAUAAGUGGUGCAUGCUCGGUGAUGUCUCAUUUACUAUCUUUGUACAUCGUCUAGUCAUAGUUGCUUAUCAUCUUAAAUACAUAUUGAGCCUUGCAACCAUACACUGUCUUUAUUACUUGGGCCGGUUUUGCCUAUGCUAGUAUUCUGUUAAGAGAGGUAGAGUAGAUGGCAUUAAGUAUAUAUACAUAUUAAUGUACCUGAUUGGUCGUUCCCUGUUGGCAUCGGACUCUGGUUGUCGUUCGUUACUUGUUACGUACAUUGACCUAUCUACGGUGUUAGUUGUACUUGAUGAACCUAUACGCGUUAAUGCGAGGGGCAGUGAUUGGGCUGUUGCGACGGUGCUGAUUGAGCAUAUCAGAUCGAUCGUCCACUCGUUUGCAUUUCUCACGAAACGACAGGGUCUGAUUCACCGCAGGCGUGUCUUUCCGGAAAAGUGGUUUGGCUUGCCCCCCAUCUGAGCUCGAGGUUACGACUGGAUAUGCAGGUUGAAGUGAGUUGGCUUAACUGAGUUCUGACAACAGGCAGGUUUAGAUUGGGUAUCUUUUGACUAUGACAUUGAUGCAUACAUAAAGUAGCGUAGUUCUUAGCUUGUACAUUAGUUAUUACUUGUACUUUCUGUUCUGUAUCAAUUAGCUUAUGUAGUUGUUUACUUAUGUAUUGGUUGAGCCUCAUGUGGUGGGCGUACCCUCGCCUGUCGUUUCGUAACCACUGGGGGAGACAUUUACAUGUUCUCACCCCACGCCAUUACAGGUGCGUCGAGUCCAGAGUGGCGCAGGUAGAGGAGGCGGUAGUGGCGUAUAGAGCUCGUAACGCCGUUUGUUAUCUCUUUAUCCUCUUGCUUGACUAAAUAGUCAAUUUUAUAUGGUUCAGAUUUAUUCUGUACUUGGUAAUUGGUUUUCGCAUGGCUUUACACUAUUGUGAUAAAAAAAAGGUUAUGGGCUUUUCACGUAAAAUGGUUUUCUACUCGUGUAGCGCUUAUUUAAAAGAAGGUUUUCGUAUUCGAUACAGUUUUAAUGUUUCUACCCCUCGUGAGUGUUUUUAAAAAUACAGGUUUCCGUGUGGGAAACAGUCUUAAAAGAAGCUUCCAAUGGAUUUCUGAGACUUAGUAUUUCAAAACUUUUUCCGGGUAGGAAACGUUUCAAAUGAUAGAUCUGGAUUUAUGUUUAAAACUAUGAAUACCGUCGUGUUAUGAAUGGUGAAUGUAUGGACGUCUGUAUGUGCGGUUGAGGUUGUAUGUUCAUAUGGUUGUGGUUGUAUUCUGGUUGUACUCUGGUUGUAUAAUUGUACUUGUGCGACGCCGUGCAAAUACAGGGGAGACUCUGUCCGUGUGAACAGUGGAUUCCCUGUAUUUGUGGCGGAUCUGACAUACUCUGGGGUCAGGUGUUUCAAAAAAAAAAAUUUAGUCGUUUCCGCUGUUUUUCCAAACUAAAAAGGGACCCCGGGGCGUGACCUUUGUGUCGGCACCGGGGUAUUCUCUCUUCGAGGCGUACGGCCUCGACGAGAUCGGCCAAAACACCUAAGCCGUGCGCACUUCGUCCUCGACUUCACGCACUUCAGCAAGUCAUCAAAUUCGUCAGCUUCUAUAGAAUCGCUUUUUUGUAGACAUCUCCUCCUUCGACCAAAUUAAGUUUGCAGCGCUGCAGAAGUCGGCGCCGAGAUCUGCAUGAGGCGGCUGUUGUCGGUGCUGUGUCUGAGGCGGACGCCAACUUCUGCUUCUUCUCCUCCUUCUUCUUCUUCUCCUCCUUCUUCUUCUUCGGGACAUCAUCGCCCUGUACCCAUCUCUUUCCCUCUCCCCAUUUUUUCCCUUCUCUUCGCAUUCGAAACUCUUAAUUAAUUAUUAAUCAUUAUUAUUAUUAUGAAUUUUUUCUAUAUUUUUUGGACGGCGGGCUUCACAGGAUCGUCGGGAUCCGAUCAGGGGAUGGUUGUACUCUUGCGAUCUCCGGGAUUCGCGUACGGCGCGACGGGAUUGGCGGUGCAGUGAAGGAAAAAGGGCGAUCCCUCUUUCGUUUCUUCUUUCUCCCUUUAUUUUAUUUUAUUUUAUUACUAUUAUUAUUUGAGAUCGGGGAAGAGAGAGAGAGAAGGAGAGAGAAAGAGAGAGAGAGAGAGAGAGAGAGGCAUCGGAGUAGCACAGUACAGGGGAUUGGGGAGGAGCGAAGGCGCUAAGAAGAGGGGACCCACGGGUCAGAUGGAUGAGAGAGGGGAAAAAAAAUUAUUGGGGCCCACAUCCAAAAUCAAGGGGAAGCUGCAAAACGGUUAAGGGUUCGCCCUUUAAUGUUAUUGUAUAGAUACUAGUGCAGUGACCCUCACGAUGCAGCGGGUAAGUAAUAUUCGAUAUUUAACUUAUAAUUGUUGAUUAUCUUCGUUACAAGAUAAAUAACAUAUCAUACUUGCAACAUAGAGAACAAAAAAAGAGUAAAAAAAAUAGAACUAUAAGAGAAUAAAAUUUGAUGCAUAGUUAAACUGAAUAAAUAUUUGAGAUCUUACAAAAAAAAAAGGCUAAAGAAAAACGAAAUAGUAAAUACAUAAGAAGAAUUAAAAAAUUUUGAGUAACAAACAAAUAAAAGCAUAAGCAGUUAAUCAACAACAGCAUGAGGGACCAUAAAUACAAUAAAACUGAGAGUUGUAGAAGUCGAGGAAAGAGUGCAAGAGUUGGCUGUAAGAAAAGGCAAUAGUCAGUAAAGAAUUAAAGAAAGAAUGAAAUAGGACUAAUAGGAAAAGUCGAUUAAAAAAUAUUACUAACUAGCUGUCCCAAAAAUAUGCGAUUGCAGUAGUACAAAAAUCAAAUGUAGCAGCAACUUACAAAAUUAAUUAGAAUACAUAAGUUGCAAAACUUAUAGUCAAAUAAUUUUAAACAAGAAUAGUAAGAAAACACCAUCACAACAAUCGAAAAAAAUAAUAUACAUAACACACUGGUUGUAAUUAUUUCGCAAUUGUCAUCCUGGUUAAUUUACUGUGUAAAAUAUGAUUUAAGCCGAUAGAUAAGUUAAACUGACAAAUAGGGCUGACACAAAUCCCAUACAAAUCCAUAAUUAAGCAAAAUAGUUAAACUGACAGGUAUUUCGCACAAAAGCCCAAAUAUAAAGAAAUUCUGACAUGUCGACAAAAGGAAAUGGAAUUUAAUUAGAAAGUAUACCUGCCCAAAUUAAGAAAAUACCUCCACGUGGACUAAAACAAACCUGAUUUCGUCAGAAAUUAUAUGUAAAUAAAUGGAAGGUAAUUAAAAAUAUUUGGUAUACAUAAGAAGGAAAGAAUGAAUUAGAACUAAUAGUAAAACUGUAAUAUCUUUUUCCAACCCACAUAUAUAGUAGAUGAAACAAUAGUAGCAAAAGAUCAAGUGAAGUAGCAACUUCGAAAAUUGAUUAUAAAAGUAAAAAAAAACAUCAUCACAACAAUCGAAAAGAUAUAAAGUGAAAUAAAAUGAAGGAGCAGCUCCUAAGGUUAAGUAGAAGCUAGAGAAAUAUCAGCAAGAACUUGUAGUAAGAAACGAUACAGAAAAAAAGGGAAAAAAAAGGCAAACACAAACUAAUGAUAAAAUAUACAUCAUAAGGAGCAUAAGCAGUAGUAGUAGAAAUUUGAGUAAAUCGAAAAAGAUCAACAGGUCAUAAAAUUCUAUUUUUACUAUAGGCUCAGACAUGUAAUGAGUAUUAUCAAUAGUCAACAAUAGUAUUUUUUUCAUUUCAAAAGUCUUCGAGAAAAGGUGCUGCGUAUAGUUAUAUAUGUUCUCAAUAGCUUAUGUAUCUCUUGAUGGGGGUAAUCACUGGUUGCAAUUAUUUAAUAACUGCCAUCCUAGUUGAUACUCAACCGGCAGAGAAAUAGAGUUUUUUUUGCCGCAAAUAAAAUUUUUUACGAAGGCAUAUUAUAUGGGCAACAAGAAGGGACCGCAGAUAAUGAAUACGAACCAUUUUCGUGACUGGAGGGGAUGAAUAAGCCGAAACGAAACGUCCCUUAGGGGAAUGGCGCGACGAGACCCCUUCUGUUUGAUCUACAAUGAACUGUCAGACCCUUUUGAUCUAAAUUUGUCAACCUAUUAACUUACAAGUAAUAAUACUUCUAUACUAAGAUAUACUUUAUUGUACAUAAAUACUCACAGCCAAAAUACAGAACAAAAAAAAAGUAAAAAAAUACUAAAAUAAGUGUUGGAACUAUUUACUAUCGUCCAAUCCAUGCAUUGCUAAUAUUUUUAGAGCUAUCUAAUUCUGCAACCAUCACAAUUAGCAAGAUAUAACAUCAAAACAACUCAGUAUUAAACCUUACACCGGAUCAAAACAUAGAGGAGGAACAUCAAACUCACCUUGAUGAGGAUCGUAUCGCCACAGAAAAGCUAGAGCUUCUCUAUGGUCUCCGGAUUCAUUGAAACGGCAGAGUUGUCGUCGUUCGUCGCCUCAUCCACAACCAACCUAUUCGCCGCCUUCUUGCACUCUAGGAUCGCGGUGCUAUAAUCCCUCUUCGUACCCUUGCUGCAAGAUUUUUCCCGAUCAAAAAUAGAUCAACAUUAGAACCCUAACCCUAAAUCCCCACUCGAUCAACACACAAUUUAGUAGAAAAUAGGGGAAACUUAUGGAUUGGAGGAGGAAGAAGCCUCGUCCUUGUUCGCCAUUGCUGAUGAGCACAGGAGCUGAGAAGAGAACGGGAUCGAAAAGAAAGGAGACGAAAAGCUUUGUGAGAGAUCGACGGGGAGGAUGAGGGUAUUUAUAAGCGCUAUGCUUUGUUACUUCGGGCUUGGGUUUAGCAUUCCAGAGAGGGAACAGGAGUCGGAGCAGCAUCGAGGGGGCGAACGAAACGAAGCGUCGCUAACGGGAACGGGCGGAACGGGAAGAAAGCCUGACCAUGAACUCGGCCCAACAUUCCGUCCAGAGAGGGAACAGGAGUCGGAGCGGCAUCUAGAGGGGCGAGCGAAGGAGCCGAAGCGGAACAUCGGGUGGAAGACGAAGCAGAGUAAGGAGGAAAAUUAAAUAGGAAGCGGUGUAGGGAGGAAAAAAAAUUUGGUCGGGUGGGCCCCACCCACUAAUUAAUUAAUAGAAUAACUUAAGAUGACAGGUAGGGCCCACAAAAAUUAAGUUAAGCUAAUACUGCCACGUGGACGUAGAGAACGGGCUUUCAUAAGGGUUAUAGAUAUAAAACUUUUUUUCUUACUACGCGAGCGUCACGUAGGCAAUUUUAAGUUGAACAUGAUAAUUUAAUCACCGUGUUUAAACACCGUAAUUAACUCACCGUAUUCAUAUUCACACUCUAAUCCCUUUUUUUAACUUAGCAACGGUUGGUGCCAAUACAAUAGCUCCACAUGGUAAAACAGUGCACAGUAUAGCUAGAAACUACAAAGCUAGAGAUAAAUGACAUUUGGUACACCGGGAGCAAAGAAUAAAUUAUAUCAAACCAUAGGUAGUUUGAGCGGUUGAGAUCGGCUUUUGGUGGCCCACGAAAUUAGGGAAGUGGCCGAUCAUGUAAAUAACUGAAUAACAAUGAGCGGAGUAUAAAUAAGCGGGUAACGCCUGGAAGAGUGGUCUUUUCCCUGCGAUCAGAAGACCACUUUUCAAUUGUACGCAUUUUCUUAGCUUUUCUUAGGAGUAGUUUACUUAUAAUCUUUUCUUUCUCCCCUACAUUUGCCGCUUUUCUUAGGAGUAGUGUUAUUUCUUGGGAGUAGUGUUAAGGUAGAUUUUCUUAAGCCACACCGGCAUCUUUUUGUACUUGUUUCGAAUUUCAAGCUAAUAUAUAUAAAAUGGCAUUUAGCUAUUUAGCCGACCCAAAGAUAUUGCGCAAUUCCUAAUUCGGCUUAUUCAGCCGAAUCGACUCUAUAGUAGGAGAUUUCAAACUUGACUGAUCCGAUCCCUCAUCAGCCGAAUCGCUUAAUCUGUCGAAAAGGCACAAACUUCGAGGGUCAUCACAUGUCGCCGUUUCACAUCCCUGCAUGCUUCUCUAGGGAAAUUCUUGACCGGGUGAAGGGGUACGAAAUUCGACUCGCAGCAAUUUUUGGCACGCCCGGUGGGACAUCGUCUAGGUAAAUUUGUAUUUUCUUUAUUACAAACUAAUGGCUGACAAUAAUACCAUGAAUUUCCGCAAUAGAAUCGUUCAACGCAAUUUUGGGAACGACAGCCAGUAAUACCGAGAAUGUGGUCGAGCGUCAUGCAGUCUUGUCAGUCGAAGGUGAGACUAGCGGUCAAUCAGACCAGCAAGAGCCAAGUGUGGCUCAGGCGCUCGAAAAGAUGACACUGGUUUUACUAGUUUUAGACCAAAAUAGUCACAUGAGUAUCGCUCGGUUAGAUGCAGUUUUAGCCGUUAUCACGACUUCCAAUGACAACAUUGCUCAAAUUGGGCAAUUAUUAACACGAAAUGAACAACCGAUAGUAGGUUUAUAAGGACCUGUAGAUACACCGGUGUUACAAAAUUUCGUGACACCGACAAACACUCAGCCUCAGGGGGCACCUUUCCAAGCUGCCUAUAGACCGGCUACUUUAAAUGUCGGUCAACAAUCUAAAGUGGCAUGGGGAUUACCUCCUCCACUAUCGUUACCGGCUUACCAACCCCAAAAUAUGGGAAUUAGAGCUACAGGGGCAAGCUGUAACAUACCGAACUUCUACAAUCAUAAAGUUUUGGUGGGAACCAGCUUAAAAAACUAUUAAAGUAGUUCCAGCGUAGUUUGGAGAGCAUUCGAGUAUUCUCGGCACAAACUGGAAAAUCGACAACCAAACCUACGGAGGGUCCACCGGGUUAGUACCUAACCCACAUAUAAAAACACUAAACUCACAACCCCACACAUGAUCCUUUGGGAAUCGGUUUUUCAAAAUCGAUUACCGUAAUUAGCCGAAAGUCUCGAAAAUCGCACCGAGACUCUGCUAGGUCCCACGAAGUGUCCGAGACUCACCGACUCAUGCCAUGAGUCACCCGCUGCCACAAAACACUGUAAUAAAGGUGUCUUGGCAGCAAACACGAAGUCUCACAUUGAAACGAUUAUCGUCGGAUAAUCAUUCCGAUCCGGGUUCUCGAAAGUGUCGUUUUCGACACUGGAAGCCACCGUCGCUCACCCGUAGUCUCCGAACCCCCAAAACGACAUUAGUGACCAGACAACAAGGCUCAGUGACAAAAAGUAACUCACUCUAGCACUGUCGGACGAAAUCCGAACUGAAACCGCGUUCCGUCGGCGAAUUUUGCCAAAAAACGCAUCGAAAAUCAAUAUUUGAUUUCCGCGAAGGACCUUGGACCUUGGACUUUGGACAAUCAGUCCAGAGAUCACCGGCCACCUACACAUACUGCCCACAGUAGCCACGAAUUGCACAAUUGCCGAAAAGCCCUUACUAUUUCAUAAAAUCACAUUAUUUUAUGUGAUUUACUGGGUUUUAUGGGUCGUUAUAGCAAACCGAGGGCUUUUGAGGUCGACCGAGACAUGUAAUGAUAGGUCUCGACGUGCCGGAGGCCGUGCUCAUGAUUCGGAGCACAACCGUCCAUUGUGGAUAGCGCGGGAGCAACUCGAAAAUCUGUGAACUUCGCACAUUGUGCAUAAAUUGCGCUUAUCUCACAAAUCAGGGGCUUGCUGACCUCAAAGAAGGUGAUCACAAUGGUCAACACUAAUCCAAGAUCAUCGUGCUCACAUCCAAAAGCAUCAGGGUGCCCUCGGAUUGCCAGAACAGUGAUCGCAAACCAAAACAGUGCACAAACAGCUUAAUAAAAGCUUACCGGGCCUAACCAGUGCGGGCGCGCCGGCGGUAGGUGAGUGCGGCAGGUGGGGGAGGGUCGCCGCUAGCGCUGGCUGACGGCGGGAGGUAGUGGCGGCGGCGCUGGGGUAAUGUAACAUACCGAACUUCUAAAGUUAUGAAGUUGCGGUGUAUGUUGGCUUGGAAGAGUUAAAAAUGAGUUCUAAAAGAGUUAGAAGGGUUUUGGCAUCGAUCGGCGCGAAAUAGAGUCGAAACAGAGCCAAAAACCAAGUCUGGGCAAAGUGUACCGGUACAACCAUUGAGUUGUAACCGGUACAGCAAAGUGUACCGGUACAGCAUUGAAAGUGUACCGGUGCAAAUGCUAUGAAACCGAGAAACUGCUCUCGGGUUUGCUUCUGCAUAAUCGUGUUAUCGGUGACACGGAAAAGUGUAUCGGUACACUUUGGGCUGACAGCACAGAUUUAGUCUGUUGCAAAAUAGAAUGUUUUGGGGGCUUAGUUGCAAUUAUUGCACACCAUAUUAGACCCCAAAUACCCUCCCUCUUCACAGCAGCCAUCUCCCUCCCUCUCUCGUGUCUCUCUCUCUCCCUCAACCGUGAGCAAGGGAAGGAAAGGAGAAAGAAGAAAAGAGAAGGAAAGGAAGGAGAAGAAGAAGAAAGAGAAGGGUUUAGAGGCUUUGAAGCUCUCCUACAAGGUAUAGCUUGGGAUUGCUCUUGGGCUAAGGUGAGUUUUUGCAAGAACAUUUCUAGGGUUUGGAUUUCUACCAUAAUACUUAGAGUUUUGGAGCUUCUUACAUGCUUAGAAGCCUCUUGAGACCUUAAAACCAUGAAAUCCAUGGUUUUCUUCAAAGUGCUCUAAUGGUGAAGCUCUAGGGUUGGCUCUAAACACCCUAAGAAUGGUUCGAAUUAUUCUAAAUGAGUUUCUAGAUAUUGAACAAGCUCUCUUUUGCUUGUUCUAGAUAUCAAAACCUAGGAUUUAGUAAAGGGCUUGGUUAGGGCACCAAAUUUGGAGCUUUUGCCCUAGAAUGUUUCUAAGGCAAAUUGGCCUUGUAGAAACCUAAUUGGGGGUAUAACGAACGCGUUGGUGCGCUCGGUUCGACAAUUCGAUGAGUAUACGCAAAGUUAUUGACAAAAUAGCAUUUUGUCAUACAGAUAGCCGCAACAUGCGGAAUAGACGUCUAAAAAUCAUGAGAUCGGAUCUGGAGCAUCGUGGUAUCAAGGAAUAAACUCCAGAAUGGACGGAUCGCGGAUUGGUGGCCGUUCAGGUGGUCGCGCGAGAGUUCGGGCCGAACUGGGUCACGGGUGCCGCGGGAGGCCGAUUGCAAGUGACUACAAGCAACCGGAACGUGUUUUGAGGUGGGUUGUGUUUACCGAAACGAUUAGGUCGCCUGUAUGUCUAAGACUAGUGCUUACUAUUGAUGCAUGUAAUGGUAGCUAGUGGUAAAACACAUCAAUGCAUAAGGUGAAAUGCUAUGUUAGGCUACCAAAUAAUGCAUAUGGUCAUAAUGUGAGAAUGCUAAGUAAUGCAUAAUGACAUAGUGUAGAUAAUGCUAAGUGGAAAGCAUAAAGUAAAUGACAUAUGUUAGUCAUGUUGCAUGUAUAGAAAUGCUAAUGUAAGAAUACUAAGUGAAUGAAUAUUGACAUGAAAUAAGAUUGCUAAAGAAAAUAUAUGAUAAGCAUGUUAUUGGGAUGCUAAUGCGGAAUACUAAGUAAAGGACAUAUGUAUACAUAUAUAGAUCGAGUGGCACCGAACCUAGUGUCAAGGACAUAGGUUGAACAAGAGUAAUAUUGAACCUAGUGUUAAUAAACAUAGGUUGAACAAGUGUGGCAUAUAACCUAGCGUCAUGAACCUAGGAUGGAUAAGAGUGAACGUGAACCUAGUGUUAAUGAAUAUAGGUUAAACAAGAAUGGCAUUAAACCUAAUGUUAGAGAACAUAGGUUGAGAAUGAACCUAGAGUCAAGUCAACCUAGGUUAUGAGUUAAAGAUAUUGAACCUAGAGUUAAAGUAAACCUAGGUUAUGUGAUAAAAGUGUUAGCCUAGUGUCAAGUGGACCUAGGGUGGAAAGAACAUUGGACCUAGAUAGGUCGACACUAUAGGGUUAAGACCAACCCCCGAGCUAUGUGGAAUGGAUUCCGGAAUCCCAAAGUUAUGGAACACCCAAAGUGGUGUUGGGCGUGUGCGACGAUUUUGCCGUCCGGGGCCAACCAUUGACGUGGCGUGUGCGACGAUUUCGCCGCCGGAUGGUUAUGCCGAGUUGUGGAUUAUACCGCCGCUUGACUUGAGCCAUUGUUGUGGCGUAUGUGCGACGAUUUCGCCGCCGAGUGGCUCAGUCAUAGAGUGCGGCAAGUUGUGGUAGGCUGAGGUGCAUGUGAGAGUUCCUUCACCUCGAGCCGACAGAGCGCAGAUUAUCCGCAGUUGAUUGACUCAAGAUCGAGUCGGGUCGCAUAAAGGACUAAGGUAAGAGUAACCUUAGAAAAGAAUGGCCGAUGAGUAAAUUGUAGCUAAAGAAUAAAGAAUAGCUAAAGAAUAAAGAAUAGCUAAGAAUAAAGAAAGAGUUGCAAGUAAUAAAGAAUGGCUAGCAAUAAAGAAUGAAAACGAUAGAAAGUAAAAUCAUUUAUUCUACUUGCAUAGUUGCAUAGUUUCAUAUUGCAUAUCGCGAGGCAUGACAUGUAGUUCAAUAUCGAGUAAAUGUAUAAAUAUCUGUUUUAUAUUAUUGGACUAACCUGAUGCAGUGCCUCAUUAGAUCUAUUGGUUGAACUUUUCCUUUGGGUGGCCGUACUCACUGGGAACCAUGGAGUUGGUUCUCACCCCACGUUGUUUUGGGGUGUUUCAGGUUCGCACGUGAGCGGCGCGGCAGCGCGAGGCAAGGGCGUAGCUCCGUAGAUAGCGCCCUACCCAGAGACCAGAGGUAGCAGUACCCCAAGGUGGUCUAGCUUAGGGGUUUAAAGGACAAAGAAUCAAGUUGUAAUAAAUUGUAUUGACUAGAUUGUAUUUUGGAAGUUGAAUGUAAAAGAAAUCUGUGAUGUAAAAUAUAUGUAAGGUGAAUGCUUGUAAUAGCAAGCAGUUUUAUGUUUUUGAUACUUCCUUAUACAAUCCUUGAUUGAAAUGUGUUCCUGGUUGGAACUUCGUACAUUGUAUGGAUUGCGACGCCUAGGACGUAGAGGGAAAACUCUGUCCGUUCGGCGGUCUGUUUGCGUGCCCGAACCCGACCAAAUAGGUGGGGCACGGGGCGUGAUAGGUAACCUGCACCCACACUGGUUAGGCUCGGGUUCAGGAGGUCGCGGCGGCCACGAAGGUGGCUGGGGAGCUCCGUGGCGAUGACGGUGGGUUGCCAGAGGUCAGAGAAGGGCAAGCCAGGUGGCCCUGAGCAGCAACGGUGCGAGGGGAAGAAGAUAGCUCAGCCUCGACCCGGUGCUGCCCAGUUUGACCAGAGCUUGCCAAGAUGGCAACGGCGGCACUCGGGGACGGCGGCGACCGACUGGGGAGGUCGUUAGGGGUCGGGGUGGCUGUCAGAGGAGGAGCCUGAGCGUGUGAGGCCUCCAUGGUAGAAACUCGGGCAGAGAAAGGUGAAGGUAGUGAUGAAGAUGAUGGAGGAGAGGGAGAAAGGCUGAUUUCAGCGACCGACGGCCUGCGUAGGUGGCCGGGGCGCCUACGGCUAGGGCAGGGGGAAGAGAGGGAGGCGGCUAGGGCUCAACUGAGGUUGCUAGGGGGCUAGGGUUAAGGUUUGCUUCAUGUAAACCCUAAUAGCCUAUAUACAAGGUGGUUUAAUUGUGCAUAAGUCCACUGAAACUCAGUAUUUGAUGCUGAGUCCCCCAUAGUGCGGGUAAAAUGCACGGAUAUACCUUCAUGUUCGAAAUCACGCAAAACGAUGCAUAAAAUAUAGGGUGUUUUGUGGAUUUUUUGUUUUGCCAAUUUCGACAUCUUUGCGAACAUUUUGAAUUUUUGGGAGAUCCGUCCGUCAGAUUUGCGAACGGACUAUGCUAGUGUGUUCAGAACAACCGGGGCAUCGAACUCACGAUUUUGUUUUGCUCGAAUUGAUCGCCGAUUUGUGACGAAAGCUAUACUCUCUCCAAUUUUCAAAAACCACACAUAUAUAUGUGUAAAUCAAAUAAACCCCAAAUUCAAAUUCGAAGUUGAAUUCCCUACCAUUGGUAGGUACCUAAAACAUCCUCCACCCUACUCCAAGACACACGCAUGGAGCACGAGAAGUUUUACAACGCAAGAACAACAAAGAACAAAAACCCUCUUUGCGAUAAAAUCCUUUUUUCUCGAAAAUCGUGCAUCAAAAUUCAAAUCCGUCAGUGUCAUUGUGUACAGGACAGUCGAACUAUUAAAAAGUGCUAUUGGAUCACUAUAAACGAAGUCCAAAACACAGCAAAAGCCAUCUCCACUCAUUGGCCUCUUCGGAAAAUCCGAGUUACUAUUUACUUUAAGUGAUUAGUAAAGGUUGCGUAACUUCUUCAUCCUAACUUGUUUUCUUCUGAAACUUGAUGAGUGCUUAUGUAAUUAAAUUACACAUAAAAAUAUCAUCAACAAAGAGUUUAGCUACACAGUCAAAUUCUCAGUCCUCACACACAAUCAUCCCAACUGUACAAUUCUUGAUCCAACAAUCGAAAAGACGGAAGCAUCAAAUCAUCUAUAUUUUCGGUAGCAUAGUAGCUCUACACACACACACACACACACACACACACACACAUAUUGGUUUUAUUAUUUGCUUUGGCUUGAUAUCUAAUUAAUUAGACUAGUGCAGGGCCCGCGCUUCGCUGCGGGUAGAUUGUAUUUCAAUCAAUUGACAUAUAUAGUAAUUAAACUUAUAAGAUUAAAAAAUGAUAACUAAAUAAAAACAUUAUCAAAUAGUGUUUCGUACUAUCAUGCCUCGAAGUCACAGCGGAAGCCUACGGGACGCUAACAGACCCGCCGAACGGACAGGGUCUCCUCUGUCCGAACGAAGCGGUAAGUCCCAGGUAAACAAGGAAAUAUAUAGCCAAAUACGACAAGCAAAUCAGUACCAAAAUCAACAAAACUACGAGAAAACUAACGAUAAGUAUCAUAGCACUAUACAUCAGCUGAACCACUAUACAGCAAGAAACAAGUAACAAAGAUACAUAAAUCCACACCGAAAACCAAGUACAAGUUAUUGGCCCUGGCCCAUGCCAAUCCAAAAGAAAGUAUAGUGGCUCAUUAUCGGGAGGUCUGUUAUAGGCAAGUAUGGUGGUAGGAAGGCUAACUAGGCGCAAUUCCCUUACCACGCUCAGCGGACGAUACACCUGUCACUGAAAAAGGAGACCACAAAAGGGCGUGAGAACUACUAAUAGCAGUUCCCAGUGGGUACGAUCGACGAUAACCAUGACCCUCCCACUAGGUCUAAAUAAGCAAAAGUAAAUGAAAGAGCGAUAACUAAGGAAAGAAUAGAGAGCAAAGCUGCAGCAUAGUGUAAAGUAAGGAUCCACAUGUAGAAAAGUAAACACUUGUAUUUAUAUUCCGUGACAUAGAAGUAGAGUGGUACUGACACUUGCAUUUAUAUUCAAGUUAACCUGAGUGGUCGGUGCCCAUGUACUUAUAAUGUAAUUAAUCUCACACUUUCCAAUUGACCAGAGUGGUCGGUUGCGUAUUCGAGAGGAUAUUGAGCUUGUCCAUCCUAGUUGACCUGAGUAGUCAGUACUUAUGUUCCCGUAUAGCUUCGAUGACCUGUUGGUGAGUGUGCCCCGAGUGAUGAUUGUCGGCUAUUCACCGACGGUUGACUAUUGAUCAUAUUCGCAUUGAUCAUCAUAGCUCGAGAACAUUUUACGAACACUAGCGAUCUGAUGCUCACAGGAAGGUGUUCUUUUCUAAAAAAGUGGUUCGUUGCCAACCCGUGAACCCAGCGGCCAUUGCUAGGGUUAUAUGCCAGACAAAGCAGUUGUGGCUUGCCUGAGGUUCUUGGAUCGACACGGCAGUAUAAAUUAGGUACAUUUGGACUUUUCAUGUCACGCCCCGGAUUACCACGUUUCCUCGGGCACGCCAACAGAUCCGUCGUAUAUAUAGAAAUUUUUCGUGUAUACGAAGUGAUAGCCGUACCUGUAAGCAAGUCAUAGCUACAACCAAGAGUAUAGAGCUGCUAGAACUAAAACAUACAUAUAUAGAACAAAAUGGGUUCACUGUACAUAUACAGGUCUACAACACCUCCUCGCUCCAGCGAGUAACACAACAACAACAACAACAGUAUGUACAAAAACUCAAAACUACCUCUGAUGGGUGCUCCUCUAGCAAACGACUAGGGAAGGGACGGCUCUAACUCGCGCCUUCCUUGCCUCGAUCAGAAUCCACAACAGUAGCAGCCGUAGACGAAGGCUUUGCAAAAAGGUACCAACAACUGGAUGUGAGAACUAUUAUAAAACAGAGUAGUUCUCAAUGGAUACCGUCACUGUAACACACUGGACCUUUGCAAAUUGCAAGGUUCGAGUGUUUGAUCUGUGUUCUGAGCUUUUUCACUUUUUCUGGAGGAUCGUAGACAGUGUUCCGACCUAUGGCUCACAUCCCGAGAAACGAGGGUUUUAACUUAGCCCUAAGGUCCCCAAAGAGAAGUACUUAGGCUGCUCUCGGGUUGAGUUCUGCAGGGUUGUGUACCGGUACACCUUAAUGGUUGUACCGGUAUAGAAGGUUAAUUUCAGCCAACCCGAGCCUGGGUUUGCGCGUAUAGGGUUUUGUACCGGUACACUUUUUCGUGUACCGGUACACAAUGUAGUUCACAGACUGCUUAUUUUUGGAGGGUGUUUUUGCAUUUGUUGCUUAUCUAUAAAGCAUCCCACGCCCCCUCUAGGUCUCCUUGUGUUGAGAACAGGAUAAAGCAAGGUAAGGGAGCCCUCCAACCCUUCUCUUUGAUUCCGUUGAUUUUGUUGGGAUUUUUGAAGUUUAAUUACUUCAUUUUGCUCCUUUUUGCUUCUCGGUGGUAUUUCCACAAUUGUUGAAGGCUUGGAGCUUGGAGUUGAGCUUGUUAGGGGAGAGAUCUUUAACCCUUGUGGAUUUUGAGCCUUGUUUGAAGCUUCUCUUGAGGUUAGUAACAUGAUUCUACUUUUAGAUUCAUGUUUUGAUGGUUUCUUUGAGAUGAAAUCCUAGAAUGGGAAUUUAGGGUUAAUUUUGGGGAUCUUGAUUAGAAGCUUUUGGAACUCAAUUGAUUAAGUUAGAACCUUUGUUUAGGUUGGAUUUGGAGAGAUCUUACUCUCAUUUGGGAUUUAAAAAGGGUUCUUUACACUAUAGGUGAGUUUUACCCCUUUUCUUGAGGUGUUUAAUGUUUAACUUAUAUGUUGUUCGUAACGUUCGUAUAACUCUCCUUUUAUUACCUUUAGGGUGCUAGGAGAAUUAUGGGCAACUUCGUUCGAUGAAACGAAAUGGUUGUAACGAGACUUGGUGGGUUUGGCCUCACCAAAAUGAGAUAAAUUUCUCAUUAGUUGUUUAUACUUGUCGUAAAAUAAAACUUUAUGCAUAUUCACGCUAGAUAGAAUAAUUGUGAAUUUUAGAAUGCUUUAAAUGCUCAUGUUAUGUACAAUGCAUAUUUGGAUCUCUAUAUAGUAGAGAGUAUUUAUGUUGGACUUAUGCAUAUGGAUAGCAUUCUUAUAUGUGAUUUGGGAAUAUGUUUCAUACGAUGAAUAUGACAAGUGCAUUAGACUCUUGGACUUGAACUCAUGCUUGGCAUAGGAGAAAACAUAAUGUCAUAAAGAGGCAUUGGGCUUGGAAUUGAUAUAGUAAGCUAAUGUCAUAAAGAGGCAUUGGGCUUGGAAUUGAUAUAGUAAACUAAUGUCAUAAAGAGUCAUUGGGCUUGGAAUACGUAUGGACUUAGUAAAUCUAAGGUCACAAGAGACAUUGAAAUUAAUGUGUGGUUGAAUCUUACUUUGGGACAUUGGACUAAACCUUUAGGGUGCUAGUCACUAUUGCCAUGUUAGAAACAGGAUGAUCGGAUUCUUGAGACGAUGAUCAUGCUUGCUUGCCAUUUGUGCUCAUUCGCACAUGCUUGUGAGGGCCGCUCCCUACAAGCCGGCACUCCGGAGUUAGCCUACGCGACUUAUGAUCGUUCGUGCGGUAUUGAGAAGCCUACGGGGCCGGGUGGGAUAGACUCAUUCUUCGAGUGGGAAUGCUGAGGCUACCACGAGCACUUAAGCGGCACAAGCCGGACUAUCUUGUGUAGAUACUUAAUUAAAAAUGAAAAUCGACACGUAGUCAUACAAGUAACAAUCACUACUAGACAGUUCAUAAUAGUUGGAUUUAUUGGGCUUUUGGACAUGUAGUAUACUUGAUAGUAUUGCUUUUGCAUUAUAGCAUACUUGUUUGCCAUGUUGGAGCAUGCUAGUCAUGUAUUGGUAUAUUGGACUAUGAUAGAAUAGAUGUACACCAUGUUGACAUUAUGUAUAUUUGUGGCAUUGUAGAUUAGCAUUUCAUUACAUGCUUUUCAUAUUUGGAGCUUACUAGUAGUUUCUUUUAUCUACUCAUGCUUUUUGGCCUAGUGGUGCAUUUUGCUCAGGUCAGUAAUUGUCCACUGAGAACUAUAAAUUAUAGUUCUCACGCCCCCUGUUUUAUAUUUUAUUUCAGAACCUCCCACUCCGGGAGAGGCUAGGGACCGCGGCAAGGGUGUCGCUUCGAGUUAGCGAGCGAGGGAUCUUGCUAGGUGGAUCAUUUUCUUCUUUUAUUUUCGUUGGAGAGAAUGAGAGCGUUUGUACCCUACAUAGAGACUACCAUUUUGGAUAUUGUAGUACUUGUAUUUAGGAUAGUUUGAUGUAUUCACUCUAUAUUUUAUCUUAGUUAUUAGUUUCCUUUCUCUCUACUUGUUGUUAGAAUUUAACUGCUACUUGCUCUGAUAUCUCUAGAUACUUAUUUAUUCUUAUCAUUUAUCGCUAUUGUUGUAGACGCCUUAUAUGUGCAGGCAUAUGGCGGGCCUGGGCAUGCUACCGGGAGGGCCUCUGUCUGUCCCAGGGCGUGACAGUCACCGACCUCAACGACUCACCUACUAAGUCUACAGUAUUGAUAUGCACAGGAUAGUAAGGAAAGCUGGAAAACUCUACAGCUACAUACAUCUAUACUAUCGCUAGACUGUAGACAUAAACAUGCAUCACCAGCUACCACUGACCUAAUCAUACGGGCUGCCCAAACGGACCCACCCCGCUUGUAACCAAGCUACACCGUACACCACCCACGGGGAUGGCCAGUUCAAGAAAAAGGUCCAAACAGAAUGGCUGCGACAUCAAUACAAGUCAAAGCCUCACUUCGGAGCGACACUUGUGGGCGCGACCUAACCGAGUAUGCAAGCGUGUCUCUGCCGAGCUCAAUCAGGCUUUCACAGGUUAUAGUCAAUGUAAAUGGGUCAAACUGGUCUAACAAUCAAAGCUCACGUGCCCUGGGCACAAUCUGCAAGAUACAGAAAUCUUGGACCAUCGUCAACCACGGUGGCAACCGACAAUACGGAACAAUCUAUACUCUACUGUAAAACGAGCUCAGCCCCUCAGCACGAGCGUAAACUCGCCCUAUACUAAUCUGAGUAUCCCGUACACACUAAUAGCAGGGAUAGAAAAGAACAACAACUCCUGAAGUUAAAUCUGGUAACUUUUAAGAAAAUGACAGUAUAGGUUUAGUGAGUUUUCUCCUAAGUCAAAUCCUAGUUCAACAUGUAUAAUUUCGUCUAAAAUCACUAAUUUAUGCUCCAAAUUCAGAUUUUAUAAAACAUACACAUCGAUGAAUUCGAGCCACUAACAUGAUGAAUAAAGCCAAUAAAACAUGCUGACAAUUCUAUGACUUAGAAAAAAAUCCAACGAUUUUGGUAAAUAUUAACCCACCUUGAGCGCCCGUCCAACGUCGGCAAAAAGUCGACAGGAGAAUUCCGCGCGCUCGCCCGACCUCCAAAGGUUCACCCGAGACGACCCAUGCACACGAACGGUCCUCCUAGCAAGCGAAGACUCCACACGAGCUCAACCCUCGACCUCCCCAAUGCACGGCGUAUACCAGCUAGAGAGAGGAAGAGGAGACGUAUCCUGCUCUCUAAAAGCUCCCUAUGCAUUUAUAUAGUCCGGGUUAGGUUGGGAUGAACGACACAUCAAAAGGACCAAAAUGCCCCUUAUCAACUCACUUUUCCACCUGAAAUACCGGUGCUCAGCUUGAAUACCGGUACUCAGCCCCUCAAUUCGCACUCUCGCGCGCUGGGUACCGGUACUAGCCCGUUGCAAUACCGGUACCUGAGCUCAAUAUCGGUACAGAACAACAGGUAUCGGUACUCAGCAUGAGACAUGCGCAAACCCGAAAGCAUCGAAUUCUGAAAUCUCACUAGGGUAUUGGUGCUUCUCCCCAGGUACCAGUACUCAACACUGAAAUCUUGCACUUUGCAGACUUCAGUGUCAGAACUCCACUUUGGCAUCGCGUUGAGUUCGUUUUGCGUCCAUUUCGUGCCAAAACGACUCCGACUUGUCUCGACACCCACCAGAUGUGUCGACAAGCCACAGAUGCUGAAAUCACACAUACUGCUAAACGCAAGGAACACUACAUUUCAUCCGGUUGACGCAUAUAGCUAUAGUAGUGAUUGCUGCAUGCUUGCUUACAGUUCAUCGCUUUUUACAUUUACAUUGCUACUAUAGGCCUUUUUUUACCUAUACUUGGUUACCGGUGAGUAUGCUUGCCUUCAUCGGCUUGUGGUACCCAUUGGGAGACCCUUGUUGGUUUCUCACCCCUAUUUCUUCACAGGUGGUAUGGGUGGGAUUGGUUGGGACACACCGUGAUGCCGUAGCUAGUAGGCGGUCUUAGAUGUCUCGAUCUAUGGUAUAUAUUUUGACUAUACUCCAUACUUAGCAUAAAUAUACAUGUGAUAGCAUAGUUUACCCUUACACCUGAUAGUAGAUAUUUAUUUGUGGUUCAAUUUGACAUUCUAUACUUGCGGAUUUUUGGAUGAUACACUUAUGAGGUUUUGGAUACUUGUAGUUUUGAAAAUCUUGUGGCUUCAGUUUUGGUUUUCAAACGUGGCUUCCUACCCCUUGUGGUCGUGUUUUCAAGAUAAAGGUUUCCGCGGGAAAUGACUUUCAAAUGAUUUUCUUUGGACUUUCUACUUCUUGUGGUAGUAUUUUCCAAAAUAAAGGUCCCUAAGUGGGGGACAGUUUUCAAAAUAAUUUUCUACGAUUUUUCGUUGAAGUUAGGUUUUCAAAUGAAGUUAUCGUGUGGGAGACAUUUUCAACUAAUAGGAAUGAAUGAAUGAAUGUGAAUGGAUGUGACUAAGGAUGAUUAGAUGUAUAUUGGUGUUGAGCCAAUUAGGCGCGGACAUGUGGUACGCCGGUUUUCCCUUUAAAGGCAUAAAUCUGGCCGUGCACAAGGAGCACCAGAAAAGUUUUAAAGUAAACCGUCGUGCCAAUUGAAGGAAGUUACAGUAACCGCAAGCAGCUGCAUGCGGUUCCGAUCGACUGGAGGUGGUCCGGAAUAUUAGGAGAUAGUGGCCGAUCGUGUAAGAGCAAUAACUGAUCAAGGGGCGAUCUAUAAAUAGAGCAAUAACGCCCUAAAAAAGGGUCUUUUUACCUGUGAACAAAAGACUACCCUUAAUUCCUCGCAAUUUCCUACAUUUUUUAGGAGUAGUCUACUUGUAAUUUUCUCUUUCCCGCAUUUACUGUUCUUACUAGGAGUAGUUUUAAGUAGAUCAACUGAGUCUGCAUGCCAUCCGGCACACUCGACCUCUGUACUUCUCAUCAGUGAAUAUAAAGGCAUUCGGCUCAUUCAAGCCGAUCAAUUCCUUUGCUCUAUAGCCAUUCGGCUCCUCGGCCGACUUCAGCUCUUGCUUUGUCUGUACAUUCGGCUCAUCCAGCCGAACCGAAUUUAGUGUAGAGUUUCGAACCCGGCAGAUCCGAUCCCUCAUAAGCCGAAGCUUUUGAUCGAUCGAAGGGCGCAAACUUCGAGGGUCAGUACUAUAAGCCGUUUCCAUCCCGACACGCUUCUCGAGGAGGGUCUUUGACCGGGUCAAGGACCGGGGAUUUCGGCUACCAAUAAUUUUUGGCACGCCUAGUGGGACACAUUUGAGGUAACUUUUAUUUUUUAUUAAUAUAAUGGCUGAUGAUAAUACCAUGAACUUACGUAAUAGGGUCGUUCCUAGAAAUUCUGGGAGCGAACAGCCCGACAAUUCAGAAAAUGUUGCCAAACGCCAAGCGGUUUUGCCUGCUGAAGGUGAAACUAGUGGCCAAUCCGGCCAGCAAGAGCCUAGUUUGGCUCAGGUGCUUGGGCAAAUGACUUGAGUCUUGCAAGUUCUAGAUCAAAAUAGUCAUGCUAGUACUGCACGGCUAGACGCAGUGUUGGCCGCAAUCACGGCCUCUAAUGAGAAUAUUGCUCGAAUAGGGCAAUUAUUAACUCGUAAUGAACAACCGAUAGCAGGCUUACAAACGCCUGUGAUGACACCGGUGUUACAAAAUCCCGUAACACCGGUAAAUGGACAACCCCAAUACCAGGGGGCACCUUACCUUGCAGCUUAUAGACCGGCUGUCGUUAAUGCCGGUCAACAGCCAGAGAUAGCAUGGGGGUUACUGCCUCCUCUACCAAUAGCAGUAUAUCAGCCCCAAAAUGUAGGGGCUAGGGGGCAGGUUCCAAAUGUACAAGGAGUUAACCCUGUGGUACAAAAUUUCGGUCUGCCAUGAGGACCGAAUCCAGCAAAAGCGCAAGUCCCCUUACAGGGGAUUAAUAAUAAAAUAUAUGCACAGAUCGAGGAAGCCAUCUGAAAUACCUUCGGAGUAGGCGCAAGACCGGCAAUGCGGCCUGUAUUUAGAUCACCUUAUCCUGCGAAUAUAGACACAGAACAUCCAUACUCGGCAAAUUGAAAAAUACAGAAGUUCGACAAGUUUUCUGGGGAUGAGACCCAAAAUACGGUUGAACAUGUUGCACGGUUCACGGCACAAUGCCGAAAAGCCGCAGCAGAUCCAUUUUUAAAGUUAAGAUUAUUUAACACCUCACUAACCAAGACGACGUUCACUUGGUAUACAAGUUUGCCGGCUAAUUCCGUCCGGGAUUGGGACGAAUUAGAAGGAAAAUUUCAUAAACAAUUCUAUAGAACCGAACUAGAAUUAUCGGUUGCCGAUUUGGCUCAGUUCAAACAGAGAACGGGAGAAUCGGUUGAGGAAUAUUUGAACCGAUUCAAGAUGGUUAGGAGCCGUUGUUUUGUGAGAAUGCUAGAGUUGGAGUUUGCCAAAAUGGCAUUUAACGGAUUGCAUUUUAAAAUUAAAGAUCUUUUUGAAGACAAAUACUUUUCAAAUCUUUUCGAUUUGGGAGUUCGGGUUCCUCAAUAUGAGCAAUUCCGAAAAGGAAAUAAUGAAGAUAGGCCCAGAUGGAGCCGAAACAAAGAGUGAAACAAAGGGAAGGAGAAAAUUGUCUCAUUCCUUGAAGAGUCUUCGGCUUAUGAGGAGCCGAAUUCAUCUGAAGAGGCUGAAGAUUUGGCUUAUGAAGCCGAAGUAUAUACAGCCGACAUUGUAAAAAGUCGACAGCCAUACAAAUGUGCUUUGCUGAAGCCCGCUAAGUCAAGCGAGGCAAAAGCACGGGUGUCGGCAUACACAUAUUCGUUUGAUGUAUCAAAGACCGAUCUAAUUUUUGAUUGGUUGCUAAAAGAUGGUUGAAUUCAAUUGCAGGAGGGUCAAACAAUACCUCCUGUGGAAGAAUUAAAACGUAGAUGAUAUUGCAAAUGGCACCACUCAUGGAGCCAUAAGAUAAAUGAAUGCACUGCCUUUAAGAGGCAGAUUCAAAAAGAAAUAAAUGAGGGUCGACUCAUAUUUGCCGACCAAGAAAAUAAAAAUAUGAAAAUUGAUAAGAAUCCUUUUCCAUCCGAUGUCAAUAUGGUGAAUACGAAAGGAAAAAGUAAAGCGACUGCAAAAAGGCAGAUCCAAAAAGAAAUAGACGAGGAUCGGCUUAUUUUAGCCGAUCAAGAAAAUGAAAAUACAGGAAUUGAGAAAAAUUCUUUUCUGUUACAGGUUAACAUCGUGAAUGCUAAAGGAAAAGAGAUUGCGGACAAAAAGACCGCAGAAAAUAUUGCGCACGCCAAAAGGAACCUUCGGUUUUGUGUAAGAUGCAAAGCCGAAAUGACGAAAAAAGAUUGGGAAGCCAUUAUCAAUGACAAAAAGAAAGGCAACGAAUGGAAUGAAUUGAUGGCAUUCCCCGAGGAAUGGGAUGACAUUCCUGAAGGAGAUGAUCAAGAAGAGGAUGGCUCAAAUAAUACCUCCAACGAGACGGAACCGGAAGUCAUUUCGGUUCAACACAAAAAAGAUUUAUUGAUGCAGAAAGUUUUGCAUGACUACUACCAUAACCGAUGAGAUGAACCUUAUAGCCGAUGGAGUUAUCCAGAAAAACCAUUCGGCUCAAAGCAAAGGUUUCCUGGGUAUCGGCCGCACUGGCAGCAUCAAGCCAGGCCGAGACCAGAACCGGAGUUCGAAUGAAUGACUGAGAGAGACAUAGAAUUCCUUGGUCGAAGAUUGGUCAAUAAGCUCGGCAUUCAGCCCUGACCGAGACCUUGAGAAAGAAGAGAAAUCUUAAAAAAUUAUUUAAGAACAGUGAAAGUACCGGCAAAUGUGCCGGUAGACAAGUGGCAUGAAGUCGAAGUAAAACCAUCGGCCAGAUGGCAAGGGCUGAUGUUAACAAAGACACAAAAACGCCGGCAGCAGAGGAUGCAAGCCGAGGCGAGGCAACAGUACGACGAAGCGAAAGGGAUAAGACUGAAUGUGUGGAGACGGCCUAAUGAACCACCACAUCUUUUUUGCAUGAUGCGAGACAACCACGAGGCAGGUGGCUCAUCGCCUGUUCCUUGGUUGAAAUCGAAAAUUGAAUAGCCGGUUUCGGCCGAGCAGGAGGAGAAGAUGACUAGGAGGGAGUUAGAGGACAAGAUAGCCUCCCUCGAGACAAUCAUUAAACAAAAGAGAUGGCCUCCUAAGGAGAGGGAGGUACGGAUCGAAAGCGACUCGGCUAAGACAGCUAAGGAGUCUGAAGAAAAGAAAUAAAGGAUUCAAGAAAAAUCGGGUGAUGAAGGACCAGCCAAUGUCAACAUGGUUUAUACUCUGCCACAAUCCUUUAAAGCAGAGUAUACUAAGUAUGAGGAGAUGGAGGAAGAAGUUGGGCUCAAUAUGGCCCAAUUACAAUUAGAGGAUGCCAAACCGACCGAUGCGGUGGUUUUCGAGAAACCAUCGGCCAUACAGACGAGGUUCGUGAGUCCUUUGUUUAUUCGAGCCUUAAUCGAAGGUCAGCUAGUAGGCCGAGUCAUGGUGGAUGGCGGAGCGAUGGUCAACGUCAUGCCCACUUCAUUCUUCAAGAAGUUGGGCAAAGAUGAAGAUGAAUUGAAGCUCACUGAUACAAUUAUGACCGACUUCACUGGUAGCGGUGAGCAAGCUCGAGGAGUGCUCACGACCGAGAUAACGGUAGGUUCUAAAACUUUACGAACUGUAUUUUUUGUGGUGGAUGCAGAUAGCCACUACAACCUACUGCUCGGACGCGAUUGGAUACACGCAAACGAGUGCGUGCCUUCUACCCUCCACGAAAAAUUAUUCCAGUGGAUAAGAGAUAAAGUUGAAGAAAUCCAGGUCGAAGGACGGCCCCAAAUAGUGAUAUCAACGCAGAAGAGGUCGGCCACAUCAAUUGGGCCGACGCUGAUCCAGACCAAAUCUCUUUUGUAAGAGUUACGAAAGAGGGGAUUCAGUUAAUUCUCUCUAAAGACGAAGAAGCUAUGGUGGCAGCCGAAGAGCCACCAAGUUGGCUAAAAUGGAACAAGAAGAAUCAAGAACCAAAGUUUCAGAGGAGCUUCAGCAAGAAGAGACGAUCGACAGGAUCGGCUGUGUGAUAAAUUCGGCCCAACAGGCCGAUGAUGUGGUGUACAACAUGAAGGCCGAAACGGCCAAUAAUGAACAUGUAGUAAAAUCGGUUGUUAAAGCCGAUAUGAAAAAUAUGGGGAAGUCGGCUGUUAUAGCAGAAUGUGAUACAUCAAAUGAAAUGAUUAGGCGAACAACUGACUUGAACUUAGAAGAAUCGCCUAUCAAAGUCGGUAAUAAAAAGUUGGAAACUCAGGAUCCACUUAUCGAAGUAAACUUGGGAUCCAAUGGACACAAGCAGUUGACCUAUAUUAGUGCCAGACUUUCGGCUCAACAACAGAAGGAGCUGAAAGAAUUGCUGAAGGAGUACAAAGAUUACUUUGCCUGGAGUUAUGAAAAAAUGCUAGGUCUAAGCCGAAAAGUUGUAGAACAUAGGCUACCUAUUGAAAAAUGAUAUAACCCUUACAAACAGCCGGCUCGUAGGUUUGAGCCGAGUAUUGUACUCCAAAUUAAAAAUGAAAUAGAAAAUCUUUUAAAGACUGGUUUUAUUAGAGCGGCUCGUUAUAUUGAUUGGGUAUCCAACAUAGUUCCAGUACAAAAAAAGAAUGGCAAAUUUAGAGUUUGCAUUGAUUUCAGGAACUUAAAUUUGGCUACACCUAAAGAUGAAUACCCAAUGCCAAUAGCUAAUAUAUUAGUAGAUUCGGCUGCCGAUAAUAAAAUCCUGUCUUUUAUGGACGGCCAUGCCGGCUAUAAUCAAAUUUUCAUUGCUGAAGAAAAUGCAGCUAAAGCAACCUUUAGAUGUCCAGGAUCUACUGGAACCUUUGAAUGGGUAGUCAUGCCGUUCGGUUUAAAAAAUGCCGGAGCUACUUAUCAAAGAGCAAUGAAUUUUAUUUUUCAUGAUUUGAUCGGCAAGAUGUUGAAAGUUUAUAUCGAUGAUAUAGUUGUGAAAUCCAAAUCACAAGCCGAACAUUGGGUAGAUUUAAAGCUCGCCUUUGAAAGAAUGAGAAAAUAUAAUUUGAAAAUGAAUCCUUUGAAAUGUGCUUUUGGAGUCUCAGCAGGAAAUUUAUUGGGAUUCUUGGUACAUAAAAGGGGAUUGAAAUCGAUAAAAAUAAGGCGAAAGCUAUAUAAGAAUUGCCGUCAUCAAAAAGCAAAAAAGAAUUGCAAAGCUUAUUGGGAAAAAUCAAUUACUUGUGGCGAUUUAUAUCGAAUUUGGCUGGUAGAAUAGGGGUUUUCAUUCCGUUACUUCGGCUAAAAAGUAAAGAGGAAUUUGUUUGGACAGAAGAACAACAAGUAGCAUUUGAAAAUAUAAAGAAAUAUUUAACAAAUCCUCCAGUACUUAUGCCUCCUAAAUAAGGACGGCCGAUGAAACUAUACAUUUCGGCUACAGAGGAUAAUUUGGGAUGUUUGUUGCCCCAAGAAAAUGAAGAAAAAGAGGAACAUGCCAUUUAUUAUCUAGCCGACGGUUAUUAGAUACAGAAAACAGAUAUUUGGCUAUCGAAAAAUUAUGUUUGGCUUUAUAUUACUCUUGUUCAAAAUUAAGAUAUUAUAUUUUAUCAACUGAAGUAUCGGUAAUAUGUAAAACCGAUCUGAUAAAAUAUAUGAUAUCUAAGCCAGUUCUGAGAGGACGAAUUGGAAAGUGGAUGUUAGCCUUAUCUGAAUUCUCCCUCAAUUAUGUUCCGGCAAAAGCUAUUAAAGGACAAGCGAUAGCUGAUUUUCUGGCUGAUCAUCCAUGUGUUGAAAUCGAGGAGCCGAAACAAAAUUUAAUCGGCUGUCAACCUUGGAUACUUUACUUUGAUGGCUCAAGAACAGCCGAGUCCGCGGGAGCUGUAAUAAUUAUACAGUCUCCUGAGGGAUAUUCAUGUCAAUUUUUUUUUAGCUAGAUUUCGGCUGCUCUAAUAAUUAAGCCGAAUAGGAGGCCUUAAUAAUUGGCCUCGAGAUUUUACAAAAUUUAGGAGUUAAGUCAAUCAAGGUCAUCGGUGAUUCACAGUUAGUAAUUAAACAAGUGAAUGGAGAAUACCGAUGCGAAAACCGGAAUUUGCAAAAUUAUUUAAGAAAAAUAAUAGAAUUGAUAUGCAAUUUCGGAGAAGUUCAAUUUAAGCAUAUGAUCAGAGAGAAAAAUGAACAAGCAAAUGAAUUAGCCCAAUCGGCUUUACGGUAUAAGGAACCGAAAUGAGGUCUAAUAAGAAUUGAAAGAAGGUUGUUACCUUCGAUUCAUGUUCGAGAGCCGAUUAUUGCUCCUAUAGAGAUGAAAGAGGAUUGGAGAAAAUCCAUAAUUGAGUAUUUAGAAGACCCCAACAAAAAGGUCGACUAUAAUAUUCGAAGAAGAGCACUCGGCUAUUGUUUGUUAGAUGGACAGCUCUACAAGAGAACAGCCGAAGAAAUAUUAUUGUUAUGUUUAGGGCCUGAUGAAGCUUUAUUGGUGAUGGGGGAAACUCAUGAGGGUUUAUGUGGAGCCCAUUUAGCAGGAAAAAGAUUAAGAUGGAUAAUUCGGCACUUAGGUUAUUAUUGGCCGACUAUGCAUCAAGAUUGCAUAGAAUAUGCUAAGGGUUGCCAAGAUUGUCAAUUUCAUGGAUCGGUACAGAGAGUUCUUGCUUUUGAGAUGUAUGCUAUAAUUAAACCGUGGCCUUUUCGAGGUUGGGCCAUGGAUUUGAUUGGAGAAAUUCAGCCAAAUUUCUCGGCUUGUCAUAAGUUUUUAAUAGUAGCCGUUGAUUAUUUUACCAAGUAGAAGUGAAACCUGCUCGAUUGGUCACUUAAAAAGAAAUUAUUGACUUCGUUGAAGACUCAAUAAUUCAUCGCUUUGGGAUUCCCGAGACGAUCACAACCGAUCAAGGAACAAUGUUCACAGGAGGUCAAAUCCAUGGCCCAACCAGCAGAAGAAAUGUCUGAUCGAUCGGCCAAGUCAAGUGAAAGUGCGCACAGCCUAUCAAAUUGUUCUGGAUUCUGAGCCAAAUAUGGGAGACCUUGACUAUAUAAUCGUAGAUACUCAUCAAAUUAUUGUUGAGUGUCUAACGACAUCACAAUGAUAGUUGAAUCAUCUCCUUCAUUAGAAUUUGGGCUCGAAACUAAAAGAGAGUGAAGAGUUACAGACAGAGGAUCUUCUGGAAUAGACGAUGAAGCUUCAGGAGGCAAAUGGGCAAAUGAGUCUCUGUUCGUGCUCCUUCAACGCCCUUUUCCAAAGGUGCAUUCACAUUUUCUCCUUCUGUUGUUGGCAUUGGUGAUGCUGCACUAUUUGUUGGCAACUCUUGGGUCUUUCCUUGAGUUGCCCUGUUCUUUUCUGCUUCUUGCCUCUUUUUGAGGCGAGCUUCACGACGGAGUUGCCUAUCCAUCUGCGUCUUCAAAGAAGGAGCAAAAUGGAUUCUUUCAGGAGAAGACUGUUUUAUUAGGAGGAAAGAAUAAAUAAAUGAAGAAACAAAAAGAUUGAGUAUAGAUAACCAAAAUUGGUUUACCUCAAUCUCAAUCGGCUCGUUCGAAACAGAGCUUUGCUCGGCAGCCGAAGAUGAUACUUCAGUUCUUUCUUUUGGAGCAUCAGCCAAAGGUGUUUCUUCGGCUCUUUUUUCUGAAAUUGUAACCGAAGGUAUUUCUUCGGCUCUUUUCUUUAAAAUAUCAGCCGAAGAAACGCCUUCGGUUUGUUGGGAAUACGAAUACGGUCUCUUGACGACCGACUUGCGCCGCUUUGGAGGCGGCGGAGUAGAUUGUGUAGUUUCCGUCGGCCUUUUCUCUGAAGCUGGGACCGAUGGAGAAAUCGGAAUUAACUACAAAAAAGGAAAAGUAAGCACUAUAUAUACCAAGAAAAGAAAAUUAAAAGAAAAGCAUGGUGUAUUACAGAAGAAGGAGGGAUAUCGGAGAUAUGAUCGGAAAUCUCUUCUGAUGCUUCUUGUAGUACAGAUGAAGCGGCGGUAUUGUCCGGAAGACAUUUGCUUGAAAAAGGCACUAUAAAUAGAAAAUAAAUAAGCAAGAAUUAUGUCGAGCAGAAAAUUUUCUAUAAGUAAGAGACAUACCAAUUGGGCGAAUAGUUUUGCGGUGUGCUUGUGAAGUAGACAAAUUGAAAGUAAUAUUGACAAAACGAUCCCAAUUAACGGUGUAGCGGAAACCUACUACUCCUGUACAAUUUGGCCUGAAGCUUAAUAAUUUGAAGAAUCGCAGAAGACGAUUCCCCAUGGCCGAGAUUCGAUCAGCAUCGACUAUGCUUUUGGUGCGAGGACGAUGAACGGCAGUAUUGGCCGUAAAGAACUUAGUUGGAGCAGGGAUUGCUUGUGUAAAUCUAAAUUGACGCGCUGCGAACUGGGGGGAGUAAACCUCAGUACUGGGCAGUAGUUUCGAGUGCGAUUUCAAACCAACGUGCAAAUCCCUUAUAGCCAAAAAAGAGUACCAGACAUCUGAAUGUUCGUCGGCACGGGAAGAAGCAGUUUCACUUUGAAUGGCCUCAUACCUAGCUAAAAACCAAGGUGGGACGGUGACACGAUCAGCAAGAGGAGACCAAGAAAUGAGGAAAUGAGGACCUGAUUCAUAAAAAGCCUUGAAAUAUGUGAUAAAAUCAAGAGGGUUGCCUGAUGUUAACGGCUGAGGACAGCCGAGAGCAAGCCCAUAAGAGUCAAAAUGAGCAGCCGAGUCUAGAUCUAGAGGUUCUCGGCACAAUUUAUGAAAAUAAAUUUGCAGAAACAUUUGCAAAAACCCAAAACACCACAUCCCGAGCUAAUUGUUACACCAUCUCCAGAGGGUAGUGGUUUAAUGGAAUCAAAGAUUUCCCUAUAGACGAAGGCAAGAAAAUAAGGCCCUAGAGCUAAUCUAUCGCCGUUAGAUAAACCAACGGCGAUUGGUACAAAGUUCCGAUUAAUUUUCUGCGAACGAGUACAGAAGAGAUUGUGGCAUAACCAAUAUAGGAGGAACGCUGUAUGUUCUUUCCUAGUGACAGGGGCAGGGGAUUCGCCUGCAAACUUACGGAGGAACUUGGAGUAAGCCAAGUCAAUGAAGUCAUUGAGGUCAAGAUGAGCCUCAAAGUCAGACACGUCAUCAGGAUUAUAAGCCAUAGAGAUGGUAACGCCAUGAGGACGCAGUCCAACGAUAGCGGCUACGUAAAAAAGAGUCGGAGUAAGAGGUCCCCCUCUGAAAAGAAAAACGUUGGAAACAGGGGACCAAAAACAGAGAGCAGAAGUUAACAGAAGGUUGUCGGCUACAGGAGGCUUCCUAGAUAGCCGAAUAGCUUCAUAAAUCCCGAUUUCCUUUCAAGAAUUACCAUAAACAGCUUCCACUCGGUCCAACCAAUCCAAGUAAGCAUCUGAAACACCCGGCUAAGUUCGAAGACUUUUUCCUGUCGAAGCCGAGGAAUACCAGGAGUGAAGAUCAAUGGAUUUAGCUAUAAAUGGAAGACCAUCACUGGAGUAAGGAAAAUCAUCAGGAGUUGGAUCUUCAGUAAAGGAGGGACCCAAGGUUAAUCUAGUGGGGUCUAAAGAGAGAUAUGGUUUAAGUAAAGUAUAAUCUAGCGAAGGACGAGUAGGUAAAGGCGGGAGCGGCGCCAUUACUCGAAGCGAAAAGAAACUAUAGAAUGAAGCAGAAGCCUGAAUGAAAGAAUGAAGAUUAAAAAAAAUCGGAGAAGACGAAGAAGAAGUAAAGAGAAGCGAAAGAGAAGUUUCGCCGGAAAAGACGAGGAAGAAAUAAAAAGGGGAUAGAAAAGACAAAGGGAAUGAGAAGCUUAGGAAAGAAAAAAAGAUCGUCGCAUCGAACCAUUGCAUCAAAACGAGUUCCGAGGUCGGCUAUAAUGAUGAAUAGACGACCGUAAUUAAGAUGACCUAAUUAAUGCCUUAUAUGAAACAAAAAUAGGGAGCGAGAUCGGGGCUGUAAAAAAGAAAAUGGACGGCCAAGAUUGAACCGUACAGAGGAUCACGCCUCGGAUUACGUCAGUUACUCGUACAGAGAAUUUGAAUUUAAUUGGACCGAGAACCACGCCUCGGAUCGCGCUUGUUAUUGAAGCGAUGGUGGGAUUUGGCAGCAGAACAAGUGGACGGUUGAAACGAAACCGUACCAAGAGUUUGAAAAGUAAUCGCGCCUCGGAUUACGCCAGCUACCGAAGCGUUAUUUCGAAAGCUGCCGAGGGGGCAAUUGUUGAGCCAAUUAGGCGCGAACAGGUGGUACGCCGGUAUUCCCUUCAAAGGCAUCAAUCUGGCCGUGCACCAGGAGCACCAGAAAAGUUUUAAAGUAAACCGUCGCGCCAAUUGAAGGAAGUUACAGUAACCGCAAGCAGUUGCAUGCGGUUCCGAUCGGCUGGAGGUGGUCCGGGAUAUUAGGAGAUAGUGGCCGAUCGUGUAAGAGCAAUAACUGAUCAAGGGGCGAUCUAUAAAUAGGGCAAUAACGCCCUAAAAAAUGGUCUUUUUCCCUGUGGACAAAAGACCACCCUUAAUUCCUCGCAAUUUUUUGCAUUUUUUAGGAGUAGUCUACUUGUAAUUUUCUCUUUCCCGCAUUUACUGUUCUUCCUAGGAGUAGUUUUAAGUAGAUCAACCGAGUCUGCAUGCCAUCCGGCACACUCGACCGCUGUACUUCUUAUCAGUGAAUAUAAAGGCAUUCGGCUCAUUCAAGCCGAUCAAUUCCUUUGCUCUAGAGACAUUCGGUUAGAAGUGCAGUACAAAUUCAAAAUUCAAACAAUAAAUGUCGAAAAAUUUAAAAAUAAGUGGAGAAUUAGGCAAUAGUUUUGAAAAGAAAGUACAAUUAUUUUAUGAAAAUCUCUCUGUUGCGACCACAUAAAAUUCAAACUAGAGAUUGUGAGAAGAGAGGAGGAUGACAUCAAGAAGAAGUAUCAUCAACCCUAAUAUUCUACGUUUUAUUUUUCUUACAUAGGAGUAGGCGUAACCUAAUCUAGCAAUAGUGAUAUAUAGAAGCCCUGGUCAGUGGAGAACUGUCCUUUACCAAUCGCUCACAAUUUCUCGAGCCUUCAUUGGACCACCUCACCUUUUGUUGCCGAAUGCUUUCCCAAGAUGCACGCUUUUGUCAGGUGUAGAAUACCACUCCGAUCGCUAUUCUUAUGUAGUGAUUCUAUUAAGCUCAACUUUGGCUUGGAUCAACGGCCGAAACUUGAAAGCCAAAGAAGUUUCUAGACUUCGGCUUGUUUCUAAAUGUCUCAAGGCUGUCUCUCAAGAAUUAAACUUGAUCGGACUGUUUUCUUUCAGACUUACGUCUGAAAUAAAGUUAGAUUUUACCUCUGUAUCAAAUAAUGUCACACUCUGCGAUUUUAUUUACUAACACUGGUAUUGAAGAAAUAAAAAGAAAUAUACUAACAGACCUAAUUUUACCUGCUUCGUUUACUUUAUUUAAAAAUAAACUUAACUAGAAAUAUGAAUCAACUAGUAUUCGAAUUUGAAACCUCGAUCAUCAAGCCUUUUGCCACAUGAUCUAGGGAUGGUUGGUUUGGUUGAGGACUGAAAGUUAAUCCCCAAAAAUUUAUAAUUUGUAUUUACAAACGAAUCAAGAACCGAAAGCUACCUAGUAACCCGAAUCGGACCCCGCGCUCGCGGUUCAUCGCAAACCAUGGGGGUUCGCUCGCGUCUUCUCGCAGUUUCUACCUCAGCUCUCCCCCAUCGAAGCCUCUCCNNNNNNNNNNNNNNNNNNNNNNNNNNNNNNNNNNNNNNNNNNNNNNNNNNNNNNNNNNNNNNNNNNNNNNNNNNNNNNNNNNNNNNNNNNNNNNNNNNNNGUUGUAGUUCUCACCCCACUAUUUCCACAGAGCCGGGACCGAGCGAGCCGGCGAGCUACAGAGGUAAAGGUAUCGCGCCUUAGUAAGAGGCCACCAAAGUUGGGUUUCAUUUUGUAGUAAAGUACCCUAUGAUCAUCUUUUGUAUUUGAUGAUUUAAAAUGUUAAUGUAUAAAGCAAAGAAAAGAAUGUAAAGCUUAUUUGAAGUAGAUGUGAUAUAAAAAGAAAUGAUGCAAUGUGUAAUGAAGUACAAGGAAUCAUGAAUGUAAAUGGAUGCAAUGUAUAUGAUCAAAAACGAAUCAUAGUACUUGUAAAUGUUUAGUUUUCCUUUCUUUCACUAAUGGCUAUUGCUUACCCUCGUGUAAGCCGUUUGUGUAUGUUUCCGCUAAUGCAUUUCUUGUUUGAAUUUGUACAUGUGAUGAGCCUUGGGCGGAUAGGGGAAACUCUGUUCGUUCGGCGUCUGUUUGACGUGCUCGGGCCGGCCCAAAUUGGUAUCGGUCCCGGGGCGUGACAGAAAGAUUUUUCUAACAAUUUUAGAUUCCGGGAUCUUCUCUCCCAAGUUAGCACAUGUAUUGAUUAUGUCUUGGAGUCUAGUAAAGUAAUCGGUAAAAGAUUCAUGCUCAUCCAUUCAAAUAGAAUCAAAUUGACUUGUCAACAUGUCACGCCCUGUAAUAUACCGAACUUCUAAUUUAUGAAGUUACGAUGUAUGUUAGCUUAGAAAGCCAUUGGAAUCAUUCCGGCGAAGUUCGGAAGCAUUCGGGUGCUUCGGUGCGCAUAGGGCGCGAAAACGGAACCCGGAAGGCUAUGUUGGACCGUUGACUAAAUCCGGCAUUAGCGUGGAUGAAAAGAUGAUGAAAACAUGUUUGAAAACAUGUUUGGAGAGUCUCGGUUCGAUUUGAAAAGAAACGGAGGUCAAACGAGUGAAAACGAGCGAAAACGGAGUGAAAAAGGAUAAAGGCUGAAAAUGCUGAAAAUUUGGCUAAGUCUGGAAUUCUGGCCUUUCGGGGACCGGUCUCUCACCGCAAGGACCGGUCUCAGAACCCCGAAAAUGCCCAGUUUGGGCUGUUGCGAGGGAAGCAUUGUGGAGGGGCUUAAGUGCAAAAUGGCACUUAUGAGAGUGUAUAGAGAGGAUCCUUUCUCUCUUUNNNNNNNNNNNNNNNNNNNNNNNNNNNNNNNNNNNNNNNNNNNNNNNNNNNNNNNNNNNNNNNNNNNNNNNNNNNNNNNNNNNNNNNNNNNNNNNNNNNNNNNNNNNNNNNNNNNNNNNNNNNNNNNNNNNNNNNNNNNNNNNNNNNNNNNNNNNNNNNNNNNNNNNNNNNNNNNNNNNNNNNNNNNNNNNNNNNNNNNNNNNNNNNNNNNNNNNNNNNNNNNNNNNNNNNNNNNNNNNNNNNNNNNNNNNNNNNNNNNNNNNNNNNNNNNNNNNNNNNNNNNNNNNNNNNNNNNNNNNNNNNNNNNNNNNNNNNNNNNNNNNNNNNNNNNNNNNNNNNNNNNNNNNNNNNNNNNNNNNNNNNNNNNNNNNNNNNNNNNNNNNNNNNNNNNNNNNNNNNNNNNNNNNNNNNNNNNNNNNNNNNNNNNNNNNNNNNNNNNNNNNNNNNNNNNNNNNNNNNNNNNNNNNNNNNNNNNNNNNNNNNNNNNNNNNNNNNNNNNNNNNNNNNNNNNNNNNNNNNNNNNNNNNNNNNNNNNNNNNNNNNNNNNNNNNNNNNNNNNNNNNNNNNNNNNNNNNNNNNNNNNNNNNNNNNNNNNNNNNNNNNNNNNNNNNNNNNNNNNNNNNNNNNNNNNNNNNNNNNNNNNNNNNNNNNNNNNNNNNNNNNNNNNNNNNNNNNNNNNNNNNNNNNNNNNNNNNNNNNNNNNNNNNNNNNNNNNNNNNNNNNNNNNNNNNNNNNNNNNNNNNNNNNNNNNNNNNNNNNNNNNNNNNNNNNNNNNNNNNNNNNNNNNNNNNNNNNNNNNNNNNNNNNNNNNNNNNNNNNNNNNNNNNNNNNNNNNCUGUUUCUCUACUAUAUAGAGGUUCAAAAUUAUCACACCAAAAACGUAGGCAUGUUAAGCAUCCUAAAUUCACGAUAAUGUAUCUAGCCAGGAAUGAAGAAUAAUCAUUUUAUAAAAGUAUUAAACCAAGAAUUCGAGAAUUUCUCAUAAAUAGGCUAGGUCAACCCACCAAAAAUCGAAAAUUCGUUUCGGCCGAACUGGAGGUUUUCUACAAGCUUCCUAACCAGCUAGAACAUCAAAUGGGUCACCCAACGAAACGAAGAGCAAAAUAGCUAAACAUUACCUGGACAGCAAAAGGCCAAAACUCACCUCACAAGCAGAAAAUCCUUCUAAGCUUUCAAAGGGAGUCUAGAAUCCUUCAAUCGAGCCCAAGGAAGGUUCUAACCCAAGAAAUUUACUCCAAAGGCUAGAUUCAAAAUGCCGCAAAAUAACCCUAAAGUCUCUCUAGGGUUUAUCUAUAAAAACGCUCAAAAGCCAUCUAGAGGGAGAGAAGUGUUGUACUCACUUAGAAGCUUUACCAAUCAAGCUCAAAAGUCUCCAACUUCAAAGAUCUUCCCUCAAUCAGGCUCAAGACCAAGCUCCAAGCCUUCAACCAUGGUGGAGAAGCCACCAAAAUGCAAAAGAGAGGAAUCAAACCUUAAAUCCCAAGUAAAAAGGGAUAUAAGAACCAAAGAGAAGAAGAUGAGGGAUGCCCUACCUUGUUCUCCACGGUUCCCAGCUCAGGGGAGGCUCUAAGGGAUAUGGGAGAUGAUAUAAGAAGGCCACAAAUGCAAAAACACCCCUGCAGUUUCGAACUGUGCGAAGUCUGCCGCCUUGUACCGGUACACGGGCCCUUGUACCGGUACAAGGUCCACGAAAUCCAAACCCGAGGCUCGAGUUGCUGGGCUCUACUGCUCUGUACCGGUACAAGCUCCGAUGGCUAUACCGGUACAACCAUCAACCUUGUACCGGUACAAGCACAACCUUGUACCGGUACAAGCCCGCCAGAACUCAAUCCGAGAGUCAGCCAAAUCCCGUUUUUUCGGGUUUUGGUGCAAGGCUUUGUACCACAAAUCUCAGGACACAUGCCAUAGGUCGCAACACAGUCAACGACCCACCAGAAAAUCUGGAAAAGUUCAGAACACAGCCAAUCACUCGAAUCUCGCAAUUUGCAAAGGUCCAGUGUGUUACACAACAUUUGGAGCUUUUGAACUUUUAUUAGACUUGUACCCUUAUGUGUAACUUGUAGAGUAUCCCAAAUCUCUUUGGCGGUUUCAAACACUGAAACACAAAAAAAUUUCGUUUGAGACAACGCAUUAAAUAAAGCAUUUAUUCCCUUUCUAUUGAACGAAGAUAACUCGUUUUCGUCUUUCGUCCAUUUAUUUCUAGGUUUAGGGACGGUUGCAUUAUCGACGACUUCGGUGGGAUACUUCGAGUAGAAUUUAAUUGAUUGCCACACCCGCUCAUCGAUGACAAUAAGAAAAGCUCUCAUGCAAACUUUCCAAUAAGCAUAGUUUGUGCCAUCGAAGAGUGGUGAUCGAUUAAUGUUACCGCCUUCACCCAUUGUGAUAGUUAAAAAUCUAGAUCCCACUCUGAUACCACUUGUAAGUUAUGGGAACCCUAGGAUCUAUCUAGAUAAUAUCUGUAAUAUACCGAAACCUCGCUAGAGAAUAUUGGACUUUAGCCAAAUUGACUAAAGCAUCCGACAGAAAAAGCUAGACAAAAUCGAAUUAAUAUUCCAACAAUAUUGGAAGGGUUAAAAAUGAGUUCUAAAAGAGUUAGAAAGGUUUAGCAUUACUCGGCGCGAAAAGAAGCUGAACAAGUGCUAAAACUACAAUCUGGGCAUUAGGUACCGGUACAACAUCGAGGUGGUACCGGUACUGCAUUAUAAACCGAGAGAAGCAGCUCUCGAGUUUGCCUCUGCGUAACCUUGUAACCAGUGACAAAAUUGUCCCAUACCAAUACUGUAAUAUACCGAAUAUUCGGAAAAUAAAAGUCGAACUUUAGUCAAAUUGACCAAAGUACGAGGAUGGAAUACUUCGGAAAGUCCGAAGGUGUUAAAAUGAGUAAAAGUGAGUUGUGGAAGGUUUUCGAGAGCCAAAGAAUCAAAUUCUACAAAACUGCAGAAUUUGAGCUCUCGGGGACCGGUCCCUGGUGGGAGAGACCGGUCCCCGAACGCGUAUGAAAUGAGACAGCCGAAAAAUCGGCUAAGUCCUGGAAGAUCAGCUCUCGGGAACCGGUCUCUGCCUNGUAAAUGUAAUGUAAGAAAGAAAUGAUGAAAUGAUGUAAUGAAUGUAAGAAUUCGAUAAAUUACUAGAUGGAUGCAAUGUAUAUGAUCUAAAAUGAAUCAUAUUACUUGUGAAUGUUUAGUUUCCUUUUUCUUUCACUUAUGGCUAUUGCUUACACUCGUGUAAGCCGUUUGUGUAUGUUUCCGCUAGUGCUUUUCUCUAUUGAUGAAAAUGUACGUGUGAUGAGCCUUGGGCGGAUAGGGAAAACUCUGUCCGUUCGGCGUCUGUUUGACGUGCUCGGGUCGGGCCAAAUUGGCAUCGGUCCCGGGGCGUGACAAAUACCAAGUGUAAAUACCCGAGCAGCAGCUCUCGGGUUUGGCUGUUAUGAAAUCGUGUAACUGAUGACAACCCAGCCCGUACCGGUACCAAGUGGACCUCGCAGCAAAAUAAAAACUGCUGCAAAUACAAGUGUUUGGGGGACCUUUUUGCUACUGUAGCACCUUAUAAAUGACCCCAACACCCCCUCCCACCUGGUUUACACAGCAAACUCCUCUCUCUCUCUCUCAUUUCUCUCUUUCUCUCUCUAGAGAUCAUUUCCUAGAGCAAGGAGGUGAAGGAGGAGAAGGCUUUGGAUGAGAUGAUUUGAAUGUUUGGGUCUCUCCUACAAGGUGGACUUGGGAGAGCUUAGGGCAAAGGUAAGGUUUUCUUGUGUAAGGUUUUCUUGUAAGAUCUAGGGCUUGGGUUUUAUGCCCUACAUCUUUGGAUUUGAGCUUCUUACAAGAGUAGAAACCUUCUAGAGGCUAUAGAACACAUGAAAAUAAGGUUUCUUCAUAUGCUCUCAUGGUGGAUCUCUAGGGCUUGGUUUGUUUGCCCUAGAAAUGAUUAGAAAAGCUUAGAAAAUGUUCUAAGAGGUUCAACAAGCUUUCUUUUGCUUGUUCUAGAGAUCUCAAACCCGAAGAUUGAGCAAAUGGCAUUGUUAGGGCACCGAAAUUAGGGCUUUUGCCCUAGAGUGGUUUAAAGGCAAAUUGACCUCAUAGAAACCUAAUUAGGGGUAUUUCUAACUAGAAUAUGAACUCGGUUCGGUGAUCCGACGAGUGUACGCCAAGAAAUUGACGAAAAGAUCGAUUUUGGUAUAGAUAGCCGCAGCACGCGGAAUAGACGCCCAAAAAUUCCAAGAAUUGAACCGUAGCACCUUUGCAACCAUACAAGGUAGGUGGUGCUUACCAAACUCUUUGAAAUUCCUUGUAUGUCUAAUGUGUCACUUAUUGAGCAUAUGUAUAUGUAUUGUUGCAUGCAUUGUAGGGUGAUUGAGAUUGUAUUUAUAUGAAUUGUUGCAUGUUGUGAGUACAAAUGUAUUAUGAAAUGGUUGAGAAUCUAUGAACCCUAUGUAUGCAUGAUUGGUGAUGAAAACCUAGAUGAGGUAAAGAACAAUGUGAUACUAUGACAAGUAGAUCGAGUGGCAUUAGUAAAUGCAAUGAAACACUAGAGUUAGUGUAUGGCAUUAAUGAGUCAAAAUUUACUAGUGUACAAUUGUGGCACUAAAUGAAUAUAUUGAAUGAUAGAGCAUGAACCACUAGAGUUAGUGUGUGUGGCAUUAUUGAGAAUUGAAUGCUAGAGAAUUGAGAAUAAAGAACUCGUGGUGUAAUGACACUAACGAAAGUAGAGAAUGCAAGUGCAUGUGAGAGUUGGCAUUAUGACAUCAACCUUAUAGUUAAGGGUCAUAUGAGCAUUGCUACCUUAUAGUUAAGGAAUGGAUUGAACUUGAAAUCUUUAUAGUUAAGGAUCGGAUCAUCCUCGCCUUACGCCUUGGCUCGGAAGGCGGUAGCUCCCCCUCGAGCGAUGAGCUCCAGAAUAGUCAUCACUGGGUCGUAGUAGUUCUCCCCAGAGGACGGUCCCGUACGGGUUGUAGGAGUUUCUCCCCGAUACUUGGGAUUAUGAGUUGGUGAGUCUAUUGACGCGAAACCUACGGGUAAGCCUAGAGAUUGGGAAUUGGAAAGUGACCUUGCAUUCAUCAUGAGCAUUCUUGUUGAGCAUUCUUAUUGAUCUCAUUGUUCAGGCAUAUUAGCUGCAUUUAUAUAGUUGGUUACCUAUCUAUCUGCUUAUUUCUUCUAUUAUGCCUGAGUUAGACCUAGUGGGAAGGUCGGCGAGAUUGGUGGCCAACUCACUGGGAACUUUGUUGUAAUUCUCACCCCACUAUUUCCACAGAGCCGAGACCGAGCGAGCCGGCGGACGACCACGGUAAAGGUAUCGCGCCAUAGCUAGAGACCACCCGAGUUGGUUUCAUUUUGGGUUUAGUUGCAUUACCCCUUUUAUACCAUCUUUUGUAUUUUGAUGGUUAUAGAUGUUUAAAGAAAAGAAUAUGAAUGAUGUAAAAGAAUUUAUAUUUGAAUGCAAAAGCUUUAUUUUGGAGAAUAUGUGAUGUAAAAAGAGAUGAUGUAAAGAAUGUAAAGGAAUUAUAUUAAAGAUGUAUGCAUGUAUGUGAUUUACAAUUAAUCAUAUUACUUGUAUGUUGAUUAGUUAAUACUUUCACAUUGGCUAUUGCUUGCCCUCGUGCAAGUCAUUAUGUUUGCUUCUGCAUGUGCAAAUUUUAUACUCUAUUUGUACUUGCUGUUGAGCCUUGGGCGGACAGGAGAGGCUCUGUCCAUUCGGCAUCUGUUCGACGUACUCGAACCGACCAAAUAGGACCGGGCUUGGGGCGUGACAAUAUCACACCUAGAGGAGGGGUGAAUAGGUGUAUAGCCCAAAAUCGUAAAUCUCAAUGCAAUAAAAAUAAAUGCGAAAAAUAAAAAUAGCACACCGAGAUUUACGUGGGAAAACUCCAAUUUGAAGAAAAACCCACGGGACCAACACGCGAAAAAAUAAUCCACUAAGAGAAAAGAUUAUAAGGUGAUUACCGACUCCACGGACUCUACCUCUCUUAACCUCCUAUAGAUCUCGUGCAAGCCUCCGGGUUGUCCACUCCCUCACGUUCGAAUCCACGAACGCCACGCACACAUCCGAAUCCACGGAUGCCACUCGAAUCCACGAGCUCACGAUCCGAAUCUUCGAACCGCCUUCGAUCACGCCGAAUCCACGACGCCGCACAUGAAGAGUAUCAUGCAUGUUUAUGGUGAUCCUUGGCUUAGAGAGUCGUUGAAGAACCAGAAAUAAGAACUCUCUGCAAAGUUUAGAUCAAUUCGACAUAUAGAUAUAGAAUUCAAUAUCUCGAAUUGAACUAAAAGAGGCCAAUUUGUGAAAAAUAGGUUUAGAACGAAAACCUAGCCUCUAGGGUUACUCUAUCAUGUAAUCUCGUGCUUCAUACUGAUUAGAGUAUAGCUUAUUUAUAGACUUUAGAAUCAAUUAGAGCUGAAUUAGAAGCUAUACAAGAAAAUUUUAUAUUGAGUACCGGUACUCGGAAAGUUGGUACCGGUACACCACGACGGAACAGAAAUUUUCUCAGGCUGAGUACCGGUACCAGGCCGAUGCAGUACCGGUACGCGGCCGAUGCAGUACCAGUACGCGGCCGAUGCAGUACCGAUACUCGGCUUUGGUACCGGUAGGCAAUACAAUUCGAAGAAUUGCAUCUCUCGAGUUUUGAGGUACCAAUGUGGGGUACCGGUAUUCUGUUUUGAAACUUAGUUUUUCAAUAUAGUUUUUGAGGAGCUGAAAACAGGUACUGGUACACAAUAUCAAAUAUUGUUCUAAUCAAUUCAAAAGUACCAAAACCCACUUCUAAUCCUUUAAACAUUGAUUUAUAUGAUUCUACUAUCAUAAAUAAGUAUGAAUCACCAUAACAUGAUUUAAAACCUUACCUGAGCCUCGUGAUCCAAGCAAUGAGAUGUUUCUGAGUUCUCGAAAUCUUGGAUUCUUCGAUCUUCAACAAUCACGCACCGAACCCUUCAAGACUCCGACUCAAAUCAUGAAACUUGCCAAUACUAAAUCCCUAAUACUUCCAAUGGAAAAGCCUCAAAAAUAAACCCUAGUUUUAUCAUGACCAAUUUUUCUACAAAAAUUUUUGCAAAUCUCACAAAUAGAGGAUGCAAGAAUGCUACUAACCUCAAUUUAGACUCCAAUGCAAGCUAUAAAAUGCUAGGGUUGAUGUUCAAGCCUCAAAUGUAAUAAUACCGAACUUCUACAAUUGUGGAGUUCUAGUGGAAUAGCUUAAAAGGCUAUUAAAUAGUUCUGGCGAAGUUUUGGGAGUUAUUCGGGUGUUUCCGGAUGAAUGAGGUUCCGGAUGCCCGAUUGUGAUUCCGAGCGCCCGAAAUGUAUUCCGAACUUAGGGGCAUUUAGUGAUUGUUUGAGGGCUUUUCUGCAAUUGUCAUAGGCCGAUAAAUGGGCGAACCAUCCUCCACACCUCCUUCAUUCCUUAUCUGAGAAGAAUCUUUUUUUCUCUUAUUUCCUCUCCCUUUUCUUUUCUCUCCCUUUUCUCCUCCUACUUAAGUUAGGGCCCAGCUUAGGAGGGACCAGAAGCAACGUUUUUAAGUACCCGUCGGCACGGGCCGUAUCAACCGUGUCAUACCGUACCAACAAGUUACCGGCACGAUACAAACCCCGUGCCGAUGGCACAACUCAAAACCCUAUAUUCUUUAAAUUAGUAAGUAAUUUUCUCAAUAAAGUUCAAAAAAUAUAAUAAAAAGACAUAAUAAAUAAUUAAAAUAUUUUGUUGCUAAAGAAAAUACAUAUUUCAUGAUAUUAUGUGUCAGCAGAUAAAAUUUUUUUUGAUUAGCACGCAUCGGUACAACUCGGCACGCACCGUGCCAUAUCGUACCGGCAAGUUUCCAGCACGACCCUGUACCACGGCACUUAAAUCUUUGACCAGAAGUUUAACUUUCUUCUGUUGAUGAUCCCUAAUUCAAGCGUAGUAGAGGGUAGUGCAAGCAUAGCGGAGGAUAGCUACUGUAGAGUGAGGACAGCCUUGGAUAACUAUUCUUCCAUCUUGUAUUGGAUUAGAGGAAGAAUGUAACAGAUGGGUUUAAAGAAAAUUAAAGUGGGACUUUGAUUGAUUAUGAUAUAAUAGUGGGAGAAGUUUUGACUCAUCAGAUAUAAAAUAUACACUAGCAUGAACCCGCUGUCAUACAGAAAGAUAUACUCUUGACAGGAAGAUUACUCGUCCACUUUUCUUGUUAUGCAUAUAUGCCCGGCCAGCUUGCAUAGGAUGCCAACACUUCAAUAGACGAAAUGGCAUCAAAAGAAAAAUAAAUAACACCCAUUACUAUAGAACUUCGCAAGAUUAAAAAUACAAAAUAAACCACAACAGUCCAUCCAAUCUGCAAAUAUACCAUGAUAAUAUGUAAUUCAGCACUACGGUACUUCAGCAGACAUUAGUCCUGACACAAAUUUUUGGAACUUCUAGUAGUGUACUUUAUUUGUUCGACUCAAAACUCAAAGGUAGUCAUUACAAUCUAGCAUUGGUAAUAAUUAGAUGUUAGAAGCGAGGUAAGGAGACAAUUUACUGACAACCUUUCACUUAAAAAACCUUGAUUUAUGAUCAUGAAAGGCAAUCGAAAUGCAACACUACUUUAACAAGAUACAAUUGCGAUACAACAAACAAAAGCAUAUCGUCAACUUAGUACGGAUGGUAUCGCCGUCCUCGGCUCCCAUCAAUGCCCCUACUACCUCCACUGUCACCCGAGCCACCCCUCCGGUCACCUCUUCGAGGGGGCGGUGGUGGAGCCUGCGCACCAGGCUGCUGCCUAAAAUAAUUCAAAAUUUCAGAUUCAAAAUUCAAAGUUCACGAGAACAAGGUACUAGUAGAAGUAUUCAGGGCUCAUCUGGACCAUCUAGAGUUUCAGUAGAAGUGUUGUUAUUAUAUUGUUUGUUCUAGGAACAGCUAACAGCUUUCUCAUUAAAUUUCUAAGCAGCUUUGUUGCCGUAAGAAUCAAAAGCCUGAAAUUCAAGUUUCAUUUUAGCUUCCCACAAAAGCAAAAGCAGUUGAUUUUUUUUUUAAGUCAAACUGCUGGCCUCUAAAAUCUUUUGCUUUCUAGAGUAAAGAAGCUGUCAGGAAGACAAUGAAAGACAGACAGUUAAUCGGCACAUAAAAAGUAAAAGCUGGAUGACAUCUUCUUACAAUACAUAGCCAAGGCGACCAUCAGGUAGAACCAUUGGCACCAUUCUCAUUCCAGCUGGCAUUGGUCCUCUACCGUAGAUCACAGGCUGCAAAAAAUUCGCAAACAAUGUUAACAUAAUGAAUACAGAUAGAGCCAGAAAUUUUUUAAAAAAAGACAUAGUAGUUUAUAUGCUUAAACCGCAAGAGAGGCAAACCUGGCCAUAUCCAGCACCAUAUCCACCACCAUAGACCCCAUAUGGAUCUCCAGGAUAACUGUAAGGAGGGUAUGGUGGUAAAUUAGGAAGUAACCCAGGUUUCUGUGGAUAUUCAGGCUUCUUGUCUGUCUGAGGUUUGGCAAGAGAGGCUUCUAUGACAUGCCCUGUGAUUGCAUAAAAUUUUGGUCACCCCCGUGGUAACAAGAACAAACAGUUUUAAGUUUUAACAGAACAGUUUUCAAGGACUGCUAAGAAAACAACAGUUAACUAUCUUUGGUAAAUGUUCAAAACCUUUUCAUUAAAAAAUGAUUUUCCAAACCUUGUUUUAUAUUAUAGCUGCAAUACAUAGCUAAAUGAAAGAAAGCCCCCUAUAAAUAUUGUAAUUGUCGCGUCACCCCCAUGGAAAUUUCAAAACCUACACGCGACACCCCCAUGGAAAUUUCAAAACCUACUAACUAAUGAACAAAAGGUUAAAAAUUGCUCAAGGGGAUAUUGAUAGAUAGAGACAAAGUGAAGUCUUCUGAUUUAACAGUUAUCAAGGCUUCAAAAGUUUGAGGGAGGGAAGUGAAAAUUAAGAUAUUUAUCAGAGGUUUCCUGCAAUUGAGCUGAAAUAUAUAUUUCGUGAGGUAAACAAUUUGUAUCAAGCAGGGAUAUGUCAGACAAGAUAAGUUUGAUAAAAACAGAAACAAGAAGAAACAGCAUAUUAACGUGCAUGCAUGCUGUGUUGCCUUCAUAGUAUGAACCUAACUAACAUGUCAUAUCAAAAGCAUCAGACGAAGAACUCAAACCAGCUAGCGUUGAAAAUGCAAAGCCAUAAAUAAAAGAAAUUACCAUCAACUUCAUAUUUUUCAGAUCCUUUUACUGCUUUCAAUGCACUAGAUCUCUCUGCAAAAUGAACAAACCCGAAAUCCCGCUUCUGUCCAGCUUUAGCGGGCGGUAGAACAACUUUUGUGACCUCUCCAUGACGUUCAAAAAGCUCCUUAAUCUUUUCUUUUGUUAUGUUUUCUGGUAGAUUUUUCAAAUAAAUAGCCUUCACCUGCAAUACAAAAAUGUAAUCAGAUGAUGGUCAUAAAAUGCAAGUCUUGAGAGAUCCUUAGUAGUACAUUUCCAACAUCUGACGCAUGAGAGAUAAAGCAUGAAUUAACUUGUAAGAUUAUGCCAUGCAACAUCAUGAAAAGAAAGAUUUUCAACAUUUCAAGAUCAAGGUGAUAGAACCGUAACACCAAGCAUUUGAGCUACUUGGCUGCAAAGAAAACCAAACCUUCUUUCCCUCACUCUAAAACAGAAUAAACUGAAAACUUUAAACACCUUCCUUCCCUCACUCUCUUUCACUCUCAUAUUCUCUUCAUUUUGUUCACCUGCAACCAAGCAAGUGCACCCGCAAUAUGUUUUCACAAUAUGCCAAAUCAAAUGGCAACAAAUCUAAAAUUUUUCAUUCUAUGAAAAGCAUUAUUCCCCUGAAAAACAUGUUCAACAGUUUUACAAUCAACCAAACAUCACAUGGUAAAUUUUUACAAUUGAAAGAAGCUUUCUGCAAGUUCCAGUGCGCCACAUAGCUUGUUACAUAUUUGGAAAGAUUUGCUACAACAAGUGCCUAAAGAUUUCUGAUUGCCUAAAGAUUUACAUCAGAAUUUCACUUCAAAAUUUGUGGACUCAUUUGAAGCUUACAUCAAAUUUGCAAGGUUGCAUCAAAUUUGCAAGGUUGAGCUGCAUUGACUAAAAAUGCAGAAGAUAAUUGAGCCAAAAAAGUGCAGGGGUUAUUAUUUAGCCCCAUAUAAAACUAAGGUAAAAAAGUAUAGAACUUGCCUAAACUGUAGACCAUUUUGUACACCAAUAUGACACAGAUUUGACUGUCUUUGCACUACAUUAACUGAUACUUCAAAAUUCAUUCAAAUGAUAACAUCUUUUUCUUUUGACAGGAAAGAAAUGAUACCAUCUUAAAGAGUUCGUUUAAUAUUACUUUUUUCCCAGAAUAACUUAUAUAAAGGAAUUAUAAUAAACAGAACUACAUGAAUAAGUUAUAAGUAGAAAGAAUAAACCAGAAUCAACGUAGGCAAAACUACAUGAACAAGUUACAAGUAGAAAGAAUAAACCAGAAUCAACGUAGGCAAAAGCAACAUUUAUAGUAUGUGUUUUCAUUCCGCAAAAGUGCCUUGGUAACGACAGCAAAAAAGGAAGGUAGAGUAGCGCAUUACUCAAGGAGAUGUGCUACUUAGACCAAAGCCAGAAUCAAGACGGUAUAUCAACAUUUAGAUUUUCUAGUUUUAAUGCCACAAAAGUGCAUUGGUAACAACAACAAAAAGAGAAGGUAGAACAUUACUAAGAGAAGGUAGAGCAUUUCUCCGAAAUUAAUAAACCAAGGAUUGUCGCGCCAAUAGCACUGGAUGUGCCACUGUGCCAACAGUAUGGCAUGGCACGGCAGCACGUCCAUGCUAAUAUCGGCACGGUCCUUCGUGCCAGUGGCGUGCAACUACCGUGACAUGAAUAGAAUAAUAAGCAUCUUAACAAAUCAAGAAUACAGUUUUAACAUGACAUGAAAGACACUCACAAAGACAUAAUUAUAGUCAAAAUUUAAGAAAAACUUACAGGAAGACACUAAGAAAAACUUACAGGAAGACACUACUAUUACUAAAUCAAAAUGAUAAAAGAAAUUGGAAGCAAUUGUCAAACUCACGUUACAUCAAAACAAAUUGGUCAAAUUAUGCGAUAGAACCCUCUAUUUCCACCAAAAAGUUAGUAGAUUUAUAAGAUCUACAUGUUUUAAGUUUAAGAAAAAAAACAUUAUGUAACUAUUUUACAUCAAUAAAAACUUAAAAAGAACCCCACAAAAAAUGUAAAUAGGACAAGUUUUCACGAUACGGUUCGACAUGCCGUCGUGUAGACAUGCCAAUCUCAACCCGUACCCGCAAGUACCCAAAGGUUACCCAUAAAUUUGCGGUUACGGGUACUAGUUUCUCUUACCCAAAAUAUUGUGGGUAAAACAAGAGGGUACCCAUUAAAUUAUGGGCAUUUUGGGCAACCCAUGGGUUCCCACAUAUAUAAUUUUUUUAAAAAAAAUAAAAAAGUGAAUAUUUUUUUUGUUUUUCACGUCCUUAGAACCCUACCACUAAUUUCUCUGAGAGUCAUUAUUUUUUUGUUUAUUAUCUGUUAUAUGUUGUGAUGUUUUAAACAAUAAUUUAUGUUCUGAUCUUUUAAAAAUAAUAUAUAUGUUAUUUGUGUUUGGAAAGUAUAAUAAAAAAGGGGAGAAAAUGUACCUUGUUGGUAAUCCAUAUACCCACCCACUCGCAAAAGAUUUGUAGUAAAUUCUACCUGUGCCUGCAUAACCUGCAGGUACGAUGACCCACCUGCAGGUUGCUCAACUCGCCCAUUUGUCAAGUCUACCCUCAUGCCACAUUCCGGCACUGCCUUAAAAUGGCGGCAGGGGGAAGAAUGCAUGGUUCAGGCACUCCUUGUAAUAAACACAACAUAGGGGGAGGAACUUCGGGGAGACGUGCAACUUUAGACCAAAAAAUCUAAUGGAACAUUAGAUCAGUCGGCAUGUUUUCUCCUAAAAGCACUCUCUCACAGUAAACAGUCGACAUGUUUCCUCCUAAAAGCACUCACAGUAAACAAGCAAUUAUGACUUUUGAAAUGUUGAAAAAGAGUUCUGCUAAAUAUAGUGAUCGGUAUGUUUUCAGAAUUUGCAUGGCUAGAAAAAUAGCAAAUAAAGCAUCAAAAAAAGAAAUUGUUUAGAACUGCAUGGUAUUGUUAGGUGAAAUUUUAAUAGAAAAUUCUAUCUACCAUCAAGAACAGGAUCAAUACUUCCGAUCUAAAAUUUGUCUUCUAUCACUGUUUUUUUAGAUUUUUAUUUUUUUUAGCCGUUCAUUUUGAGACUACUCAUUCACUAGGGAAAUGAAGUCAAAGAAUUAUGAAAUUUGGUUCCUAGAUAGUUUCAAUAGUGCAAAUCAUGUCCAAUGGAGCCAAUCAUCGAAUUGGAUGUCUCAUGAUCGAAAACAACUUGAAAGAACGAAAGCUUCUGUACUUUCCAAAGUAUAUACAUACAUAUAAAUGUAUAUAUAUAUAUAUAUAUAUAUAUAUAUAUAUAGAGUCCGGCUAUGGUGCUUGUAAAAGCACCAAGCACUUGGUGCUUGUAAAUUUUUUACCGUUAGAUCGACGCCUUUGAUCAUUUUUAUCCGUUAGAUUAUACUAUUCAACCAAUUACCCACUCAACCCUAGGGGGCCACAUCAUCCUAACCGCACAUCCCUUAAUCCAAGGGCCAAAAACUUACAAGUACCAAUGACUUAGUACUUUUAAAAGCAUAGGAGCUCAAUUCUAUAUAUAUAUAUAUAUAUAUAUAUAUAUAUAUAUAUAUAUAUAGCUAGAAUACACUCAAAAGUAUCAUGAAGGUGCUGCUUUUGAGUUUCUAGCCAUUUGAUGGAGAGAUGUGAGGUUGAGAUGAUGGUGGUAAGUGGAAUAGUGUUUGAUCCAAAGGCUAUUAGUAAUCAAGGAGUAGAUCCAAGGGUUAGAAACUUAGAAGUACCAAGGGGUUGGUGCUUCUAAAAGCAUUCUAGCUCAAUUCUAUAUAUAUAUAAAUAUAUAUAGAGUUGAGCUGGAAUACUAUCGGUAGCAAACGGACUCCGUUGCCACCCAUUUGUUUUCGAUGAUGGAGCCUUCAAAUCGACGAUCGACACCGUUGAACAUGAUCUAUACCCCUUAAACUAUCUAGAAACCAAAUUACAAAUCUUUUCGACAUCAUUUAUCUAAUAAUCAACGGGUUUCAAACUUUGUAAUUUUAAUGGUAGAUAUGAGGCGUUUUCUCAUUCAACGGUGUAAACCUAUCCAAAUCAAUUGAAUUUUGGUUAGAAAAUUCUUUAAACUAUUUAGAACAAGAUCUAUACUAUCGAUCUUGAUUAUAAAAUUUCUAUCAUCACUUUUUAGAGGAUAUUCAUUUUCAGCUGUUCAUUUUUAUGCCCACUUGAUGGAUAAGAGAACAAUAUCGAAAAAGUAUGAAAUUUGAUUUCUAGAUACUUCAAGUGGUAUAGAUCAUUUUCAACGGUGCCGAUCGUCGAUUUGGAGGCUCCAUCAUUGAAAACAAAUGGGUGGCAACGGAGCCCGUUUGCUACCGAUAGUAUUCUAGCUCAACUCUAUAUAUAUAUAUAUAUAUAUAUAUAUAUGCACACACAUACAUACAUACAUAUAUACAUACAUAUAUGUUUUAAAGUAUGGAGGGAUAAUAAGAAUAUACCCUAACUUUGGAGGAAUAUAUAAGCAAUUAUCCAUUGUUAAAAUGGCAAUCAGACAACAAAGUAUCUUGCAUUACAAAUCACACUUAGAUAGGAUUGGCAAAACGAUAUUGAGUGAGAUGACACAGAGAUUCUAAACUUUCUAGGUAAUAGUGGAGCACUAGAUCUCUAAAAUGGCCAAGAUGGUCAAUUAGGAAACACUAAAUAAAUUUCAGUUAUCCAGCGAGCAAAUAUUCAGAUUCCAAAGAAGCACUAGUAUAUAAAUCGCACUUUGAUAGGAUUAGCAAUACGAUAUUGAGUGAGAUGACACGGAGAUUCUAAACUUUCUAUGAAAUAUUCAAGCACUAGAUCUCUAAAAUGGCCAAGAUGGUCAAUCAAGAAACACUAAAUAAAUUUCAGUUGUCCAGUGAGAAAAUAAGCACUAGUAGCAAAGAAGAUUCUAAAUAGAAGAGAGCACAUUCUCAUAAUCAAAUGGCUAAGGCAGAAAUGAAAAUUCCACUACUCUGAGGUAAAUGGAUUGAUGGAGGUAAGAAGACUGCUUGAAUCAGAGAGUAAUGAAGUACGUAGAUUCCAAAGCAGUAGCAGCAAAGAAGAUUCUACAUAGAAGAAAGCACAUUCUCAUAAUCAAAUGGCUCAGACUUGAAGGCAGAAAUGAAAAUUCCAGCACUUGAGGUAAAUGGAUUGAUGGAGGUAAGAAGACUGCUUGAAUCAGAGAGUAAUGAAGUACGUGGUCCAAAAGCAAACUAGGAUUUCCGUAUGCUAUCCCACACCUCCUAAUGAGACUCCCAAAUUGGAAUAUGCUAUCAUGAAAGACCAUGACACAGGAUUUUACACCAAAUUAAACUCCAGUAUGAUGAUUCUCAUUUAUAGAUCCAAUGUCACAUUCAGCCAAGGAAAAAAAAUGAUAAAUGCAUAGUGUGUACUAAUGAGUACGAGCUUGCCCCACAGAUGCAUUGGAAAUGAUUCCUAGGGACAGAUGUAAAGCCAAGCAAAUUGCUGGCGCGCCAAGAGCUGAGGACUGUGUAGGUUGGAAGAAAUGCGAAUCUACCCGCCCAACAGAUUUUCUGAGUACCAGGGCCUGAAACAACUCGCAGCAUGACUCUAUCUUAUUGAUACAUUACAAAAAACUCCACUUGAAUCAUUUAUGAUUUCUCUUUACGGACGAAAAGCCUGUACUCAACAAAAUAUAUUAUUCCUAGGAUGAGUUUUUCUGGUGAAAACAUAUUCUGAAAGAGGCCGACUUCCCGGUCAGAUGAAGGGUCUUUCCUAGAAGGAGAGUGGAGUAAUGGCGGAUUCUCUAUUCCCAUCAUAGAGGGAAUAUGAUGUUAUACUGUAACAAUUUUUGUAUGCUUAGUAGAACUCCCAACGACUUAUGCAUUCUAUUAUCAUUUGCAUUAUGGAUUCUAUCAUCAUUUGCAAUGGAGUGAUCCAUUAAUGCAACUGAAGGAAGUUCUAAAUGGUUAAAUGUUUUCGAUUUUCACUACAGACUGGGAAUCUGCUGACUUUCCAUAGGACCCAUUUUACUGACAGGAUUAAUCACUAUUUUAGCAACUUUAGUGGCUCGUUAAGUUACUCGAAAUUCGUAGUUAUUCUAUUUCCUGAUUCAACCAAAAAAAAACAUUUUAAUGAAUUGAUAAUAUUAAUUGAACAUUUUAAAAACAAACUUUUGGAUUAAAUGAAACUUUUGGCUUAAUUUAAUGGACUUUCUAAAUCCUCUUAAAACCAAAAUUUCGGCUUAAACCCUUCCUUUGCCACCAAACAAACCUGAACUUUUCCAACUAAUAACAUUGGGCUGAAGCUUAUUUCGAGACUAGUUAGGAAGCUUUGUUUUAUUGCUAGUUGCUUACGUUAAUGGAAUUGUUAUACGAACGAGUUGUGAUUCAAUUAAGUUCUUGUUCAGCUUUAAUUCCAAUGAAAGUUAGUAUAUUUUCUUGGGGUUCAACUAAUCAUCUUAGUUUCUUUUUUUUUUGUUAAAUUGUAUAUUUCUUCUUAUAUUUAUAUCAAGUGGUUCUCUGAAUGUGGCUUAAAAUGUUAAGCAUGACAUCAUGAUGGCACACCAUAAAAUCAACUAUGGCCACAGUCAAAAUUAAACCAAAACUUUUAAAACAAAAUUUGAAACUAAACGGAUUAAAAUAAAGGCUAAAUUACAUAAAACCCUCCUGUCAAAACCUGAUUUUUCACUUUCCCCCCCAUGUCAUUUAAAAACCUACACUUUGCCCCCUUAUAAAAUGAUAAAUGUUCACAGGGGGUACGGUGUGAACUGUGAUGACCAGAUGACUAUUUUGCCCCUCACCAUUUUCGUCUUCUCCCUCAUCUUGCUCAUCCGCCGCCUAGAUCGGCCGCGAUUCGCGCCUCGAUCGGCCGCGGCUCCUCUUCAUUUUCUUCUCCACCUGCUCUCCUUCUCCUCUUGCACCCUCGUCGCCCCUCCAUUUCAGUGACAGUAGGGAGAAAAUUGAGAUGGGCGUGGAUGGAGAGGUGGGCAAGGACAACGAGGGCAAAGGCGAGGCGGCGGAGGAGAGCGAGGGGGUGUUUGUAGGAGCGGACAGAGAUGUGGGCGAGGGCGAGGCAGUGGAGAAGGGCGAGGCGGCGAGGCGGAGGAGGGCGAAGCAACAAUAGAGAGAGCGGAGGGUAUUUUUGGCAUAAAAAAAAAUAUUUUAUAACGGAUCACUAACGGUAAGGGGUGAAGUGAACAUUUUUCAUUUUACAAGGAGGCAAAGUAUAGGUUUUUAAAUGACAGGGGGGGGAGUGAAAAAUCGAAUUUUGACAGGAGGGUUUUCUGUAAUUUAGCCUAAAAUAAAUUAACUCAUUUUUAUCCUGCAUUACCAAUACUAUAAACAGCAUUAAUACAGCAAAACCAUAGUAUUGCCCCAAGGUAGGGGUGUCAAACUGAUGCAACAAAUAAACCUCAUUUUAUUUUUGAAUGCAAUUUUCUUUUAUUUUGUAGAUUCGUGUUUGAAUCGGACUUAAAUCAUUUAGUUUUAGUUGAUUUGGCUAACCCAAACCAUUUUCUCCAAUAAACAAAGAAACAAUCCCAAAAAGACCUUUGGAAUUCCCCAAAAAAAAAAGACCUUUGAAGUUCCCAAAAAUUGCUUCGUUUUCUAUGCAUGACUCUUGAGUGACCGUAUUAUGUUGAAAACGAAAAGACAAUAAUUUAUUAUAGGAGGGCUUUCAACACUAUAAAUAAAUGGUUUUGAAGCCUUAAGGGAGAUAUAUUUGGAUGAAUAGAAAAUUCUACUCUCACUCUUUAUCCUUGGUGUUCUACUUCCCAAUGUGAUCAUCGACGCUUCUUCCUCGCGCCGAGAUCGUCUUCUUUCUCAACUUGAUCGUUGCCGCUUUUUCCUCAUGACAAGAUCGGCUUCUACUUCUACCCCUCCUCUUCUUCCGAGUCACUACUUCAUCUUCUUCUUACCUGUUGCCAAAGUUCUACCCGUGGUGUAUCGCCCUCCUCGUCGAUCAUGGAUCUCCCGCAAUCGUGUGUACGGUGCACUUUUUGUAUCUCUCAUCUCCUGACAUCCUAUUAUCCCCUUUUAAUCUAGCCUUCCACCAUUACCAACCAUAUUUGCCAAACAACCAAACCUAAAGCUUUAAGUCCGAUAAAGCCGAAGUUACCUUUUGGAACUAUUAUGUGUAUUUUCAAUUGGUUGUUAUUAUCUCAUAUAUUGAAGGUUUAUCAUUAUCUUAGUAGUACUUCAAUUCGAUUUUAAUUUUUGUCUUGCUGAACUUUUUGCUUCCUUACUUAAAGUUCAUCGGAAUUGAUAAAUUGAACCUAGUUUUACCUUUAAACAAAAGCAAACUUAAAAAUUCAAUUUUGGCAACCUCUCGGUUUGCAUCAAUUGGUAUCAGAGCAAGUUCUUUUCGUAGAAGCGUUUGUUUUGAUCUAAACAACUUUGUCUUGGUAUUCAACUUUGGGCCAAAAUAUUUCAAAAAAAAAAGCAUCACUUUUUGAUCAACUUGUAAGCAUUUGGUAAUGACAGACAAUCGUGAAAAUCCUCGUGAUUUGAGAGAAGCGUAUGAGAAACAACAAGAUUACUUUCCUAAACCAAAAUCUAAGCCGAUUGAGUACCAAAAGCAACCCUCCAAUAAUGAGCAGAAAAUGAUGAUUUUGAACCAAAAUCUAAGCCGAACCAAAAUCUAAAUUACUUUCCCAAACCAAAAUCUAAGCCGAUUGAGUCCCAAAAGCAACCCUCCAAUAAUGAGCAGAAAAUGAUGGUUUUGAACAAAAGCAAAUUCUCUAAAGAUCUAGCAAAGUCUCCAGUGGUAUAUAUUCUUUUGGCAAAAGAAAUAUCGAAGAACACUGAAGUUCCUCAAGCUGUUCAACUAUUGCUUACUGAAUUUUCCGAUAUCAUGCCUGAGGAACUCCUCGAUGGCCUUCUACCUAUGAGAAACAUCCAACACUACAUUGAUUUUGUACCCGGUGCUAGUCUUCCACACCUAGCCCAUUACAGGAUGAAUCCCGCUGAACAUGAAGAGUUAUAUAGACAAGUCGCUGAACUUCUGGAAAAAGGUUACAUUAGAGAAAGUAUGAGUCCUGUCGCGGUGCCUGCCCUCACACCAAAAAAGGAUGGAACGUGGCGAAUGGGUGUUGACAGUCGUACAGUCAACAAACUUACCAUCAAGUAUAGGUUUCCCAUUCCUAGGAUUGAUGAUAUGCUUGACAUGUUAGGAGGUGCGAAGAUAUUCUCUAAGAUUGACCUUAAGAGCGGAUAUCAUCAGAUCCGUAUUCAACCUGGAGAUGAAUGGAAAACAGCGUUUAAAACUAAAGAAUGAGUAUACGAGUGGCUGGUUAUGCCGUUUGGACUAUCCAAUGCCCCUAGUACUUUCAUGCGCUCUAUGAACCAAGUCUUGCGACCAUUCAUUGGAAAAUUUGUCGUAGUUUACUUCGACGACAUUCUGAUUUAUAGCAGGAAUCCUGAAACUCAUAUAGAUCAUUUAAGACAAGUGCUUCAAACUUUAAGAGAUAACGGCUCAUACCUGAAUCUUAAAAAGUGUACAUUUCUGACCGAUAGCCUUACCUUCUUAGGCUAUGUGGUGUCCACUGAGGGAAUUAAAGUAGAUCCUGUUAAGAUAGAAGCAAUUCAAAGUUGGCCAACCCCAAAGACUAUAACUGAAAUCCGAAGUUUCCACAGGUUUGCGUCUUUUUAUCGGCGUUUCAUUCGAAAUUUCAGUUCAUUAAUUGCGCCAAUAACUGAUUGCCUAAAAAGGGGUAAAUUUACUUGGACACCUGAAGCUGAAAAAAGUUUUCAAUUAGUUAAGGACAAACUUACAAAGGCUCCAGUACUUGCCUUGCCCGACUUCGAAAAGGUGUUUGAGAUUGAUUGUGAUGCCUCACAUAUCGGAAUUGGAGGCGUACUGUCUCAAGAGAAACGUCCUAUAGCCUUCUUUAGUGAAAAAUUGAACGAUGCACGAGCACGUUACUCCACUUAUGAUCUUGAAUUUUACGCGAUCGUGCAGGCUUUGAAACAUUGGCGACCCUACUUGAUUCAUCGAGAGUUUAUUCUUAAUUCGGAUCAUGAAGCAUUGCGAUAUUUAAAUUCUCAAAAAAACUUGAACAAAAGACAUGCCAAGUGGUCUGCAUUCCUGCAAGAAUACACUUUUCACUUGCGGCAUAAACAAGGCAUUGCUAAUCGAGUCGCUGAUGCACUCAGUCGUCGAAACCAUUUGCUUAUCACUUCUUCCUUACAGAUAGUAGGAUUUGAGAUAGUUAAGGACCAAUAUCAAAAUGACCCUAAUUUCGGUCCUAUCCUAAAAAAGUGCCUAUCUCCUGACAAUGAUUCACCUUCUGAUUAUUGUUUGGACGGCGGGUAUCUUUUUAGAAAGUCCAAGUUGUGCAUUCCCCAGGGAUCGUUAAGAGAGUCCUUGAUUCAGAACUUGCAUAGUAGCGGGCUAGGGGGACAUUUCGGAAGAGACAAAACUUUGGGAUUAGUUCAAGAGCGGUAUUAUUGGCCUAACAUGAGUAAGGACGUUGAAAGGUUUGUCCAGCGGUGCAAGACUUGUCGAUCAUUUAAAGGACACUCAAAAUACAGGCUUGUAUACUCCCCUGCCCAUUCCCACUGUGCCCUGGGAGGAUAUUAGCAUGGACUUUGUCCUAGGUAUACCCAAGACUGCACGCCAAGUUGAUUCAGUUUUUGUGGUUGUUGAUCGUUUUACGAAAAUGGCUCAUUUUAUUCCUUGCAAGAAAACUUCUGAUGCAUCACAUUUUGCAAAAUUCUUUUUCAAUGAAAUUGUACGUUUACAUGGCAUUCCUAAAUCAAUCACCUCUGAUCGAGAUAUAAAAUUUGUAAGUCAUUUUUGGAGAACUUUAAUGUCAAAGGCAGGAAGCAAACUGAGUUUCAGCAACCCAUAUCAUCCACAAACUGACGGGCAGACGGAAAUAGUAAAUCGAUCUUUGGAUAAUCUCUUAAGAUGUUUAGCUGGAGAAAAACCAACACAAUGGGAUUUAAUUUUACCUCAAGCUGAAUUUGCUUAUAACAGUUCCAUAAACCGAACCAUUGGAAAAUCUCUUUUUGAAGCUUUAUAUGGCCGUCCUAUAGCCCACUUUCUUGACCAAGCACCAAUACCUUACCCUGGUAGAGUUAGUGCAGAGCCGACUAUUACCUAAAACAGAUUCAAGAGGUGCAACAACAGGUUCAUCAAAGGUUGCGGGAUUCCACUGUCAAGGAGUCAGCAGAUAAACAUCGCCGAGGUAUGACUUUUAAUGAAGGAGAUAAUGUCUUAAUCUAUUUUAGGAAAGAAAGGUUCCCAACUGGAGGCUAUAGCAACUUGAACAGGAAAAAGAACGAGCCAUUCAAAAUUCUGAAAAAAUUAGGGAAAAAUGCUUAUCUAAUUGAUCUACCUUCGGAAGUAACGACGUCCCCGAUCUUCAAUGUCAGUGAGCUAUACGAGUACCACGGUAAGGCCCCCUCUACUGUCGAUAUUGAUGGCUCGACAUCUCGCUCCAACAUCAAAACUCCAUCAGAUGGCGUGGAGGAUAUUCUGGAUGUGCGCGAGUCUGCAACGCAACGUGGUACUCAUCGCCGAUACUUGGUGCGUUGGUGUGGACGACCAUUGUCCGAUAGCAGUUGGGUUUCUGAGGCGCAGUUGCACCAACUUCGAGAAGACUUAUACCAGAGCUAUCAAGAUGCCAUCUCGAUGGAGUCGAGAUUUCCCCAACUCGAGGGGAACUGAUGAAGCAAAUAAACCUCAUUUUAUUUUUGAAUGCAAUUUUCUUUUAUUUUGUAGGUUUGUGUUUGAUUCGGACUUAAAUCAUUUAGUUUUACUUGAUUUGGCUAACCCAAACCCUUUUCUCCAAAAAACAAAGAAACAAUCCCAAAAAGACCUUUGGAAUUCCUAAAAAAAAAGACCUUUGAAGUUCCCAAAAAUUGCUUCGUUUUCUAUGCAUGACUCUUGGGUGACCGUGUUAUGUUGAAAACGAAAAGACAACAAUUUAUUAUAGGAGAGCUUUCAACACUAUAAAUACAUGGUUCUUGAAGCCUUAAGGGAGAUAUAUUUGGAUGAAUAGAAAAUUCUACUCUCACUCUUUAUCCUUGGUGUUCUACUUCCCGGUGAGAUCAUCGACGCUUCUUCCUCGCGCCGAGAUCGUCUUCUUCCUCAACUUGAUCGUUGUCACUUCUUCCUCGUGACAAGAUCGGCUUCUACUUCUACCCCUCUUUUUGCGAGUCACUACCUCAUCUUCUUCCCCGUUGCCGAAAUUCUACCGGUGGUGUACCGCUCUCCUCGUCGAUCGUGGAUCUCCCGCAAUCGUGUGAACGGUGCACUUUUUGUAUCUCUCAUCUCCUGACAUCCUAUUAUCCCCUUUUAAUCUAGCCUUCCACCAUUACCAACCAUAUUUGCCAAACAACCAAACCUAAAGCUUUAAGUCCGAUAAAGCCGAAUUUAUCUUUUAAAACUAUUAUGUGUAUUUUCAGUUUGUUGUUAUUAUCUCAUAUAUUGAAGGUUUAUCAUCAUCUUAGUAUUACUUCAAUUCGAUUUUAAUUUUUGUCUUGCUGAAAUUUUUGCUUCCUUGCUUAAAAUUCUUCGGAAUUAAUAAAUUGAACCUAGUUUUACCUUUAAACAAAAGCAAACUUGAAAAUUCAAUUUUGGCAACUUCUCGAUUUGCAUCACAAACCCACAACCCAGGCGGCCCGUGGGUCGGCCCAACCCAGCACGGUCAUGGGUCGUGCUGGGCUAUACUCACUUGGCUCGCAGCCCGACCUGGCCUAGCAUGCCAAGUGUGGCCCGGUACAUUCAUGACUAAGCCCAAGUAUCAGGCCAGUGGUUUAUUUUUUUCUUUUAUCUAAUAUAUUUUUUAGUUUUUUUAUUUAUUCUUCAAACUUAAUUUAAAGUUUUAAAUUAUUCAAAUUUUAAAUAAUUUUUCUAAAAUCAUCUAAAACUUAUUUAUCUAAUAAAAAAACUAUAUAUAUAUAUUAUAAAAUCAAUUUUAAAAUUAAAAUAGAAAAAAAUAAAUAAAUAAAAUAAAAUGGAUCGGCUCGUGACCCUGCAUGGCCCAGCCCGGUUCAAGCUAUGGGCUGUACGGCUGGGCCCGAAUUGGCCCAAAAAAUCUCGACCAAGACAUCCUGGCAUGGCCCAGAUUACAUCCCUACCCUUAGGCCAAAUACUCUCUACAGGAAUUGAGCAGGUAGUGCUCAUAGCAGGUCAUAUGAUAUAGUGCUUAAUCCACAGUGGGCUUGUAUUGUAGCAGUAAUGCUUGUAUUGUAGCAGUAAUGCAAACAUGGUUACCAGUAGUGGGUACUAUAGAACAAUACUGUAGCUCAAUAAGAAUGGGUAAAAAUAGGAAGAUGAAGAAGAAUGAAGAAGUAACAAGCAGCCAAUUUAGGUGCAAGUAUAAGAAGAAAACAAAGAAAACCCUAAAAAUUCAAAUCAAUUCAUCCAAUAUCCUGAUUACCUAACGAAAAUUUAAGGCCUAUUUACAAAAACUAUUCAGCAUCCUAAAACCUAAAUGACUUGCUAAAAAUUCUAGGGAACUUACUAUACCUAAUCAAUAGAUAAGAAAAAUAACAAACUCUAUCUUAAAAAAUGAAAAAGGAAAAAAAAAUCCAAGCCAAUUCAACCAAUUUACCUAACGUUGCAGCGACUAAUAACAAUCAGAAGUUCCAAAUAAAAUUUGACUUGACUCGAACCAAAAUGAAUCAACUCAAUUUAUGCUGCAGAAGCCCUCCAGCCAAGAAUCAUUAGAAGUACGAUUGGAUCCAUCUUAACCUUCAUUACAUUUUAUUUAGAUUGCAAACGGGUUACAAUAGUAUGUGUGAUUGACGAUGAACUUUUUUUUGGUAGUCUUAUAUAGUUAUAUAUGAUCAAGCUUAAUCAAGCCAAACACAAGUAAGCUAACCUAAGCCCAUGCUCUCAUUUAUUACUUAUUUGACGAGCCCCUGUCAAGCCAACAACAAGGUGUUUGCGAACAAUAAGCUCAAUUAAUAACCUUACUUCCACCUACCAGCUUCACACUAUACUACAUCCAAUAAAGUACAAAAUUUGUGCCCAAUCUUUUAUUUGCAAUAGAUUAUAAAGGUUGUUCUACAAGAUAACUACAUAAUAAAACAGUCACUAUACUUUUUAAGAAGUACAAAUCACAGCCCUAAUAUUGUUGAAUUUUGCAGAACAAUAUAAUAAUGAAGGCUAUUGUCAAAUAUAUACUGUUAUAAACACUAAUUUACGUUAAACUAGAACUCUAGAUAUAAAGGAACGAUAUCUAUUUAACUACAUUAAAGGAGGGUUUGGGGGGACCUUAGAGUCACACGUGUCCCCCCAACCCUCCUCUUCUCUCUCCUUCUACACACACACACACACACACACACACACACACACACACAUAUAUAUAUAUAAUACAAAAUUUAAAAUUUUGAUAUUUUUAAAUUUUAAAGUUUUAAAUUUUAAAUUUAAUAUUUUAUAUUUUAAAUUAUAAUAUUUAUUUCCAAAUUUUAAACUUUUCAAAAUUUAAAAUUUUAAAUCUCUAAAUUCUAAUAAUACGCGUAAUAAAUCGCGUAAUAAAAUCUAAUCUAAUAAAUACAAUUUAAAUUACAUAAAAUAUCGCUGUAUAAAAAAAUAUAGAAUUUAAAUUUUAGGACUAAAAUUUUAGAAAUAUAGUGCAUAUGUGUAUAUAUAUAAUUAAUUUUAUUAAAUAAUUUUUUUUACAAUUUUUUUUUAUUUAUUGGUUUUCUUAAAUUAUUUUGAUAGAUUUAUCUCAAAUUCUUUUCAUAUAAAUUUUAUAAAAUAAAUUAUUGUAUAAAUUUACUUUGCGCAUAAUUAUUUUUAUAUAAUUUUUUAGUUAAUUAAUAAUUAGACUUAUAAAACUAUAUAAAAAUAUUAAAAAAUAUAUAAUUUAUUAUAAAAAUAAUUUUAUAUCCGCAGCAUCGCGCGGGUAAUUCACUAGUUAGACAAUAAAGAGGUAGAAGGCAGAUAUGAAAGAGGCAAAGAAAAAAAAACAAAAUUCUGGCUUCUCCAUAUCCGAGUUGCCUACUUAGCUUAAACUAUACUAAAACUAGUCCACUAUGCCCUUUGACAGUAUUCAUAUAAUGAAAACUUAAAACCAUAAGAAAUCAGGAUCCACAAGAAAUUGGGAUCACAAGUAUCCAUCUAUCUAUAACCCUUAUAAAAGCCCGUUCUCUUUGUCCACGUGGCAAGAUUAGCUUAACUUAAUUUUUUGUGGGCCCUACCUGUCAUCUUAAGCUACUCUAUUAAUUAAUUAGUGAGUGGGGCCCACCCGACCAAUUUUCUUUUCGUCCCUACUCUUCUGGUUCCCAUUUAAUUUUCCUCCUUACUCUGCUUCCUAUUAACUGCUUCUAAUUAACUUCGUCUUCCACCCGAUGUGCCACUCCGGCUCCUUCGCUCGCCCCUCUAAAUGCCGCUCCGACUCCUGUUCCCUCUCUGGACGGAAUGUUGGGCCGAGUUCAUGGUUAGGCCUUCUUCCCGUCGCGCCCGUUCUCGUUAGCGACACUUCGUUUCGUUCGCCGCCUAGAUGCCGCUUCGCCUACUGUUCCCUCUCUGGACGGAAUGUUGGGCCGAGUUCAUAGUCCGCCCUUCUUCCCGUCGCGCCAUUCCCGUUAGCGACGUUUCGUUUCAGCUUAUUCAUCCCCUCCGGCCACGAAAAUGGUUCGGAUUCAUUCUCCGUGGUCCCUUCUUGCUGCCUAUAUAAUAUGCCUCUGUAAAAAUUUUAUUUGCAGCAAAAAAACUAUAUUUCUCUCCUGGUGAUUUUUUUCAUUUCUGAUUUGGUAGCGAGCCCUCCGCGGGCUUCGAUUUCACCUCCAGGAAGCGGAUCGAGCAGAAGCUUCUCGAUUACAAUCAAGAGGCCGAGCGGUUUAGAGGUGAGAAAAGGAAAAAGCUCCCUCUUUUGAUGUUCCUCUUUCGCUAUUCGGUUGUAGAAUUUUGAAAAUAUGAACAAAAUCUUAACUUUAGUUGUGAGUAUUGUGCCGUAUCUGAUAUGGCCAGAGCAUCAUAUACUUAGUCCAAGCAAUCACUCAGAAAAAUAAAAAGGAACUAUUUGUUGAAAAUGAGUAAAAAUAAUUUUUUCAUGGCCUCCCUCUUUAUAACGAAGCCGAAUGUUUUGGAGGUGAAAAAGUUUCCUUUUUUUAUGCUCCUCACAUAUAUAAAAAUGGCCUAUAGUUGAAGAGGUCACAACACUUUUCUUGUUUUUACAUCUUAAUUGUUGCAUAUUUAUCCCUGAAAUCUGAUGGCUCACUGCAUGUAUACUUACUUUGACCACAGCAUAAUAUAGAUCGAACAUUCUAUGGAAUUUAUUGGAAGAAAAAAAAAAGAACCAAAUUGGUCUAUUUGAGAAGUGCCUGAGCGGUGCUUGAGAUAAUGGCUAGGAGAGUAAGGAGGAGGACAAAGUAGAACAAACAGAACAAUACUGUUGUAAUUUGUCAGAGUGGAAGCAAAUAGGAUCUUAUUUUGCUACCUUGCCAAUUCAAAGCUACUACAAUGGUAUUAAUUUCUGUCUCUGAGCAGAAAAAAAAUUGAUAGAAUUUGAGGAAGUCUUAUUUAGCAUUGCUAUCGUUUAUUCUAAACAUUAUGAUGCUAAAUGGUUAGUCUGCAAUAAAACAAUUAAGAGGAAGAUGCGACUGUAAAGAAUAUUUUCUAUUGGAAUAUUGUAUAUGGUUUAGUUACUAAGCUAAAGUACUAGGUUUUUUAAUUCUUGAAGAAAGAUUUUCAAGCAUUGCUUUAUAUAAAUCAUGUACUAAGCUCUUGCUUUUGCUUUUGUUUUUACAUUGAUACCUGCCUUAUCUAGGUUUAAUUAAUUAAGUAAAUCAAACUAUUGGGAAGCAAUACUAUGCAACAUUUUGCAUUUUGAAGGUACAAUUCGCUUUAUCAUAUAUUGAAUUUAAAAUUUUACUUUCAACUUGCUUUUGUAAACUAUGUCCUAAAAUUCAAUUUGAGAAUUAUUUGUCAAUCUCAUAAGAUCCCAAUAUUUUUCUCAACUUUCUAUUAAUUCAAGAUCCUAAAGCUAAGGACUGAUGGUUGACGUUUGGUAACGACAGCAAAUUAUUGGAAUAUUGGCCUCCAAGAACCUUCCUUCUUCACCCGCCUAGCGAGGUACCAAUAUCAGAUCUUUCCCUUUUUUUGCUAUAGAGAUUAGAUAGGGUGUGUUAACGUUCUUCAGACAAAAUGCCAUUACUUCUUUAGGCUUCAAUCUCUCUUUCUCUCUCUUUUUUUUUUUCCAAUUUGACAUGACGACGGUGUCGGUAAUUGCCAUUGGGUUCGUUGGAUUAUUGGCUGUGAUAUCACAAGUCAUAACCAAGAGUUCAACAAAUUGAAAUAUAUUUUAACUUGCUUUCCAGCUCUUUAUAUAAAACCAGUCGAGAGGUAUUAACGGCUUUCUAAUACUCAUACAAAAGGAUAAAUAAGUCAAGAAGUUAACAAAGCUAAAUAUCAUAAAGUUCUAUAUAGUACAGCAUCUUGCUUCUAAACAAAUGUAUUAUAUCUUUAUUAUGAUAAUAUUGGACUUUAACUAAGCAAUGGUUAGAUCAGAUCUGAUUCUUUUUUUUUCCAUAAGAAAAAUAUUUAGAUAUGUAAUAAACUAACUAUGAUCACAGAAUAAAAAUCUAUGUUUAUCGAGCUUUUUCCACUAUUUUGAUAAGAAUACUAUAUGAUUAUAAAUAGGAGUUCAACCUAGAAAAUGAAUUCUAAUAUUAUUUAGAUAGAACAUAAUCAUUAGUUCUCCUAUUUCUUUUGUGCCACUUCUUAUUCAUGUUUGGUUUCCUGUUGCUUCAAUUUACUCCUGGAUUGUGGCUUGGCUAUUUAUAUUUUCUUUCGUUGUUGAUGUAGAUGUAUGUUAACUUCAAGCUUAUAAAUUUUGCUCAACAACUCCUUCCUGUUUGCCUAAUUUACAACAUAUUUAUCUGAAUUAUUAAUGAUAAAAAUUGCUGUUGAAUCUACUCUCAUUCUCUAUCUUUUUUUGUUGCCUGUUGCUCAAAGUAAAUUGAUGGCAAAAGGACAAGCAGUAGCGACAACGACAGCUGUAACAACGCGAUCGAUGGCAAAAAGAGAAUAAGAAGAAUAAGGAGAAGAAGAAGGAGAAAAAGAACCAGCAAUAACAGGAGCAGCAGUAGCAGUACCGAUACAAUUGAUGGCAAAAGGAGAUGUGAAAGAAGAACAAGUGCUUGAUGAUUAAGCUGAUUGAUCAUCUGAGCCUCAACAUAUCUAUUAUUUUUAGUUGGAAUUUUGUUUUCUAGGUUACCUUAUCUACAAAUCCAUCUAAAACUAUGUUUCCUUAUAAUUGUCGGGUUUAUAUCAUCUAUAGGGGGUGUUUGGUCCUUCUGAUGAAAAGUAAUUCUAAGGCCAAAAAUGAUUUUGGGCUCAAUAGAGUGUUUGACAACAAGUGCUAGAAAAUCCGAUUCUGCUUUUCAGAAUUUUUCAUUUUCAAGAUCCAGAAUUAAAAGCAGAAAAAAGCUGUUUCUUGAAAUCUAAUUCUGAUUUUGGACUCAAACUUCAAAAUAAGCUUUGUUUUCUUUUGAGUUUACAUUAUCUUACUACCUUUUGAGUUAUUUUUGUUUAGUUUGAGAGCUGGUUAGAAUUUGAUACAUAUUCCCUAUAUGCAUUAUGCGCAUUUAAUUUUAUUGAGCAUGCGGGAAGCUUAUCUUUGAUUUCAAAUAGCAUUGUCCCUCCUAAGAAGAUUGCCUCUCAAAGUUUCAGUAUGAGUAAGGACAAUCCAGAAAUUAUACUGGAUACUGAGAAUGAAAAAGAAAAGCAAAUAUACACCGAGUUAGAUAUUGAAAACGUGGGCUGCAUUGUUAUAAAACCGUGAAAAGAAUAUGGCAUAAAAGAAUUUAGCUUGAUUCUAAGAAAAAUAUAUGGAAGUAGGUCAAAUAAGUCUUUUUUUAAUUCGUUCUCUAAUUUUAUUAUAUUUCGGUCCCUAAGCUGUGUCAAUCUAAACUUUGCAGGUUACAAUUAGUUAUAAUUGUAAGUUUCCUCUCUUCUUCACCAUCUUGCAAUGGAUAUAAAAAAAUUAAUUAUGAUAUUAUUUUGCUUCUGCAGAAUCUUUCCGCCGCAACGCGCGGGUAUCUUCACUAGUAUAUUGUUAUUUCUUACAAUGAUUGUAGGUAGAAUAAAUCUGCAUAAUUAUUCUAAUAGUUAAUGUAGCAUAAUCUUUCAUGAUUUUGGUGAAAGCUUUGUAUCCUAUUAAUCUGAAAACAAGUUACUUAUGAUACCUCAAUUAGUCAAAGAUCCAGCUCUCAUUGCCAAUAGCUGAUGUCUAUGUUUUCAGCAAUAGAAAACUAACCACUGCUUGCUGCAAUAUACUAGAAAAACCAGGCAAACAAUAGUCCUUGGACCGAUUAGUUAUGACUUAUGAGAAUUUAACCUUUUUUUCACAAUGUCACUAUCCUCUACAAUUACUAUAGGAAUGCACACCCAAUAAAAUUAAGAGUCAUAACUCAUAAGCAAGAAAAAGGCAAUAAUUUUCCUCCUCUCAAUAUUUCAACAAAACAACAGUAAAUACUGACCUUGUAAUUAACUAAUUAUUCACCUUUCACGAGUUAUAUACUAAACAAAACUAGCUUUUUAAAAGCAGGUGAAAUGAUAGAAUGACGACCUCUAUAUGUUUUGUGAACGCAAUUUUCUGCGCAUUGGCAAUUGAGCAAGAAAACAUGCACGUAAACAGCAAGUUCAUAUGGCUUCUACCCCAUUAAGUUUAGCGGUUAACCAGAUAGGAGUAAUAACUAUGCAUAAACCAUAUAUAGCUAUUUAAGUUAAGGAAAAGAAAAGGUAAUUAAUUCAUUUGUGUCUAGAAACUCUACUUGAGCAGCUGCAGAAGAAUCAGUUGAACUCUUAGGAUCAGCCCAGCUGACGGUUAGAUUGGUUCCUUCAAUUUUGAAGUCUGGGCUCGACAUCUUCAGCCUUGCAUAGUCAGCACAGGCAUGGUUGUAGUACUCCACAAAUAGAAAACCACGAUUACGAUUAGGAUCCUGUAAAUCCUGCAAUCAUCACCAAAACAUAGUGAAAGAAUAUAAAAAGGAACUCAAAAAAUUAUUAUAUGCAUAGAUAGCAACUAAAGCUAAUUGCAAUUUAAAAAUAAUAAACCCACCUUGAAAAUUUCGACAUUCUCAACACCAGGAGCAUUUUCCUCUAGCAUUUUUCUAAGCUCUUCCUCUGUCAAGCCCUUUGGAACAUUUCCUACGAACAACCUAUGCUUAGCUUGCGACGAGGAACAUCUCAGGGUUCUCCCCUAGAUGAGUAAAAAUGAAAAUCCAUUAGCCACCUAAUGAACAAUGUAAUGAACUGACAAAACACAAGCAAUUAUGAUUAAUUUACCUUGAAUUCCUUGUCAUGGGUCUCUUCAAUGGCAUUUUGAGCAGCAUCCCUGGUAGUGAAUGUUAUAAAUGCAAAACCCUUGCUUUCUUUUGUGUCCUUAUCCUUCAUCAACCUCACCUGUUAUCCAUCAUCAUUACAUAAUAACCCAGCAAUCUGACAUGCAAACUCACUUGAAAAACAAUAAGAAUCAAACGUUCCCUAUAGACCAUUCUCUCACCUCGAAGAUCUCACCAAAGGGCUCGCAAAGUUCUCGAAGAUCUUCUUCGGUAGCAUUCCUCGGCAAGCCACCAAUGAAAACCUCCGACCCGUGAGGAGGGAGCGCCAGAAGCUCGGCCCACUUCCUUCUAUCCUCCUCAUCCUUAGGCCCAACUGGCUUCUCUUCUUCUUCCUCCUUCACCGCCUGAGAAGCUUCCUCUCCCCCAUCCGAGGCCAAAACCUUCUCGCCGCCCUCACCCUCGGAUCCCCUCGCCUCCAUCCCCUCCGUAAUCUCAUCAUCAUCAUCAUCAUCAUCAUCAUCAUCAUCCUCACCAUCAAAUUGCUCCCUUUCUUUCCUAUAGCCCUCAUCCUCCCCGCCGUCCUCAUCAUCCAUCAUGUCCUCAAUGUCGUUGUCGCCAUCGAGAUCGACCUGCUCCUCCGGCUCCACCGAUCGUUGGUGCUCGGCCAUGGCUUAGUCACCUCUCCCUAAUUCUUCUCUAUCUCCUUCCCUUAAUCGAUGUUCAAUUGACCACCAAAAAAGUGUGAGAUACAUGCGAAUCACACAGAAUCGAGAAGAGAAUAAGAAAUUGAUACCUUUUUCGAGGGAUUAAAAACGCGGAUUGUUAAAACCCUAAUCUCCGAAUAGGGAAUUAAAGGAGGGAUAGGUGAAGAGGGCACAAGUGGGGAAAACGAGAGGAGAAUCCGAAGAGAGAGAGCAUAAAUAAAGCGUUCCAUGAGAGAAUAAGAUUUUAGACUGAUGUAGUUAGUGGGGUUAAAAUGCAAGCUUACUGAUUUUCUUUGGCUCGACGUCUUGAUCGCGUGAUGGUGGUGGUGAGGAUUGGGAAAUGGAAGAAGAAUAGGAACGAGAACACGAGAGUUGCUACCCUUUUCUAGGGACGAGAACCUACCCAGGGCACGCCGGGCAGGGGUGUAAUGUGUACCACAUCUACCCGGGCCGAACCACUUUAGGGGCCGGCCCGGUCUGGCAAAUUCGGUCCGCAAUGUGACUAGCGAAGCAAAAUUUUUAAACUUCCGUCCCUAGUACGGGCCCGGCCCCCCAAUGCCCGCCAAUUAAACCCUCCAAAACUUUAGAUUUUUUUUUUUUUACUGACUAUGGGGAUAUCCGUGGAUCUAUCUUCUUUCAGAUUAUUACACUUGGUUUUCGUGUAUCUAUCUUUCAUAUCACACUUGAGAUUUUAACUAAUCACUUGAGACUCACGUAAACCGACUCUGUUUCGCAUAUUAUAAUUUUGGGGCAAUAGCCUAUAUACCUCUAAAAAGUUUUCGAUUUUCUUAUUUAUCCCUCUUAAAAGGCUAAUAUUGAAAAUACCCUUCUUAUGUUCCAAGUCUUUGUAAUAUAUCCUGGAGUUAAGUUCCGUGAGUGAGCUGCCGUUAUCUCUGAAAAAUUACCAUUUUGCCCAUUCCAAUAUACCCUUUACCGUAAAAAACUUUUCUUAUAUACCCUUUAUAUAGCAAAUACUUUUUUUAUUUACCCUUCAAAUAUCAAUUAAUUAAUUAAGCACGUCGGGAGCGAGCAGAUGCACGGAUGAAAUCGAUCGCAGCUAAACCAACCUUGGUGGCUGGAGGCAUAGUUAGUUAAUUCGGAUUCAUCAAAAAUUCGGUACGGAUAUAAUUCGCCAUAAAAUUCAUCUAUUAAAUUUUAAAUUCGUUGAAACAUACAGGCUAUAAAAACGGAUUCGGCAAUUACUACGGAUAAUGUGAUUUCUACGGGUAUAUGCGUGUACUAAUUAGAAAAUUGGCGACAAAAAUCGGCUAUUAUAAUCAAAUUAUACGUAAUAAUUCAUUAAUAUACUAUAUACUAUUAUUAUUAGACGUUUUUAUAUAUAGAUUAAAUAUUAUUAAAAUAUAAUACAUAGUAUAAUAUUAAAUAAUAAUAAGAGGUAUAUAUUAAGAAUAUUAAGUAAAAGUAAUCUACAAAUUUAUAAAUAAAAUAUUAUAUAAUAAUAUUUCUAUAUAUAAAUAAAUACUAUUAUAUAUAUAUAUUAUAUAUAUAUAUAUAUAUAUAUAUAUAAUAGUAUAUAUAUAACACGUGUAAUAUAUAUAUAAUGAGACCUCCCUCUCAUCCAGUCCACGAGGCCAAACUGACAUCGUGGACCGCGCGGAGGGCGUGCAGGGUGCGAAUUCGAAGCCGGAUCCGGAGCGGAGAGCGUGCAGCAGUCCGAUGGCGCUGCGGCCCUCUUGCUCCCGGCGCUGGCCAAGGCGGCGGAGGACGACGACGACGACGACGAGAGCGGCGGAGGAGGAGGACAACGAGAGCGGCAAGAGACGAGAUCGUCGCUGCGGCCCUCUUGCUCCCAGCUCCGGCCAAGGCGGCAGAGGAGGAGGACGACGACGACGAGACCGGCGAGAGCGGUGGUGUUGGAAGUAGAGGUAUAUAGUAGAGCCAUAUGUGUAUUAUGCAUGCAUGUGAAAAGUAUUCUUUAUUGCAAGUUGGAAACAUGUCUCAUAUGAUGAGAAUGACUCGAAUUAUGUACUCCUGAACACUAAACUCAUGCUUGGACUUAGUGGACAAAAGUGCCAUAAAGGGCACCCGACUUAGUAAACUGUGAAACUGCAACAUAGAGACAUAGUGACAGGCCAUUUGGACAUCGACUAUAUUCCAUGUGUUAGACAUGAUGACAUAGUGAUAGGCCAUUGAGACAUUUGCUACAUUCCAUGCUUUAGACAUGAUGACUUGAGACUUGAGACGGACUUUUACACUUACUUGCCAUUGUGUUCAUUCGCACAUGCUUGUGAGGGUCGCUCCUCAUAAGAUGGCACUCCGGAGAUAGCCAUCGCGACGCAUGCUUGUCCGUGCGGGAUUGGGCGCCGAAAUGGGAUGCCGUGGGGAGGCUCAUUCUUAGAGUGGGGAUGUUGACUAUCACUGGGCCAUUAGGUACGGCGCAGGCCGGACUACCUACGGAUAGGUCCUAUAGGAUUGGGAUUCUAAUGACAUAACACGCCAAGUGGACAUUGACUAGAAUAGUAAAUAAUGACAUCUGACUAUUUACAUUAUGGAUAUCAUGUUGGUUGUAUAUUCAUGCAUAUACAUGUUGGAAUAGCAUCAUACUUAUGCAAAUUUAUGCUAAGUAGAGAUAUCAUGGUAUAGUAAGUAUUCAUAUUUAUAUACUUGUUAUUCAUAUUGCUUAUCGUUUCGCACUUACUUGCUUAGCUCUUGGGCCUAGUGGUGCUUUUCACUGAAGUCAGUAAUUGCCCACUAGGAACUAUUAUUUAAUAGUUCUCACGCCCUCUGUUUUAUGGUUUUAUUUCAGAGCCUUCAGCACCGGUGGAGGCACGGGAUCGCGGCAAGGGGGUCGCGUAGUCGACAUCAACCUGCUCUUUAACUCUUCGAAGCUCCGAUCGCAAUCGUCGCUCCAAACAUACUUUACCCCCUUAUGCGUGAGGCGCAUUAGUGGAGUGGUUAUUUUGGCGAACCCCUCCACGAACCGCCGAUAGUAGCCCGCCAAUUCAAGAAAAAUGCGGAUCUCCGCUACAUUCGUGGGGCGAGGCCAAUCCUUUUGUUGCCUCUACUUUCUUCGGGUCUACUGACACUCCGUCGUCCGAUACCACAUGACCCAAAAAAUGUGACCUCCUUUUGCCAAAAGUCAUACUUCUUUAACUUUGCAUAGAGCUUCUCCUGUCUGAGCAUUUGCAACACCGCUCUUAGAUACUCUUCAUGCUCCUCUUCACUUUUCGAGUUAACCAAUACGUCGUCUAUAAAUACCACGACGCAUCGAUCCAAUAAUAGCCUGAAGACUUGAUUCAUCAAGUCCAUAAACGCUGCCAGGGCGUUAGUAAGCCCAAACGGCAUUACCGUGAACUCAUAAUGGCCAUACCGCGUACGGUACGUCAUUUUGUGCACAUCCUUCGGCCUGAUCUUUAAUUGAUGAUACCCCGAUUGGAGAUCAAUCUUCGAAUACACCUUGGACCCUUGCAACUGAUCGAAUAGAUCGUCAAUCCUUGGUAACGGGUACUUGUUCUUUAUCGUCACUUUGUUCAACUCGCGAUAAUCUACGCAGAGUCGAAGUGUGCCAUCCUUUUUCUUCACAAAUAGCACCGGAGCUCCCUAUGGUGACACGCUCGGCCUCACGAAGCCUUUAUCGAGCAAGUCCUAUAGUUGGCCUUUUAACUCCUUCAGCUCCACCGGUGCCAUUCUAUACGGAGCCUUCGAAACUGGUUCCGCCCCGGGAAUCAAGUCAAUGACUAACUCAACUUUCCGGUCCGGUGGCAGUCCCGGUAACUCCACGGGAAACACAUCCGGAAACUCGCACGCUACUCGAAUAUCUCCCAACUCUGGGUACUCCUUUCGAGCAUCCACCAUGGUUGCCAAAUAGGCCUUACACCCCCCUUUAAUCAUUCUCUUCGCCCUCACAGACGAUAUAGUCGCCGCGAAGCGCCUACUAUUGCACGCUUGGUAGAUUAACUCUUCUUGAUUAGGCUCACGAAAAGUGAUCACUUUGCUUUCACAAUCUAUCACCGCAUAGUACUUGGAGAGCCAGUUAUUCCCCAAGAUAACAUCGAAUCCCCACAUCUGAUCUAGCACUAGCAGAUCAAUCGGCAUAAUCCAAUCGCCUAUUUGCACUGGACACGCCAAACACUCGUUGUGAACACUGAAUGAAUGUUCUGGGGCAUUCACCCACCAGUAAUCCUCAUUGUACACCAUCUCUAUGCCAUGUGUCUUAGCAAAUGAUGUGCUAAUAAACGAAUGAGACGCGCCUGUAUGAAACACUGCUCUAGCUCUAAUGCCUUUAAUCACAAUUAUACCUGCCACGACGUCGUCGGGUGCUGCAGGUUGUUGCUCCUCCACCUGAGCGGCAAAGACUCGGCCGCUAGGCGCUCUCGAUCCCUCCGGCUGACGCGGUGAUGAUGUGCGCCCAGCCGACAUCGUUGGUGGUAACCUCGCAAGCUGUCUCGAGGUAGACGGUGCUGAAGCCGCCGUCGGCGCAGACGACGUCCAGCUCAGGCACUCCCGGAUAAGAUGUCCUAGUUGGCCACACUUAAAACAUUUGCCAUCUCGCUGCGAGCAAGUCGACACCUUGUGCUCACCACCACAAAUAACACAUCGAGGUGGUCUCCAAUUCCUCGCCUGCUGUCGGGGAUACCGAGGGGGUUUCUUAGUAUUUGGCCGGCCCCCGGCACCGCCCGCCGCUCUUUUCUUGCCCUUGUCCUUAGACUCGGCCAUAGCUUCUCGUUCCUCGCGUACGUGGGCGCUACCGUGCUCCGCCCACAAAGCUCUAUCAAAGACCUCCGCAAAGGUCGACAGCUUUAAGAUCUGCACCUUUUCAUAAAUUCGGGGCUGGAGUCCUAGCAAGAACAAGUCCGCCCAGUCCCGAUCAUCACGAACAACAUCGGGAACAUAGCCUAUGAUGUGGGAGAACUCUUGCUCGUAUUCUCCCACCGACCGAUCGCCCUGUCUCAACUUGCGAAACUUUUCUUGUAGCUUCCGCUUCACCGUGUCGGGGAAGUAGUUCGCGAAUACUGCUCUCUUGAACUCCUCCCAUAGCAUAAGCGGAAGAUCAGUAGGUCGAUCCUGCUUCACUCGCUUCCACCAUACCAUCACCGCCUUCCAUAGACAAUGAAUGGGUGGCGAGGUACACUUUGUCUUUCUCUAAGAUAUUUAGGUCCUCGAAGAGCGUCUCCAUCGAGUCGAUCCACGACUCCACAACCGCCGGCUCUACCAAUCCGCCUUCAAAGGUAGGUGGAUCGAACUUUUUGAACUGAAUGAGAGCCGCCAACGUGCGCUCUCGCUCCGCUUCUACCGCCGCACCAUCGGGAUUUGAAGUUCCCGAUCCGGCCGGUACUAGCGUGACUGGCGCAGCCGCUACUGCCGCCGCUCCCUCGACUGCCCUCGGCACCUCCGCAGGGGGCACAGAUGGCUCCACGCCCACUUGGGCCGCCGCAGACUGUUGACGCUCCAAGGCCUCCUGGAGCCUCUGAAUCUGCUCCCCUUGGCGUUGAACAAACUCCGCUUGUUGCCGCACUACACCAAUAAGCGCGGCCAUUUGCUCCCUAAGCUCUCCGUCGCCACUCUCUCCGGAUUGCUCGGGCACCGCAUUCGUUUCCUCCGGCAUCAACCUUGUCUGCGAUCGAUGUUGAGGUGCCAUUGCUUCCUGAAAAGAAGCAACUCGCAUUAGUCACUUGACCAACAUUACUCGACCAUACCCAAUUAGGCGAAAGCAACAUGCACAUUCAUCCUUGCCUCAAGCGUCAUGUCGUCAGCCGCCCGACACAACACUAGAAGUAGAGGAUAAACGAAAUUUAAACUUAGCCUCUAAUCACAUUAGAGACGUCCCAACUUAACCCAAUCAUAUGCUUUCGCUAACUUUGAUCCCACGUCACUCACGUUCCCUAGAUCCUUAAGGUCUUCCAAUCCUAAGGGUCUCUAGGUCCAUCCCUAUCAUUUCACUCUUGGCUCUGAUACCACGCUAUCUGUCACGCCCCGGGACCGAUACCAAUUUGGCCCGACCCCAGCACAUCAAACAGACGCCGAACAGACAGAGUUUUCUCUAUCCGCCCAAGGCUCAUCACAUGUACAUUUUCAUCAAUAGAGAAAAGCACUAGCGGAAACAUACACAAACGGCUUACACGAGGAUAAGCAAUAGCCACGAGUGAAAGAAAAAGGAAACUAAACAUUCAUUGUACUAUGAUUCAAUUUAGAUCAUAUACAUUACAUCCAACUUGUAAAUUAUCGAUUUCUUACAUUCAUUACAUCAUUUCAUCAUGUCUUUCUUACAUCACAUUUACCUCAAAAUACACAUUACAUUCUUUCUUUACAUUAUUUCUCAUCAAGUACAAAAGAUGAUCAUAGGGUACUUUACUAGCAAAAUGUAACCCAACUCUGGUGGCCUCUGACUAAGGCGCGAUACCUUUACCUCGGUCGCUCGUCGGCUCGCUGGGUCCCGGCUUUGUGGAAUAGUGGGGUGAGAACUACAACAAAGUUCCCAGUGGGCUCGGCCUCAAUCUCACCGACUUUUCUACUAGGAUUAACUCAGACAUAAUAGAAAGAAUAAGUUGCAUAUAGUAACCAAUCUAUACAUGAUGCUAAUAUGCCUAAACAAUAAAGCAAGGAGUAUGCUCAACAUUAAAUAAAUACAGAUUAUGCAAAUUCUUUGUUCUUUUCACUUUACUCUUUGUUCUUUGUUCUUUGUUCUUUGCACUUUGUUCUUUACUCGUUGUUCUUUAAUCUCAAGGCUAAGCCGGGGGUAUCGCCACAUUGACUUGCUUCACAUUAAGUCCAUCAUCGUAGGAACUCACCCGCUAGGACCGUCCUUCGGGUUUACUCCAACCCGUGAUGCAUAACUCCGGAGCGCAUCGCCCGAGGGGGAGCGACCGCCCUCGAGCACGGAACUCAUAGCAAGUAUGAUCAUAUCCUUAACUCAAAGGAUUUAUAAGUUCAAUCUUGACUUUACACUAGCUCUAGUGUUCAUUACAUCACUUUAUGUUGCUACUCUAGCAAUCAUUGUUCUUUACCAUUCAUUACUCUUGCUAACUCUAGCAAUCAUAUUCUUUACAUUCUUUACUUUUGGCUACCUCUAGAACUUCAUGUUCUUUACUCCCCACAUUACUUUAGCUUUAAACAUUGUCAUUUUCAUCAUUCUUUAUAAUACACUUGUUCUUUACCUCACACUAUCUUUAGUGUCAUUUCACUUUAACUUUAUCGAAUGCCACUCGAUCUAUGUCAUUGUGUCACUCUAUUCUUUUGCUCACUUUGGGUGCUCACUUUUCUCUUAUGCAUACACAUAGGGUUUUUGACGUUCACAUAGUUCUCAUUCAUCAUAAAAUGCAAGUUGUACUCAUAAUCAUGCAUCAUCACAUUUUCAUCAUCACUUUACCCUAAAAUGCAUGCAACAAUAUAUAUACACAUGCUCAAAUGAAUGACACAUUAGGCAUAGAGAGAAGUUCAAUGAGUUUGAGAAGCACCACCCACCUUGUAGGUCUCUUUAGGUGCUCCGACGAUUUUCUUGGGAUUUUUAGACACCCGGUUCACUACCUGCGGCAAAACGAAGCCCUAUUAGGCCAUUUGCUCAUAUCUUUACAUUGGCUUUUCGUAAAUACCCCCAAUUAGGUUUCUAGACGGUCAAUUGCACUUAGGAACCCCCAUGAGCAAAAGCCCCAAUUUGGGUGCCCUAGCUCCAUAGCAUCAUCAAACCUAGGGUUUGAUCUCAAUGGGAAGCAAAAGUAGCUUCAUUAUACUCUAAAAAGUCCAUUAGAACCAUCUUUAGACAAAUCAAAACCCUACUUAGGGUUUCACCAUGAGAGGUGAUGAAGCUCACCUUAAGCUUCACUAUUUCUAUGGUCUUGAUCUCAAAGGAAGCAAAAUAAAAGCUUCAAAUACUCAAAUGGUUCCAUAAAACCCAUUUAAAGCUUAAUCCAAACCCUAGAUUAGGUUCUACCAUGAUUAGGGUUCAAAGCUUACCUUGUAAGCUCUUCUUUUCCAAGCUAGAGAUGAGGAAGAGGGAGUUUCUUCACUUCCUCUUCUUCAUCUCCACUUUCUUCUUCUUCUUUUUCCUUCCUUUCCUUUGUCUUCUUCUUCUCCUUUGUCUUCUAGAGAGAGAGAGAGGGAGAGAAGAGAGUGUGAGAGGGUGAGGAAAUGAGAGAAAAUCUCAUUAGCCCCCAUAACAUAGCCAUUGGGUUGCAAAAUUGCAGCCAAGCCCCUCAACUUUUACUCUUUCACACAGCCUAGACUGGGUUGUUCGCGCAGGCGGGGACCGGUCUCUCCUUCAGGGAUCGGUUCCCCAAGGCUCUUCCCGUGAGCAGCAGGGUGCACGCGCAGAGCAACCGGUCUCUCUUUGGGGGACCGGUCUCUCGAGGACCGGUCUCUCAGGCAGGGACCGGUUCCCGAGAGCUAAUUUCUCAAGACUUAGCCGAUUUUUCGGCUAUCUCAUUACAUACGCGUUCGGGGACCGGUCUCUCCCACCAGGGACCGGUCCCCGAGAGCUCAAAACUGCAGGAUGCAGAUUUUGAUCUUUUAGCUCUCGAAAACCUCCCAUAAUUUACUUUUGAUCAUUUUAACACCUUCAGACUUUCCGAAGUGUACCAUCCUCGUACUUUGGUCAAUUUGACUACAGUUCGAUAUUUAUUUUCCGAAUUUUCGGUAUAUUACAAGCGACCAACACAAGUUCUGAACAGACAGCGAGUAUGAUCCAAUCCUCUCAACUCGAGGAUACCCUAUCCACUAGGGCUAACAAUCACUCGGGAAUCCACCUAUCCCAAAGUCCAUAUGCAAGUGUUUAACUACACUAAGUUCUCGUUCAAUGACUCAUCUCUAGGGAAUCCGCCUAUCCCUAAGUUCACACGUCAAGUGUCAUUGUUAUUUACAUGCCACUCAUUAUGUCUUUUGUCAACUAUCGAGUCCAUCUCUUAUCUCGGCACUAUAGGAUUCAAUGUCUCGACCCAAUCCUCAUCUAUCCACUAUAUCAAGCAUUCCACUCAUACUAUGAUAUUAUCUAGGAAAGCAUAAGGAAAUAGAAAUGCACAUUAUCCUACAAUGCAUAUAUGCAAGAGAUGCAAGAUUUAAAUUACACUAAGACAUAAAGAGGAGCCCGGUUGCUUCGGGAUGACACCACCCACCUUCUGGCAUUGUCAUGACUCUAGGAAUGAAGUUCGGCGAUUUUACGACGUCGUCUCGGCCUCCCAGGCGGAAACGAAGCUCGGAAGGUCCUUUUUGCCAAUAACUUUGUACUCGCUCGACGAAUCGUCGAACCGUCUUCGCCUACGAGUUUAAACAUCUAGCAAUUAGGUUUACACUUGAUCAAUUUAGAUCAAUACCUAACAAAUCACAAAACCCCAUUUUCGGAGCUCUAACGUGCAAUCAUGCAAGAAUCUAUCGCUAAACCUCCAACUCAUGCAUUAAAACAUCUAUUUAGCAUGCUAGAGUUUCAACUAAACCAUUCUAAAGCUUAAAGACCAAAACCCUAGAAGUUCACCACAGUUGAGCCUAGAAGCUUACCUCCAAAAGCUUGCUCCAAGCUUGAGAGGAAGAAGAAGAUGACGAAGAUCCUUCUCCUUGCUUGCUUCUCCACCAAAACCCUUCUCUUCUUCACCUUCUAGAGAGAGAGGAAGAGAGUUUAGAGAGAGAGAGAGGGAGUUAGGGUUGAGUUUGGGAGAGAAAUGAGAGAGAGAGAGCUCACCCUCUCAUAUACCCCUAACUCAUGCUACAAAUGCAUAAAAGCCCCUCAACUUUGCCAACAUGACACAGCCCAUCUUGGCUAAAUUCAGGCUACGGGGAUCGGUCUCUCCAAGAAGGACCGGUCCCCGAGAGUGGCUUAUUUACGGAAAAAGGCCUUUGCCCCCUUUUCCACACUUACGGGAACCGGUCUCUCCAAUGAGGGUGUAAGGAAGUGAAUUCUCGAAAUCCGAGAGUUGUACUUCGUCAAGUAUCGACUAAUUGUCGAGUGAGUACCCUUCGUAGGAGCUAAAGAUAUCCAAAGCACCAAAAGUGCAUUAGGAACGAGUCCACGAGAGCAAAAAGUGCAAAAACCUGCACUGGGAGAGAAUUGCUCUCGGGGACCGGUCCCUGGCAAGGAGAGACCGGUCCCCGAGGCUGGUGGUUGCUGGGGAUUCUUGAUGCAACUGGUCCCAGGCUGAGGCAACAGAUCCCCGUGUGCGGCGCCAGCGAGAGAAGGCCAAAAUCGGCUAAGUUCUGAAAAUCAAGCUCUCGGGGACCGGUCUCUCAGGCAAGGACCGGUCUCCUGAGGACCGGUCUCCUUGGGAGAGACCAGUUUCCGAACACAUGAUAUCUGGGGAGGCUCUUGGGGACCGGUCCCAGACAGGAGAGACCGGUCCCUCGGCACGCAGACUGCCCAGUAAGGGCAGUGCACAGAGACAAAAGUUGAGGGAUUUUUAUGCAAAAUGGCAUUAGUUGGAGGGUGAUAAGAGGGAAGAGAGCUCUCUCUCUCUCUCUCUCACAUUUCCUCUCACACUCCCACACUCCCUCAUUUCUCUCCCUCUCUCUCUCUAGAAGGAAAAGAGAAGAAGGAAAAGAAGGAGAAGAAGAAAAGAGAAGGAGAAGAAGAAAGAAAGGAAGGAGAAGAAGAAUGAGAAGAAGGAGAUCAAGCUAGAAAAGGCUUGGAGCAUCUUCCUCUCUUCCUCUCCUCUCCAUUGGUGUAGCUCAAGAGGUAAGCUACAAAUCCUAGCUUGUAGAACUUACGGUUUUUGGAUUUUGAGCUUUGAAAAUGUGGUCAAAUGGACCCCUAGCACCAUUGUUGGUGGAUUAGAGCCAGAGCUAGGGUUCCAAAGUGCAAAUGGCAAGAUGGAACCCUAGGGCUCCAAAAUGGGGCUUUUGGUAAAGUAUGAGAUUGAUCUAAUUUGAGGCCUUGUAAACCUAAUUGAUAGGUGUCUAAACGCGGAGACGAAGACGGAUUGAGCAUUCGUCGAGUCGGUGAAAAGCUAUCGGCAAAAUAAGGCCGAUUGAGCAUUGUUUUGGACCAAGGAUGACAAGACCUCGUCGUAAAGUACGUCGGAGGGCACUUCUAGAGCCUUCGAACCUUCAAAAAGUGGGGGGUUGUCAUCCCGAAGCAACCGAACUCUUUUUUAUGUCUUAGAAAUACAUGAUUUGCAUCUCCUGCAUGUUGCAUUGUAGUAUUGCAUUGUAGUACCUUUUCCUUAUGUUUCUAAAUGUAAACCUAGUGUACAUGGAAUGCUUGGUGACUUGGAUAGGUGAGGAUUGGGUCGAAACAUGGAUCCUAUAGUGCCAAAGGAAAGAGAUGGACACGAUGGGUGUUUGGUGACAUAGAAAAUGACAUCUAAAUGUUAGAGAACAUAUCGAGUGGCAUUAAAGUAAUGUAUUUGACACUAGAGGUUCUUGUGAACUUAGGGAUAAGUGGACUCCCUAGAAAAUGCCUUGUGGACAAAGAACUUAGUAAAGCUAAGCACAUUGCAUGAUGGUCGGAAUAGAUGAGUUCUGCGAGAUGUUGACCCUAGUUUGUAGGGUAUCCUCACAUGGAGAGGAUGUAGAUGAUACCAAGAGAUAUGUUGACCCUAGCGGUAGGGUAUCCCUACAUCGAGGGAAUAUAUCGAGCUCACGGUCUGUUUUGGGGUGGUAUAGCCAUCCAUAUCCUCACAUGGAGAGGAUUGUCGUCGAGUACUCCGGAGUGUCGGGCGACUAGGACCACAUGGAGGUCUGCAGACAGUCCCGGGUUUGGGGGCACAUAGAGCUCCCUUGCCCAAUACGGGAUGGAAAGGUGAGUUGUAGGCGAGCCCAAGGGUUUCGCCACAGAUUGGGUAAAUGAACAGUUAACAAUGCCAUGGAACAUUAUCAUUCGAAUAUAGAUCGAAUUUGUUAGCAUGUUAGUAAACCUUUACUAUAUGAUGCAUGCAUUCAUUAUACAUGAUUAUGGGUAUAGUAGCAUAGUUUUUCUUUAUGCCUUUACAGCUUUGAGAUAUCUAUCUAUCUAUCUAUCUAUUUGUUGUUACUUGUGCCCACUUGGACCUAGUGGGGAGAUCGGCGGAGUCUGCGGCCGAGCCCACUGGAAACUAUGAAAGAUAGUUCUCACCCCACUCUAUUUUCAGUGGUAGGUACAGGGUUGCCGAGAGAGGACCGCGGCAAGGGCAUCGUGCCCGAUCAGUGAGACCGUGGUAGUAUAGUAGCUUUCCUUUUUGCAUUAGCACACCUAUGCAUUUGAGAGAGAUUCAUUGUAGGUGAGGAUUUGGAGAGCUAUGUAUUUUGGAUAAACCAAUGUAUUCAUUUUGAGGCAAAAAGAUGUAAAUGGAAAAGAAUGAAACUAUUGUAAUAGUUAGUAAAGUACUCUCUUUAUUUCAAAUGCUUUAUCUUGUGGAUUACUUGCUCUUCUUGUUGUUGGCACUGUUUGUGCCCUCGUUGAAUGCGUAUGUUUAGAAUUUAAAUCCCUAGGUAAAUUCUUGUACACAUUCCUAUUGUUGAGCCUUGGGCGGACAGAGGAGGUGCUGUCCGUUCGGCGGUCCGUCCAGCCCGCCCAAACCGUGCCAAAUUGGUAGUGGUUUCGGGGCGGGGCGUGACAGUGUUCGUGGUAUCAGAGCAUUAAGAGCAAGUAAAAAGAGAAAGUCUAGGAUGACCUAGGAGAUCCUAGGUUGGUGAACCCUAAGGUUAUAGGUGCGUGAGCGGAACGUGAACCUAUAACGAUGGCGAAAGUUAAUUCGAUUGGGUCGAGAUUGAAGUUACGUCUCUAGUACCGACUAGAGGUAGAUUCAAGCGGUAUUAGCUCUUGACUUGAGGUGGUUGUGUGACACACUGGACCUUUGCAAAUUGCGAGGUUCGAGUGAUUAGCUGUGCUCUGAGCUUUUCCAGAUUUUUUGGUAGGUCGUUUACUGUGUUCCGACCUAUGGCUCGCAUCCCGAGAAUUGUGGUUUUAAGCUUGAUACCAAAAUCCAAAAAUUGGAUUCAUUGGACAGCUCUCGGGUUAGCCUGCAGCAGAGCUUGUACCGGAACAAGGUUGGUCUUGUACCGGUACAAGGUUGAUGGUUGUACCGGUACAGCCAUCGGAGCUUGUACUGGUACAGAGCCGCAGAGCCCAGCAACCCGAGCCUCGGGUUUGGAUUUCGUGGACCUUAUACCGGUACAAGGGCCCGUGUACCGGUACAAGGCGGCAGAAUUUGAGCAGUUUGAACUGCAGGGGUGGUUUUGCGUUUGUGGGUCUCUUAUAUCAGCACCCACGCCUCUAGGGCCCUCCUUUGAGCUCACCAUUGCAGGGAGAAAGGUAGGGCACCUCUCCCCUUCACCCCCUUUGGAUUUGAUCUCUUUUUAGCUUGGGAUUUAAGUGUUGAUCCUUCUCUUUUUCCUUUUCUUUGCUUUUCCACCAUUGUGAAGCUUGGAGCUUGGUCUUGGUGGAUUGUUGAGGGAAGAUCUUGGGAUUUCAAGAGUUUAGAGCUUAGAUUGAAGCUUCUAAGAGGUAAGCCACUUAUUCUCUCCCUUUAGAUUGGAUUUUUAUUGAUGGUUUUGAGAUGAAACCCUAGAAUGAGGUUUUAGGGCUUAUAUUUGGGCAUUUUUGAUCUAGGACUUUUGGACCUAAAUUAGUUGGUUUAGAACCUUCCUUGGGCUUGGAUUGGAAGGAAUUUAGCUCUCUUUUAGAGCUUCAGAGAGAUUUUUCACUCAUUGGGUGAGUUUUAGCCCUUUUGUUAAAUUUGUUAAAGUUUGAUCUUAUAGUUGAUCGUAAUGCCCGUGUAUCUUGUCGCUCAAUACUUUUAGGGUAUUUUGAGACUCGGGGACAACUUUGUUCGGCGAAUCGAGACCCUACGCGACGGUUCGGUGGGUUUGACCUAGCCUACAUAUGAGAAAUUCUCAUAUAUGGUUAUAUAUGUUCCGUAAAUUGAAAAAGCAUGCAUGUUCAUACUAAAUGUAUUUAUUAUGAUUUUUAGAAUGCUUAAAAUGUAUAUGUGAUAUAUAGUGGAAUUUUGGACCCCUAUGUAGUAGAGAGUUGCUUAGGAGAUCUUUGGUUGCAUUUAGCAUUCUUUAUGAGACUUGGUUUCAUGCUUCUAUAGUAUAAAUGAGUUCGGAUUCAUGCAUUUAAACUUGAGUUUACUUGUGACAUGAAAGAUGACAAGAUUGCCAUUUAGAAGGUAUGUGAACUAGAGAGCUAAUGUCAUCAAGCGGCAUUGAGCUCGGGACAUGCGAGAAUCUAGCGGAUAGAGCCAUUGAGGGAUUUGGAAUACAUGUUGAACAUCAAAUUGCCUAAGUGUCAUCAAGGGGCACUAGACGUAGCAAAUAUUGAAACUUCACCUUGUGACUUAAACUAGAUUUUCGGGAUGUUAGUGACCAUACCAUGUUAGAGAUAUGAGGAUUGGAUACUUGAGACUUGGACUAUGCUUGCUUGCCAUUUGUGCUCAUUCGCAUAUGCUUGAGAGGGUCGCUCCCUACAAGCCGGCACUCCGGAGUUGGCCUAUGCGAUUUUUGUUCGCUCGUGCGGUAUUGAGGAGCCUACGGGGUCGAGUAGGACAGACACAUUCCAUGAGUAGGAAUGUCGGGCUACCACAGUCACUUAGGCGGUAGGCGGUACAAGCUGGACUACCUUGGGUAGGUCCCUAAUUGGAAAUGGAAAUCGACACGGUUUGAGAAUGAACAAUCACUACUAGAUAGGUUUAGUAGUUGGAUUACAUUUACAUGCUUAUAGCAUAGGGUUGAGACACGUAGUAUACUUGACAGUUACCUAUUUCGUCACAGUGUACUUGGUUGCCAUGAUAGAGCUUAUACAUCAUGUAAGAAUAAAGGUUUAUAACAGUAAACUAUUGCCGUUGGUCACUUUUCCUUAUGGUAGAAUAGAUGUACAACAUUUUGACAUCGUGCUUAUGUGAGAUAUAGUAGUAUAGCAUUUUACUUAUGCUCUCUCUUUCAGCAGUUUAUUUAAAUGCUCCUUUUUAUUGCUUAUUGCUAUUAACGUUACUUACCCUUGUUUUUGGGGCCUAGUGGAGCAGAAGCUGAGGUCAGUAAUUGCCCACCGGGAACUAUAAUUUAUAGUUCUCACGCCCUUUUUUUCUCGAUGUUUUUCAGAGCCUUCCACGCAGGGUGAGGCCAGGGAUCGCGGGAAGGGAGUUGCUUCGAGCUAGCUUCCUUCGAGGACGAGUUGCUAGGUGGUCUACCUCUCGAUUUAUAUUUCUUUUUGUGAGAGGUUGAGAGUUGUACCCGUAUAUGUAUAGAGACCACCAUUUUUGUACUAGAGACAGAUAUUGUACUACUUAUAGUUUCUUUUAUUGACUAGCUUCAUUUCUUUACCUUGGGUAGAUGAUAGAACUUUACUUGCUCUGAUAUCAUUAGUUGCUAGUUAUUUCACUUCUUUUAUUUGUUCUAUCUCCUGCUUUACUUCCGCUUUUCUUGUAGACGCCUUAUAUGUGUAGACAUAUGGCGGGUCUGGGCACUGGGCGUGACAGGUUGUGUCAGCGGCCGACGACAUGAUGCCAAGAGUCGGGAACGAGUACACUUGUGUGCUUCUGCCCGAUUUUGUUGUUGAGUCGUUAUAUGAAUCGUAGUCAUGACGAGGUGGUUGGUUAAAGUACUGACCAAGUAUUGGCAUUUCAGGAACUUAUGGCACCAAGGGGACGCCCUAGCACGAGAUCUACUCCGGCACUGCCCCCUGAUGUGCCCGAGCAGGCUGAACCAAGCAUGAUGGAUCAGUUGCAAGCACAGGUGUCCGCGUUGACCAAUGUGGUGUAGCGCCAGGAGACCCGAUUCGAGCGGCUCCAGGAUCUUUUGGAGCAGCAGGUUGCGGCGGCGGCUGCGACGGUGAACGAGGGCGCUGGUCUGGACCCUCGACUCAUGUACCCGGAGCGGCAGAGGGUGAGGGUAUAGCGGCGGUUCCGGUGACGGCACGCCCACAGCCGACGAUUAUUCCACAGACGGCGUCGCGAUCGGCUACACCCGAUGUGACGGCCGAAGAUGUGGAAGGAGAGCGCGCAUUGCUGGCUCUUAUUAAGUUUAACAAGUUCCAUCCGCCCAUUUUCGAGGGCGAGAAGGUGGAGCCGGCGAUGGUCGAGUCAUGGAUCAACUCGAUGAAGACUCUCUUCGAAGACCUGCGCACUUUGGAGAGGGAUAAAGUAUACCUUGCCACCCAUUGCUUGGAGAAGGCGGCAAAGGUGUGGUAGAAGCGUGUCAAGCGAGAUCGGCCUUCUGAUCUUCCACCGACGUUAUGGAGGAAUUCAAGCGGGAGAUGUUUGCUAACUAUUUUCCCGAUACGCUGAAGCGGAAGCUCAAGGAGAAAUUUCGCAAGCUGGAGCAGGGGGACCGCUCAGUAGCAGAAUAUGAACAGGAAUUCUCCCACAUCAUAGACUGUGUCCCGGACGUAGUGAAGGACGACCGGGACCAGGCCGAUUGGUUCCUGCGAGGACUUCGGCCGGGGAUCUACAAGGCCGUGCAGAUACUUAAGCUCACGACCUUCGCGGAGGUCUUCGACCGAGCACUCUGGGAAGAACACGGAGAAGCCCACGUUCGAGAGAAGAACGAACCGUUGGCCGAGUUCAAGGACAAAGACAAGAAAUGCCAAGGUGGCGGCGGUUCGGGAGGACAAGCACGUUCCAAGAAGCCCCCGAAGUAUCCGCGGACUCAGCCAAAGGGCGGUGGAGCGCGACGGUGCAUCAUAUGCAGCGGAGACCACCCAGUCUCGCGAUGUGAGCAGGGCCGAGGCAAGUGCUACAAGUGCGGGCAACCGAGGCACUUCAUUCGGGAUUGUUCGGGAGGAGGAGCCUCACCUGCCCCAUCGACCGUGUCGGCGCCAGCGAUUCUAGCUCACUAUAGAGGAGCUCCACCGGUGGCCGCAUCGACGGGACGUGCGAUGAUGCCGCGUCAACCCGAGGUGACGCGAUCGGCCUCGAGCGGUUGGGUAUUCACCGCUCAGGUCCAAGCUGAAGAGCCUGAGGAGGCGGAGGAGCAUCGCCUCGUGGUAGGCAUGGUUUUAAUUAACGGAGUUCGCUCCAGGGCUUUGUUUGAUACAGGCGCCAUGCAUUCAUUCAUUAGUAGAUCAUUCGCACCCAUGCAUUACAUACUCAUUGAGGCGAGUGACAAGUGGCGGGUGGAGGGCCCUAGGUCGAACACCUAUUCGGAGUGUUCAUCGUGUCCGGUACAAGUAGGCGAUUCGAUAAUGCCUAUUCGGAUGUUGGAACUCAAGAAGCUCGAGGCGUACGACGUCAUUUUGGGCAUGGACUGGCUCUCAAAAUAUCACGCAACGAUCGACUGCAAGAGCAGGGUGAUUACGUUUCGUGAGCCAGGACAGAAGGAGUUCAAUUAUCGGGCUUGUCAGAGCUCGUGCUUUGUCGACGGUGUCAGCGACGAGAACGAGAAAGUUGGUCAGCCGCGGUUGCGUAGCAUUCUUGGCGACCAUUGUGGAAGUGGAACGAGUAGCUCCAACAUUGGAGGAGAUAUCGGUGGUGCGGGAGUUCCCGGAUGUGUUUCCCGCGGAGUUACCGGGGAUACCACCGAAUUGGGAGAUCGAGUUCGUCAUAAACUUGGUUUCCGGUACCGCACCGAUCUCGAAGGCUCCGUACCGAAUGACGCCGGCGGAACUAAAGGAGUUGAGGAGUCAAUUGCAAGACCUCCUCGACAAGCAAUUUAUCCGGCCAAGUGUAUCACCGUGGGGAACCCCGGUGUUAUUUGUGCGGAAGAAGGAUGGAUCGUUUUGACUCUGCGUGGAUUAUCUAGAAUUAAACAGAGUCACGAUCAAGAACAAGUACCCACUACUCUGAAUCGAUGAUUUGUUUGAUCAGUUGCAGGGGUCAUGUGUGUACUCGAAGAUAGAUUUGCAAUCCGGCUAUCACCAGUUGAAGAUCAAGCUGGAAGAUGUGCAGAAAACCGCGUUUCGCACGCGGUACGGGCACUAUGAAUUCACGGUCAUGCCAUUUGGACUUACAAAUGCUCCAACGGCAUUCAUGGAUUUGAUGAACCGUGUCUUCAGGAGGUAUUUAGACCGAUUUGUCGUAGUCUUCAUAGACGACAUAUUGGUCUAUUCUCGCAGUGACGAAGAACAUGGCGAGCAUUUGAGAAUAGUGCUUCAAGUCCUUCGGGAGGAGAAACUAUACACUAAGAUAAAGAAGUGUGACUUCUGGCUCCGAGAAGUCACAUUUCUAGGGCAUGUGAUUUCCGCGGGUGGAGUUUCGGUAGACCCAAGGAAAGUUGAGGCAAUCAAGGAUUGGCCGCGCCCGACGAAUGUCACGAAGGUUCGAAGCUUCGUGGGCUUAGCGGGCUAUUAUAGACGGUUCGUGGAGGGCUUUUCGAAGAUAGUAACUCCACUUACUCGUCUGACACAGAAAGGCACCAAGUUUGUGUGGAGCGAAGAGUGCGACCGUAGUUUCAACGAGUUGAAGCAGAGAUUGACUUCGACUUCGGUGCUCGCUCUACCGGAAUAGGGCGAAGACUUCGUAGUCUACAGCGAUGCUUCCUAUCUAGGAUUGGGGUGUGUAUUGAUGCAAAACGGGAGAGUAAUCGCUUAUGCGUCCCGUCAGCUGAAGAGCUAUUAAAAGAAUUACCCCAUCCAUGAUUUGGAGCUAGCGGCGAUAAUUUUCGCCUUGAUGCUGUGGAGGCACUAUCUAUAUGGUGCCCAUUGUGAGAUUUAUACUGACCAUAAGAGCCUGAAGUAUCUGUUCACACAAAAAGAGCUCAACAUGCGAUAGCGGCGAUGGUUAGAACUGCUAGAGGAUUACGAUGUGGAUAUUCUUUACCACCCUGGGAAAGAAAAUGUGGUCACGGAUGCACUAAGCAGGAAAUCGGCGGAGAACCUCUCUAUGUGGGUCACAAACCAGACGCCUUUAUGGCUGGAUAUGGAACGGUUAGAUCUAGAGGUGGUUGCUCCCGAGAUUCCGGCUCAGUUGAUGGCACUCGUUGUCCAACCGACCUUGUUGGAGAGGAUUAAAGAUCUACAAUCUGCGGACCCGAAACUCCAAAAGGUCUGGCGCAACAUCGAGGAAGGACGAGGCGGCGAUUUCAAUAUAAACGCCGAUGGUACACUUCAGUUUCGAACCGGAGGUGUGUGCCCAAAGACGGAGAGCUUCGCGAGUUGAUUCUGCAAGAAGCACACCGAUCUACGUAUGCUGAUCACCCGGGCGGCACCAAGAUAUAUCAAGGACUAAAAAUGCACUAUUGGUGGCCAGGAAUGAAGGGUGAUAUUGGACGCUUUGUGGCGAAGUGCUUAACAUGCCAACAAGUGAAAGCAGAGCGUCGGUUUCCAGCGGGAAAGCUUCAAAGCCUACCAAUCCCCGUUUGGAAAUUGAAGGAUAUAUCAAUGGACUUCGUGGUUGGCUUGCCUCGCUCAACGGGCGGCCACGAUGUAAUUUGGGUACUUGUGGACCGAUUGACGAAGUCGGCUCACUUAUUGCCGAUCCACACCACGUGGUCGAGUGACAAGUUAGCGCAGGUAUACCUCGACGAGAUAGUGAGACUGCAUGGGAUGCCGAAGUUGAUCGUGUCGGAUCGUGACCCCCGGUUCACUUCACGCUUCUGGAAAAGCCUGCAGGAAGCCCUUGGCACACGGCUCGAUUUCAGCACCGCAUUCAUCCUCAGACCGAUGGGCCAACAGAGAGAACCAUCCAAACCCUGGAGGAUAUGUUUCGAGCGUGUGUCAUCGACUAUAAGGGAAGUUGGUGUGAUCACCUACCGAUAGUCGAGUUCGCCUACAACAAUAGUUAUCACGCUAGUAUGGAGAUGGCACCGUUUGAGGCCCUCUACGGGCGGACGUGUCGAUCUCCUAUACACUGGAGUGAUGUAGGUGAGCGUGCGGAGUUCGGCCCCGAUGUUCUGCGAGAAGCGGAGGAGAAAGUCCGCCUUGCUCGCAAGAGAUUGCUCACGGCGCAGUCGAGACAGAAAAGCUAUGCUGAUAGGCGUCGUCGAGACAUAGAGUUCGUGGUCGGCGACCGCGUAUUCUUGAAGGUGUCACCAAUGCGUGGCGUGAAGCGAUUUGGAGUUCGGGAAAAACUAAGUCCCCGGUACAUUGGACCUUACGAGAUAUUAGAGCGAGUUGGCACGGUGGUGUAUCGGCUUGCCUUGCCGCCGAAGCUCGCGGAUGUAACAAUGUGUUCCAUGUCUCCAAUCUCCAUAAGUAUAUUCACGACCUCGAGCACGCGAUGCUAUAUGAGCCACCGGAACUUCAAGAGGACUUGAGCUAUGAAGAGUUUUCGGUGAUGGUUAUCGCCCGAGAGGUGCGAAAAUUGAGAAAUCGAGAAAUUCCCUAUGUGAAAGUUAGGUGGAGCAAUCAUGAUGAUCGUGAAGCCACCUGGGAACUCAAGGAUCUGAUGAGAAAGCACCACCCUCAUCUAUUCGAAGAGUGAGGAAAGAAUUUAAGUUAAAAUAAAGAAUUGAGUUAGUUUCGAGGACGAAACUCCUUUUAAGGAGGGGAGGAUGUAAGGAAGUGAAUUCUCAAAAUUCGAGAGUUGUACUUCGUCCAGGAUCGACUAAUUGUCGAGUGAGUACCCUUCGUAGGAGCUAAAGAUGUCCAAAGCACGAAAAGUGCAUUAGGAACGAGUCCACGAGAGCAAAAAGUGCAAAAACCUACACUGGGGCAGAAUUGCUCUCGGGGACAAGUCCCUGGCAGGGAGAGACUGGUCUCCGAGGCUGGUGGUUGCUGGGGAUUCUUGAUGCAACCGGUCCCAAGUUGAGAAAAUCGGUCCCCGAACGAGGCGCCAGCGAGUGAAAGCCAAAAUGGGCAAAGUCCUGAAAAUCAAGCUUGAAAGAUAUGGAUCCCAAGGAUCUAAAAGGUAAGUAACACCUAGAGGGGGGUGAAUAGGUGUAAAAACGGCAAACUCAAAAAUCUCGAUACAAAUAAAACGAAAUAGCGGAAAAUAAAACAGCACACCGAGAAUUUAACGUGGGAAAACUCCAAGCCGGAGUGAAAAACCCACGGGACCGAUCAUGCGAAGAAAAUCCACUAAGAAAACUUGAGUACAAGUGAUUUUGACAAAAAUACACGACUCAAUUUACCGAUUUCCCGUUGUUCGUGAUCUUCGCCGGUCCUCGAUCGAUAGGAAUCCUCCAACUGACCUCGCCGCAAAUCCUUGCAGCGUCAACGCCUCAACUUCUCGAAGCGUCCACCGAAUCCUCGGCUUCACACGAGAUCCAUGCGUCGAACCUCCUUCCGGAGCUUGUAGAACCGAAGAUUUAUGGUGAUUAAGCCUUAGAAUCCCAUAAGCGAUGAGGGUCUACUUUUUAAUCAAACAUCUACUUGAUUCUCGUAUAAGUUCUCGAGUAAAAACGAAGAAACAAGUCGAUCGUUGAUUGUUAGAAACUUGUUAUUGGAAUGGAAUCAUAGGAACAAGAAAAAUAAGUUUCUAGGGUUUAGAAUGAGUAGAAAUUCAAAGCCUUUUUUUCUUUAAGAUGACCCCCAUGGCUUAUUUAUAUGUUUAGAAGAUUUAGAAGUAGACUAAGAUUGCAAAAAGUCCUUUUUAAAAACAUGUGUCGUCCUCAGAGACCGGUCCUCUCGAGGAGAUCGGUCUGUGAGAGACCGGUCUCUCAAGUGAGAGAGCGGUCCCUCGCUGCGUGACAAAAAUCACAACGUUCGAGAACCGGUCUCUCAAGCCAGAGACCUGUCCCUCGCUGCGUGACGGAAAUACCAAUGUUCGGGAACCGGUCUCUCAUCUCAGGGGACCGGUUGCCUCAACAUUCACGCAGUGAGGACCUUAAGGGAACCGGUCUCUCAACCUAGGGGACCGGUCCCAGAACACAAAAAAGCUCAGUUUAAGAAUGUUUAAGAGUUUAAAAACAAUCUAAGUUUUCUAAACUUAUUAUAAUUAAAUAACUUCACCAAAAAUCAUCUAUUCUUCAUACUUUAGGUGUCGAGCUUUCCGAAUGAGUCUUUGUUCUUCAAUUUGAAUCUUUUCUUCAACCUUCCGCAAUCAACUCUCUAAGACUCUAUUCAACAUUACGAAAUCCGCCAACCUAUAAAAUCCUUAACAAUCUCCCCCUUUGGCGAUUUCGUGACAAAAUAUACUACAAAGCUCGUACACAACUCAGAAACAAUAAAAAGAAGAUCAUCGCAAUCACCAAACGACGAUCUCCUGCAUGAUCGAUCCAAUAAACGAAAAUUACAUCUUUCACAUCCUUAAAACAGACUCUAUGACUUAGAUAUAGAGUCUUGAAGUAUUGAAUAUUCCUGCAAAAACAUUCUUAAAUCACAAUCAAGAUUCAAGCAUACUUAUCAUAAAAGAUCAAACGUAAACGUCAAAGCAAUCAAACGUCAAAGCAAUCAAAGCAACAAGUCAUAGUUCAUAGUUCAUCCAAGCAACCAUCUAAUCUAAAUUUACACAGCUAAGCUAAAAGCAUCAAAAGACUAAGCUAAAAGCAUCAAAAGACAUCAGACAUCAUCAUCAUCAUGAGCCAAUAUAUCUAGAUUGAAGGAUUCAUACCAAUAGUCUUUCUUAAAUGCAUAAAACGUUUUUGAUCCAAAGGUUUGGUUAAAAUAUCUGCAAGUUGAUUUCCAGUCGAAAUAUAUUCAANUAUGCAUGCAACAAUAUAUACAUAUAUGCUCAAAUGAAUGACACAUUAGGUAUAGAAGGAAGUUCAAUGAGUUUGAGAAGCACCACCCACCUUGUAGGUCUAUUUAGGUGCUCCGAUGGAUUUCUUGAGAUUUUUAGACCUUUCGUUCUUUACCUGCGGCAAAACGAAGCCCUAUUAGGCCAUUUUGCUCAUAUCUUUACAUUGGCUUUUCGUAACGUUAAUCCGAGCGCACCAACGCGUCGGAACUACCACCAAUUAGAUUUUCGGAGGGUCAAUUGCACUUAGAAUCCCUCAUGAGCAAAAGCCCCAAUUUGGGUGCCCUAACUCCAAUGUAUAUCAAAAUCUAGGGUUUGAUCUCAUUGGGAAGCAAAAGUAGCUUCAUUAUACUCUAAAUAGUCCAUUAGAACCAUUCUUAGCCUUUCCAAAAUCCUAGUUUGGAUUUCACCAUUAGAGGUGGUCCAAGCUCACCUUUAUAGCAAAUCUAGGUUUUGAUCUCUUUAGAAGCAAAAGAAAGCUUCAAUCCACUAGAUCUUCCACUAGAAACCAUCCUUAGGUUCAUUCAAACCCAUUCCUAGAGUUUUAGCAUGAUUAGGGUUGAAGCUUACCUCAAAGCUUUCCCUAACUUGCACUAGAGAGGAAGAAGAUGAAGCCUCUUUGCUCCAAAAGCUUCUUCUUCACCUUCUUCUCCUUCUUUUCCUUCCUUUCUUUCCUUCUUCUUCUUCUCCUUUGCCUUCUAGAGAGAGAGAGGGAGAGAAGAGAGUGUUUGAGAGGGUGGGAAUGAGAGAAAAACUCAUUAACCCUCAAUACAUAGCUAUUGGGUUGCAAAAUUGUAGCUAAACCCCUCAACUUUCACUUUAAUACACUGCCCGAACUGGGCAUUCCGCGCAGACAGAGACCGGUCUCCCCGAGUAGGGAUCGGUUCCCGAACGUCCACCCUGCGCAGCCAGAGCUGCUGCGCGCAGGGCAACCGGUCUCUCCUUAUGGGACCGGUCUCUGGGGGACCGGUCUCUCAGGUAGAGACCGGUUCCCGAGAGCUGAUUUCUCAGAACUUAGCCGAUUUUUCGGCUGUCUCAUUUCAUACGCGUUCGGGGACCGGUCUCUCCCACCAGGGACCGGUCCCCGAGAGCUCAAAAUCUGCAGUUUUGCAGAAUUUGAUUCUUUAGCUCUCGAAAACCUUCCACAACUCACUUUUAAUCAUCUUAACACCUUCGGACUUUCCGAAGUGUUCCAUCCUCGCACUUUGGUCAAUUUGACUAAAGUUCGACAUUUUUAUUUUCCGAAUUUUCGGUAUAUUACAUAACGAGCACAAAUUCCAACACUGAAAGCAAUAUCUGGUCUGCUCGCAGUUAAGUACAAUAGGCUUCCAAUCAUGCUUCCGUAUUGUUUCUCAUCCACGCUCCGUCCUUCCGAAUUCAUUCCAAGUCAUUUGUUACUUGUACCCAUCGGAGUGUCAAAAUCCUUUGCACUGUCCAAUCUAAAUUUCUUAACCAAAUCUUUCGCAUAUUUGGAUUGACACAAGUGAAUUCCAUCUUUAGUUUGUUUAACUUGAAGUCCAAGGAAAUAAUUAAGCUCCCCCAUCAUCGACAUCUCAAACUCGCUUGUCAUCAAUUUUGCAAAAUCAUUGGCAUCCUUAUCUUUAGUUGCCCCAAAGACUAUGUCAUCAACAUAAAUUUGUGCCACAAUGAAAUCAUUCUUUAAGUGUUUUACAAAGAGAGUUCUAUCCACUCCCCCUCGGUUGUAUCCCUUUUUCAAAAGAUAUUUUGUUAAGCGCUCGUACCAUGCUCGUGGAGCCUGCUUUAGUCCAUAAAGUGCCUUUUUCAGUCGAAAAACGUGAUUUGGAAAAUUUGAGUCUAUGAAAUCUUUCGGUUGUUCAACAUAAACUUCCUCUUUUAAAAAUCUAUUUAGAAAUGCACUUUUAACAUCCAUUUGAAAAAGAGUGAUUUUAAAAUGGCAAGCAAUCGCAAAUAAAAUACGAAUUGAUUCAAGACGGGCAACCGGGGCGAAGGUUUCAUCAAAGUCUAUUCCCUCAAUUUGUGAGUAGCCCUGAGCAACAAGUCUCGCUUUGUUUCGAACAAUGGUACCAUCCUCAUUUUUCUUAUUCUUAAAGAUCCAUUUGGUACCUAUUAUAUGUUGCUGCUCAAGACGAGGCACUAAUUCCCAUACAUCAUUGCGAAUGAAUUGACCAAGUUCUUCUUGCAUUGCAUUUAUCCAAUAUUCAUCAUAUAAAGCUUCGUCAAUAUUCUUUGGCUCAAUCAAAGAUACAUAGCACACAAAUUCACACUGUAGUUGACUUCUUGUUCGCACACCAACAUUAGGAUCCCCAAUUACAUUCGAUAAAGGAUGAUCUCUUGACUCCGUCAGGGAUGUAGUCUUAGGAGUUAUGCUAGGGAUUUCAGAUGAAGUGCUUUGAGGCUCAGAUGAAUCAUUUGAUGCAACAUUUUCAGAAGAUGCAAUGGAAUUAUCAAGUGCAGAAACAUCAUCAUUCACAGGCAAUACAAACGGGGAAUCAUUAUCAUCAUCAUUCACCAAAGAAUUAGAAGAACCAUUCACAGAAGGGCUUACAGAAGAAGCUUCAUCUACUUUUAUAUUAAUGGAUUCUAUCACCGUCUUAGAUCGUAAAUUGUACGCACGAUAAACACGACUUGUGGUAGAAUAACCAAGAAAGAUUCCUUCGUCACUUCGAGAGUCAAAUUUUCCAAGAUUUUCACGAUCCCGAAGGAUAAAACAUUUACUCCCGAAAACACGAAAGUAUUUAAUAUUAAGUUUCCUACCAAGCCAAAGUUCAUACGGAGUAUUCAAAGUACCCGCGCGCACAUAAAUCCGAUUGAUAACAUAGACAGCCGUGUUAACAGCUUCGGCCCAAAAAUAUAAGGCAAUUUUCUUACUAUGAAGCAUAACAUGUGCCAUCUCCUGUACAACCCGAUUCUUGCGUUCAACUACUCCGUUUUGUUGAGGUGUAUAAGGAGCCGAGAAUUCAUGUUUUAUGCCAUAUGAAACACAAAAAUCAACAAAUUUUGAAUUUAUAAAUUCUCCCCCUUGAUCACUUCGAAUACGUACAAUUUUAUCAUUCCGUUCAGUCAUAAGACGAAGACAGAUUUCAGAAAAAGAAUCAAAAGUAUUAGCUCUUUCUCGUAAGAAGGCACUCCAAACAAAUCACGUAAAAUCAUCAACAAUAAGUAAGAUAUAACGUUUUCCACCCAAACUUUGAAUCCUAGAUGAUCCCAUCAAGUUCAUGUGAAGUAACUCUAAAGGCUUAGAUGUCCCUAAGUGGUUCAAAUUCUUAUGUGCGGAUCUAGCUUGUUUCCCCAAUUGACAACCCCACGCACAGUGUUCUCUUUGAAGUCUAUCUUAGGUACACCUCUAACAACCUCCUUCUUUGUUAUCUUGGAUAGCUUCUUAAAGUUUAUGUGACCUAGUCGUUCAUGCCAUAAAGUUUCAGUCUCUAAUGACGCUAGGUUACAAUGUUCAGUCGAAGAACUAGGAACUACAUAACAGUUAUUCUGAGAUCUAACGCCCUUUAAGAAAAGAUUAUCAUCACGAGUCACAUGGCAUUCUUUAUCAGAAAAAUUUACAGAAUACCCAUCAUCACACAGUUGGCUUAUGCUUACGAGAUUAGAUUUAAGCCCCUCAACAUAAAAGACAUCAUUCAACGUAGGGCCAUCUGAGAUAGUCACUGUUCCUUUUCCAACGAUUUUUGACGAUCGACCGUCUCCAAAAACAAAAAGUCCUCCAGAGAUUUUGUUCAAAGAAGUAAACCAAUUUCUAUCUCCGGUCAUGUGACGGGUACAGCCACUAUCUAGAUACCAUGAAGUAUUAUCGUAAGCAUGAAGCGAAGUGUGAAUGACUAGGCACGGGAAGAGUUCACCUUUGCGCACCCAAACCUUACGUGUUUUGGGUUGCGACAGUUUGCUUGCUUUUGUUGAUGUUGGCUUGUCGACGAUUUUAAUUGACUUCUUCUUCAUAUCCUCCUUCUUUGGUUUCCAUGUUUGUUUUGCUUUUGAUUUCAGCGCAUUUGGUGUCCAUGUUUGUUUCUUCUUAUGAUCAACCUUCUUUGGAGUCCAAGUUGACUUCCCUUUUAAUAUAGGAUUAUUCUUCAUAGGUGAUGUUCUUUGGUUCAAAGGUGUUGUUAAGCUCUUUCCCUUUUGCUUGCAAAAUUUUUUUAUGUGUCCUAAAACACCACAAAGAUGACAAGUUUUGUUAGCCAAAUUAUUUUUAGGAGGGACGAACUUACCAUAAAGCUUAGGAACUCCUUUUGUUGAAUGUUCGUUAUCUUUCUUCGUUGCUUGAUCAAUAUAUGUCCGUUCGUACCCAAGUCCAAGUUUAUUUGUUUGACCAAGUCCAAGCAUCUUGUCAAGUUUGCUCGAGCCAGACGAAAAUUGGUUCAAAUCCGACUUUAAUUGAAUGAUUAUCUUGGUGAAUUCCAUAUUUGCUUCUCUAGCUUCCGAGUAUUGCUUGGUGAGAAAAUCGAUGUUUUCAACAUGAGUCGCUUUUUCCUUUUCAAAUAACGAACACUUCUCAAAUAAAGAUUUGUAGGCCUUAGUCAAACCAUCUCUUUCUUCUUCUAGAUCCUUUGAUAAUGAGGCCAAUCUCGAAUUCUCUUGUUCCAACUUAUGUAGACUUCGUCGCAGCCUCUUGUUAUGUUUUGCCACCUUCUUUGAUUCGAUUACCAAUUGAUGAUAUGCUGCGACCAUGUCAUCUUUGUCCAAUUCUUCAUCCGAUGAUUUCUCCGAAGAAGAUUUUUCAUGUAUAGACGACAUUGAGAGAGAAUCUGUAGAUGCCAAACACAUGAAGGUUGAAUCCUGUGCUAUCAGUGCCGUGGCAUUGACAUCCUCAUCACUUGAAGUUGAAUCGUCAGAAGAGGAGUCAUCCCAAGUAAUAGCCUGCAUCGCUUUCUUUUUCAAAAACUUUUUAUUUGGACAGUCCGAUGCAAUAUGGCCAAAUCCCCCUACACUUAUAGCAUUGAAUUUGACCUUCACUGCUUUUCUUCUCUUUUGUAGAGUCCUUUUGAAGAUUUUUCGAUUUUCUGAAUUUUGAUGAAGAGGAAGACGAACUCCCUUUAGAUUUGCUUGACUUGGAAGAAGUAGACUUGGGAGAAAACUUCUUUCUAAAGUUCCGACGAAACUUCUUUGUUAGAAGUGCUAGUUACUUUUCAAAGUCCUCCAGGGUUUGUUUCGACUCUGAGUUCGAUGAAGUUGAAGUGACAUCUCCUUUUGUUGUUUUUAGAGCCAUCCCCGAAGCUUUAGAAGAAGACUUGAAAGAGGACGAAUUAGAAGGAAAAGUCAUCUCAUAAGUUUGAAGAGCACCUACUAAUUCUUCUACCUUAAGUUCAUCCGGAUGUUUAACCGUUUCAAUAGCCGCAACCUUAGGACGAAAUCGUUCGGGAAGGGUCCUCAAAAUUUUUCAAACAAUUUUGGAAUCGGAAAUUUUCUCGCCCAAGUUAGCACACGUGUUUACAAUGUCUUGCAAACGAGUAUAAUACUCGGUAAAAGAUUCAUGUUCUUCUAUACGGAUAGAAUCAAAUCUACUAGUAAACAUUUACAAUUUUUGAAUCUUUACCAAGCUUGUACCCUCGUAUGUAACUUGUAAAGUGUCCCAAAUUUCUUUAGCGGUUUCACACGCCGAGACACGAGAAAAUUCAGUUUGAUUUAAAGCAUUAAAUAAAGCAUUGAUACCCUUUCCGUUGAACGAAGAUAAUUCGUUUUCCUCUUUCGUCCACUUAUUUCUCGGUUUCGGACCGGUAACAUUCUCGACAACUUCGGUAGGAUAUUUCCAUCUGAAUUCAAUGGCUUGCCAUAUCCGCCCGUCGAUGGCAAUAAGAAAUACCCUCAUACGGACUUUCCAAUAAGCGUAAUUAGUGCCAUCAAAGAGAGGGGGUCGAUUGAUGUUACCACCCUCGGCCAUGAUUUACAACCUAUACCUGUUUUGAUACCACUUGAAAGAUAUGGAUCCCAAGGAUCUAAAAGGUAAGUAACACCUAGAUGGGGGUGAAUAAGUGUAAAAAGGCAAACUCAAAAAUCUCGAUGCAAAUAAAACGAAAUAGCGAAAAAUAAAAUAGCACACCGAGAAUUUAACGUGGAAAAACUCCAAGCCGGAGUGAAAAACCCACGGGACCGAUCAUGCGAAGAAAAUCCACUAAGAAAACUUGAGUACAAGUGAUUUUGACAAAAAUACACGACUCAAUUUACCGAUUUUCCGUUGUUGGUGAUCUUUGCCGGUCCUCGAUCGAUAGGAAUCCUCCAAUCGACCUCGCCGCAACUCCUUGCAGCGUCAACGCCUCAACUCCUCGAAGCGUCCACCGAAUCCUCGGCUACACGUGAAAUCCACGCGCCGAACCUCCUUCCGGAGUUUGUAGAAUCGAAGAUUUAUGGUGAUUAAGCCUUAGAAUCCCAGAAGCGAUGAGGGUCUACCUUUUAAUCAAACAUCUACUUGAUUCUCGUAUAAGUUCUCGAGUAAAAACGAAGAAACAAGUCGAUCGUUGAUUGUUAGAAACUUGUUAUUGGAAUAGAAUCAUAGGAACGGGAAAAACAAGUUUCUAGGGUUUAGAAUGAGUAGAAAUUCAAAGCCUUUUUUUCUUUAAGAUGACCCCCAUGGCUUAUUUAUAUGUUUAGAAGACUUAGAAGUAGACUAGGAUUGCAAAAAGUCCUUUUUUAAAAACAUGUGUCGUCCUCAGAGACCGGUCCUCUCGAGGAGACCGGUUUGUGAGAGACCAGUCUCUCAAGUGAGAGACCGGUCCAUCGCUGCGUGACAAAAAUCACAACGUUCGGGAAUCGGUCUCUCAAGCCAGAGACCGGUCCCUCGCUGCGUGACAGAAAUACCAAUGUUCGGGAAUCGGUCUCUCAUCUCAGGGGACCGGUUGCCCCAACAUUCAGGCAGUGAGGACCUUAAGGGAACCGGUCUCUCAACCCAGGGGACCGGUCCCAGAAUACAGAAAAGCUCGGUUUAAGAAUGUUUAAGAGUUUAAAAACAAUCUAAGUUUUCUAAACUUAUUAUAAUUAAAUAACUUCACCAAAAAUCAUCUAUUCUUCAUACCUUAGGUGCCGAGCUUUCCGAAUGAGUCAUUGUUCUUCAAUUUGAAUCUUUUCUUCAACCUUCCGCGAUCAACUCUCUAAGACUCCAUUCAACAUUACGAAAUCCGCCAACCUAUAAAAUCCUUAACAAAGCUCUCGGGGACCGGUCUCUCAGGUAAGGACCGAUCUCCCGAGGACCGAUCUCUCGGGGAGAGACCGGUUCCCGAACGCGUGAUAUCUGGGGAGGCACUGGGGGACCGGUCCCAGACAGGAGAGACCGGUCCCUCGGCGCGCAGACAGCCCAGUAAGGGCAGUGCAUAGAGACAAAAGUUGAGGGGUUUUUAUGCAAAAUGGCAUUAGUUGGAGGGUGAUAAGAGGGGAGAGAGCUCUCUCUCUCUCACACACAUUUCCUCUCACACUCCCACACUCCUUCAUUUCUCUCCCUCUCUCUCUCUAGAAGGAAAAGAGAAGAAGAAAAAGAAGGAGAAGAAGAAAAGAGAAGGAGAAGAAGAAAGAAAGGAAGGAGAAGAAGAAGGAGAAGAAGGAGAUCAAGCUAGAGAAGGCUUGGAGCAUCUUUCUCUCUUCCUCUCCUCUCCAUUGGUGUAGCACACUAGACCUUUGCAGAUUGCGAGGUUCGAGUGUUUGGAUGUAUUUCGAGCUUUUCCACACUUGGUGGAGGGUUGUAGAAUAUUUUCCGACCUAAAAAGUUCGAAAACUAGAAUUCUGGACAAGUCCUGAGAGUUUUUACUCUUGGGGACCGGUCCCUGAAAGGAGAGACCAGUCCCCCAGUGAGCAGUGUUGCGGCAGUCUUGAGGCAACCGGUCCCUGGCAGGCGAGACCGGUCCCCGAGCGCGCCUACGCAAUGAGAGACCGGUCCCGCGCAGGGAGAGACCGGUUCCCGAACGUUGGUUUUUCGGGUUCGCAGCGAGAGACUGGUCCCUGCUGGGGAGAGACCGGUUCCUCUGGGCGAAAAAUGCCCAGACCGGCCUGAUGCAAUAUUGGAUUUUGAGGGGCCUCACAGGAUUUUGUUACAAGAGAUGGCUUAUAUGGCCACUUCGCCUUCUCCCCUUCCUCACUUCACCAUUUCUUUUGCUUCUAGAGAGAGAGAGAGAGUGGGAGAGGAAGGAGAAGGAAGGAGAAGAAGAGCUCGUAGAGGACUUGGAGCUUCAUCUCCACCCUUUCUUCUCCCUUUUGGUGGAUUGGAGCUUGCCUUUGGAGCUUAGUGGUGGACCACUUCAACCCUAGGGCAUUUUGAGCUUGGAUUGAAGCUUCCAAAGGGUUAGUAACAUGUUUCUUCCUAUAGAUUCUUGUUUUGGUGAUUUUUGGGAGAUGAAACCCUAGAAAUGAGAUUUAGGGUUGAUUUUGGGGCUUUUUGAUCUAGGGCUUUUGAGGCUAGAUUUUUUUGGAUUAGAACCCUCCUUUGGGUUAGAUUGGAAGGAUNNNNNNNNNNNNNNNNNNNNNNNNNNNNNNNNNNNNNNNNNNNNNNNNNNNNNNNNNNNNNNNNNNNNNNNNNNNNNNNNNNNNNNNNNNNNNNNNNNNNNNNNNNNNNNNNNNNNNNNNNNNNNNNNNNNNNNNNNNNNNNNNNNNNNNNNNNNNNNNNNNNNNNNNNNNNNNNNNNNNNNNNNNNNNNNNNNNNNNNNNNNNNNNNNNNNNNNNNNNNNNNNNNNNNNNNNNNNNNNNNNNNNNNNNNNNNNNNNNNNNNNNNNNNNNNNNNNNNNNNNNNNNNNNNNNNNNNNNNNNNNNNNNNNNNNNNNNNNNNNNNNNNNNNNNNNNNNNNNNNNNNNNNNNNNNNNNNNNNNNNNNNNNNNNNNNNNNNNNNNNNNNNNNNNNNNNNNNNNNNNNNNNNNNNNNNNNNNNNNNNNNNNNNNNNNNNNNNNNNNNNNNNNNNNNNNNNNNNNNNNNNNNNNNNNNNNNNNNNNNNNNNNNNNNNNNNNNNNNNNNNNNNNNNNNNNNNNNNNNNNNNNNNNNNNNNNNNNNNNNNNNNNNNNNNNNNNNNNNNNNNNNNNNNNNNNNNNNNNNNNNNNNNNNNNNNNNNNNNNNNNNNNNNNNNNNNNNNNNNNNNNNNNNNNNNNNNNNNNNNNNNNNNNNNNNNNNNNNNNNNNNNNNNNNNNNNNNNNNNNNNNNNNNNNNNNNNNNNNNNNNNNNNNNNNNNNNNNNNNNNNNNNNNNNNNNNNNNNNNNNNNNNNNNNNNNNNNNNNNNNNNNNNNNNNNNNNNNNNNNNNNNNNNNNNNNNNNNNNNNNNNNNNNNNNNNNNNNNNNNNNNNNNNNNNNNNNNNNNNNNNNNNNNNNNNNNNNNNNNNNNNNNNNNNNNNNNNNNNNNNNNNNNNNNNNNNNNNNNNNNNNNNNNNNNNNNNNNNNNNNNNNNNNNNNNNNNNNNNNNNNNNNNNNNNNNNNNNNNNNNNNNNNNNNNNNNNNNNNNNNNNNNNNNNNNNNNNNNNNNNNNNNNNNNNNNNNNNNNNNNNNNNNNNNNNNNNNNNNNNNNNNNNNNNNNNNNNNNNNNNNNNNNNNNNNNNNNNNNNNNNNNNNNNNNNNNNNNNNNNNNNNNNNNNNNNNNNNNNNNNNNNNNNNNNNNNNNNNNNNNNNNNNNNNNNNNNNNNNNNNNNNNNNNNNNNNNNNNNNNNNNNNNNNNNNNNNNNNNNNNNNNNNNNNNNNNNNNNNNNNNNNNNNNNNNNNNNNNNNNNNNNNNNNNNNNNNNNNNNNNNNNNNNNNNNNNNNNNNNNNNNNNNNNNNNNNNNNNNNNNNNNNNNNNNNNNNNNNNNNNNNNNNNNNNNNNNNNNNNNNNNNNNNNNNNNNNNNNNNNNNNNNNNNNNNNNNNNNNNNNNNNNNNNNNNNNNNNNNNNNNNNNNNNNNNNNNNNNNNNNNNNNNNNNNNNNNNNNNNNNNNNNNNNNNNNNNNNNNNNNNNNNNNNNNNNNNNNNNNNNNNNNNNNNNNNNNNNNNNNNNNNNNNNNNNNNNNNNNNNNNNNNNNNNNNNNNNNNNNNNNNNNNNNNNNNNNNNNNNNNNNNNNNNNNNNNNNNNNNNNNNNNNNNNNNNNNNNNNNNNNNNNNNNNNNNNNNNNNNNNNNNNNNNNNNNNNNNNNNNNNNNNNNNNNNNNNNNNNNNNNNNNNNNNNNNNNNNNNNNNNNNNNNNNNNNNNNNNNNNNNNNNNNNNNNNNNNNNNNNNNNNNNNNNNNNNNNNNAUAAUUGUGCAUUACAUAAAUGCCGUGUUUAAUUGCAAGUAAUAUUUUAGCAUUUUCAUUAUGCUUUCAUAGAUGCAAAUUACUCGUUAUUGCUAUUGCUUUUGACUUACCCUUUUCUUUUGGGCCUAGUGGUGUAAUGAGCUGAGGUCAGUAAUUGUCCACUGGGAACUAUAAUUAUAGUUCUCACGCCCUCUGUUUUAUAUUUUCUUUCAGAGCCUUCCACGCCGGAAGAGGCUAGGGACCGUGGGAAGGGCGUCGCUUCGAGUUAGCCCUUCAGCGAGAGACGAGUUUAGGUGGUCUACCUCUCGAUGUUUUAUUUUGUGAGAGGAUGAGAGUUGUACCCGUAUAUGUAUAGAGACCACCUUUCUUUUGGAUCUUGGUAUUUCUUUUGAGGAGUUAGUAUUGUAUCCCCUUAUGUUUUACUUUCUUCGUCUUGGUAUAUUUCCUUUACUCUGGUGUAGAUAAUAGAACUUUACUUGCUCUGAUAUCAUUAGUUGCUAGUUAUUUCACUUCUUUUAUUUGCUCUAUCUUCUGCUUUACUUCCGCUUUUAUUAUAGAUGCCUUAUAUGUGUAGACAUAUGGCGGGUCUGGGCACGCUACCGGGAGGGCCUUCGCCGGUCCCGGGGCGUGACAAUUGGUGUAGCUCAAGAGGUAAGCUACAAACCCUAGCUUGUAGAACUUAGGGCUUUUGGGUUUUGAGCUUUGGAAAUGGGUUCAAAUGGACCCCUAGCACCAUUGUUGGUGUAUUAGAGCUAGAGCUAGGGUUCCAAAGUGCAAAUGGCAAGAUGGAACCCUAGGGCUCCAAAAUGGGGCUUUUGGUAAAGUAUAAGAUUGAUCUCAUUUGAGGCCUUGUAAACCUAAUUGAUAGGUGUCUAAACGCGGGGGCGAAGACGGAUUGAGCAUUCGUCGAGGCGGUGAAAAGCUAUCGGCAAAAUAAGACCGAUUGAGCAUUAUUUUGGACCAAGGAGGACAAGACCUCGUCGUAAAGUACGUCGGAGGGCAUUUCUAGAGCCUUUGAGCAUUCAAAAGGUGGGGGGUGUCAUCCCAAAGCAGCCGAACUCUUUUCUAUGUGUUAGAAAUAUAUUAUUUGCAUCUCUUGCAUGUUGCAUUGUAGGAUUGCAUUGUAAUACCUUUUCCUUAUGCUUCUAAAUGUAAACCUAGUGUACAUGGAACGCUUAGUGACUUCGAUAGGUGAGGAUUGGGUCGAAACGUGGAUCCUAUAGUGCUAAAGAAAAGAGAUGGACACGAUGGGUGUUUGGUGACAUAGAAAAUGACAUCUAAAUGUUAGAGAACAUAUCGAGUGGCAUUAAAGUAGUGUACUUGACACUAGAGGUUCUUGUGAACUUAGGGAUAAGUGGACUCCCUAGAAAAUGCCUUGUGGACAAAGAACUUAGUAAACUUAAGCACAUUGCAUGAUGGUCGGAAUAGAUGAGUUCCGCGAGAUAUUGACCCUAGUUUGUAGGGUAUCCUCACAAGAAGAGGAUGUAGAUGAUUCCGAGAGAUAUGUUGACCCUAGCGGUAGGGUAUCCCCACAUGGAGGGGAUAGAUCGAGCUCACGGUCUGUUUUGGGGUGGUAUAGCCAUCCAUAUCCUCACAUGGAGAGAAUUGUCGUCGAGUACUCCGGAGUGUCGGGCAAUUAGAACCACAUGGAGGUCCGCAGACAGUCCUGGGUUUGGGGGCACAUGGAGCUCCCUUGCCCAAUACGGGAUGGAAAAGUGAGUUGUAGGCGAGCCCAAGGGUUUCGCCACAGAUUGGGUAAAUGAACAAUUAACAAUGUCAUGGAACAUUAUCAUUCGAACAUGGAUCGAAUUUGUUAGCAUGUUAGUAAACCUUUACUAUAUGAUGCAUGUAUUCAUUAUACAUGAUUAUGGGCAUAGUAGCAUAGUUUUCCUUUAUGCCUUUACAGCUUUGAGAUAUCUAUCUAUCUAUCUAUCUACUUGUUGUUACUUGUGCCCACUUGGACCUAGUGGGGAGAUCGGCGGAGUCGGCGGCCGAGCCCACUGAGAACUAUGAAAGAUAGUUCUCACCCCACUCUAUUUUCAGUGGUAGGUACAGGGUUGCCAAGAGAGGACCGCGGCAAGGGCAUCGCGCCCGAUCAGUGAGACCGUGAUAGUAUAGUAGCUUUCCUUUUUGCAUUAGCACACCUAUGUAUUUGAGAGAGAUUCAUUUUAGAUGAGGAUUUGGAGAGCUAAGUAUUUUGGAUGAACCAAUGUAUUCAUUUUGAGGAAAAAAGAUGUAAAUGGAAAAGAAUGAAACUAUUGUAAUAGUUAGUAAAGUACUCUCUUUAUUUCACAUGCUUUAUCUUGUGGAUUACUUGCUCUUCUUGUUGUUGGCACUGUUUGUGCCCUCGUUGAAUGCGUAUGUUUAGAAUUUAAAUCCCUGGGUAAAUUCUUGUACAUAUUCCUAUUGUUGAGCCUUGGGCGGACAGGAGAGGUGCUGUCCGUUCGGCAGUCCGUCCAACGCGCCCGAACCGUACCAAAUUGGUAGUCAAGUGGACAGUCAUCGCAAUGCACGGAACUAAAUCCUCAAAUCGCACUAUUUCGUGCUCAAAAUCCUCAAGGCGAGUCAAGUCAGCUCGCAAUCCAAGAGUACUAGGUAUACACAACAACUCCACACUAAGUAAGGCCAAUCCAUUUGUUGGCACAGAAAACAAUCUCACAUGGUAGGGUGUUCGAAACGACACACCCGAUCAACCGAUCGUCCUACAAGCGUCGAAAAAGUUCAACGCUAACAAAAUCCUCGGGUUGGGUAACCACACACUCGGUGUAUUCUCGAUCUCACGAUCCAACACGUGGCAUUCCACGUUCCAAAGUCAAAGCUCAGACUACCAUCCUGGCCAAACUCUGCCCUACCCGUAGGUACCGGGCCGCUGUCAUGCACAGCUGACUGCGCCUGCCCAAAGGGCCUCGGCUCCACAGUCUACAAACGGUCCAGGCACGGUCGUCUCCAAGCACUAUCCGGCGAACAGCCGAUCAAGGGAUGCAACUAAUGCAAUCAUCGUGAGAUCUGCAAAGCAUAGCGAAACAUGCUACCCGCUACCCGCAAAUCACUCGCCUAGCUCAAGAGGAGCUACUCGUUAUCACAAACAGCGAACCAACGGGAUGCCAUGCAACUCGGCAAAUAGCCGAUCAAAGAAUGGAUGCAAUGCACUGAUAUCAAACAAUGCACAACUCGAAUGCCACAAAAGAAACUGAUACCUGUAGCUACAAACUCGGCUGCUACCGCCUCCUUAGUCUGGGCCGCAUACAUGCGCUCGCCCGGGGCCUGUCGUGACCCCUCCGUCUGUCUCAGGACAGGUGGCCUCUUGGCCUGAUAGUAAGCAGAAGGCGUCUCCUGGCUGGGACUCGGUAAAGCUGGUGCAGAUGCUGAAGAUGGCGCUGGUACUGAGCCCCUCUGGCAGUCCAACUGGAAGUGACCCUCCUGGCCACACGAGUAGCACCUACCUCGACCCUGCGAGCACUACCAUGGGUAAUGACGACCACCGCAGAUCACGCAGCUCAGAGUCUGACGACGUUCGGAUCCUCCCUGCUGUGCAGAUGUGCCCCGUCCUCGCGACUGGGUCCUAUUCCUGGGAUGUCUCGGCGGCCUCCCAGAGUGCGUCUGACUCGCACCCUCAGCCGCGGGCCAUUUGCCCUUUUCUUUGUUCGAGCCUUCUCGACGCUCCUACAAAUCCGCCGCGCCGCUCUCCACAAUGAGCGCGCGGUUUACCACAUCUCGAUAAGUCUGAAGGUUGGAGGAUUGCACCCACUGAAGAUCGACGACUUAAGUCCUCGCUCAAAGAUGCGAGCCUUAUUCUCAUCGUCCCGCACAACAAAGGGCACACAGUGUAGAAGCCGAGAGAACUCUCUCUCGUACUCAGCCACGGUCCGAUCCCCCUAGCGCAUCUCGCGCAGAUCCUGCUCCAUCUUCCUCUUAACACGGACGGGGAAGUAAUGCUCCAAUAAGAGUUCCUUGAACCUCUCCCAAGAAAUUGCUGCUAGGUCAGUGUUCGGAUUAUCCUUGAUACCCAACCACCAGCUGUAGGCCUUGCCGUCCAAAUGGUGAGUGGCGAGCCAAACUCUGUCUCUCUCCUUCACAAAAGUGUCGCGGAAUAACUUCUCCAUGUGCAUCAACCACUUAUCAACAAUCCAGUGGUUGGCUUUCUCUCCAUCAAAGAUCCUUGGAUCGUACCUCCUGAACUCCUUGAGGCGAUCCAUGAGCCACUGCUGCUCUGCUCCCUCGACCAUCAUGGGGAAAACCGCCGCUGCCACAGGCACCUGAGCUGGUGGUGCCGCAAAUACCUCCUCCCGAGGUGCUACCGCAGGUGUCGUCCACAAAGUGUCGAGUGCAGGGGACGACCCCCUAGGUGCAACCGUCUCUACCAGUGCUGGUGGUAUAAGGACCUGAGUCUCCCUAGCAGCCGCCUGCUGUAGUAGAAGAUCCUCUAGGCGCUGCAUCCGUGCCUCCUGCCAGCGUGCUGCAUCUGCAUGCUGUCGAGCCGCCACCACCUGCUGCGUCACGAAGUCAGUGAGGGCCGCAAGCUGGCUCCUCAACUCACGGACCUCGCCGGAUCCGGAGGUAGCGGAUGUCUCCGUAUAGCACACUUGACCUUUGCAAAUUGCGAGGUUCGAGUGUUCGAUUUGUAUUCCGAACUUUUCCACACUUGGUGGACGGCCGUCGUUGGUAUACCGGCCUAAAAGUUCGAUCUCGAGAGUUUUGGCAGAGUCCUGAGAGUUUUUACUCUUAGGGACCGGUCCCUGAUAGGAGAGACCGGUCCCUCAGUAAACAGUGCUGCGUAGCCGGCGAGGCAACCGGUCCCUGGCAGUUGAGACCGGUCCCCGAGCGCGUCUGCGCGGGGAGAGACCGGUCCCGCGCAGGGAGAGACCGGUUCCCGAACGUUGGAUUUUCGGGGGCAGGCUGAGAGACCGGUCCGCAGGUCGGGAGACCGGUCCCCUCUGGCGAAAAACUGCCAGACAGGGCUGAUGUGAUUUUGAGUUUUGAGGGCCUAUGGGAUUUGUUACUUUAGAGGCUAUAAGCACCCUCUCCUCCCUCUCACUCCAUUUUCUCUCCUCACACCUCUUCCUACACUUCUAAGAGAGAAAGGGAAGGAGAAGAAAGGAGAAAGGAGAGAAAGAGCUUGUGGUUGAGGCCUUGAGCACCAUUUUUUUCCUCAUUUUCACCUUUGAGGCUUGGAGCUUGCGUUGGAGCUUUGUGGAGGAUCAAAACUUCAACCCUACUUGGUUUUGAGCUUGUUUGGGGCUCCUCUUGAGGUGGUAGCUUGUAAUCCCCAUUUGUUACAUGUUUUCCUAGGUUUACUAGAUGAAACCUCUAGAUUUUGGGAUUUACGGUUUUGUUUUGGGGGUUUGUGGAUUUGGCGGGCUUUGAACGCACAAAUUGAUGGUUUAGAACCUUUGUUUAGUUAGAUUGAAGGACUCUAACAACCCCAUUUGGAGAUCGAGAGACCUUCUUCACAAUCGGAUAAGUUUUUCCAACCCUAGCUUGAGAAGCUUAAUGAUUGAGAGCUAUUUGCUCUUUGUUUCGUUUGGGUGACCCUAUUUUUGAUGUUUCUAGGGUACUAGGGAGCUCUGUGGAUACCUUCGUUCGGGCGAAACGAAGAAGCCGAUUUUUGGUGGUUGACUUCAAUGAAAAUAGGGCAAAAUGGUUCCCUAUGCCUUCUAAACUUUUGUUAAAGUAUUUUUGAAUUAAAUUCAUGCUGAAUAUGACUCAUGUGAAUUUUAGAACACUUAACAUGCAUGCCUCAUAUAUCGUAAAAUUUGUACUCUAUAAUAGUUAGAGCUAUAUGUGUAAUGCAUCAUCGUGGAUAGUGCUUGUUUGCAAGUUGAGAACAUGUCUUCCAUGCUAGAGUUGAGUGAAUUAUGCAUCAUGAACAUAUUAAUGCCACUUGGAACUCGUUAACAAAAGUGUCAUCAAGGGCACUUGAAACUAGUAAACUGUUAAACAAUCAACAUAGAGACAUGUUUGAUAGCACCUACAUAUCUACUACAUUCGCAUGUUAGAGACAUGAUGACAUAGAGAUAGCGCCAUUGAUAUAUUUGAUAUAUUCCAUGUUAUUAGACAUGAGAGACUUGUAUUGAGACGGAUCAUUGCUUCGUGCAAUUGUGCUCAUUCGCACAUACUUGUGAGGUCGCUCCCUACAAGCCUGCACUCCGGAGAUAGCCAUGCGCGACAUAUGCUCGCCCGCGGAUUGGGCGCGCGAAGUGGAUUGCCGUGGGGGAGGCUCAAUCCCUAGAGUGGGGAUGUUGACUACCAGGGGACCAUUAGGCACGCGCGCAGCCAGACAGCCUCGGUGGUCUUAUAUGAUUGGGACUUAGUUACAGAACGUGCUAUGUGAACUUUAAAACUACUAAUGGACUUGACUAGAAUAGUAAACAAUGACAUCUUUACUAUUUUGAAUGAGAACAUUGGAUUAUUUGCAUUCCUACGCUUAUGCAUGUCAUUCAUACACAUCCACGUACAUUCAUGAUAUAUUGUUGCUUUAUUACUAUGCAAUCAUGCUAAGUGGAGACUCUAUGUUAUAGUAGGUUACUUUUACUUAUCUUAUUAUAUUGCAUUGUAGUCACUGACCCUCUUCUGUAGCUUUUUGGGCCUUAUGGCGCAGUUCACUGAGUCAGUAAUUGCCACGAUGGGAAACUAUUUUCAAUAGUUCUCACGCCUCUGUUUUAUGGUUUUACUUUUCAGAGCCUCGCAGCCGUCGAGGCACGGGAUCGCGGCAAGGGGAUCGCAUAGCUAGUUAGCGUGAGGCGAUCUUUGCCUAGGUGGUUUACUCUUUCGUUAUGUAGUUGAGAGAGAGAGAUUUUUGUAUCCAUGUAUAGAGACCACCUAUGUAUCUACCUAUAGCACUUGUAUCUGGGCUUUCCUUGUAUCCCCUUAUUUUUAUCUUAGUGGAUUUACAGUUUUAUUCUUAUUCCUUGUUGUAGCAUUUAACAAUUUAUAUGCUCUGAACUACCUAGAUGUUUUUAUUAUUACUUGUUAUUGUUAUUUUUAGAUGCCUUAUGCUUUUAAACGUAUGCGGGUCUGGGCAGUGCCGGGCGGCUACGCUGGGCUCCGCGGGGCGUGACAGAUUAAUUUGGUAUCAGAGCCUAGGGUUGAGUCUUAGGGGACCUAGCAAACCUUAGGCCGGUUGGACUAUAGGAAAUAGGCUCGUGAGAGACGAGGUCUAUUCGAGUUGUGAGCGAAAGUAUCAUGAUUGGAUAUUAUGAUAACUCUAAAAAGUUAGAGUUGAUUGGAGUGUUUAGCUUCUAACUUCGCGGAGGGUUACGUUGGCGGCCGACAACGUAACAUCGGGAGUUAGUUGUGGAUAACACUUCCUUACUUUCGCAUGAUUUGGGGUUUGUCUUUUAAGCGGGGAUGCGAUAGCGUGAGUAUUUCUAACUUGCGCUUUUAUGUUUUGUAGUGACGAUUCCGAUUACUCGCUCCCAAUCUGCCGGGGCGGACAAUGUGGCAAACUUCGAGGAGGCGGAGUGUCACGCGCACGGGACUCGCGGAAGCCCGCCCGGCUACGUGCCCAGACCGCCAUACUGUCUAAAACGCAUAAGGCAUCUAAAAACAAAAUAACAAAAGUAAUAAUAAAAGACAUCUAGGAGUAUCAGAGCAUAAUAAAUGUCUAAAUGCUACAACAAGGAAUAAGGAUAAAACUGUAAAUCCACUAAGUAAAACAUAAGGGGAUACAAGGAAAGCCCAGAUACAAGUGCUAUAGGUAGAUACAUAGUGGUCUCUAUACAUGGAUACAAAAAUCUCUCUCUCAACUACAUAAAGAAAGAGUAACCACCUAGGCAAAAUCUGCUCAUCGGCUAACGUUAUGCGAUCCCUUGCGCGAUCCCGUGCCUCCGCGGUGCCGAAGGCUCUGAAAAGUAACACAUAAAACAGGGGCGUGAGAACUAUUGAAAAUGUUCCCAGUGGGCAAUUACUGACUUCAGUGAACUGCGCCACAAGGCCCAAAAGCUACAAGAAGAGGUCAGUGACUAACAAUGACUAAUAUAAGUAAGUAAAACGUAACUUAACUAUAACAUAGAGUCCUCCACUUACCAUGAUUUGAUAGUAAUAAAGCAACUAUAUCAUGGAAUGUACGUGAUGUGUAUGACUGACAUAAGCGUAGAAUGCAACUAAUCAAUGUUUCAUUCAAAAUAUUAAAGAUGUCAUUGUUUCCUAUUCUAGUCGCAAGUCCACUUAGUAGUUUUAAAUUCACGAUAGCACGUUCUGUCACUAAGUCCAAUCAUAUAAGACCACCGAAGGCUGUCUGGCCUGCGCCGUGCCUAAUGGCCCCGUGUAGUCACAUCCCACUCUAGGGAUGAGCCUCCCCCACGGCAAUCCACUUCGGCCCCAAUUCCGCCCGGGCGAGCAUAUGUCGCGAUGGCUAUCUCCGGAGUGCCGGCUUGUAGGGAGCGAACGCCUCACCAAAGUAUGUGCGAAUGAGCACAUGGCAAACAAGAAUGAUCGCUCAAGUACCAAGUCCUCAUGUCAUAAUAACAUGGAAUAUAUCAAUAUCUCCAAUGGCCUAUCUCUAUGUAUAUGUCUCUAAUAUGGAAUGUAGCAGAUAUGUAGUGGCCUAUCAACAUGUCUCUAUGUUGCAGUUAAACAGUUCACUAUUUAGGGAGGAUGGUCGCAGCAUCUACCUAUGGCGGAGUUUGCUUAUAACAGCAGUUAUCAAGCAAGCAUCAAGAUGGCGCCCUUCGAAGCACUUUAUGGACGGAAGUGUAGAUCGCCACUUCAUUGGAGCGAAGUUGGCGAGAGUUUGGCUUUAGGCCCUGAUGUGCUCCAGGAAGCUGAGGAGAAAGUUCGAAUUGCUCGGGAGCGACUUGUGACGGCGCAGAGUAGACAGAGAAGCUACGCCGAUCGACGACGGCGAGACUUGGAGUUCCAAGUUGGAGACCAUGUUUUCUUGAAGGUCUCGCCAACUAGAGGGAUAAAGAGAUUCGGGAUCCGGGGAAAAUUGAGCCCCCGUUUCAUUGGACCGUAUGAGAUCUUGGAGCGUGUGGGUCCGGUAGCGUAUCGACUUGCUCUACCACCGAACCUAUCCGGCGUGCACGACGUCUUUCAUGUAUCGGUCCUUCGGAAUUACAUACAUGAUCCAGCUCACGUUUUGGAGACUAUACCAGUGGAGCUGCGCGAGGAUCUGAGCUUCGAGGAGCAACCUGUGAAGAUUUUAGCUCGCGAAGUGAAGAAGCUGCGGAAUCGGGACAUUCCGUAUGUGAAGGUUCUUUGGAGCAACCAUGCGGAGCGCGAGGGCACGUGGGAGCUUGAGAGUGCACUGCAGGAGCGCUAUCCCCAUCUUUUUCAGAUGGAGCCUUGAGGUAUGCUUUUGCCUUUGAGUUUCGCGGACGAAACUCCUUUUUAGGAGAGGUGAAUAUAGCACACUGGACCUUUGCAAAUUGCGAGGUUCGAGUGUUCGAUUUGUAUUCCGAACUUUUCCACACUUGGUGGACGGCCGUCGUUGGUAUACCGGCCUAAAAGUUCGAUCUCGAGAGUUUUGGCAGAGUCCUGAGAGUUUUUACUCUCGGGGACCGGUCCCUGAUAGGAGAGACCGGUCCCCCAGUGAACAGUGCUGCGUAGCCGGCGAGGCAACUGGUCCCUGGCAGUUGAGACCGGUCCCCGAGUGCAUCUGCGCGGGGAGAGACCGGUCCCGCGCAGGGAGAGACCGGUUCCCGAACGUUGGAUUUUCGGGGGCAGGCUGAGAGACCAGUCCCAGGUCGGGGAGACCGGUUCCUAUGGGCGAAAACUGCCAAGACCGGGCUAAUGUGAUUUUGAGUUUUUGAGGGGCCUAUGUGGAUUUUGUUACUUUAGAGGCUAUAAGCAGCCUCUCCUCCCCUCUCACUCUCAUUUUCUCUCCCUCACACUCUUCCUACACUUCUAGAGAGAGAAAGGGAAGGAGAAGAAGGAGAAGGAGAGGAGAAGAGCUUGCUUGGAGGCCUUGGAGCACCAUUUUCUUCCUCAUUUGCCACCUUUGGAGGCUUGGAGCUUGCGGUUGGAGCUUUGUGGAGGAUCAAACUUCAACCCUACUUGGUUUUGAGCUUGGUUUGGGGCUCCUCUUGAGGUUGGUAGCUUGUAAUCCCCAUUUGUUACAUGUUUUCCUAGGUUUUACUAGAUGAAACCCUAGAUUUUGGGAUUUACGGUUUGUUUUGGGGGUUUUUGGAUUUGGGGGCUUUGGAACCAAAUUGAUGGAUUUAGAACCUUUGUUUAGGUUAGAUUGGAAGGACUCUAACUCCCAUUUGGAGAUCGUGAGAGCCUUCUUCACAAUCGGUAAGUUUUCUCCAACCCUAGCUUGAGAAGCUUAAUGAUUGAGCUAUUUGCUCUUCGUUUCGUUUGGGUGACCCUAUUUUUGAUUUUUCUAGGAUACUAGGGAGCUUGUGGAUACCUUCGUUCGGCGAAACGAAGAAGCCGAUUUUUGGUGGGUUUGACUUCAUGAAAAUAGGGCAAAAUGGUCCCUAUGCCUUCUAAACUUUUGUAAAGUAUUUUUGAAUGUAAAUUCAUGCUGAAUAUGACUCAUGUGAAUUUUAGAACACUUAACAUGCAUGUCUCAUAUAUUGUAAAAUUUGUACUCUAUAUAGUAGAGCUAUAUGUGUAGAUUGCAUGCAUUGUGGAUAGUGCUUGGUUUUGCAAGUUGAGAACAUGUCUCCAUGCUAGAGUUGAGUGAAUUAUGCAUCAUGAACAUAUUAAUGCCAUGCUUGGAACUCGUUGAACAAAAGUGUCAUCAAGGGGCACUAAAUAGUGAACUGUUUAACUGCAAAUAGAGACAUGUUGAUAGGCCACUACAUAUCUGCUACAUUCCAUAUUAGAGACAUGAUGACAUAGAGAUAGGCCAUUGAGAUAUUUGAUAUAUUCCAUGUUAUUAGACAUGAGGACUUGGUACUUGAGCGGAUCAUUGCUUGUUUGCCAUUGUGCUCAUUCGCACAUACUUGUGAGGGUCGCUCCCUACAAGCCGGCACUCCGGAGAUAGCCAUCGCGACAUAUGCUCGCCCGUGCGCGGAUUGGGCGCCGAAGUGGAUUGCCGUGGGGGAGGCUCAUCCCUAGAGUGGGGAUGUUGACUACACGGGGCCAUUAGGCACGGCGCAGGCCAGACAGCCUUCGGGUGGUCUUAUAUGAUUGGGACUUAGUGACAGAACGUGCUAUGUGAAUUUUAAAACUACUAAGUGGACUUGCGACUAGAAUAGAAACAAUGACAUCUUAUAUAUUUUGAAUUGAGAACAUUGAUUAGUUGCAUUCUACGCUUAUGCGUCAUACACAUCAACGUACAUUCAUGAUAUAGUUGCUUUAUUACUAUCAAAUCAUGGUAAGUGGAGGACUCUAUGUUAUAGUAAGUUACGUUUUACUUACCUUAUUAUUAUUGCAUUGUUAGUCACUGACCUCUUCUUGUAGCUUUUGGGCCUUGUGGCGCAGUUCACUGAAGUCAGUAAUUGCCCACUGGGAACUAUUUUCAAUAGUUCUCACGCCCCUGUUUUAUGGUUUACUUUUCAGAGCCUUCGGCACCGGCGGAGGCACGGGAUCGCGGCAAGGGGAUCGCAUAGCUAGUUAGCGAUGAGCAGAUCUUUGCCUAGGUGGUUUACUCUUUCUUUAUGUAGUUGAGAGAGAGAGAUUUUUGUAUCCAUGUAUAGAGACCACCUAUGUAUCUACCUAUAGCACUUGUAUCUGGGCUUUCCUUGUAUCCCCUUAUGUUUUACUUAGUGGAUUUACAGUUUUAUCCUUAUUCCUUGUUGUAGCAUUUAGACAUUUAUUAUGCUCUGAUACUCCUAGAUGUCUUUUAUUAUUACUUUUGUUAUUGUUGUUUUUAGAUGCCUUAUGCGUUUUAGACGUAUGGCGGGUCUGGGCACGUGCCGGGCGGGCUUCCGCUAGGUCCCGUGGCGUGACACUCCGCCUCCUCGAAGGUUGCCGCGUUGUCCGCUCCAACAGACUUAGGGCGUGCAGUCGGCAUCAUCACAUCAACAUCGUAAAAGCGCAAGUUAAUAAGACCCACGUUAUCGCAACCUCGCUCAAAUACCAAUGCCCAAAUCAUGCGAAAGUAAGGAAGUAUCUUAUAGUACUAACUCCCGAUGUUAUGUUGUCGCUGUCAACGUAACCCUCCGCGAAGUUAGAAGCCAUACACUUCAAUCGAACUCCAACUUUUGGAGUUAUCAAAAAAACCCAAUCAUGAUACUUUCGCUUACAAAUCAAAUAGGCCUCGUCCCUCACGAGUCUAAUUCCUAUAGUCCAACCGGCCUAAGGUUCACUAGGUCCACUAAGACUCAACCCUAGGCUUUGAUACCAAAUUAAUCUGGCACGCCCCGACGACUAGGCAUAGGCCCGCCCGGUGCGUGCCCAGACCCACCAUAUGCCUGCACAUAUAAGGCGUCUACUAUAAAAGCGAUAAAUAACCUGUGAUACAAACAUCUAGAGAUAUCAGAGCGAGUAUACAACUAAGUUCUAACAACAAGUAGAGUCGAAAGAGAACUAAACAACUAAAGCAUAAAGUAAACUAAUACAUCAUAAAUCUCAAGAUACACAAUAGGGUGGUCUCUAUAACCAGGUAAACUAAUGCAUAGCAAUUAUGUUCUAUCAUGGCUACUAAGUAUAAUAUGAUGCAACAGGUAAUAUUAUGAAGUAUACUAUAUGUCCCAAAGUACAACACAUAUCUAGUAUGUACUAUCAUGGCAAUUAAGGGUACCACAAUUCCCAAUGUCAACUGAAUCCAACUACAAUAUACAAUCAAGUAGUGCUUAUCACUUAUUGUUUACUGUUCUAGUCAAUGUCCACAUAGAAUGUCACUACUUUAAGGUUCCAAUCUUGUAAGACCCGCCCGUAGGCUGUCUGGACUGAAGACCCACCCGUAGGCUGUCUGGCCUGUGCCGUGCCUAAUGGCCCCGUGGUAGUCAACAUCCCCACUCUAGGAAUGAGCCUCCCCCACGGCAUCCCACUUCGGCGCCCAAUCUCGCACGAGCGAGCAUGUGUCGCGAUGGCUAUCUCCGAAGUGCCGGCUUGUGGGGAGCGACCCUCACAAGCAUUUGCGAAUGAGCACAAUUAGCAAGUAAGCGUAUAAGUCCGUCUCAAAUCCCAAGUCUUCAUGUCUAAAAUAUGGAAUGUAGCAUAUGUCUCAGUGGCCUGUCACUAUGUCAUCAUGUCUAAAACAUGAAAAUACUCACUAGCAACCCAUAGGUCUAGUCUAUGCCUCGAGUGAAGGUUUACUAAGUUCACUAUGUCCAAUGCCUCUUUAUGGCAUUAUCUCCUUAUGUCCAAAACCAUUCCAAGCUUAAUGCCGCUUUAUGACAUUAGCUUACUAAAUCCAUCUCUAGUCCAAGCCUAAUGCCGCUUUAUGACAUUAGCUUACAAUUUACAUACACUCUAGCAUAUGUCACUCAAUGACAAUAUGUCCAACCAUGCCAAGCAUGCGUUCUAAGUCCAAGAGUAUAAUCUACAUGUCAUAUGCACUACAUGCAACAUGAUCUCAAUCAAAUGUAAGAAUGCUAACCAUAUGCAAGGUUCCAAAUAUGAACAGUUCUCUACUACAUAGCGGUCCAAUGUACAUUAUACAUAACAUGCACAUAUUAAGGAUUUAAAAAUUCUCAAAUAUUCUAUCUAGUAAGAAUAUGUAUGCAUUUUUAUUUUACGAAAAGUAAAAACCAUCAUAAGGAUGAUUUAUCCCAUUUUGGUGAGGCCAAACCUACCGAGAGUUCCACGCGGCCUUCGUUUGCGCCGACGAAAGUGCCCACAAGCUUCCUAGCUCCCUAAAGGUUAAAGUAGGAGCGAUACAUGAAUGUUACGAACAACGAAUAUGUUAAACAUUAACCAACUCAAUAAAAGGGCCAAAAACUCACCUAUAGUGAAGAAAUCCCUUCACAAGCUCCAAAUGGGAGAUAGAACCCUUCCAAUCCAACCUAAAGGGAGGUUCUAAACCGAUCAAUCGAGCUCCAAAAGCCCUAGGUCAAAAAUUUCCAAAAUAAACCCUAAAUCCUCAUUUAUAGGGCUACAACAAGAAGACCAUCAAAACACAAAUCAAGAGGUGAGAAUAAGCUUCUAACCUCUUGAGAAGCCUCAAACCAAGUUCAAAGUCCACUAGGUAUGGAGAUCUUCCUCCAAACAAGCCUCAAACUCAAGAUCCAAGCUUCAACAAUGGUGAAAAAUGCUCUAGAAGGCAAAAGAGAGCAAAAACCACAUAAAAAUCAAGAAAAAGAAAGAUCAAAUCCAUGGAGAGGUAAAGAAGACUCACUCACCUUGUUUCCUCUGAGUUCUAGGCUCAGGAAACCAAAGGGGGGGCAUGGGUGGUAAUAUAGAAGGCCACAAUCGCAAAAACAUCCCCGCAGUUCGAACCUUUCAGAUUCUGCCAAAGUCUACCGGUGCACGGGAAAGUGUACCGGUACAAAAUCCUAUACACGCAAACCCGAGGCUCGAGUUGGCAGAAAAUAAUCUUCUGUACCGGUACAACCAUCAAAGUGUACCGGUACAAAAUGUGUUCCGGUACAACCAUCAAGGCUGUACUGGUACACAGCCCUGCUAAGGUUAAUCCGAGAGCAAACCAAAUAUCCAUCUUUUUGGGUUUUAGUGCAAAAUUUUAAUCCACAAAUUUCGGGAUACGAGCCAUAUGUCGGAACACUGUCGACGACCCUCUAGGAUAUCUGGAAAAACUCGAAACAUAGAUUAAACACUCGAACCUUGCCAUUUGCGAAAGUCCAGUGUGUUACACUUACUUAAUUUAGACCUAAACUCAUGCCUCAAUUCAGCUUGUUAAAGAGGUGAGGAUAAUGCUCCCGCAUUGCACUCUCGAGCUCCCAAGUAGCUUCCCGAUCAUUGUGAUUGCACCAAUGAAUCUUAACAUACGGAAUCUCGCGAUUUCGUAGUUUUCUUACUUCUCGAUCGAUGAUGUAUGCCGGGAACUCUUCAUAGGUCAUGUCCUCUUGGAUCCCGGAUGGUUCAAACGACGGGACAUGCUCGGGGUCGUGAAUGUACUUGCGGAGAUUCGAUACAUGGAACACGUCGUGUACUCCCGCAAGCCUCGAUGGUAAUGCUAUUUUGUACGCCACCGCACUGACCCGCUCCAAUACCUCAAACGGUCCGAUGUACCGAGGACUUAGCUUCCCCCGGAGCCCAAACCGUCUAAUUCCUCGCAUCGGCGAUAUCUUUAAGAACACGUGGUCUCCAACGGCAAAUUCUAUAUUCUUCCUCCAUCUGUCGACAUAGCUCUUUUGCCCAGAUUGCUCCGUAGUGAGUCUUUGGCGGGCUAGGCGAACUUUCUCCUCUGCUUCCCGCACUACAUCGUGGCCGAGAGCUGCUCUCUCGCCCGCGUCGCUCCAAUGGAUUGGAGAACGACACUUCUUUCUAUAAAGGGCCUCGAAUGGUGCCAUCGCGAUACUCUCUUGGUAGCGGUUAUUGUACGCGAACUCCGCCAUUGGUAGAUGAUCGUGCCAACUACCCUUGUAGUCCAGUACACACACUUGGAGCAUAUCCUCAAGUAUUUGUAUCAUCCUUUCCGAUUGACCAUCACUUUGAGGAUGAAAUGUCGUGCUAAAAUUGAGCCGUGUGCCCAAAGCCUCCUGUAGACUCCUCCAAAAGUGAGAGGUGAACCUCGGGUCCCGAUCUGAUACAAUAGACACUGGUACCCCGUGAAGUCUCACAACCUCGUCAAUAUAUAGUUGAACCAACUUGUCCCACGACCAUGUAAUAUGAAUCGGUAAGAAAUGCGCCGACUUCGUCAACCGGUCUACAAUUACUCAAAUUGCAUCGUGUCCACCUUGAGAUCGAGGCAACCCGGUCACGAAGUCCAUUGCGAUAUUUUCUCAUUUCCAAACGGGUAUAGGUAGGCUUUGUAAUUUUCCCGCCGGAAAUCGUCGCUCCGCUUUUACUUGUUGGCAAGUAAGACAUUACGCAACGAAUUCCCCAAUGUCUUUCUUCAUGCCCGGCCACCAAUAGUGCAUCUUCAAAUGUUGAUACAUUUUGGUGCCGCCCGGGUGUAUACUAUAUGGAGAUUGAUGCGCUUCUUGCAUAAUCGCCCUGUGGAUGUCCUUGUUCUUGGGCACAAACCAACAGUUUCUAAACCGGAGUGCGCCGUUGGUCCCAAUGUCAAAAUCAUCGGCACUACCGCUCUCAACUUCACCGCACACCUUUUGGAGAUACUCAUCGAAAGCUUGCAGCUCUUUUAUCCUCUCCAACAAGGUCGGUUGCACCACUAACGGGCAAGUGUAGCCGGCACUCCCGGCUCCACUACUUCCAAACCAAGCCGUUGCAUCUCCUUUUACAAUAAUAGUAAUUGCCGAAGCCAGAUUUUUUUUCGAUUUUCUACUAAGUGCAUCGGCUACAACAUUUGCCUUCCCGGGGUGGUAUAGAAUAGUAACAUCACAGUCUUUAAACAAUUCUAACCACCGCCGCUGUCGCAUGUUUAGCUCCUUUUGGGUGAACAAGCAUUUAAGACUUUUAUGAUCCGUAUAGCCCUCACAAUGUUCCCCGUAUAAGUAAUGCUUCCAUAACUUUAGCGCGAAAAUAACCGCCGCUAGCUCAAGAUCGUGAAUCGGGUAAUUCUUCUCAUGAGUCUUCAAUUGGCGCGAAGCAUAUGCUAUAACUCGGCCGUUUUGCAUCAAGACACACCCGAGUUCAACGUAGGAAGCAUCACUAUAUACCACAAAGGUCUCCCCCGGCGUCGGUAGAGCAAGCACCGGGGUCGUGGUCAAUCUUUCUUUUAAUUCCUCAAAGCUCCGCUCGCAUUCGGGGCUCCAAACAUACUUUACCCCUUUGCGUGUAAGGCGUGUUAGUGGAAUAGUUAUUUUAGCAAACCCCUCCAUGAACCGCCGGUAGUAGCCCGCUAGCCCAAGAAAACUGCGGACCUCCGAUACACUCGUCGGGCGAGACCAAUCCUUAAUUGCCUCUAAUUUCCUUGGAUCCACCGAGAUACCAUCGCCCGAAAUUACAUGACCAAAGAAAGUGACCUCCGAUAGCCAAAAGUCGCAUUUCUUCAACUUGGCAUAUAACUUCUCUUUUCGGAGUAUUUCCAACACAGUCCUCAAGUGCUCCUCGUGUUCCUCCUCGGUCCGGAAAUACACCAAUACGUCGUCAAUGAAUACCACGACGCACCGGUCCAAUAACGGACGGAAGACUCUAUUCAUUAAGUCCAUGAACGUCGCCGGGGCGUUAGUAAGUCCAAACGGCAUCAUCGUGAACUCAUAAUGGCCAUACCGCGUACGGUACACCGUCUUGUGCACAUCCUCGGGCCGUAUCAUCAAUUGAUGAUAUCCCGAUUGUAGAUCAAUUUUAGAAUAUACCUUUGACCCUUGCAACUGAUCGAAUAGAUCGUCAAUUCUAGGCAACGGGUAUUUAUUCUUGAUCGUUACUUUAUUCAAUUCGCGAUAGUCAACGCACAGUCGAAGUGUGCCAUCCUUCUUUUUAACAAAUAGUACCGGGGCUCCCCAGGGUGACGCGCUCUGCCUCACAAAGCCUUUGUCGAGCAAAUCUUGCAACUGUGCCCUAAGCUCCUUUAGCUCCAUCGGUGCCAUUCUAUACGGAGCCUUCGAAAUUGGAGCCACCCCGUGUACCAAGUCAAUAACGAACUCGAUCUCCCGGUCCGGUGGCAAACCCGGUAACUCCUCCGGAAAUACAUCCGGAAACUCACACGCCACCCGAAUACCACUAAGUUCCGGGUGCUCCUUCUGAGCUUCUACCACUGUCACCAAAUAGGCCUCACAACCACCUUUUAUCAUUUUCCUCACCUGUGCCGCCGACACGGUCGCAGCAAAGAGCGAGCUUUUAGAUGCCUGGUAUACUAGCUCCUCUCGAUUAGGCUCACGAAAUGUGAUCACCUUACUUUCGCAAUCUAUCACAGCAUAAUACUUGGAGAGCCAGUUGGUCCCCAAGAUCACGCCGAAACCCCACAUUCGAUUCAAUACCAACAGGUCGAUUGGCACGACCCAAUCACCUAUACGCACUCGGCACGCUACACACUCUUCGUGAACAUGGAAAGUAUGCUCGACCGAAUUUAUCGUCCAAUAGUCAUAAUGAUGGACGAUUUUAAUGCCAUGAGUCCUAGCGAAUGAUGCAUUUAUGAAUUGAAAGUUUUGAGUAGCCCGAGGAUCUAUCUAGAUUGUAUCUAUCACCUAGAGGGGGGUGAAUAGGUGAACGGCCAAAAAACCACAAAUCUCGAUGCAAUAAAAAUAAAUGCGGAAAAUAAAAAGCACACCGAGAUUUACGUGGGAAAACUCCAACUUGGAGAAAAACCCACGGGACCAACACGCGAAAAAACAAUUCACUAAGANCUCCACCUGAGUGGCAAAAAUCCGCCCACUCGGUGCCCUCGAUGCCUCCGGCUGACACGAUGAAGACGAGCGUCCAGCCGACAUAGCCGGCAGUAACCCCGCCUGCUGUCUCGGGGUAUAAGGAACUGAUGUCGAGGUCGGUGCAGAUGAACCCCAGCUAGGGCACUCUCGUGACAUAUGCCCAGGUUGGCCACACUUGAAGCAUUUUCCCUCCCGCUGCGGGCAUGUCGGCGGUUGAUGGUUACCGCCGCAAAUAACACAACGAGAUGGCCUCCAACUCCUCGACUGCGGUCGGGGAUACCGAGGGGGUUUCCUAGCAUUUGGCCGACCCCCGGUGCCACCCGCCGCCUGCUUCUUGCUCUUCUCCUUUGCUUGGGCUGCGGACUCGCGCUCCUUGCGUUCGUGGGCAUAGCCAUGCUCCGCCCACAAAGCCCGAUCAAAGACCUCCGCAAAGGUCGCGAGCUUAAGAAUUUGCACGGCCCUAUGAAUCCCCGACCGCAAUCCUCGUAGGAACCAGUCUGCUCGGUCCCGGUCAUCCCUAACAACAUCCGGGACGCAGUCAAUGAGGUGGGAGAACUCUUGCUCGUAGUCUGUUACCGAGCGAUCUCCUUGCCUCAACUUGCGGAAUCUCUCCUGCAACUUCCGCUUCACUGUAUUAGGGAAGUAGUUGGUGAACACCGCCCUCCGGAACUCCUCCCACAACAUAGGCGGAAGAUCGGGUGAUCGGUCCCGCUUAACACGCUUCCACAACACCUUUGCCGCCUUCUCAAGGCAAUGUGUGGCGAGGUACACCUUGUCCUUCUCCAAGGUGUUAAGAUCCUCGAAAAGUGCUUCCAUGGAGUCGAUCCAGGACUCCACCGCCGGUUCCACCACCCCCCCUUGGUAGGUGGGUUGAACUUCUGGAACUGAAUGAGAGCCACCAACACGCGCUCCCACUCCGCCUCCUUUGCCGCACUAUCGGGAUUUGAGGUCCCGAAUCCAGCCGGCACCAUUGUAACUGGCACGGCCGCCACAGCCACACCCUCGGCCGCACUCGGCACCACUGCAGGAGGCACAGGGUGCACAGCCUCCACGGGCGCCGCCGCCGCCACCUGCUGCCGCUCCAAGGCCUCCUGGAGCCUUCGGAUUUGCUCCCCUUGGAGCUGAACGGAUUCCGCCUAGUGUUGUACGGAUUCCGCCUACUGCCGCACUACGCCAAUAAGCGCGGCAAUCUGCUCCCGAAGCUCCCCGUCGCCACCUGCUCCGGGUUGCACGGGAGUCGCACUUGGCUCCUCGGCCAUAGACCUCGUCCGCGGUCGACCACUAGGCAACUUAGGUCGUCCAUGAGGCGGCAUUGCUUCCUGAAGUGAAGCAAUUCACAUUAGUUACUUAGACAAUGUACUCGAUUAUACCCAAUCCGGCGAAAGCAUACAAGUGCAUUUAUUUUCCUUCCAAAGCAUCAUGUCGUCGGCCGCCGAUCACAACACAAGGAAAAGAAAAGAAAUAACAACUUAAAUUUAGCCCCUAACCACAUUAGAGAUAUAUUAACAUUAACCCAAUCAAAAGCUUUCGCUAUUGUUUUGAUUUCAUGUCGCUCACAUUUCCUAGAUUCUUAAGGUUUUCCAUUCCUAAGGGUCUCUAGGUGUAGUAUACUGAACUUAUGUACAUUGCGAAGUUCGAGUAAAGGGAAUAAUAUUUGGAACCUUCCCGCAUGUUAUAAAGAGUUUAAAGUUAUUUAUGAGUAAGUCUGAGAGUGAUCGGAGUGUGGGAAGCGAGAAAGUGCCUUGUAAUAUCGAACUGGGCCUUUUCUGCAUUGGUGUACCAGUAUAAGCAUGAUGCUGUACCGGUACAGCAAGCAGUAGAGGCAGCAGCUGCGUGGCAAUCAGGCCAUUUUGGUCUUUUGGCAUCUUAUGCUUAUCUACUUGAUCCAGCACGACCCCAGGAGCUCUGUAGAAGUUGCUGGAGCUCAGAGCAAGCUUCUUCCCCUUCUUCCUCCUUCUCUCUCUAGGGUUUUUCUCUCUCUACNUAGGGAUCGUGGCAAGGGAGUCGCGCCUAGCUAGGCACUACUAGGAGCGUGCUAGUCGAUCACCUUGUUACUCGGGCUACGGCCGAUGGUGAUGUCCUUAUGUAUAGAGAGACUACCAUUGUACCUACUUUUUGUAUACCCAGUACUGUAUAUCUACUGUAUGAAUCAGAUACUUUAGUUGUGAUACUCAUCUUUUGGUUGAGAUUUCUGGACUAUACUCCUUUGCUCUAUUGUUCAUAGUAUUGUUGACUGGUACUUUGCUCUGAUAUCGGGAUAGAAUUUUCUAUGAUCUUCUUCUUAUCGACUUGCUUGGUUGUAGACGCCUUAUAUACUGCAGGUGUAUGGCGGGUCUGUGCACGUACCGGUUAUGCUUCCACUGGUACUCGGGCGUGACCCUAGGUCCAUCCUAUAUUUUCACUUUUUGGCUCUUUUCUGCUCUGAUACUAUCUUAUCUGUCACACCCCGAGCCGGAUCCUUUUAGCCAAUUCGAGAGCGUCAAACAGACGCCGAACGGACAGAGCCUCCCCUGUCCGCCCAAGCCUCCACAACAUGUAUCAAUAGGAUAAAAAUUUGCAUAAGCGAAAGCAUACACAAUGGCUUGCACGGGGGCAAGCAAUUUCUUGUGUUUUGGCUCAUUUUGAUCUCCUCCCUUUACUCUUCUUUGCUUUUGGUUGGGGUACCUCCUUGAAGAGAGUACUAGAGUGAGGAUUGGAGCUUGUGGAAAGGAAGAACUUUAACCCUAGCUUACUUGCAAACUUGGUGUGGAGCUUUAGAGAGGUUAAUAAGCCUAAUCUAUUUCUUGAUUCAUGUUUUAGUAGCUUUUACUAAAUGAAACCCUAGAAUUAGAACUUAGGAUUUAUUUUGGGGAUUUUGGAUUGGAUGCUCUUGGAACCAAAUUGAUUGGUUUAGAACCUUUGUUUAGGUUGGAUUAGAGAGCCUCUAACUCGCUUUUGGAGAUCGAGAAAAGUUUCUUCGCAUUCGGUGAGUUUUCUUCACCUUUGCUUUAGUUGCUUAAUAUUUGAGCAAUGGGUUGUUCGUAACGUUCGUGUAUCUCUCUUUUCUAUACCUUUAGUGUAGCACACUGGACCUUUGCAAAUUGCGAGGUUCGAGUGUUCGAUUUGUAUUCCGAACUUUCCCACACUUGGUGGAGGGCCGUCGAUGGUAUACCGGCCUAAAAGUUCGAUCUCGAGAGUUUUGGCUGAGUCCUGAGAGUUUUUACUCUCGGGGACCGGUCCCUGAUAGGAGAGACCGGUCCCCCAGUGAACAGUGCUGCGCAGCCGGCGAGGCAACCGGUCCCUAGCAGUCUAGACCGGUCCCCGAGCGCGUCUUCGCGGGGAGAGACCGGUCCCGCGCAGGGAGAGACCGGUUCCCGAACGUUGGAUUUUCGGGGGCAGGCUGAGAGACCGGUCCCAGGUCGGGGAGACCGGUCCCUCUGGGCGAAAACUGCCCAGACCGGGCUGAUGUAAAUUUGAGUUUUUGAGGGGCCUAUGUGGAUUUUGUUACUUUAGAGGCUAUAAGCAGCCUCUCCUCCCCUCUCACUCUCAUUUUCUCUCCCUCACACUCUUCCUACACUUCUAGAGAGAGAAAGGGAAGGAGAAGAAGGAGAAGAAGAGGAGAAGGAGCUUGCAUAGAGGCCUUGGAGCAUCAUCUUCUUCCUCAUUUCUCACCUUUGGUGGCUUUGAACUUGCGGUUGGAGCUUUGUGGAGGAUCAAACUUCAACCCUACUUGGUUUUGAGCUUGGAUUGGAGCUUCUCUUGAGGUUGGUAGCUUGUAAUCCCCAUUUGAUACAUGCUUUCCUAGGUUUUACUAGAUGAAACCCUAGAUUUUGGGAUUUAGGGUUUAUUUUGGGGGUUUUUGAAUUUGGGGGCUUUGGAACCAAAUUGAUGGGUUUAGAACCUUUGUUUAGGUUAGAUUGGAAGGACUCUAACUCCCAUUUGGAGAUCGUGAGAGCCUUCUUCGCAAUCGGUAAGUUUUCUCCAACCCUAGCUUGAGGAGCUUAAUGAUUGAGCUAUUUGCUCUUCGUUUCGUUUGGGUGACCCUAUUUUUGAUGUUUCUAGGGUACUAGGAAGCUUGUGGAUACCUUCGUUCGGCGAAACGAAGAAGUCGAUUUUGGUGGGUUUGACUUCAUGAAAAUGGGGCAAAAUGGCCCCUAUGCCUUCUAAACUUUUUGUAAAGUAUUUUUGAAUGCAAAUUCAUGCUAAACAUGAUUUAUAUGAAUUUUAGAACACUUAACAUGCAUGCCUCAUGUAUCGUAAAAUUUGUACUCCAUAUAGUAGAGCUAUAUGUGUAGAUUGCAUGCAUUGUGGAUAGUGCUUGGUUUUGCAAGUUGAGAACAUGUCUCCAUGCUAGAGUUGAGUGAAUUAUGCAUCAUGAACAUAUUAAUGCCAUGCUUGGAACUCGUUGAACAAAAGUGUCAUCAAGGGGCACUUGAAACUAGUAAACUAUUAAACUGCAACAUAGAGACAUGUUGAUAGGCCACUACAUAUCUGCUACAUUCCAUGUUAGAGACAUGAUGACAUAGAGAUAGGCCAUUGAGAUACUUGAUAUAUUCCAUGUUGUUAGACAUGAGGACUUGGUUCUUGAGACGGAUCAUUGCUUGCUUGCCAUUGUGCUCAUUCGCACAUGCUUGUGAGGGUCGCUCCCUACAAGCCGGCACUCCGGAGAUAGCCAUCGCGACAUAUGCUCGCCCGUGCGGGAUUGGGCGCCGAAGUGGAUUGCCGUGGGGGAGGCUCAUCCCUAGAGUGGGGAUGUUGACUACCACGGGGCCAUUAGGCACGGCGCAGGCCAGACAGCCUUCGGGUGGGUCUUAUAUGAUUGGGACUUAGUGACAGGACGUGCUAUGUGAACUUUAAAACUAUUAAAGUGGACUUGGACUAGAAUAGUAAACAAUGACACCUUUGCUAUUUCUGCAUUGAGGACAUCAGAUUAAUUGCAUUUCUAUGCUUAUGCAUGUCAUACACACCCAUGUACAUUCAUGAUAAUGUUGCUCUAUUACAUAUGCAAUUCAUGCUAAGUAGAGACUGUAUGUUACAGUAAGUUACAUUUUACUUACCUUUCGCUUUGCUACUUUUAUAGUCACUGACAUCUUUUGUAGCUUUGGGCCUCGUGGUGCAUUCACUGAAGUCAGUAAUUGCCCACUGGGAACUAUUUUUAAUAGUUCUCACGCCCCUGUUUUAUGGUUUACUUUUCAGAGCCUUCGGCACCGGCGGAGGCACGGGAUCGCGGCAAGGGGAUCGCUUAGCUAGCUAGCAAGGAGCGGUACUUCGCCUGGGUAGUUUACUCUUUCUUUUGUAGUUGAGAGAGUGAGAGGUUUUGGUAUCCAUGUAUAGAGACCACCUAUGUAUCUACCUAUAGCACUUGUAUCUGGGAUUUUCUUAUAUCACUUUAUGUUUUAUUUAGUGGAUUCACAGUUUUAUCCUUAUCCCUUGUUGUAGCAUUUAGACAUUUAUUAUGCUCUGAUACUCCUAGAUGUCUUUUAUUAUUGCUUUUAAUUAUUGUUGUUUUUAGACGUCUUAUACGUUUUAGAUGUAUGGCGGGUCUGGGCACGCGCCGGGCGGGCUUUCGCUGGGUCCCGGGGUGUGACAUUUAGGGUGCUAGGAGAGUAGUGAGCAACUUUGUUCGGCGAAACGAAAGGUUGCGAGAGUCACGGUGGGUUUGACUUCAUGAAAUAGGGGAGAAAUAUUCCCUAUGUGUUUUAUCCUUGUCGUUUCAUCGAGAUGCAUACAUAUUCAUGCUAGAUAAGAUUUUUAUGAAUUUUAGAAUACUUAAAAUGCAUGUGUUAUAUAUCAUGAAAAUUCAACUCUAUAUAGUAUAGUCAUAUGUGUAUUCUGCAUGCAUGUGAAAAGUAUUCUAUAUUGCAAGUUAGGGAUAUGUCUCAUAUGAUGAAAGAACUAGAAUUGUGUACUCUUGAACUCCUAACUCAUGUUUGGACAAAGUGAACAAAAGUGCCAUAUAGGGGCACCGACUUAGUAAACUGUGAAACUGCAACAUAGAGACAUAGUGACAGGCCAUUUGGACAUCGACUAUAUUUCAUGUUUUAGGCAUGAUGAUAUAGUGAUAGGCCAUUUAGACACUUGCUUUAUUCCAUAUUUUAGACAUGAUGACUUGAGACUUGAGACGUACCUUUACGCUUGCUUGCCAUUGUGCUCAUUAUCACAUGCUUGUGAGGGUCGCUUCUCACAAGCCGGCACUCCGGAGAUAGCCAUCGCGACACAUGCUCGCCGUGCGGGAUUGGGCACCGAAAUGGAAUGUAAUACACUGGAUCUUAGCAAAUGGCAAGAUUCGAGUGUUUGAUCUGUGUGUGGAGCCUUUCCAUAGUUUUUGGAGGGUCCUUGAUAGUGUUCCGACCCCUGGCGCGCUUCCCGAGGAUGUUGGAGUGAGACUUGGCACCAAAAUCCCAAAAUUGGAAUUUAUGGUCAGCUCUCGGGUAGCCUGCAGCAGGGCUUGUACCGGAACAAGACUGGUCUUGUACCGGUACAAGGGUUGAUGGUUGUACCGGUACAGCCAUCGGGCUUGUACCGGUACAGAGCCGCAGACCGCGCGACCCGAGCCUCGGGUUUGCAUUUUCGUCGGCCUUGUACCGGUACAAGAACCCGUGUACCGGUACAAGGAGGCAGAUUUCGUGCAGAAUGAAACUGCAGGGGGUUUUGUGCGUUUGUAGCCUUUCAUUAGGUACGCUCGCCUAGGGAUCCCUGAAGGGAACCUGGAGGGGGAAAUGGUGAGGAAGCCCUCACACCUUCCUUUGUGACUUUCUUUGAUUUGGUUGGUGGUUUGUAAGGAGAAUUACACCUUCCUUUUUGCUCCUUUGCUUGUUGGAAGCUUUCCCACCAUGGAGCUUGAUUUUGACUUGCAUAUGAGUGAUUUGGGACUUGGAUAGUUUUUUGAGCUUUGGAUUGAAGCUUUAAGAGGUAAGCACAUGUUCUCUCCUCUAUCAAGUNNNNNNNNNNNNNNNNNNNNNNNNNNNNNNNNNNNNNNNNNNNNNNNNNNNNNNNNNNNNNNNNNNNNNNNNNNNNNNNNNNNNNNNNNNNNNNNNNNNNNNNNNNNNNNNNNNNNNNNNNNNNNNNNNNNNNNNNNNNNNNNNNNNNNNNNNNNNNNNNNNNNNNNNNNNNNNNNNNNNNNNNNNNNNNNNNNNNNNNNNNNNNNNNNNNNNNNNNNNNNNNNNNNNNNNNNNNNNNNNNNNNNNNNNNNNNNNNNNNNNNNNNNNNNNNNNNNNNNNNNNNNNNNNNNNNNNNNNNNNNNNNNNNNNNNNNNNNNNNNNNNNNNNNNNNNNNNNNNNNNNNNNNNNNNNNNNNNNNNNNNNNNNNNNNNNNNNNNNNNNNNNNNNNNNNNNNNNNNNNNNNNNNNNNNNNNNNNNNNNNNNNNNNNNNNNNNNNNNNNNNNNNNNNNNNNNNNNNNNNNNNNNNNNNNNNNNNNNNNNNNNNNNNNNNNNNNNNNNNNNNNNNNNNNNNNNNNNNNNNNNNNNNNNNNNNNNNNNNNNNNNNNNNNNNNNNNNNNNNNNNNNNNNNNNNNNNNNNNNNNNNNNNNNNNNNNNNNNNNNNNNNNNNNNNNNNNNNNNNNNNNNNNNNNNNNNNNNNNNNNNNNNNNNNNNNNNNNNNNNNNNNNNNNNNNNNNNNNNNNNNNNNNNNNNNNNNNNNNNNNNNNNNNNNNNNNNNNNNNNNNNNNNNNNNNNNNNNNNNNNNNNNNNNNNNNNNNNNNNNNNNNNNNNNNNNNNNNNNNNNNNNNNNNNNNNNNNNNNNNNNNNNNNNNNNNNNNNNNNNNNNNNNNNNNNNNNNNNNNNNNNNNNNNNNNNNNNNNNNNNNNNNNNNNNNNNNNNNNNNNNNNNNNNNNNNNNNNNNNNNNNNNNNNNNNNNNNNNNNNNNNNNNNNNNNNNNNNNNNNNNNNNNNNNNNNNNNNNNNNNNNNNNNNNNNNNNNNNNNNNNNNNNNNNNNNNNNNNNNNNNNNNNNNNNNNNNNNNNNNNNNNNNNNNNNNNNNNNNNNNNNNNNNNNNNNNNNNNNNNNNNNNNNNNNNNNNNNNNNNNNNNNNNNNNNNNNNNNNNNNNNNNNNNNNNNNNNNNNNNNNNNNNNNNNNNNNNNNNNNNNNNNNNNNNNNNNNNNNNNNNNNNNNNNNNNNNNNNNNNNNNNNNNNNNNNNNNNNNNNNNNNNNNNNNNNNNNNNNNNNNNNNNNNNNNNNNNNNNNNNNNNNNNNNNNNNNNNNNNNNNNNNCACGGGAUCGCGGCAAGGGUGUCGCGUAGCUAGCUCGCGGAGAGUUCUUUUGCGAUAGGUGGUUACUCCUCUAUUUUAUAUUUUGUGAGAGAGGGAGAGAUUUUGUACCUUGUAUAGAGAGACCACCUUAUACUCCUUUUGGCACUUGUUAUGGGAUUCCUGUUGUAUUUACUUUAUGUUUUAUUUAGUGAAUUUACCGUUUUAUCCUUAUUUCUUGUGGUAGCAUUUAGACAUUCUUUAUGCUCUGAUACUCCUAGAUGUCUUUUAAUAUUGCUUUUAUUAUUGUUGUUGUUAGACGCCUUAUGCGUUUUAGACGCAUGGCGGGUCUGGGCACGUGCCGGGCGGGCUUCCGCUGGGUCCCGGGGCGUGACAAGAUCUCUCUCUAGAAAUUUGAGGGUUGGUGGAGAGUGAACUUGCGAACGCGUUGGGAGCGAUGGAUUGAGCUUUCGUGCACCCGUUGGAGCGGCGUGCUUUCGUCGCGGCAUUCACAUUUUGGUAAGCUUUUGGGAUUUUGUUUAAAUCCUUCAUGAAUGAUGUUCUAAUAGUAUCUAGAGUGUUCUAAACAUGUUUUCUUCAUUUAAUUAGGAUUAUUUGGAGGAUAUUUGCACGUUAGGGCUCCGAAUGGGGUUUUGUAAAAUAGUUGGGUUUGAUCUCAUUUGACCCUCCGUAAACUUAAUUGCUAGGUAAACGAACGCGUUGGCGAAGUCGGUUUGGCGAAUCGUCGAGCCGGUGCGAAGUUAUUAAAGAAACGGACGUUUAGGCUUCAUUUCCGCCUGAAGGGCCGAGGCGACAUCGUAAAAUCAUGGAAACAGAUUUGGAGCACCGUAACAACAAAGCGAAGACCCUUUUUGCCCGAGGCUAUGAAGCAAUGCGCGGUUGGUGAGGAAUUUCAAAUUCGGGCCGAACCGGGCACCGGGUGCCGCGGGAGGCCGAUUGCAAGUGUCGACAAGCAAUCGGAACGCGAAACGAGGUGGGUUGUGCUUACCGAAGCGACUAGGUCGCCUACAUGUCAAAGUGGAGUUCCAUUUCAUUGUUGAUGCAUAUGUGUAUGCUGGUAGUAAUAUGAGAAUUUAUGCUAAGAUGAUACUUGCAUAUAGAUGCAUUGAAAAUACAUGUUGGAUAAAAUGCAUAAUGACAUAGAUUAGAAAUGCUAAAUGAAAUGCAUGAUUGCAUGUUAGUAUAAAUAUGCAUAAUGAGAUUAUAUGCUAGGUAAUACUUGCUUGUUGAUAGGUGCAUAUAUAUAUAUAUAUAUGCUAGUUGAUAGUUGUAUGUUGACUUGUAUUAGAACAUGCUAGAGAACAUGAGCAUAGAAAUGAAUGUUAACAUAUUGUUGGUCAUAUGAGUUAUGAAAUCAUGUUAGAGAGCAUGCAUAUUAACGUAUUGUUGAUUAUACUAAAGGUAUAUACAGGUUGGCAUUAUAGAAUGCAUGCUAGAGCACAUAAAUGAAUGUAACAUAUUGUUAAAUUUGUGAGCUUAGGAGGCAUGUGAACAAUGUGAGCAUAUUGCUAGAUCAUGUAAAUAGGUAUAUGGCAUUUAAACCUAAUGUCGUGAACUUAGUAUAGAUCGGAUGGCAUUAACCUAGUGUCGUGAACAUAGGUUGAACAAGUGAACCUAGAAGCAAGAUCUAGGAAGAAUGACAUCGAACCUAGUGUCGUGAACAUAGGUUGUGGAUUGAACCUAGAGUUAAUUAAACCUAGGUUGUGUGAUGAGGGCAUUUAACCUAGAGUCAGUUAGAUCUAGGUGAAUGGCAUGUGAAAUAUAAGUGUAGUAUUAACUGUCACGCCCCCAAUCCCCGCCAAUAUGGUCGGGUUCGGGUCACGUCAACAGAUGCCGAACGGACAGAGCCUCCCAUGUCCGCCCAAGGCUCUUACAACAUGUAUAAAUAAGCAAUCAACAAGAGAUUUGCAUAUAUAAUAUAAGGCUUGCACGAGGGCGAGCAACAACGGAAGCGAAAGCUCUAAGCUACAUCAUAUAACAUACAAGAUACUUUAUUGCAUUUGAACCAAAUACAAGUAAAUAAAACUAUUACAUUUCCAUUCAACCAUCAGUUCUUUUUACAUUUAGCCAUCCACCAAAAUUACAUGAUUGUUUACAACUUUAUAUUUCUAAAUCAACAAAAUAAAGUUGAUGCAUGUAUACCAAAAGGAAAAUGGCUACAAAAUAGGAAAAGUCCCGGUGGCCGCUAUCUAUGGCACUAUACCCUUGCCUCGGUCCUCCGCCGCCCCGCUCGUGCUAGGACCUGUAGGGUUAGUGGUGUGAGAACUACAAUGAAGUUCCCAGUGGGUUCGGCAUCCGACCUCGCCGACUUACCCACUAGGCCUAUCCAAGCAUAAGUAUUUCAAGGAAAGAAAGUAACCAGUUCUAAUGCAACUAAUACUAUGCCUGCAAAAGAAUGUCAGUGGAUACAUAUACUCGAGGCAAUAAUAGAAAAUGCAUGCAUGCUCAAAUCAUAAUAAGCUUUGGCUCUUACCCAAUCUUACCAGUUAACCUUGUUAACCCCAAUAACUCAUAGCCCAAAUUCCUUUAUUACCAGGGAGGCUCCAAGCACUACCGACCCGAGGGACCGUCUUCAGGGACCGCGCUCCCUGUGGUGACGAUUUUCAGAAACACACCGCUUGAGGAGAAGCGACCUCCCUCAAGCCAAGACUUGUCAUGAGUGUCGAUCAAAUCCCCAAGUUGAGGAUAUUUAGCCGCAUGUCACAUUGCCACUUUUGUGAUAGGUUUUCUACCUAUGUUCUCAUGCCACUUAUUAGUCGAUCUCGUCCAGAUGCCACUAUAGUUAAGUCUAUGUUUAACAUCCAUUUGUCCAGGCCAAUCUAUCUCUCUAUUGUUAUUGUCACCAUUUGUUUACUUACGCUAAGUCCAAGUCCCAUUAUCAUGCAAUUCCUAGGGUUCAAUAACACAUGCCCAUCAUGGUUCCAUUUCUCUCUAUUUUCAAAUACCCUUGGAAUAAACAUAAUGAAAACAACCAAAGUUCACAUGUGAAUUAACCCUAAUAUGCAUGACGGAAUAAACAACCAUAUGCUCAAGAAUAGAGAAAUAGACAUAGAGGGGAAUCCAACGAUUCCGGCGUGCACCCCCCACCUCUAAUGGUCGUGUGGGUGUAGAAUACGAAGACUCCCGAACGCUACGAACGCCGGCUCCCCGUCCUAUAACCAAAUUAGUGCCCCAUUAGGCUGUUUAUACACGAACUAUACUUAAACAUUUUCGUAACGUUGAACGGAGUUGUCGAACAUGUUUAGGACACCCCUAAUUAGAUUUCUACGGGGUCAAUUUGUCCCCGAAAAAUUCUAGGGUAAAAGCCCCAAAUUCCAAGCCCUAACAAUGCCAUUUAGGGUUUCCCCUUGGAUUGAUCUCGUUGCUAAGCAAAUACUAGCUUAGAAUCACCUAGGAAGCAUUCUAAUAAGGUUUCUAGACCUUUGGUACCAACCCUAGGGCUUCUAACCCAACUUCCAAGGGUUCACCAUGAGAGCACCUUGAGCUCUCAUGGGUUCCUUGUUGUUCAUGGCUCAAAAGAGCUUCUAAAGCCUCUAAGGAGCACAAAGCUCCAAAUCCUUAGCUUAAAACCCAAACCCUAGAGGAAACCUUGCAAGAACUCACCUCUAGUCCAAGCUCUACUGUCACGCCCCGCCCCGAAAUCACUACCAAUUUGGCACAAUUCGGCCGCGGCGACAGACCGCCGAACGGACAGCACCUCCCCUGUCCGCCCAAGGCUCCACAACAGGAAUGUGUACAAGAAUUUACCCAAGAAUUUAAACUCUAAACAUACACAUUCAACGCGGGCACAAACAGUGCCAACAACAAGAAGAGCAGGUAAUCCACAAAAUAUACGAGUGAAAUAAAGAGAGUACUUUACUAACUAUUACAAUAGUUGCAGUCAUUACAUCAUUUUUCAUCCAAAAUACAUAGCUCUCCAAAUCAUCACCUACAAUAAAUCUCUCUCUCUCUCAUACAUAGGUGACUAAUGCAAAAAGGAAAGCUACUAUACUACCACGGUCUCACUGGUCGGGCGUGACGCCCUUGCCGCGGUCCUCUCUCUGCAACCCUGUACCUACCACUGGAAAUAGAGUGGGGUGAGAACUAUCUUCCAUAGUUCCCAGUGGGCUCGGCCGCCGACUUUGCGAUUUCCCCACUAGGUUCAAGUGGGCACAAGUAACAACAGAUAGAUAGAUAGAUAGAUAUGUAUCUGAAAGCAUGUAAAUGCAGUAGUAGGAAAACUAUGCUACUAUGCCCAUAAUCCAUGAAUAUGAAUGCAUGCUGUCAUAUAAUAAUUUUGCUAUCAUGCUAACAAUUCGAUCCAUGUUCGAAUAGCAAUGUUCAACUGACGUUAAUAACCUUUCCAUUUACCCAAUCUGUGGCGAGGCCCUAGCGGCUCGCCCAUGACUCACCUUCAAAUCCCAAAGUGGGAGGGAGCUCCAUGUGCACCCAAGCCGGGACCGUCUGCGGACCUCGAUGUGGUCCGGACCUCCAAGUGGUCCUAGUCGCACGACACUCCAGAGUACUCGACGACAAUCCCCUCCAUGUGGGGAUUGGAUGGCUAUACCAUCCCAAACGCAGACUGUGAGCUAGAUCUACCCUCUCCAAGUGGGGUGCCCUACGUCUAGGGUCAAUACCCAAUCGAAUCCUCUCCAGUGAGGAACACGAUCACUGAGGUCCACACCCAAUCCAAUCCUCUCCAUAUGAGGGUGCCCUCCAACUAGGGUCAACGACUAUCGCGGAAUCAUUUGUCCCCCGACAUUCAUGCAAUGCUAUUUGGCGUUUCAAAUUCAUUGUUUCACAAGGCAUUUUUCUAAGGGAUCCACCUAUCCCUAGGUCCAUCGACCUCUAGUGUUAUUUACACUACGUUAAUGCCACUCGUUAACAUUCAAUGUUUGGAUGCUACUCGUUGUUCUUUUGACAAUAACACUACUUUUAUGUCAUCAAUACCCCAUCGGGUUCAUCUCUUUUCUUUCGCACCAUAGGAUCUGUUAGAACGCAGCGGAAGUAUUGGUUCGUACCUUUUGCGGAAGCGAUUCGCGCAACAACGCCGAUGAGCCCCGAUCGUUUAGAUUGAUUCACGUGUCCUCGGAUCGUUCUUGAAAACUUCUCACGCUCCACGAACUCGCGGUGGAUCGAACUACAACGAGCGCGAUCGCAAAUCCACCGUGCAGUCCCUCUAGAAUAUAGGUCAAUGGAGGAUGUGCGUUUCUCUCUAUUAUUUUCUUAUUCUCUCUCUUUCGGUUCUUUCCGUAUAAUGAUUCGUUAUGUGGGAUCGCCCGCAGUAUUUAUAAGGAAUUUCAAAAUCCUAAUGGCGUUAGAGAUAAGAGCCAAAUCGGUUAUUAAUUGUUAUCUCUAUAUGACUAGAUUUAUCUCUAACUAACUUUCCAAUUUGAAAGCGAGAUUAAUUCUAAUCAAUUAGAUAACAUAACAUCCUCGGAUCGAACCCGCUUAUGGGCGUACCCGAUUCGAUUAAAACCGAAUGCAACAUCUCCCACUCGCACAUGACGGGAUCGAUGCCAUCGUAACCACUUCCUCAACAUCACACCACUAUUAAUUCUAUCAUACAGGGAAUGAACAGGUGCGGACCGCGAGUCACUCUGCAUUUCGGAGUCUAUACUAGAAACCGCAUCCGCCAGCAUAGAGACAUCAACCCUCAAAAAAAGAAAAAUAUUAGACUUCGUGAUGCCCUAGACCAUUGAAUUACAUCAGGUUCAGCAUCUUAAUCCCUCGAAGACCAUGCUAACCUCUGUUGCGCACAUUAUGACCUAUAUCAUGAUUGUUUCGCUUAUACUGAAGCGAUACAACCUGUCGACAAUGAGUCAAAGUGUUUUAAUGUAAUUCAACUAGUCUUCCUUGAGCCCUCAUGCCACUGAGUUGAGAACUGAUUGCUUUCCGCAGCAUGCCCCGUGAAGCCGCAUCACUCAUAGCGUAGUGUAACAUGCCAAAUAGCAACAUCAAUUCUUUCACUUAAUGACAUAGUCAAAAGUCACUAAGGGCAUCUAACAUAUAUGGGACAUCGUCUCAAAAUAAUGUCCGUAAGAACUCACACGAUGAGGAAGCAGGGAUCCAUUCACUCAUCUUCUUAUUUAGUCGCCCAGCACAUGUAGUAUGAAAUACAUGCUAUGACAGCAGAAAUCAAUAAGCGUAUGUCUUUCUCAAUGUCAUACGGAUCUUAGCUCAGUCACUCCCAGAGUGUCUAGCCUGAGUUCUCCAUUUGCUCGCUAUCUCAAGCGUCAACACGGUGAACUCACAUCCGCUCUCAAUAUGCAGGCCAUACGAAUCGUGGACUUUUCGAUAUGCGGUCUCAUUAAUGACCUCAUCUUGGUGCAACCAAGGCGGCUUCUAUUAAUGGCCUCAAUUUUCGCUCGCUCUCUUACAGCGCCGAAAAGAAUUUGCCGUGUGAGAGGGCCAAUCAGCCUGUGACAUACUAUCAAUCAGUUUAAUAAUAAUGCACGUUACUAAUUUUACCAAAUAUCUUUUUCAGAAUAAUAAUUUGUAAUUAAAUAACUAAGAAAUUACAAAAAAAUAAUCGACUGUCUACACAAUCAAAUCUACGGAGUCCAAGUGCCUUAACAUGAGCCAAAAAAAACUCUCUAACAAUGGCUUAGUCAGAGAUCCGCCACCAUGCGACUCGUAGAGAAUGUGUUCCAGGAUUAUUUCUUUCUGCGCCAUGCUUCACGAACAAAGUGAUAUUUUAAGUCGCAUGUGCUUUUGUCUUGCCAUGAUAUUUCGAGUCCUUCGUUGAUAUGCAAUCGACUGCAUACUGUCACAAUAGAUCGUUCACAAACGGAAGUACAGACGACAAUCCCAAUAUCUCGAAGAAACUUCCUCAAACAGAUAGCCUCCUGGGCUGCUGCAGAAAACGCUCACGAACUCCGCCUCCAUGGUGGAAAGAGCUAUUAACAGUCUGUUUCUUACUACUCCAAGUUAUGGCGCCAUUGCCAAGUAAGAAUGCAUAUCCUGAGGUCGACUUACGCUCAUCUAGAGUCACCAGCCCAAUCCGCAUCGCUAUAACCGAUGAACGUAAAAUCCGUACCUUGAUAGCACAGCACAUAACUAUCGUCACUCUCUGAGGUAACGAAGUAUUCUUUAACAGCUUUCCACCGUUCCAAUCCGGAUUGGACUGAAAACGCUAACCAAGCCCACGGCAUAGCAUAUAUCAGGCCGAGUACACAUCAUAGCAUACAUCAGGUCUCCCGACCUGCAUUAGCAUAUGGAAUCCGAUUCAUCUUGUCUUUCUCUUCCAAAGUUUUAGGGCACUGUUUAAGUUCAAACUCUCACUUUAGCAAUAGGAGUGUCAAUGGUUUGCAAUUUUGCAUCUAAAUCUUUCUAAAACUUUUCUUAGGUAAGUUCUUGAGACAGACCUAAAAGUUUUUUGAACGAUCUCGUAGAUCUUAACUCCGAACACAUAAUUCGCUUCACCAUGUCCUUCAUCUCAAAAUUAUGAGGACAGCCACGUCUGUAGUGGCGACCAAUCAUCUCCUUAUUAUUCCCGCCAAUAGAUGUCAUCAACAUAUAAGAAAGGAUUAGAAAAAUCCUUUGGACCGUUUAACAUACACACAGUGAUCUUCUAUCAAUCAUCGUAAAUCCAUCUUCAGUUAUGGCUCGAUGAAAUCGAAUAUACCAACUGUGAGGACUGCUUCAAUCCAUGAAAUGGACGUCGCGAGCUUACAAACUUUUAUGCUCCUACCCUUUACAGAGAAAGCCAGCGGGCUGAUCCAUAUAGUCUCCUCAUCCAUCUUCCCCAAAUUGGAAUGCAUUUUUAACGUCAUUUGGGUUAAAGUUCAAAAAUCCAAAAAAAUGCGACAGUGGCCAAAUGCAAACGGAUCGAAGCAAAACCUCACAUACAGAGAAAAAGUUUCUUCGUAAUCAACGCUUCUCGCUUGGGUUAAAACCUUGCUACACAGCCGAGCUUACUGUCAUAUCGAUAGAAACCGUCUGCCUUGCGCUUAAUCUUGAGAAACCAUUUAUUCCCAACUUGUUUUUUGCGCACUGGUGGCAAUAGUCCAACAAGUCCCCAGACAUUAUUUGACUUACAUCGAUUUCUCAUUUCCUCCAUCAUUGCAUCCAAUCCAUUUACUUAUGAGUAGUAACUGAGAGAGCCUCUUGAAGGGAUCUAGGCUCAUCAUCAUCUGUGCAGCAACAAUGAAGCUUCCACUCAAUCUUCAAAACGCGACGGGAAUGCCUACAAUGCGCUCCUACGAAGUUGAGGUCCAUCAUUCCAAGAGCAAGUCGCUCCCACUAUCCCCAGGAGGGUUAAUCGGAGUUUGCCUCCUCUAACUCACAUGAGCGAUAGAAUGCCAAUGUCAGAGUCAUCCAUCUCAUGAACUCAGUUUCAUUACGUAAACUCACUUCUAUAAGGAAAAUCCUCUCGAGGAUUCAACAUCUGUGACUCACAUCUCAGUCAAACUUCCCUCAGGCGCUUUUCCGAUGAAAACGUAUCCUUAGAGUGUUAGAGUAUCUUAUAAAGAUACACUUUCCCCUCUAGGACCAAAACUUCCAUCAAUUGUGGAGAAUAUUUGUGUACAUUAAGCUGCCGAACCCAGACACACAGGAUGCCUCCAAAUUUGGUUUCCUGCCCUGUCCAUGAAUUCAGUAAGGGGUGAAGGUUCUGUUUUGAGUACACGAUUAAGAAUGUAAGGACCAGAGUUACAAUUGGUCUCCCAAAAGAACAGCAACAUUUUGCUUCGCCAUCAUUGACCUAAACCAUGUCAAGCCAAGGUGCAUUCUCCUCUCCGCUACACAUUUUUGCUGCGGAGUGCCAGGAAUCGUCCAGCUGUUUUCCCCUUUUUUUUAUUAUUCCCUUUUUCAUCACCAUCAAAUUUUUGAAUUGUUCGAUAGAUACUCGACGGCCUCGAUCAGUUUUAAGCUUUUAAUUUUCAUAUCUAACUGCAUUCUCAACCUCAUUUCAUAUAACGUCUAAAACAAUCAAAAUGUUCGACUUAUGGGAAUCAGAUUAAACCAUGACGCAAGCGCGUAUGGUCAUCUAUAAAUGUGAUGAAGAAAAAGUCACAGUCUCUGCUCACAACUCUUGGGCCCAAAUGUCGGAAUGGAUUAAUUGUAAAGAAAUUCUGCCUUGGCUUUUAUAAAUGGUUUUCGGCGUGGCCUUUCCCGCUAAAACAAUGUUCACACAAGUGGGUAUUCGACUUUAGUGAGCGAGCUCAAUAACGUCUCUAACUAAUUAGUCAUUCUAUCCUGCCCAAUGACCAAGACCUCAAAUAGCCCUAUUUAAUUUAACUCUGUAUCAUUCUCCAACAGUAAAUAGCCAGGGAAAAAAGAAUCACCAAUUAUUAUAUUAUAAUCAAUGUCCAAAACCAUAAAACCAUUCGACAUAAAACCUCUUCCAUAAUAAAUAGUUCCAAGAUGAAUCUCAACUACAUCACUCUCAAAACGAAAAGAAAAGCCUAACUGUAGCAUAGCAAGAAUAGAAAACAAGUUCCGCCGAAUUUCUGGAGCAUAAAGUACAUCAUGUAGAUAUAAAGUUCGACCACCUUGCAUGAUCAACUUGUAUGUGCCAAUGCCUAACACAUCGACACUUGAAUCAUUCCCCAUGUAUACUUUUCUGCUCGAAGCAGGCACUCGACGGUACUCGACGAAUCCCAUCCGAUCCCUCGCUACGUGGUCUGUUGCUCCUGAGUCUUCUUCGGCUCAGUGCAAUCACGAGCGAAGUGUCCCAGCUGAUUACAGUUGAAACAAGUCAUCUUUGACUUGUCUUUCUUGCCACCUCGUUUGCUUCUCUUUCUUUUAGUGCUCUUCGGGUUCUUAGGCGCGGAUCCGCUACGAUUUUGAGCCCCAGUAGUCCUCUUUCGCUUGAACCCAGAUGUCCUGCGAAAGUUUGACUCAGCAGCAUUGACAGUUGGAGUUUUAACAGCCUCAAGGCGCUCCUCCUCCAACUCCAAAUGCCGCGCAACAUUCUCAAAAGUUUUGAUAUUAUCGUUAUGGGUCAAAUUUACUCGCAUAUGUUCCCACGAAUUGGGAAGAGAGCGAAUCGUAGCUUGGAUCUGCUGCUCAUCAGUCAAGGUGCCGCCAGCCGACUUUAACUCGCGAAUCAUGUUUGACAUUGUUCUAACGUGCUGCUUCAUAGUCUGAUCGGCACGCUUCUUAUAACUGUCAAACCGCAUAGUCAGACUGCGCAACCUUGUAGCCGAAGUUGCACCAAAUUUUACUUUGAGAGCCUCCCACAUGUCAUACGCAGUCGGAUACUGCUCACACUCGCACAAGAGAUCAUUCUGCAUACUGCUCAGCAAUGUGAUGCGAGCAAUGCGAUCCUUCUUAAGCCAAUUAUUAUAGGCUUCCAUAUCUCGGCGAGCCUGGGCACUAGUGCCCUCCGUGGGUUGGUCGAUUUUAUUACUCAAGUUUUCCAGAACCUCUUGCUCAGCGAGAACAUAUUGAAUUUUACGGUGCCAAAUAUCAUAAUUGUCACCAUCCAAUUUCUCGCCCUUGUUAAAUCCGCAACAAUUUGUUUGGAAGCCAUUAAAUCUCACUUUGUUCAUGCAAUGCGCAGAAAGUAUAUUUUAAAAUUAGUACACCAUACAUGCAUUCAAUUUUAUCGCAUCUCUAAUUAAAUAAAUUAAAAAAUUAGAUCAUACAUGCAUAAAGGAAAAUUUCGCUAUGCUCGUAAUCACAUCACACACCAUAUGUCAUAAUUUUUAAUUUAUUUAAUUAAGAUGCACAAAAAUUUGGGAGUAAAAAGUAUAUAAUUUACUCUACCAAAGUCAAAAGACUCCCACUAGAUAAGGUAUGCAUAAAAUAUAUGCCUAAAGUUACAUCUACAUAUCAUAACAAGCAUUAUAAUAUCAAAUAAAAAUUGCAUGCAUUAUAAAAGGCCCUGACGUCCUCGUCAGUCCAAUCACACACACAGCCCAAGAUCACCAGGCGAUGUGAGACUCGUCUCGCUAGCCCGUCAUCCAGACCCUGGCUCAGCCGAGACUCGCCACACAUGUCAAGCUGAUGAACCGACUCUGAUACCAAAUGUAACGACCCAGCUCACUAGCAAUAAUAACUCGUUGGGCCCAACCACAGCCCAAAAUGCUUAAGCCCAGUUAUUAUUACUAGUGUCUAAGUCUCUUAUAAACCCACUAACAACCCCACUCCCAUCCGAUGUGGGAUUAUUGGGGUGUCACAAACAAACACCAAACUGAACUAUUUUAAUAAUCUGGAAAUGCGAAAUAAGAAGAAUAAUCAGGUGGUGAUCGCUAGAGCAGUCUAGCUAAGACGUCCUUCCGGCACACCUUGAACCGUCUCCUCGCCCGCACCACCUGGGGAAAGAGGGGUGAGAAACCACAACAAGGUUUCCUAGAGGGUACAAUAGGGCCACGAAGGCAAGUUGUAAUCACCGAAGAACAAAAAAAGUAGGGUAAACAGAGUACAAGUGNNNNNNNNNNNNNNNNNNNNNNNNNNNNNNNNNNNNNNNNNNNNNNNNNNNNNNNNNNNNNNNNNNNNNNNNNNNNNNNNNNNNNNNNNNNNNNNNNNNNACAUUAGGUUCAAGCUAUACUCAGCGUUUUCCCUUUUCUUCAAGCUAGAGAUGAAGGAUUGAAGGAGGUUUCUUUCACUUCUUCUAUCUUCCUCUCGUCACUUAUCUUCCUCUUCUUGUCUCUUCCUUUUUCUCCUUUCGUUCUUACUUUCUCUUUUUUGUCUUCUAGUAGAGAGAGCGGAGAGAGAGAGUGUAAAGAGGGAGUGAAUGAGGGAAAUAUCUAUUUAACCUCACUACACUAAACGAUUGGGGGCUGCAAAAAAUGCUGAUUAAAGCCCUCAACGGUUUCACCUUAAUGCACUGCCCGAACGGGCAGUAUCGCGCAGGCAUGAGACGGUCUCCCGAGCAGCGGACCGGUUCCCGAACGUCCACCCUGCGCAGCCAGAAGUCGCUGCGCGCGAUCGCGACGGUCUCUUCUGAUGGGACCGGUCUCCUGGGGACCAGUCUCUCAGGCAGAGACCGGCAUUCCGAGAGUAUCCCUUCAGGACUUAGCGAUUUAUCGGCGAUGUUCUCAUUUCUGCACGCGUUCCGCCGCGUUCUCCCUUCCAGGGACCAGGUCCCGAGAUUCUGAAAAUCUGUUGCAGUUUUGCCCCAGAAUUCAAUUCUUUAGCUCUCGAAACCUUCACAAUCACUUUUAAUAUUUUAACAUUCGGACUUUCGAAGUGUUAUCCAUCUCGCACUUUUGGCUCAAUUUGACUAAAGUUCGACAUUUAUUUUCCGAAAUUUUCGCGUAUUGCACAUACCCUCUCUCAUUUUGUAACAAAAUGCUAAGAAGCCCCUCAACUUUUCGUCUCUUACACAACCCUUACUGGGCGUUCUGCGUGCGAAGAGACCAGUCUCCCCGACCAGGGACCGGUCCCCGGGGCCUCCCCCCGCGGACACGUGUUCGGGAACCGGUCCCUCCCUUAGAGACCGGUCCUCGGGAGACCGGUUCCUCUCAGAGAGACCAGUUCCCGAGAGCUAAACUCUUGGGACUUAGCCGAUUUUCGGCUCUCCUCACUAGUAUAGCAGGCUGGGACCAGUCCCUCCUCUGCUAGGGACCGGUUGCAUCAACAGCCCCACAACCUUCAGCUGAUGGGACCGGUCUCUUACCUCCAGAGACCGGUCCCCGAGAGCAACUUCAGCCCAAAAAUGCUGAUUGCAUUAUUUGCUCUCGCGGACUCCAUUCCAAUGUACUUCUCGGCUUUCGUGCAUCCUUAGCUUUUUUCAAAGCUUAUCCAUUCGACCCUUAGUCGAUUCUAGACGAGGUGCAACCCUCGGAUUUCGAGAGUUCACAUUGUUACAAGGAUGGCACCAGCAGAAUUGAAGGAGCUGAAGGCACAGUUACAGGAUCUUCUGGAUAAAGAUUUUGUGUGACCGAGUGUGUCACCUUGGGGAGCACCGGUCCUAUUUGUGAAGAAGAAUGAUGGAUCACUUCGCUUGUGCGUGGACUAUCGUGAACUUAACAAAGUCACGAUCAAGAACAAGUAUCCAUUACCGAGGAUUGAUGAUUUGUUUGAUCAGCUCCAGGGAUCGAGUGUGUACUCCAAGAUCGACUUGCAGUCGGGAUAUCACCAGUUGAGGAUCAGACCUGAGGAUGUAUCGAAGACGGCUUUUAGAACACGGUAUGGACAUUAUGAGUUUACCGUUAUACCGUUUGGGCUUACUAAUGCCCCAGCAGCUUUUAUGGAUUUAAUGAACCGUAUUUUCAAGCCUUAUUUAGACAGGUUCGUCAUAGUAUUCAUCGACAACAUUUUGGUCUACUCCCAAAGUGAUGCGGAUCACGAGGAACACUUGAGACUUGUACUUCAAGUGCUUCNNNNNNNNNNNNNNNNNNNNNNNNNNNNNNNNNNNNNNNNNNNNNNNNNNNNNNNNNNNNNNNNNNNNNNNNNNNNNNNNNNNNNNNNNNNNNNNNNNNNNNNNNNNNNNNNNNNNNNNNNNNNNNNNNNNNNNNNNNNNNNNNNNNNNNNNNNNNNNNNNNNNNNNNNNNNNNNNNNNNNNNNNNNNNNNNNNNNNNNNNNNNNNNNNNNNNNNNNNNNNNNNNNNNNNNNNNNNNNNNNNNNNNNNNNNNNNNNNNNNNNNNNNNNNNNNNNNNNNNNNNNNNNNNNNNNNNNNNNNNNNNNNNNNNNNNNNNNNNNNNNNNNNNNNNNNNNNNNNNNNNNNNNNNNNNNNNNNNNNNNNNNNNNNNNNNNNNNNNNNNNNNNNNNNNNNNNNNNNNNNNNNNNNNNNNNNNNNNNNNNNNNNNNNNNNNNNNNNNNNNNNNNNNNNNNNNNNNNNNNNNNNNNNNNNNNNNNNNNNNNNNNNNNNNNNNNNNNNNNNNNNNNNNNNNNNNNNNNNNNNNNNNNNNNNNNNNNNNNNNNNNNNNNNNNNNNNNNNNNNNNNNNNNNNNNNNNNNNNNNNNNNNNNNNNNNNNNNNNNNNNNNNNNNNNNNNNNNNNNNNNNNNNNNNNNNNNNNNNNNNNNNNNNNNNNNNNNNNNNNNNNNNNNNNNNNNNNNNNNNNNNNNNNNNNNNNNNNNNNNNNNNNNNNNNNNNNNNNNNNNNNNNNNNNNNNNNNNNNNNNNNNNNNNNNNNNNNNNNNNNNNNNNNNNNNNNNNNNNNNNNNNNNNNNNNNNNNNNNNNNNNNNNNNNNNNNNNNNNNNNNNNNNNNNNNNNNNNNNNNNNNNNNNNNNNNNNNNNNNNNNNNNNNNNNNNNNNNNNNNNNNNNNNNNNNNNNNNNNNNNNNNNNNNNNNNNNNNNNNNNNNNNNNNNNNNNNNNNNNNNNNNNNNNNNNNNNNNNNNNNNNNNNNNNNNNNNNNNNNNNNNNNNNNNNNNNNNNNNNNNNNNNNNNNNNNNNNNNNNNNNNNNNNNNNNNNNNNNNNNNNNNNNNNNNNNNNNNNNNNNNNNNNNNNNNNNNNNNNNNNNNNNNNNNNNNNNNNNNNNNNNNNNNNNNNNNNNNNNNNNNNNNNNNNNNNNNNNNNNNNNNNNNNNNNNNNNNNNNNNNNNNNNNNNNNNNNNNNNNNNNNNNNNNNNNNNNNNNNNNNNNNNNNNNNNNNNNNNNNNNNNNNNNNNNNNNNNNNNNNNNNNNNNNNNNNNNNNNNNNNNNNNNNNNNNNNNNNNNNNNNNNNNNNNNNNNNNNNNNNNNNNNNNNNNNNNNNNNNNNNNNNNNNNNNNNNAAAUCGGCACAUUUCAUACCUAUCCACACUACUUGGACUGGUGAGAGACUCGCACAGGUUUAUUUGGAUGAGAUUGUGCGAUUGCACGGGGUACCUACUUGUAUAGUAUCGGAUCGAGACCCCCGUUUUGUAUCCCAUUUUUAGAGGAGCCUACAGGACGCUUUGGGUACGCGCUUGGAUUUGAGCACUGCUUUCCACCCCUAGAGUGACGAGCAGUCGGAGCGUACUAUACAGACUCUCGAGGACAUGGUUCAAGCCUGCGUGAUUGACUUCCAGGGAGGAUGGUCGCAGCAUCUACCGAUGGCAGAGUUUGCUUAUAACAACAGUUAUCAAGCAAGCAUCGAGAUGGCACCGUUCGAGUGAAGUUGGCGAGAGAUUGGCUUUAGGCCCAGAUGUGCUCCAGGAAGCAGAAGACAAGGUCCGCAUUGCUCGGGAGCGACUGUUGACAGCCCAGAGUAGGCAGAGGAGUUAUGGUGAUCGGCGUCGACGAGACUUGGAGUUUCUGAUUGGAGAUCAUGUCUUCUUGAAAGUCUCGCCGACUCGAGGGAUUAGAAGGUUUGGAAUCCGGGGUAAGUUGAGCCCCCGAUACAUUGGACCGUAUGAGGUUUUGGAGCGUGUAGGCCCGGUAGCAUACAGACUUGCUCUACCGCCGAACCAUCGGGUGUACACAACGUAUUCUAUGUAUCGGUCAUUCGGAAGUACAUCCAUGAUCAGGCUCACGUGUUGGACGCUAUGCCAGUGGAGCUGAGGGAUGAUUUGAGCUUCGAAGAGCAACCUUUAAGGAUUUUGGCUUGCGAGGUAAAAAGAUUGCGGAACCGUGAGAUCCCCUACAUGAAGGUGCUUUGGAGCAACCACAACGAGCGCGAGGCCACUUGGGAGUUGGAGAGCGCACUGAGGGAGCGCUAUCCCCAUCUUUUCCAGAUGGAGACUUGAGGUACUUGUCAUUUCGAGUUUCUCGGACGAAACUCCUCUUUAGGAGGGGUGAAUGUAACACACUGGACCUUUGCAAAUUGCGAGGUUCGAGUGAUUGGAUGUAUUUCGAGUUUUUCCACACUUGGUGGAGGGUCGUAGAAUAUUUUCCGAUCCAAAAAGUUCAAAAACCUGAGUUCUGGACCAGUCCUGAGAGUUUUCACUCUCGGGGACUGGUCCCUGAAAGGAGAGACCGGUCCCCCAGUAAACAGUGUAGCGCUGUCGGCGAGGCAACCGAUCCCUGGUGGGCGAGACCGGUCCCCGAGCGCGUCUUCGCAGUGAGAGACCGGUCCCGCGCGGGGAGAGACUGGUUCCCGAACGAUGGUUUCUCGGGUGCGAUACGAGAGACCGGUCACUUUUAGGAUAUUUUGAGACUCGUGGACAUCUUCUUUCGGCGAAACGAAGGACACCGCGACGGUUCGGUGGGUUUGACCUAGCCACGCAAUGAGAAAAUCUCAUUUGUGAUGUUUUGAGUAUCGUUAAAUGGAAAAGCAUGCAUAUUCAUACUAAAUGUAUUUAUUAUGAUUUUUGGAAGGCUUAAAAUGCCUAUGUUACAUGUAAUGAAAUUUUGAAUCUCUAUGUAGUAGAGAGUAGCAUAUGAAGCUUAUGCGGGAUUUUUGGCGUUCUCAUGUUGGACCAUGUUCCUUAUAGUGUAAAUGAGCUUUGAUUCAUGCAUUUAAACCUAAGUUUAAUUGAGACAUGAAAGACAACAAAAUUGCCAUAUAGGGGCACCGGACUAGAACAUUAUGUAAAUUGGAGAGCUAAUGUCAUCAAGCGGCAUUGAGCUCGGGACAUGUGUGAACCUAGUGGAUAGGGCCAUUGAGGANNNNNNNNNNNNNNNNNNNNNNNNNNNNNNNNNNNNNNNNNNNNNNNNNNNNNNNNNNNNNNNNNNNNNNNNNNNNNNNNNNNNNNNNNNNNNNNNNNNNNNNNNNNNNNNNNNNNNNNNNNNNNNNNNNNNNNNNNNNNNNNNNNNNNNNNNNNNNNNNNNNNNNNNNNNNNNNNNNNNNNNNNNNNNNNNNNNNNNNNNNNNNNNNNNNNNNNNNNNNNNNNNNNNNNNNNNNNNNNNNNNNNNNNNNNNNNNNNNNNNNNNNNNNNNNNNNNNNNNNNNNNNNNNNNNNNNNNNNNNNNNNNNNNNNNNNNNNNNNNNNNNNNNNNNNNNNNNNNNNNNNNNNNNNNNNNNNNNNNNNNNNNNNNNNNNNNNNNNNNNNNNNNNNNNNNNNNNNNNNNNNNNNNNNNNNNNNNNNNNNNNNNNNNNNNNNNNNNNNNNNNNNNNNNNNNNNNNNNNNNNNNNNNNNNNNNNNNNNNNNNNNNNNNNNNNNNNNNNNNNNNNNNNNNNNNNNNNNNNNNNNNNNNNNNNNNNNNNNNNNNNNNNNNNNNNNNNNNNNNNNNNNNNNNNNNNNNNNNNNNNNNNNNNNNNNNNNNNNNNNNNNNNNNNNNNNNNNNNNNNNNNNNNNNNNNNNNNNNNNNNNNNNNNNNNNNNNNNNNNNNNNNNNNNNNNNNNNNNNNNNNNNNNNNNNNNNNNNNNNNNNNNNNNNNNNNNNNNNNNNNNNNNNNNNNNNNNNNNNNNNNNNNNNNNNNNNNNNNNNNNNNNNNNNNNNNNNNNNNNNNNNNNNNNNNNNNNNNNNNNNNNNNNNNNNNNNNNNNNNNNNNNNNNNNNNNNNNNNNNNNNNNNNNNNNNNNNNNNNNNNNNNNNNNNNNNNNNNNNNNNNNNNNNNNNNNNNNNNNNNNNNNNNNNNNNNNNNNNNNNNNNNNNNNNNNNNNNNNNNNNNNNNNNNNNNNNNNNNNNNNNNNNNNNNNNNNNNNNNNNNNNNNNNNNNNNNNNNNNNNNNNNNNNNNNNNNNNNNNNNNNNNNNNNNNNNNNNNNNNNNNNNNNNNNNNNNNNNNNNNNNNNNNNNNNNNNNNNNNNNNNNNNNNNNNNNNNNNNNNNNNNNNNNNNNNNNNNNNNNNNNNNNNNNNNNNNNNNNNNNNNNNNNNNNNNNNNNNNNNNNNNNNNNNNNNNNNNNNNNNNNNNNNNNNNNNNNNNNNNNNNNNNNNNNNNNNNNNNNNNNNNNNNNNNNNNNNNNNNNNNNNNNNNNNNNNNNNNNNNNNNNNNNNNNNNNNNNNNNNNNNNNNNNNNNNNNNNNNNNNNNNNNNNNNNNNNNNNNNNNNNNNNNNNNNNNNNNNNNNNNNNNNNNNNNNNNNNNNNNNNNNNNNNNNNNNNNNNNNNNNNNNNNNNNNNNNNNNNNNNNNNNNNNNNNNNNNNNNNNNNNNNNNNNNNNNNNNNNNNNNNNNNNNNNNNNNNNNNNNNNNNNNNNNNNNNNNNNNNNNNNNNNNNNNNNNNNNNNNNNNNNNNNNNNNNNNNNNNNNNNNNNNNNNNNNNNNNNNNNNNNNNNNNNNNNNNNNNNNNNNNNNNNNNNNNNNNNNNNNNNNNNNNNNNNNNNNNNNNNNNNNNNNNNNNNNNNNNNNNNNNNNNNNNNNNNNNNNNNNNNNNNNNNNNNNNNNNNNNNNNNNNNNNNNNNNNNNNNNNNNNNNNNNNNNNNNNNNNNNNNNNNNNNNNNNNNNNNNNNNNNNNNNNNNNNNNNNNNNNNNNNNNNNNNNNNNNNNNNNNNNNNNNNNNNNNNNNNNNNNNNNNNNNNNNNNNNNNNNNNNNNNNNNNNNNNNNNNNNNNNNNNNNNNNNNNNNNNNNNNNNNNNNNNNNNNNNNNNNNNNNNNNNNNNNNNNNNNNNNNNNNNNNNNNNNNNNNNNNNNNNNNNNNNNNNNNNNNNNNNNNNNNNNNNNNNNNNNNNNNNNNNNNNNNNNNNNNNNNNNNNNNNNNNNNNNNNNNNNNNNNNNNNNNNNNNNNNNNNNNNNNNNNNNNNNNNNNNNNNNNNNNNNNNNNNNNNNNNNNNNNNNNNNNNNNNNNNNNNNNNNNNNNNNNNNNNNNNNNNNNNNNNNNNNNNNNNNNNNNNNNNNNNNNNNNNNNNNNNNNNNNNNNNNNNNNNNNNNNNNNNNNNNNNNNNNNNNNNNNNNNNNNNNNNNNNNNNNNNNNNNNNNNNNNNNNNNNNNNNNNNNNNNNNNNNNNNNNNNNNNNNNNNNNNNNNNNNNNNNNNNNNNNNNNNNNNNNNNNNNNNNNNNNNNNNNNNNNNNNNNNNNNNNNNNNNNNNNNNNNNNNNNNNNNNNNNNNNNNNNNNNNNNNNNNNNNNNNNNNNNNNNNNNNNNNNNNNNNNNNNNNNNNNNNNNNNNNNNNNNNNNNNNNNNNNNNNNNNNNNNNNNNNNNNNNNNNNNNNNNNNNNNNNNNNNNNNNNNNNNNNNNNNNNNNNNNNNNNNNNNNNNNNNNNNNNNNNNNNNNNNNNNNNNNNNNNNNNNNNNNNNNNNNNNNNNNNNNNNNNNNNNNNNNNNNNNNNNNNNNNNNNNNNNNNNNNNNNNNNNNNNNNNNNNNNNNNNNNNNNNNNNNNNNNNNNNNNNNNNNNNNNNNNNNNNNNNNNNNNNNNNNNNNNNNNNNNNNNNNNNNNNNNNNNNNNNNNNNNNNNNNNNNNNNNNNNNNNNNNNNNNNNNNNNNNNNNNNNNNNNNNNNNNNNNNNNNNNNNNNNNNNNNNNNNNNNNNNNNNNNNNNNNNNNNNNNNNNNNNNNNNNNNNNNNNNNNNNNNNNNNNNNNNNNNNNNNNNNNNNNNNNNNNNNNNNNNNNNNNNNNNNNNNNNNNNNNNNNNNNNNNNNNNNNNNNNNNNNNNNNNNNNNNNNNNNNNNNNNNNNNNNNNNNNNNNNNNNNNNNNNNNNNNNNNNNNNNNNNNNNNNNNNNNNNNNNNNNNNNNNNNNNNNNNNNNNNNNNNNNNNNNNNNNNNNNNNNNNNNNNNNNNNNNNNNNNNNNNNNNNNNNNNNNNNNNNNNNNNNNNNNNNNNNNNNNNNNNNNNNNNNNNNNNNNNNNNNNNNNNNNNNNNNNNNNNNNNNNNNNNNNNNNNNNNNNNNNNNNNNNNNNNNNNNNNNNNNNNNNNNNNNNNNNNNNNNNNNNNNNNNNNNNNNNNNNNNNNNNNNNNNNNNNNNNNNNNNNNNNNNNNNNNNNNNNNNNNNNNNNNNNNNNNNNNNNNNNNNNNNNNNNNNNNNNNNNNNNNNNNNNNNNNNNNNNNNNNNNNNNNNNNNNNNNNNNNNNNNNNNNNNNNNNNNNNNNNNNNNNNNNNNNNNNNNNNNNNNNNNNNNNNNNNNNNNNNNNNNNNNNNNNNNNNNNNNNNNNNNNNNNNNNNNNNNNNNNNNNNNNNNNNNNNNNNNNNNNNNNNNNNNNNNNNNNNNNNNNNNNNNNNNNNNNNNNNNNNNNNNNNNNNNNNNNNNNNNNNNNNNNNNNNNNNNNNNNNNNNNNNNNNNNNNNNNNNNNNNNNNNNNNNNNNNNNNNNNNNNNNNNNNNNNNNNNNNNNNNNNNNNNNNNNNNNNNNNNNNNNNNNNNNNNNNNNNNNNNNNNNNNNNNNNNNNNNNNNNNNNNNNNNNNNNNNNNNNNNNNNNNNNNNNNNNNNNNNNNNNNNNNNNNNNNNNNNNNNNNNNNNNNNNNNNNNNNNNNNNNNNNNNNNNNNNNNNNNNNNNNNNNNNNNNNNNNNNNNNNNNNNNNNNNNNNNNNNNNNNNNNNNNNNNNNNNNNNNNNNNNNNNNNNNNNNNNNNNNNNNNNNNNNNNNNNNNNNNNNNNNNNNNNNNNNNNNNNNNNNNNNNNNNNNNNNNNNNNNNNNNNNNNNNNNNNNNNNNNNNNNNNNNNNNNNNNNNNNNNNNNNNNNNNNNNNNNNNNNNNNNNNNNNNNNNNNNNNNNNNNNNNNNNNNNNNNNNNNNNNNNNNNNNNNNNNNNNNNNNNNNNNNNNNNNNNNNNNNNNNNNNNNNNNNNNNNNNNNNNNNNNNNNNNNNNNNNNNNNNNNNNNNNNNNNNNNNNNNNNNNNNNNNNNNNNNNNNNNNNNNNNNNNNNNNNNNNNNNNNNNNNNNNNNNNNNNNNNNNNNNNNNNNNNNNNNNNNNNNNNNNNNNNNNNNNNNNNNNNNNNNNNNNNNNNNNNNNNNNNNNNNNNNNNNNNNNNNNNNNNNNNNNNNNNNNNNNNNNNNNNNNNNNNNNNNNNNNNNNNNNNNNNNNNNNNNNNNNNNNNNNNNNNNNNNNNNNNNNNNNNNNNNNNNNNNNNNNNNNNNNNNNNNNNNNNNNNNNNNNNNNNNNNNNNNNNNNNNNNNNNNNNNNNNNNNNNNNNNNNNNNNNNNNNNNNNNNNNNNNNNNNNNNNNNNNNNNNNNNNNNNNNNNNNNNNNNNNNNNNNNNNNNNNNNNNNNNNNNNNNNNNNNNNNNNNNNNNNNNNNNNNNNNNNNNNNNNNNNNNNNNNNNNNNNNNNNNNNNNNNNNNNNNNNNNNNNNNNNNNNNNNNNNNNNNNNNNNNNNNNNNNNNNNNNNNNNNNNNNNNNNNNNNNNNNNNNNNNNNNNNNNNNNNNNNNNNNNNNNNNNNNNNNNNNNNNNNNNNNNNNNNNNNNNNNNNNNNNNNNNNNNNNNNCACCAUGACAUCAUGCUUACUUGAGACAUAGUAGUAUAGCAUUUCAUUUAUGCUUUCUUUCAGCAGUUCUUAUACUCACUCUUUAUUGUUUAUUAUUAUUGUCGUUACUUACCCUUUUCUUUUGGGGCCUAGUGGUGCAUUGAGCUGAGGUCAGUAAUUUCCCACUGGGAACUAUAAAUUAUAGUUCUCACGCCCUCUGUUUUAUAUUUUCUUUCAGAGCCUUCCACGUCGGGAGAGGCUAGGGACCGCGGGAAGGGAGUCGCUUCGAGCUAGCUUCCUUCAAGGACGAUUGGAUAGGUGGUCUACCUCUCAUGGCUUUCUUUUUGUGAGAGGUUGAGUGUUUACCCAUGUACUAGAGACCACCAUUUUGUACCUUUUGAGGCGGUUACUGUAUUACCUUAUGUUUUCUUUCUAUGGUUUAGUGGUGAUCUUGUACUCUCUUUAUAGAUGAUAGAAACAUACUUGCUCUGAUAUCUCUAGCUGUAGAUUAUUUCUUGCUUUUACUUCCGCUUUUAUUAUAGACGCCUUAUAUGUGUAGACAUAUGGCGGGUCUGGGCACGCUACCGGGAGGGCCUCCGCCGGUCCCGGGGCGUGACAAGCGGAAACACACAAAUACGGCUUACACGAAGGUAAGCAAUAGCCACGAGUGAAAGAUAGGAAAACUAGCAUUCAUUUUGUACUAUGAUUCAAUUUAGAUCAUAUACAUUACAUCCAACUUGUACAUUUUCAAUUCCUUACAUUUAUUGCAUCAUUUCUUCCUUACAUCAUAUUUACCUCAAAAAAAAAAGCUUUAUAUUCUUUUCUUUAUAUCACUAAUCAUCAAGUACAAAAGAUGAUAAAAGGGUAACUAUUACAAAAUGUAAACCCAACUCUGGUGGCCUCUGACUAAGGCGCGAUACCUUUACCUCGGUAGCUCGCCGAUUCGCUCGGUCCCGGCUCUGUGAAAAUAGUGGGGUGAGAACUACAACAAAGUUCCUAGUGGGUUCGGCCUCAACAUCACCGACUUUCCUACUAGGACUAACUCAGGCAUAAUAGAAAGAAUAAACUGAAUAUAGUAACCAAUCUAUAACAUGAUGCUAAUAUGCCUGAACAAUAAGCAGGAAAUAUGCUCAAUAUUAACAUAUGCAGGUUAUGCAAGUUCUUUUGUUCUUUGUUCGUUACUCUUUGUUCUUUACUCUUUGUUCUUUACUCUUUGUUCUUUAAUCUCAAGUCUAACCCGGGGGUUUCGCCACAUUGACUUGCUUCACAUUAAGUCCAUCAUCGCGGGCCCUCAGCUUCCUUCCGCUAAGACCGUCCUUCGGGUUUACUCCAAACCGUGAUGCAAAAACUUCGGAGCGCAUCGCCCGAGGGGGAGCGACCGCCCUCAAGCACGGAACUCAUAGCAAGUAUGAUCGAAUCCUUAACUCAAAGGAUUGUAUGUUCAAUCUUGACUUUACACUAACUCUAGUGUUCUUUACAUCCCAUUAUGUUGCUACUCUAGCAAUCACGGUUCUUUACCUUUCUUUACUUUUGCUAACUCUAGCAGCCAUGUUCUUUAUCUUUCUUUACUUUUGCUAACUCUAGCAAUCUUAUUCUUUAUGCCCCACUUUGUUUUCACUUUAGUCAUUAGCAUUAUUCUUUACAUCACAUCGAUCCUUUGCCUCACACUACCUAUAGUGUCACUUUACUUUACAUUAUCAAAUGCCACUCGAUCUAGGUCUCAUUGUGUCACUUUGUUCUUUCGCCUCACUUUGGUUGACUUGGGUACUCACAUUUUCUCUCAUGCAUACAUAUAUAGGGUUUUUAACAUUCAUAAGGUUCUUAACCAUCACAUUAUGCAAGUUGUACUCACAAUCAUGCAACAUCACAUUUUUACCAUUACUUUAUCCUAAAAUGCAUGCAACAAUGUAUAUACAUAUGCUCAAUUAAAUGACACAUUAGGCAUAGGGGGAAGUUCAACGAGUUUGAAAAGCACCACCCACCUCGUAGGUUCUCAAAGGUGCUCCGAUGAUUUUCUUGGGAUUUUUAGGCUUCUCGUUCUUUACCUGCGGCAAAACGAUGCCAAAUUAGGCCAUUUUGCCCAUAACUUUACAUUGGCUUUUCGUAACGCUAAUCCGAGCGCACCAACGCGUCGGAAAUACCCCCAAUUGAGUUUCUAGAGGGUCAAUUUCACUUAGGAACCCCCAUGAGCAAAAGCCCCAAUUUGGGUGCCCUAGCUCCAUUGCAUAUAUCAAACCUAGGGUUUGAUCUCAAUGGGAAGAAAAAGUAGCUUCAUUCUACUCUAAAGAGUCCAUUAAAACCAUUCUUAGGUUAAUCAAAACCCUACUUAGGGUUUCACCAUGAGAGGUGGUUGAAGCUCACCUCUAAGCUUCAUUACACACACCAUUUCCAUGGUUUGAUCUCUAAAAGAAGCAAGAAAAAGCUUCAAAUACUCAAAGAACUCUAUCAAAACCAUUUCUAGGGUUUUUAUCACAAUAGGGAUCAAAGCUUACCUCAAAGCUUUCCCUCCUUGCUUCAAUGAGGAAGAAGAUGGAGUUGCCUCACUCCCUUGGCUUCUUCACUUUCUUCUCCUUUUUCUUCUCUUCUUUUUUCCUUCUCUUCCUUCUCUUCUUCUUCUCCUUCUUUGUCUUCUAGAGAGAGAAAGAGAGGAGAGAGUGUGAAAGGGUGAGAAAUGAGAGAAAUUUCCCAUUUACCCCUAAACAUAGCUCAAUGGAUUGCCAAAAUGCAAAUAAACCCCUCAGCUUUUACUUUAUUCAACUGCCUAGACUGGCCAGAUUUCGAGCUCGGGGACCGGUCUCUCCAUCAGGGACCGGUUCCCGAAAGUCCUCCCAGCGCAGCCAGAGCUGCUGCACGCGAUGCGACCGGUCUCUCUUUGAGGGGACCGGUCUCUAGGGGACCGAUCUCUCAGGCAGGGACCGGUUCCCGAGAGCUGGUUCUCAGGGACUUAGCCGAUUUUCGGCUUUUCUCAUUUCUUGCGCGUUCGGAGACCGGUCUCUCCCACCAGGGACCGGUCCCCGAGAGCUCAAAAACUGCAGUUUGCAGAUUUUUGAUUCCUUAGCUCUCGAAAAUCUUCCACAACGCACUUUUACUCAUUUUAAAACCUUCGAACUUUCCGAAGUGUACCAUCCUCUCACUUUGGUCAAUCUGACUAAAGUUCGAUAUUUAUUUUCCUAAUUCUCGGUAUAUUACACCUUAUCCUUCUCCAAGGUAUACAAGUCCUCGAAGAGCGUCUCCAUGGAGUAGAUCCAUGACUCCAUAACCGCCGGUUCUACCACCCCCCCUUCGAAGAUAGGUGGGUUGAACUUAUUGAACUGUACGAGAGCCGCUAACGCACGCUCCCGUUUCGCCUCCACUGUCGCACUAUCAGGGUAUGAAGUCCCCGAUCUGGCCGGUAUCGCCGUAACUGGAAUGGCCGCCGCGGCCACCCCCGCCGCUACUCCCUCGACCACCAUCGGCACCACUGCAGGGGGCGCAGGAUGCUCAGCCUCUACAUGUGCUGGCGCCGUCUGCUGCCGCUCUAAGACCUCCUGGAGCCUUUGGAUUUGCUCCCCUUGGUGCUGAAUGGACUCCUCUUGUUGCCGCACUACGCUAAUAAGCGCGGCCAUCUGCUCCCGAAGCUCCCCGUCGCCACCUGCUCCGGGUUGCACGGGAGCUGCACUUGGUUCCUCAGCCAUAGUCCUCGUUCGCGGUCGACCACGAGGCAUCUUAGGUCGUCCACGAGGUGGCAUUGCUUCCUGAAAUGAAGCAAUUCACAUUAGUUACUCAAUACUAUACUCGAACAUACCUAAUUCAGCGAAAGCAACGAGUGUAUUUAUUUUCCUUCCAAAGCAUCAUGUCGUCGGCCGCCGAUCACAACACAAGGAAAAGAAAACAAAUAUCAACUUAAAUUUAGUCCCUAACCACAUUAGAAACAUAUUAACAUUAAUGCAAUCAAAAGCUUUCGCUAUAUUUCGAUUCCACGUCACUCACGUUUCCUAGAUCCUUAAGGUUUCAUUCCUAAGGGUCUGUAGGACCAUCCUAUACUUUCACUUUAGGCGCUUUACGCUCUGAUACCAUUAAAUCUGUCACGCCCCGAACCCGGUCCUAUUUGGCCAGUUCGGACUCGUCGAACAGACGCCGAACGGACAACACCUCCUGUAACAUACCAUGUCCCUCGUAAAUCGUGCUGAGUUCCGUCGAAUCGAGCGGGACGCGGAGUGGAACGAGCGGGUAUAGGCCCUAGUGCAUUUGUCACGCCCCGGGACCGGCGGAGGCCCUCCCGGUAGCGUGCCCAGACCCGCCAUAUGUCUACACAUAUAAGGCGUCUACAAUAAAAGCGGAAGUAAAGCAAGAGAUAGAACAAAUAAAAUAAGUGAAAUGACUAGCAACUAAUGAUAUCAGAGCGAGUAGAGUUCUAUCAUCUACACCAGAGUAAAGGAAUAGAGUUAGACAAUAAAAGAAACCGUAAGUAGUACACUAUCAGUCUCAAAAGUACAAAACUGGUGGUCUCUAAUACACUGGUACAGCUCUCAACCUCUCCAAAAAGAAAUACAUCGAGAGGUAGACCACCUAAACUCGUCUCUCGCUGAAGGGCUAACUCGAAGCGACGCCCUUACCACGGUCCCUAGCCUCUCCCGGCGUGGAAGGCUCUGAAAGAAAAGCUAAAACAGAGGGCGUGAGAACUAUAAUUUAUAGUUCCCAGUGGGCAAUUACUGACCUCAGCUCAUUGCGCCACUAGGCCCCAAAGGAAAUGGGUAAGUACAAUACUAAUAGCAAUAAUGACGGCGAUAUAAAAGCAUAAUUAAAAUGCUAAAUUACCAAACUCAAGUAUAAACGAUGUCAUGGUGAUGUACAUCUACGAUAUCAAAGUCGUAAAUCAUUAACCUAUAUGAAUACAUUAUGCAUAUGUUCUGUCAUCACUAACAAGUAUGCUUUAAUGCAAAAGGAGACUAUCAAGUACACUACAUGUCUCGACCCUAUGCUAAAAGCAUAUAAAUGUCAUUCAACUACUAAACCUAUCUAGUAGUGAUUAACCAUUCUCAACACCGUGUCGAUUUCCAUUUCCAAUUAAGGACCUACCAAAGGUAGUCCAGCUUGUGCCGCCUAAGUGCCUGUGAUAGCCCGACAUCCCUACUCGUGGAAUGUUUCUGUCCCAUCGACCCCGUAGGCUUCUCAAUACCGCACGAGCGAACAUAAGUCGCGUAGGCUAACUCCGGAGUGCCGGCUUGUAGGGAGCGACCCUCACAAGCAUGUGCGAAUGAGCACAAAUGGCAAGCAAGCAUAGUCAACGUCUCAAAUACCCAAUCAUCAUGUCUCUAACAUGGCAAUAUUCACUAGCAUCUCGAAAAUCUAGUUCAAUGUCUCUAAGUGAUGUCACAACACUCACUUGCUUAGUGCCUCUUUAUGACACUUAAGCAUCACAACAAAUCAAGCCCAAAUCUUGUUCUAUGUUUCCAUUAAAACAUCAAUACCAAUGAUUACCAUGACCCCGGCCCAAUGCCUCUUUAUGACAUUGUCCCAAUUCUCAAAUAGUCCAAGUUCUCAAGCCCUCUCUAGGCUUCUAACAUUCCUAAUGUCACAAUUGGCAUAUAGGUUAAAUGCAUGAAAGCAAGGUUCUAUUAACAUAAUAAGGAUCAUGGUUCUGAAUCGUAAUAAGAAGCUAAACCUGAUCAAGUUCCACAUGCUAGCUCUCUACUACAUAGAGGGCCGAAAUUUUCACCAACAUGUAACUAGAGCAAAUUAAGCCUUCUAAAAAAUCAUAAUAAAUGUAUCUACCAUGGAAAUACAUGAAUAAACAUUUAACAGUACUCAAAUCAACACCAAUGAAUUUUCUCAUUGUGCUAGGCCAAACCCACCGAACCGUCUGCUGCUUCUUCGAUUCGCCGAACGAGAUUGUCCACGAGUCUCAAAAGACCCUAAAAGUGAUCAGCGAAGAGAUACGAGGGCAUUACGACAACCAUAAAUCAAACAUUAACCUAGGAGCAAAAAGGGCCAAAACUCACCUCAAGAGAAGAAAUCUCUUCCAAAGCUCCAAAAGAGAGCUAGAACCCUUCCAAUCCAAGCCCAAGAAGUUCUAAACCAAUCAAUGACCUCAAAAGCCCUAGAUCAAAAAAGCCCAAAAAUCAACUCUAAUACCCAUUCUAGGUUCCAAAGGUAAAACCUACCAAAAAUCAAGGAUCAAAGGUAGAAUCCAAGUACUAACCUCCAAGAUGCCUCCAAACAAGCUCCAAAUCUUCUAGGGUUGAAGAUUGGUCCACCACCAAGCUGCUACAAGGAAGCUCCAAGCCUUGCAAAGUGGAAAAGAGAGAAAAUGGGGUUGAGCUCAAGCUCCCUCAGCUGAGCUCCUCUUCUUCUUCUCCUCCUUCUUCUUCUUCUCUCUCUAGAAAGUGUAGGGAGAGGGUGAGAAUGAGAAAAUGGGAGAGGGAAGAGGAGGAAAUGGCUAAUAAGCCCAUCUAGUGUAACAAAAUCCGGAGAGGCCCCUCAAAAAUUCAAAUUUACAUCAGCCCGAACUGGGCAGUUUUCGCCCAGAGGGACCGGUCUCUCCCCAGCAGGGACCGGUCUCUCGCAGCGAACCCGAAAAACCAACGUUCGGGAACCGGUCUCUCCCUGCGCGGGACCGGUCUCUCACUGCGAAGGCGCGCUCGGGGACCGGUCUCGCCCACCAGGGACCGGUUGCCUCAGGGCUGCCGCAACACUGCUCACUGGGGGACCGGUCCCUCCCUCCAGGGACCGGUCCCCGAGAGUAAAAACUCUCAGGACUCAUCUAGAACUCAGGUUUUCGAACUUUUUUUGUCGGAAAACAUUCAACAACCCUCCACCAAGUGUGGGAAAGCUCGAAAUACAUCCAAACACUCGAACCUCGCAAUUUGCAAAGGUCCAGUGUGCUACAGCAUUGGAGCCUAUAUAUGGUGCAAAGGGACCCGAGAGAGAGUGAGAUUUCAAAAUCUGGCUAAGUCCCAGAUUUUGUGUUCUCGGGGACCGGUCCCUGGUCGGAGAGAUCGGCCCCCGUACAUGUAGCCUGCCAGGAAAUCCUGAGGCAUCCGGUCCGUAGCAGUGACAUCGGUCCUCGGGAGACCGGUCCCUGAAGGAGAGACCGGUCCCUCGUUGUGCAGCAACUGAAAAAGCCAGAAAAUCGGCUAAGUCCUGGAAACCCAACGUUCGGGAACCGGUCCCUGGUCGGGGAGACUGGUCCCCGACAGCGAAAAAUGCCCAGUCUGGGUAGAUUAAUGGGAAACAAGUGGAGGGGCCAAAGUGCAAUUAUUACAACACUUUAUAUGGGCCAUCCCUUCUCUCCCACAGCUAUUUCUCACCUCCUCUCUCAUUUUCUCUCUUUCUCUCUCUAGAACUCCUCUAGAACUUGGAGAAGAAGAAGAAGAACUUAGAGAAGAAGGUGCAUUUGGUGCUUUGGAGGUUCUAGGAGCUCUCCAACAAGAAGAACCUUGGUGGAGCUUGGACUAGAGGUAAGUUUUGUAAGAUUUUCCUCUAGGGUUUGGAUUUUGGUUUAGGGAAUUGGAGAUUUGUGCUCCUUAGAGGCUUUAGAGGCUCUUUUGAGCCAUGAAUGCCAUGGUACCCAUGAGAGCUCAAGGUGCUCUCAUGGUGAACACUUAGGGGCUAAGGUAGAUGCCCUAGGGGUGGUUCUAAAGGCUUGAAAACUGUAAUAUACCGAAAAUUCGAAAAAUAAAAAUGUCGAACUUUAGUCAAAUUGACCAAAGUGCGAGGACGGUGCACUUCAGAAAGUCUGAUGGACUUCGGAAAGUCCGAAGGUGUUAAAAUGAUUAAAAGUGAGUUAUGGGAGGUUUUCGAGAGCUAAAGGAUCAAAUUCUGCAAAACUGCAGAUUUUGAGCUCUCGGGGACCGGUCCCUGGUGGGAGAGACCAGUCCCCGAACGCGUAUGAAAUGAGACAACCGAAAAAUCGGCUAAGUCCUGAGAAAUUAGCUCUCGGGAACCGGUCCCUGAAGGAGAGAUCGGUCCCUGAGAGACCGGUCCCCCAAGGAGAGACCUGUUGCCCUGCGCGCAGCAGCUCGGGCUGCGCGGGGAGAGCCUUCGGGAAUCGGUUCCUGAGACCGGUCCCCGCCUGCGCGAACAGCCCAGUCCAGGCUGUGUGAAAGAGUGAAAGUUGAGGGGUUUAGCUGCAAUUUUGCAACCCAAUGAGCUAUGUAUUGGGGUAAAUGAGACAUUUCUCUCAUUUCUACCCUCUCACACUCUCUUCUCUCCCUCUCUCUCUCUAGAAGACAAAGGAGAAGAAGAAAGAAAGAAAGAAAAGAAGGAAAAGAGGGAAAAGAAGGUGAAGAAGAAGGUCAAUAGGUGAAGCAACUUCAUCUUCUUCCUCUCUAGCUUGGGAAAGGAGAGCUUACAAGGUGAGCUUCAACCCACCUCUCAUGGUGAAAUCCAAACUAGGGUUUGGAAUGAGCUAGGAAUGGUUUAGAUGAACUCUUUAGAGUACAUUGAAGCUACUUUUGCUUCCCAAUGAGAUCAAACAAUGAGAUCAAACCCUAGGUUUGAUAUAUGUAUUGGAGCUAGGGCACCAAAUUGGGACUUUUGCUCAUGGGGAUUUCUAAGUGCAAUUGAUCCUCUAGAAACCUAAUUAGGGGUAUUUCCGACGCGUUGGUGCGCUUGGAUUAACAUUCCGAAGAACCAUGAAAAGAUAUGAGCAAAAUGACCUAUUAGGGCUUCGUUUUGCCGCAGGUAAAGAACGAGAAGCCUAAAAAUCCCGAGAAAAUCGUUGGAGCACCUUUGAAAGCCUACAAGGUGGGUGGUGCUUCUCAAACUCAUUGAACUUCUCUCUAUGCCUAAUGUGUCAUUCAUUUGAGCAUAUGUUACAUAUUUGUUGCAUGCAUUUUAGGGUAAAGUGAUGAUAGAAAUGUGAUGUUACAUGAUUGUGAGUACAACUUGCAAAAUAUGAUGAAUGAGAACUAUGUAAACAUCGAAAACCCUAUGUGUAUGCAUGAGAGAAAGUGAGCACUCAAAGUGAGCAAAAGAAUAGAGGGACACUAUGACAUAGAUCGAGUGGCAUUUGAUAAAGUUGAUAUAAAAUGACACUAGAGAUAGUGUGAGGUAAAGAACCAAUGUGAUGUAAAGAAUGAUGAAAAUGACAAUGCUUAAAGUUAAAGUAAUGUGGGGAGUAAAGAACAUGAAGUGCUAGAGGUAGCCAAANNNNNNNNNNNNNNNNNNNNNNNNNNNNNNNNNNNNNNNNNNNNNNNNNNNNNNNNNNNNNNNNNNNNNNNNNNNNNNNNNNNNNNNNNNNNNNNNNNNNNNNNNNNNNNNNNNNNNNNNNNNNNNNNNNNNNNNNNNNNNNNNNNNNNNNNNNNNNNNNNNNNNNNNNNNNNNNNNNNNNNNNNNNNNNNNNNNNNNNNNNNNNNNNNNNNNNNNNNNNNNNNNNNNNNNNNNNNNNNNNNNNNNNNNNNNNNNNNNNNNNNNNNNNNNNNNNNNNNNNNNNNNNNNNNNNNNNNNNNNNNNNNNNNNNNNNNNNNNNNNNNNNNNNNNNNNNNNNNNNNNNNNNNNNNNNNNNNNNNNNNNNNNNNNNNNNNNNNNNNNNNNNNNNNNNNNNNNNNNNNNNNNNNNNNNNNNNNNNNNNNNNNNNNNNNNNNNNNNNNNNNNNNNNNNNNNNNNNNNNNNNNNNNNNNNNNNNNNNNNNNNNNNNNNNNNNNNNNNNNNNNNNNNNNNNNNNNNNNNNNNNNNNNNNNNNNNNNNNNNNNNNNNNNNNNNNNNNNNNNNNNNNNNNNNNNNNNNNNNNNNNNNNNNNNNNNNNNNNNNNNNNNNNNNNNNNNNNNNNNNNNNNNNNNNNNNNNNNNNNNNNNNNNNNNNNNNNNNNNNNNNNNNNNNNNNNNNNNNNNNNNNNNNNNNNNNNNNNNNNNNNNNNNNNNNNNNNNNNNNNNNNNNNNNNNNNNNNNNNNNNNNNNNNNNNNNNNNNNNNNNNNNNNNNNNNNNNNNNNNNNNNNNNNNNNNNNNNNNNNNNNNNNNNNNNNNNNNNNNNNNNNNNNNNNNNNNNNNNNNNNNNNNNNNNNNNNNNNNNNNNNNNNNNNNNNNNNNNNNNNNNNNNNNNNNNNNNNNNNNNNNNNNNNNNNNNNNNNNNNNNNNNNNNNNNNNNNNNNNNNNNNNNNNNNNNNNNNNNNNNNNNNNNNNNNNNNNNNNNNNNNNNNNNNNNNNNNNNNNNAUCAUCUUUUGUAUAUGAUGGUAAAUGAUGUAAAGAAAAGAAUGUAGUACGUAUUUUGAGGUAAAUGUGAUGUAAGAAAGAAAUGAUGAAAUGAUAUGUAAGGAAUUCGAAAAUGAACCAGAUGAAUGCAUGUAUAUGAUCAAAAAUGAAUCAUGGUACAAGUGAAUGUUUAGUUUUCCUUUCUUUCACUAAUGGCUAUUGCUUACCCUCGUGUAAGCCGUUUGUGUAUGUUUCCGCUAGUGCUUUUCUCUAUUGAUGAAAAUGUACAUGUGAUGAGCCUUGGGCGGACAGGGGAAACUCUGUCCGUUCGGCGUCUGUUUGACAUGCUCUGGUCGGGCCAAAUUGGUAUCGGUCCCGGGGCGUGACAAAAACCUUGUUAGAAAGCUUCUUAGAUGAUUCUAGACUAUUAUUUGCUUAGGGUUGAGAUCAAUUCAUGGGGAAACCCUAAAUGACAUUAUUAGGGCUCAAAUUUGGGGCUUUUGCCCUAGGAUUUUUCGGAGACAAAUUGACCCCGUAGAAACCUAAUUGGGGGUGUCCUAAACACGUUGGACAACUUCGUUCAACGCUACGAAAAUGUUUAAAUAUAGUUCAUGUAUAAAAGGCCUAAUAGGGCGCUAAUUUGGUUAUAGGACGUGGAGCCGGCAUUCGUAGCGCUCGGGAGUCAUCACAUUCCACACCCACACGAUCAUUAGAGGUGGGAGGUGCACACCGGAAUCAUUGGAUUCCCUUCUAUGUCUGUUUUCCCUUUUUUUCAGCAUAUAUCUAUAUAUAGCCAUUCAUGCAUAGUAGGGUAGAUACAUGUGGAACUUGGUUUGAUUUCAUUUAUAUGCUUCUAACGUAGUUGAACACAGAGAAUGAUUGAACCAAAAAUGGACAUGUGUGAUAGGACCCUCAAGAUGUGUGAAUGUGAGGUUUGGACAUGGACAAUAGAAAAUAAAGGUGACAUUGACAUAGAAACAAGAUUGGCGUUAAGAGAUGAACCGUUAAACAUAGUUUAACUAAUUAUGGCAUCAUCGCAAGUAUAGCCUAGAGAGUGGCAAGAAUGAAUAGGUAGAGACCUAUCAUGACACUGACAUUGUGAAUUAGUGGCUAUGAAUCCUCCAGUUGAGGAUUGGAUCGAUACUCACGAUACGUCUUGGCUUGAGGGAGGUCGCUCCCCCUCGGGCGGUGCACUCCGGAGUUGGUCACCACUAGUCGUGGUAAAGUCCCACCAGAUGACGGUCCCUAGGGAGGUUCGAGUCCCCCGUUAUUAAGGGAUUUUGGGUUGUGAGUUAUUGGGGUUAACGAGGUUAACCGGUAAGAUUGAAUAAGAGCCAAAGCUUAUUUAUGAAUUUAGCAUGCAUGCAUUUUCCAUUAUUGCACUGAGUAUUGUAUCCACUGACAUUCUUCUGCAGGCAUAGUAUUAGAUGCAUUAGUACUGGUUACUUUUCUUUCCUUAAAAUACUUAUGCCUGGAUAGACCUAGUGGGUAAAUCGACGAGGUCGGAUGCCGAACCCACUGGGAAUUUCGUUGUAGUUCUCACACCACUAACCCUACAGAUCCUAGCACGAGCGGGGCGGCGGAGGACCGAGGCAGGGGUAUAGCGCCGUAGAUUACGGCCACCGGGACUUUAUACCUUUUGUAGUCAUUCCCCUUUUUGGUAUAUAUAUAUCAACUUCUUUUGUUGACUUAGAGAAGUAAAGUUGUAAACAAUCAUGUAUUUGGUGGAUGACUAAAUGUAAAAAGAUAUGAUGGAUGAAUGAAAAUGUAAUAGUUUUAUUCACUUGUAUUUGGUUUAAAUCUAAUCAAAUAUCAUGUAUGUUGUAUAAUUAGCUUAGAGCUUUCGCUUCCGUUGUUGCUUACCCUCGUGCAAGCCUUGUAUUAUAUAUGCAAAUCCCUGGUUGAUUGCUUAAUUAUACAUGUUGUUAGAGCCUUGGGCGGACAGGGGAGGUUCUGUCCGUUCGGCGUCUGUUGACGUGACCCGAACCCGACCAAAUUAGCAGGGAUUGGGGCGUGACAGAUAUAAUGGUAUCAGAGAGAAGUGGAAAGCAAAAGUCUAGGAAUUACCUAGGAACCAUAGGUGUGGAGACCAUAGGGACCUAGGAAAACGUUUAACGUGAACUUGGUUUAUGCGAAAGCGAAUAAUUGGGUUAACGGUAACACUUCUCUAGAAGGAAGUAGAGAUGGACUAGAAGGCGUACUUGUUGUCUACUUAAGGGACUUUGUGGGGCGGCCGACCACAUGACACCAAGAGUGGAAACGAUUAUGCUUGUUGCUUUCGCUUAAUUGGGUAGUUGUUUGGAACGUAUAAGAGUCACGUGCUUCGAGUACUAAUGUGUGCGUGCAUUACGUUUCAGGACGCGAUGGCACCACCAAGGAGAGUUACGAGGUCCACACCGGCGGAGCCUUGGGAGGAGCCCGGGCAGUCGGGGUCGGAUGACGUGCGCGAGUUGCGAGCCUAAGUAGCGGCCUUGGCCGGGGCUAUGCGGCUUCAAGGGGAGCAGAUUGGGCAGCUCCACGAGAUGAUGGCGCAAUAGGCAGCGGCGGCAUCAGUGCCAAGGGAUCCACCCCCACCGGUUGCUCCUGUAGCACCACCUCCUACGGUGGCGGCAGCGCCAGUGACGAUGGUUCCUCCGACGGUAUCGGGUUCAUCGACUCCUAUUCCCGCUGUAUUUGAGGCCGAGCAGGAGCGCACGUUUGCGGCGCUGACGGCAUUCAAGCGAUUCAACCCUCCGACCUUCAACGGGGAUGUGAAGGACCCGUGGACGACGGAGAGUUGGCUAGCCGCUAUGGAAGCCUUGUUCGAGGAUAUCUACACCCUCGAGAGGGAUAAAGUUCAUCUUGCGGCUCAUUGUUUCGAUGGGUCGGCCCGAUUGUGGUGGAAUCAAGCGAAGAGAAAUCGCUCGUUAGAGCACCCUUUUAUUACUUGGGAGGCGUUUCGGGAGAUGCUGCUUAUGGAGUAUUUCCCCGAGAGCGACAAAAGAAAAAUCAAGGAGGAUUUUCGGAAGCUAAGGCAAGGAAGUCGAUCAGUGCGGGAGUAUGAGAAGGAAUUCACGCACAUGAUUAACGGCGUACCGGGCUUGGUUCACGGUGAUAGGGACCGAGCGGAGGUAUUCAAGCGCGGGUUGCGACCCGAAAUUUUUAAGGUUAUACAUGCCUUCCGGUUGAAGACCUAUAAGGAAGUUCUUGAUCGCGCGCUUUGGGUGGAGCGCGGGAAUGCCAUCGCGCGUGAUGAGCACGAGACUUUUGAGAGAGACAGGGAAAGAGAUAGGACCAAGAAGCGUCCGGCUGGUGGAUCUGUGAGGCAAUCGAGUUCUAAACGACCCCCGCGACCUCAGCGAUCACAAUGGCGGGGAGGUAGGAGUCAGGCACAAGGCCAGACUACCUACCCGUGCGUGAUAUGUGGCGGAGAACAUAGAGCCACCACUUGCCCACAGCGGGAGGGGCGGUGUUACCGAUGUGGCCAACCGGGGCACAUGAGCCGAGAGUGCCCGGGCGGCGCAUCCCGAGCCCCAUCAUCAGCUUUAGUUCAGUACACUCAGUGGCAGUUGGCGGGACUGCCACUCGCAACAUCUGCUGGACGAUCGUCGGCGCCUCGUCAGCCGGAGGCCUCUCGAGCACCUAGUGGGUGGGUAUUUGCCACUCAGGUGGAGGAGCCACCAAUUGUUGUUCUCGACGACGUCGUGGCAGGUAUUAUUCUUAUUAGAGGCACUAGAGCUAGAGCCAUAUUUGAUACAGGUGCAUCUCAUUCAUUCAUAUUAACAUCAUUUGCACAAGCUCAUAACAUAGAGAUCACUCAUAGCGAAGAGUAUUGGUCGGUGAACACUCCCGAGCACUCGUUCGACGUUCAUGAUGAGUGCUUGGACUGUCCAGUACAGAUAGGUGAUUGGAUUAUGUCGAUCGACCUUUUAGUGUUAAAAGAAAUGUGGGGUUUCGAGGUAAUCUUGGGGAUGAAUUGGCUCUCCAAGUACUACGCGGUUAUAGAUUGCGAAAGAAGGGUGAUCACGUUCCGUGAACCUAACCUAGAGGAGUUUGUCUAUCGGGCGUAUAAAGGCAAACGCUUCGCAGCCACUAUAUCGACGGUGAGGGCGAAAAAGAUGAUCAAGGGUGGUUGUAAGGCUUACUUGGCGACCAUCGUGGACCCUCGAAAGGAGUACCCGGAACUGGAGAGUAUUCGCAUUGUGCGGGAGUAUCCGAAUGUAUUCCCAGCGGAGUUACCGGGACUGCCCCCGGAUCGGGAAGUCGAGUUUGUCAUUGACUUGAUUCCCGGGGCGGCGCCAAUUUCGAAGGCCCCGUAUAGAAUGGCACCGGUGGAGCUAAAAGAGUUGAAAGCUCAAUUACAAGAUUUGCUCGAUAAAGGCUUCGUACGGCCGAGUGUGUCCCUGUGGGGAGCUCCAGUGCUAUUUGUAAAGAAGAAGGACGGCACACUCCGACUCUGCGUCGAUUAUCGCGAGUUAAAUAGAGUGAUGAUCAAGAACAAAUACCCGUUGCCGAGAAUUGAUGACUUAUUUGACCAGUUGCAAGGGUCAAGGGUAUAUUCAAAGAUUGAUCUGCAGUCGAGGUAUCAUCAGUUGAAGAUACGGCCCAAAGACGUGCGCAAGACGGCGUACCGUACGCGGUAUGGCCACUAUGAGUUUACGGUCAUGCCAUUCGGGCUCACUAAUGCCCCGGCGGCAUUCAUGGACCUAAUGAAUCGAAUCUUCCGUCCGCUAUUGGACCGGUGCGUCGUGGUUUUCAUUGACGACGUAUUGGUAUAUUCUCGGACCGAAGAAGAACACGAGGAGCAUCUAAGGCUCGUGUUGGAGAUACUCCGGAAGGAAAAGCUUUACGCAAAACUAAAAAAAUGUGAGUUUUGGCUUUCGGAGGUUACCUUCUUGGGUCACGUUGUAUCCGGAGAUGGUAUCUCGGUGGAUCCAAAGAAAGUUGAGGCGAUUAAAGAUUGGCCUCGCCCGACAAGCGUAGCGGAAAUCCGUAGCUUCCUUGGACUUGCGGGCUAUUACCGGCGGUUCGUGGAGGGGUUUGCCAGGAUAACAACUCCGCUAACGCGCCUUAUGCACAAAGGGGUGAAGUUUGUGUGGAGCCCCGAGUGUGAGCGGAGCUUUGAGGAGCUAAAGAAUAAACUGACGUCUACUCCGGUGCUUGCUUUGCCAACACCAGGAGAAAGCUAUGUCGUAUACAGUGAUGCUUCAUACAUCGGUCUCGGGUGUAUCUUAAUGCAAAACGGCCGAGUCAUAGCUUAUGCUUCGCGCCAGUUGAAGAGUUAUGAAAAUAACUACCCGACUCACGAUCUUGAGCUAGCGGCGGUUGUUUUCGCGCUAAAACUGUGGAGGCAUUACUUGUAUGGGGAACAUUGUGAGAUCUACACCGAUUAUAAAAGUCUCAAAUACUUGUUCACCCAAAAGGAGCUAAACUUGCGACAACGGCGAUGGUUAGAGUUGCUCAAGGAUUACGAUGUCACGAUUCUCUACCACCCCGGAAAAGCGAACGUCGUAGCUGAUGCUUUAAGUAGAAAGUCGACAGAAAAUUUGGCGACGAAAAUUACACCUCAACUGGCUUUGCAAAAGGAGAUGCAGCGGUUUGGUCUAGAAGUUGUGGCGCCGGAAGUGCCGGCAACACUUGCCACCUUAGUUGUGCAACCUACCUUGUUGGAGAAGAUUAAAGGAUUACAAAUAUCGGAUGAAUUUCUCCAAAAGGUGCGGGGCAAAGUUGAGAGCGGUAGUACCGAUGAUUUUGACAUUGGAACCGACGGCGCACUACGAUAUCGGGAUCGUUGGUGCGUGCCCAAGGACGACGAUCUUCGAAAGGCGAUUAUGCAAGAAGCGCAUCAAUCUCCCUAUAGCAUUCACCCUGUCGGCACCAGAUGUAUCGAGACUUGAAAUUGCAUUAUUGGUGGCCGGGCAUGAAGAAAGAUAUAGAAGAGUUCGUGGGGCAGUGCCUCACGUGCCAACAAGUGAAGGCGGAGCGUCGAUUUCAGGCGAAAAAAUUGCAAAGUCUACCUAUACCCGUGUGGAAAUGGGAAAACAUCGCGAUGGACUUUGUGACAGGUUUGCCUAGGUCACAGGGUGGACAUGACGCGAUUUGGGUAGUUGUGGACCGGUUGACAAAAUCGGCACACCUUUUGCCGAUCCACGCUACUUGGUCGGGAGAUAAGUUGGCUCAGGUCUAUAUUGACGAGGUGGUGAGACUUCACGGGGUUCCGGUAUCUAUUGUGUCGAAUCGGGACCCUAGGUUCACAUCUCAUUUUUGGAAGAGCUUAUAGGAUGCAUUGGGCACGCGGCUCGACUUUAGUACGGCAUUCCAUCCUCAAAGUGACGGUCAAUCAGAAAGGACGAUUCAAAUACUUGAGUACAUGCUUCGAGCGUGUGUGCUUUAUCAUAAGGGCGGAUGGCACGAUCACUUACCGAUGGCGGAAUUCGCAUACAACAAUAGCGAUCAAGAAAGCAUUGCGAUGGCGCCAUUCGAGGCCCUUAUGGAAGGAAAUGUCGCUCGCCAAUACACUGGAGCGAUGUGGGUGAGAAGCUAGUUCUUGGCCCGGAUGUGGUGCGGGAGGCGGAAGAGAAAGUCCGCCUUGCCCGACAAAGAUUGGUGACGGCGCAAUCGAGCCACAAGAGUUAUGCCGACAAGCGGCGAAAGGAUAUCGAGUUCGCGGUAAGAGACCGCGUAUUUCUAAAAGUAUCGCCGAUGCGAGGAGUUAAACGAUUCGGUGUUCGCGGGAAGCUAAGCCCCCGCUAUAUCGGACCCUUCGAGAUUCUGGAACGAGUUGGCGCGGUGGCCUACAAGUUGGCAUUACCACUGAGGCUCGCGGGAGUACAUGAUGUAUUCCAUGUAUCCCAACUCCACAAGUAUGUGUACAACCCAGAUCAUAUUCUCUCGUAUAUACCGAUAGAACUUCAAGGGGAUAUGACUUAUGAGGAGUUUCCGGCGCACAUUGUGGAUCGGGAAGUAAGAAAGCUUCGGAGCCGCGAAAUCCCGUAUGUUAAAAUUCAUUGGUGCGAACAUGAUGACUGGAAAGAAACGUGGGAGCUCGAAAGCGAAAUGAGGGAGCGUUAUCCUUACCUCUUCGAGGAUCCGAAGUGAGGUAUGAAAUUUAGAUUUCAAACUUAGUAGCUUCGCGGACGAAACUAAAUUCAGGUGUGGAGAAUGUAACAUACCACGUCCCUCGUAAAUCGUGCCGAGUUCCGUCGAAACGAGCGGGACGCGGAGUGGAACGAGCGGGUAUAGGCCCUAGUGCAUUAGAGCCUAUAUAUACUGCAAAAGGACCCGAGAGAGAGUGAGAUUUCAAAAUCUGGCUAAGUCCCAGAUUUUGUGCUCUUGGGGACCGGUCCCUGGUCGGAGAGACCGGUCCCCGUACGCGUAGCCUGCCAGGAAAUCCUGAGGCAUCCGGUCCCUGGCAGUGAGACCGGUUUUCGGAAGACCGGUCCCUGAAGGAGAGACCGGUCCCUCGUUGCGCAGCAGCUGAAAAAGCCAGAAAAUCGGCUAAGUCCUGGAAACCCAACGUUCGGGAACCGGUCCCUGGUCGUGGAGACCGGUCCCCGACAGCGAAAAAUGCCCAGUCUGGGCAGAUUAAUGGAAAACAAGUGGAGGGGCCUAAGUGCAAUUAUUACAACACUUUAUAUGGGCCAUCCCCUCUUUCCCACAGCUAUUUCUCUCCUCCUCUCUCAUUUUCUCUCUUUCUCUCUCUAGAACUCCUCUAGAACUUGGAGAAGAAGAAGAAGAACUUAGAGAAGAAGGUGCAUUUGGUGCUUUGGAGGUUCUAGGAGCUCUCCAACAAGAAGAACCUUGGUGGAGCUUGGACUAGAGGUAAGUUUUGUAAGAUUUUCCUCUAGGGUUUGGAUUUUGGUUUAGGGAAUUUGAGCUUUGUGCUCCUUAGAGGCUUUAGAGGCUCUUUUGAGCCAUAAAUGCCAUGGUACCCAUGAUAGCUCAAGGUGCUCUCAUGGUGAACACUUAGGGGCUAAGGUAGAUGCCCUAGGGGUGGUUCUAAAGGCUUGAAAACCUUGUUAGAAAGCUUCUUAGAUGAUUCUAAGCUAUUAUUUGCUUAGGGUAGAGAUCAAUCCAUUGGGAAACCCUAAAUGACAUUGUUAGGGCUCAAAUUUGGGACUUUUGCCCUAGAAUUUUUCGGGGACAAAUUAACCCCGUAGAAACCUAAUUGGGGGUGUCCUAAACAUGUUGGACAACUCCGUUCAACGCUACGAAAAUGUUUAAGUAUAGUUCAUGUAUAAAAGGCCUAAUAGGGCGCUAAUUUGGUUAUAGGACGUGGAGCCGGCAUUCGUAGCGCUCGGGAGUCAUCACAUUCCACACCCACACGAUCAUUAGAGGUGGGGGGUGCACACCGGAAUCGUUGGAUUCCCUUCUAUGUCUGUUUUUCCUUUUAUUGAGCAUAUAUCUAUAUAUAGCCAUUCAUGCAUAGUAGGGUAGAUACAUGUGGAACUUGGUUUGAUUUUAUUUAUAUGCUUCUAACGUAGUUGAACACAGAGAAUGAUUGAACCAAAAAUGGACAUGUGUGAUAGGACCCUCAAGAUGUGUGAAUGUGAGGUUUGGACAUGGACAAUAGAAAACAAAGGUGACAUUGACAUAGAAACAAGAUUGGCAUUGAGAGAUGAACCGUUAAACAUAGUUUAACUAAUUAUGGCAUCAUCGCAAGUAUAGCCUAGAGAGUAGCAAGAAUGAAUAGGUAGAGACCUAUCAUGACACUGGCAUUGUGAAUUAGUGGCUAUGAAUCCUCCAGUUGAGGAUUGGAUCAAUACUCACGAUACGUCUUGGCUUGAGGGAGGUCACUCCCCCUCGGGCAGUGCGCUCCGGAGUUGGUCACCACUGGGCGUGGUAAAGUCCCACAAGAUGACGGUCCCUAGGGAGGUUCGAGUCCUCCGUUAUUAAGGGAUUUUGGGUUGUGAGUUAUUGGGGUUAACGAGGUUAACCGGUAAGAUUGGGUAAGAGCCAAAGCUUAUUUAUGAAUUGAGCAUGCAUGCAUUUUCCAUUAUUGCAUUGAGUAUUGUAUCCACUGACAUUCUUCUGUAGGCAUAGUAUUAGAUGCAUUAGUACUGGUUACUUUUCUUUCCUUGAAAUACUUAUGCCUGGAUAGACCUAUUGGGUAAGUCGGUGAGGUCGGAUGCCGAACACACUGGGAAUUUCAUUGUAGUUCUCACACCACUAACCCUACAGGUCCUAGCACGACGGGGCGGCGGAGGACCAAGGCAAGGGUAUAACGCCGUAGAUAGCGGCCACUGGGACUUUAUACCUUUUGUAUUCAUUCCCCUUUUUGGUAUACAUGUAUCAACUUCUUUUAUUGACUUAGAGAGGUAAAGUUGUAAACAAUCAUGUAUUUGGUGGAUGACUAAAUGUAAAAAGAUAUGAUGGAUGAAUGAAAAUGUAAUUGUUUCAUUCACUUGUAUUUGGUUUAAAUCUAAUCAAAUAUCAUGUAUGUUGUAUAAUUAGCUUAGAGCUUUCACUUCCGUUGUUGCUUGCCCUCGCGCAAGCCUUGUAUUAUAUAUGCAAAUUCCUGGUUGAUUGCUUAAUUAUACAUGUUGUCAGAGCCUUGGGCGGACAGGAGAGGCUCUGUCCGUUCGGCGUCUGUUGACGUGACCCGAACCCGACCAAAUUGGCGGGGAUUGGGGCGUGACACCUCCCCUGUCCGCUCAAAGCUCAACAUCAAGUACAAAUAGAGUAUAAAAUUUGCACAUGCGGAGCAAACAUUAAUGCUUGCACGAGGGCAAGCAAUAGCCCAAGUGAAAGUACUGUCUACUCAACAUACAAGUAAUAUGAUUAACUUUAAAUCACAUACAUGCAUACUGCUUUAAUCAAAUUCUUUACAUUCUUUGCAUAAUUUCUUUUUACAUCACAUGAUCUUCCCAAAAUAUGCCUUUGCAUUUAACAUCAUAAAAUAUCUUUAAUACAAUUACCUUAAACAUCUAUAAUCAUCAAAUACAAAAGAUAAUAUAAAGGGGUAUGCAACUACAAAAUGUAAAAGUAUCUCGGGCGGUCUCUGUCUAGGGUGUGAUACCCUUACCGCGAUCGUCCGCCGGCUCGCUCAGCCCCGGCUCUAUGGAAAUAGUGGGGUGAGAACUACAACAAAAUUUCCAGUGGGUUCGGGCCCGAUGUAACAUAUGGAAACUUGGAAUUGCGAUGUCAACUUUGACCUAGAGGGUCAAAGUGAGGAUUGAGCUAGUUGGACAUCAUCCUCGAGUGAUUUGUGAUGCGUUGGAAUGAAUUUCGGAGAUAAAUAAGUGUUUCGGCGCAAAUUGGGCGCGAAACAAAAUAUAAAGAGAGUUUCGGAUUUCCGACGCUAACUUUGAUUAAAAGAAAUGAAAGUAAGGCGUAAAGAUAAAUUGUGGCAUCUCCGAAUCAGUUGGGAAGUCUUGGAAAAGCCAAGGGUGUGUUAUCAAAGGGCUUUGAAGAGCUCAGGGCGAAGUGGUAGUGUGAAAAAGGAGAAAGUGCAUUGGAGCUGAUUCUAUUUCUCAUUCGGCUCCAAUAAUGUCAAAAUGAAAAGGAAUGGCUUCCAAAUUGAAUUGGUAGCUUGUGAAGGUCCCUUGGUAUAUUUUGGACAUGUUUGGAAGAAAUCGGAGCGAAAACGAAAAAUGUAGAAUUUUCUGUAAAGAACGGGACUGAGAAAAUUAGCAGAAAAUGCACAGUGUCAGAAAAUUAUGAAAAUUGGCAGAGAUGUCAGGAACAUUAUUAUGAGGCUAGAUUUGAAGUUUCAGAUUUUUCUGACACCUGUAGAGAGAGAAAUUACAUCAUAAAGUGAUCUGAUAAAGAUUACAGUUCGGGACAGUUCGCAGUGACCAAACGGGGUCGAAACUGAAAUGUUAAAAUUUCAGUGGACCUGUUAAGUAAAAACGAACAUUCCUGCCAAAUUUGAGCUCAAUCGGACUUUCGGAAGGGCCUGCGAAAGGUAUUUGAUCCGCGCGGCUAAACGGAUAAGUCGAGGGGCAAAAUGGUAAUUAGCUAUGGCUUAGUGGAAUUCCACUAAACCUGCCAACAGGGGAGCUCCAUCCUUAUCCCCCUCUGCAGCCCAUACGUAGAGAGAGAGAGAGAAGAAGAAAAGAAGAGAAAAGAGAAGAAGAAGAAGAAAAAGAAGAAGAUAAGAGGUGAGUUUUCUACCUCUCCCUGUCAUCUCUCUCCCUCUCAUCUCUCUCCCUGCUGCUACUGGUUGUAGCAGCAGCAGCAAUAGGAGCUUCAGCAGCAGCAGCAGCUUAGCCUAGCUGCUGCUAGGCUGUCAACAGCAGCAGCAGCUUCAGCUCAGCAGCAGCAGCUCAGCUUCAGCAGCAGCAGCUUCAGGAGCAUCAGCAGCAGCAGUCAGCUUCAGCUGCAGCUUGCGCAGCAGCAGCAGUCAGCAGCUGCAGCUUCAGCAGCAGCAGCAGUGCAGCAGCUGUAGCAGCAGCAGCAGCAGCAGCAAGCAGCAGUAGCAUCAGCAGCAGCAGCAGCAGCAGCAGCUUAGCACCAGCAGCAGCAGCAGCAGCAUGUGCCAGCAGCAGCAGCAGCAGCAUGCGCCAGCAACAGCAGCUGCAGCUUCAGCAGGAGCAGCAGCAGCAGCUGCAGCUUCAGCAGGAGCAGCAGCAGCAGCAGCUUCAGCAGGAACAGCAGUAGAAGCCUGCUGCUGCAGGGAAAGAAAAGAAGGAAAGAAAGAAAAGAAAGAAAAGCAAAAGAGAAAGAAAAAGAAAACCUGCAGGGAAGAGAAAGAAAGAAAGGAAAGAAAAGAAAAGAAAAGAAAAGAAAGAAAAAAAGAAAAGAAAAGAAAGAAAAUGAAAGAAAGGGAAAUGAUAGAGAGAAAAAUGGAAUUGAAGUAUUUGGACAGUUUUUAUUAACUGUUUUGAGGCUCUUGGGCUAAUAAGAAUUGAAUUACGCUAUGUAAUUGUGAAAAUUGCAUUGAAACGGGAUUUUUAUAGAAAUUGACCCCGAUAAUGCACUUUUGCAGGAUAGAGACCCUGACGUGAAAUUGACCGCGUACAAACCUAAUUGGGGGUAAAAGAAACGCGCUGGCGAAGUCGGUUCGGCAAUCCGUCGCUCCUACGCGAAGAUAUCGCCAAAAGAAGAUUUUCGGCGUCGAUAGUCGCGAGCGCGGGUCGCGGUUCUCGGGAAAGCGCUAGAAGCGCAUUUCUCCCUUUCCGGCAUCAAAUAAAGGUGGGUGGUGCUAUCCGAAGUCUUUGAAUCACCUUUUAUGUCUAUGCUAUUCAUUGAGCAUAUUUACUUCUGUAUUCAUGCAUUAUAGGGUAUGGGCAUUGGCAUUAUGCAAGUGAUAUUGAACGUGUGAAUUCUUAUUGAUAGUAAGAACAUAUGAACAUAGAAUGUGGACAUAGAACCCUAUGAAUGUAUGAAACUGUAAAGGACCAAGACAAUAGUAAACUUGGUGACAUCAUGACUAGAGAUUUGGUUAGCAUCGAGAAAUGCAAUUAUGAAACUAGUAUAAAGAACUAGUUAGAGUUAAAUUGUGACAUUGUUGUCAGUUGAAUCCUCUAAAGGGGGAUCAGAUCUUACUCACAUAGUCUGUUUUCUUAGCUUGGUGGUGGUCGCUCCCCCCAGGCAGUGAGCUCCGGAGUAGUCACUUGUUGGGCUAACGUACUUGCCCCAGGACUAACGUACUUGUCCGACAGACGGUCCCAUCGGGAGGCAGCUUAGGGCCCGUGAGGGAUUUCGUUGGUGAGUUAUUGUUAACCAAAGGGUUAACCACUGAAUUGGGUAAAUUUAUGGGCUAACGUACUUGCCCCAGGACUAACGUACUUGUCCAGCUGUUAACCAGAGGGUUAACCAAAAGAUUGGGUAAAGUUAAUGAAAAGCAUGCAUGCAUAUUUACAGUUUUCAUAUCUGUUACUUCUUUCAGCUUUGUACAGGCAUUGUAGUAGUUACAUGUUAUAGUUGGUUACUAUCUGCUUACUUUUCUUGCCUACAUAUGCCUGAGUAGACCUAGUGGGUGAGUCGGCGAGGUCGGCAGCCGAACCCACUGGGAACUUUCUUGUAGUUCUCACACCACUAACCAUACAGGUUCCAGUGCGAGUUUUGAGGCCGAGGAUCGUGGCAAGGGCCCUGCAGCUUAGCUAGCUGACACCAGAGUUUAGCAAUUACCAUUUUGAGUUCAUGUAUCAUCCAUUUUGAUGUACAGAGACAUGUAAAUGAAUGUAUAAAAAGCAUGUAUAUAACUAAAUGUUUCAGUUACAAGUUCAGUUGUGUAAAAUUUUAAAUUACAGUGAAUUUCAUUGUACAGUUAGUUUACUAUCACUUGUGUUUGUUGCUUGCCUUCGUGCAAGCCAUGUAUAUUGAAAUGUGAUCCUGGGAAUUAUUUAUUUCUUUAUACAUGUACUCGUUGUUGUUGAGCCUUGGGCGAACAGAGGAGGUGCUGUUCGUUCGGCGUCUGUGCGCGGGCCCGGAUCGACCAAAUUGGCGAUAGCGGGACGUGACAGAUAAAGUGGUAUCAGAGCAAGUGAUAGUGAAAGUCUAGGGUGACCUAGGGGACUUAGGAUUGGAAACCUAGGGACCAGGAACGCGAGUGGCGUGAAUCUAAUGAUAGCGAAAGCCAAACAAUUGGGUUAGUUGUUAGCAAGUCUCUAAUGUUAAUUAGGGGCUGAUCCGAGUGUUAUUUAUAUGCAACUAAAAAGAGUUAUGUUGAAUGGCCACAACAUAAAGCUAAGGGUUGAGUAUAAAUGCACUUGAAUUGCUUUCGCCUGAUUGGUUUUGUUUUACUAAUGUGAAUGGUUCGUUUCAGGAGAAAUGCCACCGCGACGUGUGACGAGAUCCACUCCGGCAUCACCUUCUGAGGUGCCAGAGCAGUCUGGGUCUGAUGAGGUUCAGGAGUUGCGUGCUCAGGUGAGCGCGUUAGUCGGGGCUAUGCAGAGACAGGAGGAGCAUAUAAAGAGUUUACAGGAUCUAAUGUCGCGACAGGCGACGACAGCAGCACCUGGGAGUCAGGAUGUACCUAUAUCUGAGGCGCCGACGAUCGUGCCUCCUGUUCCGCUGACUGUUCCUCCAGUGAUUUUUGGGCCCUCUGAUUCUGAUGUGACCGCGUUAGAGGCUGAGCGCGCACGAUUUGUAAAGGUGUUAGAGGCAUUUUUGCGGUUUAAUCCGUCUAUGUUUGAUGGAAAAGAAGCCAAUCCGUGGGUAGUAGAGACAUGGCUUACAGCGAUGGAGGUAUUAUUCGAGGACAUUUACACUUUGGAAAGGGAUAAAGUUCCUUUGGCGGCACACUGCUUUGAGAAAGAUGCUCAGAUCUGGUGGCAAAAGGCCAAGAAGAAGCGGGCAUCAAACCUACCACCGCUCACUUGGGAGGAGUUUCGCGAGAUGUUAUUUAUGGAGUACUUUCUCGACAGCGAUAAAAGGAAAAUGAAGGAAGACUUCCGCAAGUUGAGACAGGGAAACCGUUCGGUACGGGAGUACAAACGGGAAUUUACUCAUUUGGUGAACUCUGUGCCUGGUAUGGUUCAUACGGAUUGAGAUCGAGCGGAGUACUUUGAGCGGGGGUUGCGACCUGAUAUAUUCAGGACAGUCAAUGCUCUGAAGUUAAAGACAUUUGAGGAGGUCCUGGAUCGAGCUCUUUGGGUUGAGCGCGGGAAUGCGAUUGCGCGUGAUGAACGCGAAUCGUUUGAAAGAGAACGAGAAAGAGAAAAAGGAAAAAAAAGGACUACUAGUGGUGCCGGGGGACAAUCGAGCUCUAAACGGCCCCCUCGGUAUCCACGUUCUCAGUCGAGGUAUCAGGGACCCCCGAGGUGUGUGAUUUGUGGCGGGAAUCACCGACCGUCGGUUUGUUCACAGCGUGAGGGCAAGUGUUACAAGUGUGGGCAGCCGGGACAUAUGAUUCGUGAUUGCCUGAGGGGAGCAUCACCUGCACAGUCCACAGCUUCAGUCCAGUCACCCUCCAGACAGCGUUCUGGUCUACCACCUGCUAUGUCAGCUGGACGUACUUUUGUGCCGCGUCAGUACGAGCCAUCUCGAUCUGCAUCGAGUACCCGUAUGGACGCACCUCGAUCUGCACCGAGUGGUCGUGUAUUUGCAGCCCAGGCAGAGGAGCCGGCCGUAGUUGAUGACGUCGUGGCAGGUAUUGUUUUACUUUAUGGCACUAGAUCUCGUGCAUUAUUUGACACAGGUGCAUCGCAUUCAUUCAUCAGUAGUUCAUUUGCUAAGACGCAUGACAUUGAGAUUUCGGAUAGUGCUGAUGCCUGGUGGGUAUAUGCCCCUGAGCACACAUUUAGUGUCCAUGAAGUGUGUGCGGCAUGUCCAGUACAGAUUGGUGAUUGGAUUAUGCCAGCAGAUCUGUUAGUGUUAAGCCGCAUGAAAGGUUUUGAUGUGAUCCUUGGAAUGGAUUGGCUUGCAAAGUACUAUGCCACGAUUAAUUGUGAAAGUAAAAUUAUUACUUUUCGUGAACCCGGGCAAAAAGAAGUUGUAUAUCGAGCGUGCAAGAGUUCGCUCUUUGCACUGACUGUAUCGUCGACGAGAGCAAGAAAGUUGAUUAGUAGUGGAUGUGCGGCUUAUUUGGCGACUGUAGUGGAGACUCAAAAAGAACUUCCAGCACUGAGUGAUAUUCCAGUGGUUCGAGAGUUUCCUGAUGUAUUUCCUGCGGAGUUACCGGGGUUGCCGCCGGAUCGGGAAAUUGAGUUCGUUAUUGACUUGGUUCCCGGAACGGCGCCAAUUUCGAAGGCUCCGUACAGAAUGGCACCUGCUGAGUUGAGAGAGUUGAAAGCUCAGUUACAGGACUUGAUGGAUAAAGGCUUUGUGAAGCCUAGUGUAUCACCGUGGGGAGCCCCAGUUCUGUUUGUAAAGAAGAAAGACGGAACGCUUCGACUGUGUGUUGAUUAUCGUGAACUGAACAAGAUCACAAUCAAGAAUAAAUAUCCAUUGCCGCGAAUCGAUGAUUUAUUUGAUCAGUUGCAAGGUUCACGAGUGUAUUCGAAGAUUGAUCUUCAAUCGGGUUACCACCAACUGAAGAUCAAACCAGAAGAUGUGCACAAGACAGCGUUCCGCACUCGUUAUGGUCAUUACGAGUUUACAGUGAUGCCGUUUGGGCUGACCAAUGCCCCUGCAGCAUUCAUGGAUCUGAUGAACAGGAUCUUUAAGCCGCUAUUGGAUCAGUGUGUAGUGGUAUUUAUAGAUGAUAUCCUGAUCUUUUCUCGAAGUAAUGAGGAGCACGAAAAACACUUGAGAACAGUGAUGCAAAUUCUUCGGGAGAAACAGUUAUAUGCCAAAUUGAAGAAAUGUGAAUUUUGGCUGCGGGAGGUCGCAUUUUUGGGGCAUGUGAUUUUUGAGGGUGGUGUAGCUGUUGACCCAAAGAAAGUAGAGGCAAUUAAAGAUUGGCCUCGCCCGACGACUGUGCCAGAGAUCCGCAGUUUCCUUGGACUCGCGGGAUACUAUAGGCGGUUCGUGGAGGGGUUUGCGAAGAUUACUACUCCAUUAACGCGCCUUACACAUAAAGGAACUAAAUAUGUUUGGAGCGAAGAUUGUGAUCGUAGCUUUAGGGAGUUGAAAGAAAGGUUGACUUCGACUCCUAUUCUGGCCUUGCCGAUUUCAGGGGAGAGUUUUGUGAUCUACAGUGAUGCUUCCUACAAUGGACUUGGGUGUGUACUUAUGCAGAGUGGUCGAGUGAUUGCUUAUGCGUCUCGCCAGUUGAAGAACUAUGAAAAGAAUUAUCCUAUUCAUGAUUUGGAAUUGGCGGCGGUGAUCUUCGCACUGAAGUUGUGGAGACAUUAUCUUUAUGGCGAACAUUGUGAAAUCUAUACAGAUCACAAGAGCCUGAAGUAUUUAUUCACCCAGAAAGAGCUGAAUAUGCGACAACGCCGGUGGUUAGAAUUGUUGAAAGAUUAUGAUGUUAAUAUUCUAUACCACCCAGGAAAGGCGAAUGUGGUUGCUGAUGCAUUGAGUAGGAAGUCAGUGGAGAACUUGGCUAUGGUGAUCACACAUCAACCGUCGUUGCAGAAUGAAAUGCGGCGGUUCGAUCUUGAGGUAGUAGCUCCAGAUGUACCAGCUAUUCUUGCCGCUCUAGUUGUUCAACCGACUUUGUUGGAACGGAUUAAAGAUCGGCAAUCUUUAGAUCCGUAUCUCCAAAAAGUGUGGUGUGAAGUUGAGAGCGGGCGAGGGGAUGAGUUUAUGGUGGGAUCUGACGGUGCCCUACGGUUUCGCAACCGGUUGUGCGUACCUAAAGACGAGGAGGUUCAGAGGGCUAUACUACAGGAAGCUCAUCAGUCACCUUAUAGUGUACAUCCAGGUGGCACUAAGAUGUACAAAGAUCUUAAAGUACAUUAUUGGUGGCCUGGAAUGAAGAAGGAUGUUGGACAGUUUGUAGCGCAGUGUUUGACUUGUCAGCAAGUUAAAGCUGAGCGCAGAUUUCCCGCGGGAAAGUUACAGAGCUUGCCUAUUCCGGUCUGGAAGUGGGAGAACAUUGCGAUGGAUUUCAUUAUUGGAUUACCUCGAUCACAGGCUGGACAUGACACUAUUUGGGUGAUUGUUGAUCGACUGACGAAAUCGGCGCAUUUCUUGCCGAUUCAUGUUACUUGGUCAAGGGACAAGUUGGCACAGGUGUACCUCGAUGAGAUUGUGAGAUUACACGGAGUCCCGACGUCGAUUGUAUCUGAUCGAGACCCGCGGUUUACAUCUCACUUCUGGAGGAGUUUACAGGAUGCUCUUGGCACACGUCUUGACUUUAGUACAGCUUUUCAUCCUCAGACCGAUGGACAGUCUGAGAGGACGAUCCAGAUUUUGGAGGACAUGCUACGGGCAUGUGUACUUGACUUCAGAGGGAGUUGGCAUGAUUCCUUGGCGAUGGCUGAAUUUGCUUAUAAUAACAGCUAUCAAGAAAGUAUCGCAAUGGCACCGUUUGAAGCCCUCUACGGGAGAAAAUGUCGAUCCCCUAUCCAUUGGAGUGAAGUGGGUGAAAGAAUGGUUCUUGGUCCUGAUGUACUCCAGGAGGCGGAGGAAAAGGUACGCCUAGUCCGCCAAAGAUUGCUGACGGCUCAGUCACGACAGCAGAGUUAUGCAAAUAAGCGCCGAAAGAAUUUGGAGUUUGCGGUUGGCGAUAAGGUGUUCUUGAAAGUAUCACCAAUGCGCGGGAUAAAGAGAUUUGGUGUUCGAGGAAAGCUUAGUCCUCGAUACAUUGGACCUUACGAGAUCCUAGAGCGAGUUGGAGCAGUAGCUUAUAGAUUGGCUCUACCGCCGAACUUCGAGGGAAUUCACAAUGUAUUUCAUGUUUCGAAUCUCCGAAAAUAUGUGCACCAUUCAGGGCAUGUUAUGGAGUACGAGCCUGUAGAUUUACAAGAGGAUAUGACUUAUGAAGAGUAUCCAGUAUGCAUCCUUGAUCGAGAAACGCGAGAACUGCGAAAUCGCACUAUUCCCUACGUGAAAGUACAAUGGAGUAAUCACUCAGGACGAGAGGCCACUUGGGAAUUGGAAGAAGCUAUGCGUGAAUCCUAUCCCCAUCUAUUCGAUCAAGAGGACUAAGGUAUGAAUUUAAGUUUCGAGGACGAAACUGUUUAAGGAGGGGAGAUUGUAAUGCAUUGAAAAUUUAUCUCGAGCUAAUUGUGAUCAAAGUGGUCGCAAUAAUGCUAAAAUGGAAAUUAAGUAUUUCUAAACUUAAUUAGUAGCUUGAGAACAGCAAUUGACAUGUUUUUAAAGUAUGAGAAUAGACACGAAUGGAAUCGAAGUGGCUAAAGACCUCCAAUUGCUAUUGCUACAAAAAGCUGAAAUUUUUAGUCGAUUUAGUCAAAAUGAUCAAAUUAAUACAAAAUUGAAAAUUAAAUGCUUCCAAAUUAAAUUGGUAGUUUGGGCAUAGAGAUUAGCAUGUUUUGGAAGUGUUGGGAUGAAAUCGGAGCGAGCUAGAAGUGAGAAAUGGGCUGCCAAGGCUGCGGCUGCUAGCGGGGACUGUUUUGUAAACUGCAAGGACUGUUUCGUAAACUGCAGGGACUGUUUUGUGAAAACUGCAGUUGCAGCAUUGUGGAGGGGCGUAAUUGCAUUUUUUCUUAGUCUUAUCUACAGCCAACAACCCCGGCAGCUUCAUACGUAUGGGAGCUUAUCUUCUCACCUCUUUUUUUUAGCUUUUUCUUCCUCUCUUUCUCUAAAGCACUAGAAUGGUUUUUUUGAAGAAGAGUUUAGUGAAUUUGGAUAUUGUGAGAUGAGAAGAGGCUAGUGAGCAGGAAUUCAGCUAGAAAGAAAGAAAUUGAGGUAUGAAUUAGAAUAUCUCUUAAUUAGAGUGAUGUUAUCUACUCUAGAAUGAGUUGAACAAAUGGAUAAUUAGCUUUUAGAGCUUAUAUCACCAUGAGCAAAUCUCUAAUAAGCUAUAUGUUGGAAAGAAUGCAUAUGAAUUAUUGGUUAGAAAUAUGAACAAGACUUAAGUUGGUUGAGAUCUUAAUUAAGGGUUGUUCUAACUACCUAUGAGAGGGUUUUAUAUGAUUAAAGGCUUGUACGUAGUAGUAUGUAGAAAGCCUAGAGAUUAUAAAAAAAAUAUAGCAUAUCCAUGUCUAUAUAUAUAUAUAUAUAUAUAUAUAUAUAUAUAUAUAUAUGCCUAGCUUAUUAAGAAUGAAGUUUGGAGUAAAUUAGCUCAAAUUCCUGAAUGGGAAUGAUGCUAAUUGCUGUAUAAGAAGGUUAAAUUAUGCAUAAUUUAGCUUAUGGAGUUGAUAUAACCAUGGAUUAAACUAUAAAGAGCUAUAUGUAGUAUAGUAUAUAGGUGAAUUAUGGAAUAGGGAUAAAAACCUGAAAUAGGUUGAUCCUAUUUCCUAUUUAAUGUUAUUGUGUUUAAAUUAGGGAAGAGUUUGAAUGAUAGAUUAUGAUUGUUAAGCCUCUAAGUGCCAUGUGAAACCUAGAGCAAAAUGUCUAACUUAGAAUUUCUAAGUUGCUAAUGUCUAUUUGACUGUAUGAAUCCAGAGAAUGCUCUAUGUUGAUGUCAAGUGGACUAGUUUGGGUGAAAAGUAGUUAAUGUGAAAGUUCUAUAUAAUAUAAGGUGGUGGAAUGUGAACAAGUUGUACAUAUAAAUGUAUAUGUACAUGUAUAUACGUAUGAAUGUAUAUAGGCUUAGUGUUGAAAUAGAAAUUGAAUUAAGUAAGGUUGAAGUUCUGCAUUAGAAUAAAUAAAACUGCUGGGUAAAAGAAUGGAAUAAAAGAGUAUAUGUAUAGAGGCCUUAACACUAUACAUAUAUAUAUGUAUGUUAAAGUGAAAUGCAAGUUUUGUUAGAAUAGGAGUAUAACAUAAGUUUAAUCUCUUUUAUUCCUUUAUAAAUGAAAGUUAAACUUGCUCGAAAGUCUAAAUUGACAUUCCGACAGGUCGGCGACGCACUAAUUACAGUAGAAGCCAAUUCGGCUCUAAUUGCAUUGAGUCGCGUGAUAUUGUUGUUGGCACAGUUCGAGACGUGGAUUCUAGUUCUUGACACCACUACAGGUGGGUGGUGCUAUCCGAAAUCUUUGAAUCGCCUUUUAUGUCUAUGCUAAUUUAUUGAGCAUAUUUACAUUGUAAUCAUGCAUUUUAGGGUAUUGUUAUUAUGUAAGUGAUAUUGAUUAUGCAAAUGCUUAUCAACCAUGAAAAUAUAUGAACAAUAGAAUGUGGAUAUAGAACCCUAUGAAUGUAUGGACUAUAACAAUAGCAAACUUGGUGACAUUCUAAUUAGAGAUUUGAAUUGUGAAACUAGCAUAAAGGGUUAGUUGGAGUCAAAGUGUGACAUUGUCUAUUGUUGAAUCCUCUAAAAGAGGAUCAGAUCAUACUCACAUUCGUUUGGUUCAAGGUAGGUCGCUCCUCCUUGAACGAUGAGCUCCGGAGUAGUCAUCUUUACUGGAUCAGGAGGUGCGUCUCCCCCAGUUGACAGUCCCAUCGGGUGCAGGUUGCGUCUCCCCGAUAUUUGGGAUAGUGUCAGUGAGUUAUUGUUAACCAAAAGGUUAACCAAGAGAUUGGGUAAAUUCAGUAAAGGCAUGCAUGCAUAUUUACAGUUUUAUAUAUAUUGCUUCUUUCAGCUUUGUACAGGCAUUGUAGUAGUUACAUAUUAUAGUUGGUUACUAUCUGUUUACUUUCUUGCCUACAUAUGCCUGAGUAGACCUAGUGGGUGAGUCGGCGAGGUCGGCGGCCGAACCCACUGGGAACUUUCUUGUAGUUCUCACACCACUAACCAUACAGGUUCCAGUGCGAGUAUUUGUGGCCGAGGAUCGAGGCAAGAGCCAGCAGCCUAGCUAGUGGACACCCGAGUACUAGUGGUAUACCAUUUUGGGCUCAUGUAUCAUCUAUUUCGAUGUACAGAGAUAUGUAAAUGAAUGUAUAUAAAGCAUGUAAUAACUAAAUGUUUCAGUUAUGUAAAGUUUUAAAUUACAGUGAAUUUCAUUGUACAGUUAGUUUACUAUCACUUGUGUUGUUGCUUGCCAUCGUGCAAGCCAUGUAUAUUGAAAUGUGAUCCUGGGAAUUGUUUAAUUUCUUUAUACAUGUAUCCGUUGUUGUUGAGCCUUGGACGAACAGAGGAGGUGCUGUUCGUUCGGCGUCUGUGCGCGCGCCCGGAUUGACCAAAUUGGCGAUAGCGGGACGUGACACCCGAUCUCGCCGACUUUCCCACUAGGUCUAAAUCAGGCAUAAUAGAAGAAAGAAUAGAUAGUAACCAACUAACAAAUGCCGCUAAUAUGCCUGAACAAUAAACAAUGCUAUGCUCGAUAGAAUGCUCAUGAUGAAUGCAAGAUUACAUUUUCAUUGCCGAAUCUCAUGGCUAGCCCGUAGGUUUCGCCCUCAACAAAC
Molecule: long non-coding RNA, 305253 nt
Filed under: Ananas comosus (pineapple)
Lineage: Eukaryota; Viridiplantae; Streptophyta; Magnoliopsida; Poales; Bromeliaceae
Description: long non-coding RNA (ACOM_LNC033260)
Source: RNAcentral